GUGGAACAUUGAAGUAUGCGAUAUUAUUCGAGAAAUACUCCCGGAUAAUCAGAAUAGAAGUAGAGUAUUAAUAACACUCACUGAAAUUAAGAUGGUCACCUCAUUUCAGCUCGAAGACAGAGAGAACAUUCGGCUUGAUUUAGUGCCUACUGGAGGACCAUUGAGAGCUACAUAUAAAGGAUGGCCUUUCCUCAUCUUAUAUCAUGGAAGCAUCUCAUUUGAAGAAAAUAUAGAGGAAGCAGUGGAGAUACCCCUUGUGUUUCGGUACUUCAAAUGUUGCAGUUUACCUUUUUGCUUGAAACUUUGUUUUCUCUACUUAUCUGUGUUUCCCGCACACCUAGAGAUAUCCACCAGGCAGUUAUAUCAGUUGUGGAUAGCUGAAGGUUUCAUCCCAGACAAUAGUGAGGCAACUGCUGAGAAUUACUUAGAACAACUAAUCAAGGGAGGCUUUGUUGAAGCAAAUAAGAGAAAAGCCGGAGGCACUAUCAACACAUGCUCUAUUCCUGGUCGUUGGCGUCCCAUGUUGUUCACGGUUCCUUCUGAUGUGGAAUUCAUCUUUUCCCCUUUCGUGGAUGGUAAAUCAGGAAAAAAAGCCAAACGGUUAAACGCUGUUGAAAGAUGGGAUGAUUUUGUUUGCUUAGAUGAUUAUGACUCGCAACUGCAUUCUUUCUUGUGCUGCUCUCCAGAAAGCCGCCACAUUGACCCCAUAGAUUGGGAGAAAAUUUGUGGAAUGUUCAAACUUCUCAGAGUGUUGGACUUGGGAUCUCUUGUUCUCAUCCAGUAUCCAUCCGGAAUUGAAAAUUUAUUUCUUUUGAGAUAUUUGAAGUUGAAUAUCCCUUCCCUCAAAAGCCUGCCUUCCUCAUUAUUAAGCAAUCUUCUGAACCUCUACACCCUAGACAUGCCCUUUAGCUAUAUAGAUCAUACGGCAGAUGAAUUUUGGAAGAUGAACAAACUCAGACAUCUAAAUUUUGGGUCAAUCACACUUCCUGCGCAUCCAGGAAAAUACUGUGGCUCUCUGGAAAAUCUAAAUUUCAUUUCACCCUUGCACCCUUGCUGCUGUACUGAAGAUAUAUUGGGCAGGCUACCUAAUCUUCAAAAUCUCCGAAUACAGGGAGAUUUAAGUUAUGAUCAAUCUUUGCUGUCGAAAAGUCUCUGCAGAUUGAGCUGUCUCGAGUCAUUGAAGCUGGCGAAUGAAAGCAAGAUGCCACGGCUCUCCAAAAUCGUCCUUGCUGAAUACCUAUUUCCUCAUAGUCUAACCCACUUGAGUUUUUCUAAUACUGACCUAAUGGAUGAUCCCAUGCCGACACUAGAAAAGCUGCCGCUUCUUCAAGUGCUCAAACUGAAGCAAAAUUCGUAUUCAGGUGGUAAGCUGACUUGUGGCUCUGAUGGUUUUCCAAAUCUCAAGGUAUUGCACCUGAAAUCAAUGUUAUGGCUAGGGGAGUGGACUAUUGGGAUUGGAGCCAUGCCAAAACUGGAAUGCUUGAUUAUCAACCCUUGUGCUUACUUGAAAAAGAUGCCUGAACAGCUCUGGGGCAUAAAGAGCUUAAACAAGUUCGAUUGCUGGUGGCCUCAGCCAGAGCUAAGACAAAAGCUACGGGAAUUUGAGGAUAAGGAACAGUGCGGCAUUCAACUAUAUCCUUGCGGAAUUUGAUUAGCCCCUAUUGAAUUUGAUGUAUGUUUCUCGUUUUACCCAAUUUCUUCAAAUUUUAAUUAUUUAUCCAAUUGCAUAUACUUUUUUUUUCCCCUUCUCUUCAAUACAAAAAAGGUUUUACAAAUUGUUUUCUUCUAAUUUGUCUCAACAUUAAGUACCCUUUAGAGUUUCCAAUGCUCACCCCAAUCAUCAAGCCCUCUUUAGCAGCAGUGGAGACAUAAGUAUAUUCAACCAUGAGCCUAGAAGACUUCGGCGUUCAUUUGUUUUAAUAGUUAAGGAAAAAAAUGUAAUUUAAAAUUCUUAUUUUUCACAAUUUCUUCAAUGAUUUGUGUAGGUGAAAUCAGAGCAGAAAACAUCAUAACUGCAGCCCGAGCUUCAAUUUCAACCAGAAUCCUUUCUGUCUUCACUUCUGCUGUCUACACAAAUAAAUAAGAAGUUUCGUUUCGGAUUUUUCAGUUGAGAGUUCAUUGAUUUGUGCUUCAGCCUCGGUUCGUUAAUUGUGUACAAAAAAUAAAUAAUAUUUGUGAUGCUUUCUAGUGUUUGGGUUGAGUUGAAUGUGUUUUCUGUCUUUUGUUCUGUUGCUUGCUCUGAAAUCCUGUUUCAGAGGCUGGGCAAGUCUGGCACUCAAUAUGUUUCGUUUAUUUCGAGAAAAGAUUGAUUAUUGAUGAACUUCACACUUGGCUGAAUAUCUUAGUAAACGUUCUUGUGGAGAAAUCCUAAUACCCGCUUAGGCACUACAAUAAGGCAGAAAUACUAAUACUGCUUUACAUUUGUUGAUUGAUUAACAGCUUUGUUCUCUGCUGCUCUUUCUUUAUCUGAUACAGAAAAUUCCUUCAAUAUGAUUGCUAGUUGCUACUAACUAUCGAAGUAUUCCUCCUUUGGCUCAUUCAAUGGAAUAUGAGGGACAUAUUACUGAGACUGAGCCACGCUUCAUUGCCUUCCCGGAGAAAGUUGAAGUUUGGGCCGUGUACUUGGGACUGGAAUGAAGAGCGGCAGCGAAAUGAUUACAAGAAUUGCCAUUUAGAGGGGCUUUUUUGUGACUACUGAUGUGUCCCUCUAAUGGUUCAAUAAAUUGAAACCACGUCUAAUAAAAGGCUAGAAAAAAGCCGUGUAUAGUAAGCAGCGACUUUCAAUAAUAGAAUUUUGCGUGCAAGUGUGUGCAUUCGAGAAAGCAAAGUAUAAGUUUUUGUAUAGCUAUAGCCUACGGUAUAUGUGCGAGCACCUAAGAUAUAUUUUGCAGUGAGCAUUGACACGACAUCAAAUAUUUUUUCCUAGAGCAUGCAUGAAAACAUCUAUAAAAUUCAAGAAGGUAUAACUGCAAUCCCUCGUUCAAAUUUAUAACAAAUCAAUUAUAAAAAUAUUCGGAGCGAAAUUAUGUUUUAUAUUAGAUCACAUGUUAAAAUAGUUAUCAAGAUAUGCAUGUAUAUACUAUUUGCAUAAAUAAAAUGUACUGCGACAUUAUGUAAUGCAUUUGAGUGGGCAAAGGAGGAACUUUAUCACUUGCAAGGCUUUUUUGUUUGUCGUUACCCAAACCAAUUUGCUUGAAUAUAUCCUGCAAGAGCCUUUUUCAUUGCUACCAUAUGCCAUGGUUGUGAACUAAAAGUUUCUUAAACGCAAGAUUUAUGUUAAAAGAUUUUUCAUAACCAGUCUUUUAACACCAUUUUCAUCCACAUCUGUUUAACAACCGGUCUUAAUAACCUGUCUUUAUUGCUUUACCCGUACGUAAAUAGAAAGCAGUUAUAAUGUAUUUGCUGUAUUUAAUUAAAUCAAUUGUAUUAAAUUAAAUCAAGUGAUGAAAUUUGGUACAGGCCAAAGAAAAAAAAAUAAAUGUAGAAAUUUAAUUUGGUUUGUUAGCAUUCCAUUACUUGGCCAAUUUCCUUAACACUGAAUGAUUGAAUAAAUUUUUAAUUUUUCGUUUUCAAGAGUUUAUUGGAUUUGUUUGGAGGUAAAUUUGGAAGGAUAUUUAUGGACUAAUUGAAAGCUGACAUGUGGUAUAAGAGUAAUAAAUAACAAGUUUGAACGGUGAAACAAAAAAAAGACACCUCGACUGUCCUACACAAGCUAAUCAAGGAAAAGAAUAAAGUUUGGUAAAAUUAGCGUGAAAAGCAAGCUCAUUUGAUAUUUGAGUAAAGAGGUGCCAUGCAGUAGAAAAGAUUAAACUACCCUGUGGUACCCAAUCUAAAUAUAUUCACUUAAAAGGGGCAAGAGAAGGACUCAAUUUUUCUUUUUCUUUCUCUGCGACUCUCUUGAGCUCGAAUCACAACUAGAAAUUGAUUCAAUUCAAAUAAAAAAAUCAAUGAAAAAAACAACCAACCAUUAGUUAAAGUAUUGGAUAUGACUAUUUGCACUCAUCUAUUAAAUUUAAAAAAUUAAGUUAUACUUUGUACAAUCUUUAAAAUACUAAAAAUUUUUAAGCAUAUUAAAUUAAUUACAUUUAUUUACUCAAAACAAUACUCAAAGAAAAUUCUUUAAAAAAAUUUAGCAUAUCAUACUGAAGUUUUUAUUGACAAAUCGGCAAAUCCUAAUUGUGCAUAAAUAUGUAGCGUGCUUAUUACGUGUCUUGUAGCAUGCUUAUUACGUGUCUUUUCGCGUGCCAUGCUUUGGCCCAUCUCUAAUUGUACCGUGCUUUUAAGGCCCGCGUGCCUAAAAUUUUAGGCCCGACACGACCCACAUGCGUGCUGUGCCGUACCGCGUGCUCUACCGAAACAUGCUCGUGUCAUGCCGUGCUAUACAGACAUGUGCCGUGCCUCGUGCUGCCCAACCCAUUGGCCAUCACUAAACACACCCUCCACCACAAAUUACAGAUCCUCAGAAAAUAGAUUCUCCAAUAGAGGUGGUGAUGAACUUAUAGGUGCAAGCCAUGUAGCGGAGCGGAGCAGCGCUUCGGCUGAUCUUUCAAUAAAUAAUGACAAGAUUCCUAUCAGAAAUGAUAAUGGCAAUAAUAAUGAUAAGGAAACUAAAAACUCUGAAUAGCGAUUUGGCAAUGGCAAUCAAUCAGAGCAUAGGUUGCUUACUUAAAUAGGUGAGAACUUUGUACCACUCACGGAUCUCCAAUCAUCCAUCUCUGACACUAAUAUGUCUUCUAAGAACUCUGAAUAGCGAUUAAUGAUACGUGGAAGCUGCGUAAAAGUUAUGACAACAACAAAAUCAGCUUCAUGUUGCCUAAAAUACAAUUAAAUAUAACUAUAAAGAACUUUGUUGGGAAAUAUAAAUAGCAGCUACUUCAUCGUGAUCUUGGAAAUAAUAUUUUGAAUAAUAACAUUUUCCAGAAAAAGACAAGGAACAAUAGAAAAUAUUGAAGAAGCAAAAAAUACUGUACACUGUAGAGACCUCUCCUCAAAACUUUACUGUAAUUACCAAUUGUGACCGAGGAACUCAUUGCCACUCAUCAUCUAUAGUAUACAUAUAACUUUUAACACCUUAGCAAGGAAGUUACCUGCUCAGAUAGAAUACCGGAGAUGCCCACAACUGCUCCUGGCUUAGCAUAAGAAACAAUAUGAUCUGCUAAUUGCGGCAGAGGAUUAAGAAGAAUAUUUGCAAUAACUACAUCAUACUCCUCUGUCUCAGAAAUCCCUCUAAUUUCGUGUGAGCUCAAAUAUUCCACUACUCCGUCUACCCUUUCAUUCAUGGAGGCCGUGAAGGUUCUGUCUGGAACCAAGUGUAGUUUUAUUUUCUUAGGUCCUAUGUUGUUUAAAGCAGCAUUUUGAUGGGCAGAUUUGAUUACCUGGGGAUCUAUAUCAACUCCAACAAACAUGGCAGCACCGAACUAAAUUCACAAAAGAAUUGACUUUGUUUCACAUUGUACAACAGAAAGAAAAUUAUGCUACAGUAAUGGGUCGAUAUUUAUAGCUGCAGUAGCAAAGUUAAUAGUUGAUUACCUUGAUUGCUGCAAUUCCAAGAAUUCCUGAACCCGUGCCAUAGUCCAAGAAGAGUUCUCCUCCUUUUAUCAAGCUUCGUAACAACAAAAGACACAACUUAGUGGUGGCGUGCUCGCAAGUUCCAAAUGCCAAUCCAGGAUUCAAAAUUAUAUUUGUUGCUUGAACAUCCUGUAGCGAGCAAAAAAAUAAAAUUAUUGAUAAGAUGUGUUAACCAUUGCUCAAAGCUAAAAUUUUUCUUUGUAAAGAAUUAAAAGAAGUAAAAAUGCAAGGGAGACUAUUCCAGCAGUCAAACGGAUUUGCAAUGAGAAUGCCAAGUCGGUGUGUUUGGAUUACUCUUCCUAAUUUUAGAAUUUCCGCGUAAACUAUCAGGCAAAUUCACUAGAACCUUAGGUCAUUAGGCAGAGGGGCCCAAUAAUAAAUAAGCAGCUAUAUUGAAGACUUAACUAAUGUGGGAUUAAAUCAACAUUAUGAUUUUGCAAAUGAAAGUUCCUCAUUGAUGAAAUUUAAAGACUUGGAAGCAAUUAGCUCAUAAGACUUCUGCAGAAGCAAUGAAGAAGAGGGUACCCUAUAAAAGAUGAGAAAUUACUGCAACAAAACCUCCAAAGAGAGUGAGAUAAUCAUACUGGUGGUGUACUCCACUCGGGCACAAUCCAUAGUCCUUUUGUCACCUCAACGGGAUGAAAUGAUUCCUGCAACAUGUAAGAAAAUAGAAUCAAAUUAACAUAACAUAAUUCCAUUUAUACCAUUGUGAUAGAGAGAAAAAGGAGAGCAAACAAACCUGAGCUUUCUUUAUCCAGUUGCAUUGCUCUCCCAUUUUAACUUCAUAACGUGGUAUCUCUUUCAAGCCUAUGGAAUUAGCAGCAUUUAAUAUGCACUCAUCCACGUCUUUGCAUUCAGGAAAUAUGGAAUCAAUAUAGAUCUGCAUAAAACAAAUCUGUAAGUAAUAUUUAAAACAACUGUAGUUUUUAUUCAGAAGCCACUCUACAUUCAACAAAAUCUAAGACCAACUAGUAACAUUAUAAUGGCGUCUUAGAGGCACUCUUUUAACACAGAAAGAAGCCAAUUUUCAAUUCCAUACCAAACAUUGAAAAUUUUGUACUUAUUUAGUAUUAUUAUUAUUAAUUUUUUCCUCUGGCUACCUUUCUAGCAAGUGAGCCAACAAAGUCAACAAAAAUCUAAGGCCAACUGGUAACAUUACAUUGGAAUUUACAUUUGCAAAUGGGAUAUGAGUUUCAUUUCUUGUUUAUUGUUACUCUCAACAUCCUUUACAAGAUAUGAAUCAAUAAUAUAAAAAAAAAAGAAAAGAAAAAAAAGAAGGCAGAAAUUAAAAUACAAAGUUUCAACCUUAUCAGAAUUCUCAUCAGCAUCAUUAUCAUGUUCAUCCACGCUUGUAGAACUUGCACCGAAACAUAGAAGAGCUUCAGAAAACAUAUCCUGACAACACAAGUUAAGGCACCUCAAUUUUAAUGCCAAAUAAUUACUAAUUCAAAAUGCUUAAAAACACAGACAAGUGAAAAAAGUGAAACAAACUAAGGCAAGUUUUUGACAGCAAAUGCGAACUGAGAGAUAAGGAGAUUCCGCUAACGGAGGGUAGAUAGAGGAUAAGGAUGUGCAUGGAGAAGAAGAAGAAGAAGAAGAACAGGCUGAAACUUUUAUGAGAACGGAAGAGAGUGUUGUUGACUGGGUUCUGGGUUUUUGUUUUAUGAGCGUAAAUAGAUUCUGAUGGCGGGUGAGCUGUUUGUACGGAAGACGUUUGAAGAAAUGACCCAAUGAGAAGAAUGACAUCGCCGCCCUGCUUUAUUAAGAUAGUUGUUUAUCUCAAGGUGCGUCUUCGAUUCGCAGAGGACUCAAAUAAUUUAUUUUCUAUCACAAUUUAUUUCCGCUCCCUUCUGAGUAGGAAGUAGUGCUGAUUUCCGAGCUAUCUUCUCAAUAAAACUUUCAACUAUUAUAACAAUUCAAAGAAAAUAUAAUUAUAUACUAACAUAAAGUGGAAAGUCAAUUAAAUUGGAUUGUUUGAUUAGAUUGGAUCAAAUACGGGACGGUUAACUUCUAAAUUCUGUAAGAUAUCCCUUUCAAAAUAAGUAAAAUAGAGGUGGUCCUAAGUGGACCACACUCCAUUCUCAUUAAAGGGUUGUAUUUAUAGAAAUUGUACAUAAAAGAAAGCUAUCGACACCCUCUAAGACUUUCAUAGAACCCUGCGCCUAGAACAAUAGAACUUACAAAAAGAGAAUAGAGCGGAGCUAUUGGCACCUCUAAAAGAAUUCUUAUAUCUUAAAUUUAUAUUUUUAACUUUAAUCAAAUCACAUUUGACAAUUCAUCUCUCUUCCGCUAACCCCACAUGGGUUUUAUUUUUAUUAAAUAAGAAAUAAUUUUGUUGUUAUAGUGAAAUUAUUUUUUAUUUUUAUUCUUAAAUUAGUGGUUUCUGUUGGACUAAAAUUUUUAGUUCAUUAUUUUCAAAUUAUGAAAGACUUAUUGUCUUUUACUAUUUUGGCUACUUGUUCUCUUGAUUUUAUCGAUUUAUGUGUUCAUAUAAAAACAUGUGAAUUGUCCCAUUCAGAGUAUAAAAUGAUAUUGGAUUAGUUUCUAGCAAUCUUUUUUAGCAUAAAAGAAAUAUUUAUUUAAUUCUUUUUUUUCUCUCUCGUAUAGUAAAGUUAGUGAGAAAGAAGUGUACAAGGACGUUUGUGGAAUUAAAAUAGCUCCACUUAAGAGGAUGGCCUUGAGUAUUUCUUAUCUAGUUUUUAGAUUCUAUUUUCUACUAGUUCAACUUACUUCAUAGUAAUAUUUUGAUAUAUUUUCCCAUGGAAUGAUAAAAUUAAGUUAAGUAAUAAUAUAAAUUCUAUAUUAUAAGAAUCUUAUACACAUAUAAGAAUAAGAAUAAAAAGUUGGAAAAAGAAGUUCAAAGAAUUUUAAAUUGAAAAGUUGAUUCUCAUGUGCCGAACAAGGGCUUCAGAUUAAAUUGUUGAAAAAGUUUUGUAAUAAAAGAUUUUUGUUUUCAUAUGAUUUUUUAACAAAAAAGAAUAUAUAAGGUUAUUUGCGGAAUUAACAUAGGUGUUGUUAAAAGUAGUGUGAUUUACAUAUGUCAUUAACGGAGUAAUUUUAGAAGAGAUGUUUUAUGAAGAGUUUAAAGUGGUGCUAAUAGUUUCAUUUAUUGACAAAUGGGUCAAAAAAACAUCCAAAAGCUUCAAAGGCCUUUCAUAAUACUCAUAAUGGAACACAAAAUAGUUAAUUAUACUUUACAACUCAAAUUUUUUUUUAACAUUUUACAACUCAAAACACGCUAGAAGAUUUUUAAUAUUUCUUAGUUAACUAUAAGAUACUAUAUAAGUAUAUAUAACAAAACAAGAAUAUAUUGAUUGAUACCAUAUAUUUGAUACAAAUGAAUAGAAAAUCUCUCACUUGAUAGAAUAUAUAUAACAUAUGACAAGUUACAUACAUCUAAUUUGUCAAAAAAAUGGGCUAUCUAGAUGGUCAACACCAUCUUUCGUUGGAAAAGAAAACAAAAGAAGAAUGGAGAAUGAGGAGCCGCAAUCUAGAAGCUGUAAAUGUUUGAAGAAGAAAUAAGAGGCACACGGCUUUGACAAAAGAAAGAAGGAAAAUAUAUAUAUAUAUAAUUGAUGAAUAGUGCCAAAGCUUUCUCUAUAAAUAGAAACGAAGAGAAUGAGCAAAUUAAUUUCAUUCAGAAAGCAAUUUAGGGAGUUGAGAGAGAGUUUAAGAGCUUGCAUUUAUAAGCUCUUGUUACAGUGAUUGAGAGAGUUUGGGUGUAUUGGGGUUUUAGGUAGUGAGCUAAAAUACUACAAUACUUGUAACUCCUUUUCACUAGUAAAAUAUUUCCUUCUGUCUUCACCCGUGGAUGUAGGCUAAAAGCCGAACCACGUAAUUUCUGGUGUCCUCUAUUGUGCUUGUUCUUUAUUUUAUUUCCAAUUUCAUUUUAGCUGCGGUCCUGCUUCACCCACCAAUUUCCUAACAUAAUUUUCUGCAUGCAUAUGGAAAAAAAAUUAAUUGUUUAAAUUUCUAAUUUGUCAAAUCGAGGUUUGAUUUCUGAAUUUUUUUAGUUGUCAAGUGGAUUAAAUUCCCCCCCAUAUACACUGUCUAGAGAAACUCAUGAAUCUAAACAAACCAAACCUAUAUUAAAUUUAAUAAUAUCAUUAUCCUCAGACUCUUAGUUUUGCACUUUUGCUUGCAUAAACAUUAUGGAAUUUAAACUUAAAUCCACAUUAAGAUAAUAACAAUUAACAUGUGAAACAAUUUAUUGCUGCUCUGCUAUAUUAAGAUAGUUGUUUAUCUAAGGGUGCGUCUUCGAUUCGCAGAGGACUCAAACAAUUUAUUUUCGAUUACAAUUUAUUUCCCCUCCCAUCUGUAGGAAUUAGUGCCGAUUUUCGAGCAAUCUUCUCGAUAAUAACAAUUAACAUUUCAAAGAAAAUAUAAUUAUAUAUGAACAUAAAGCGGUGAGUCAUUGGAUUAGAUCAAAUAAGGAGAUGGUUACCUUAUAAAUUCUUUAAGGUACACCCAUCUAAAAUAAGUAAAAUAGAGAUGGUCGACAUGUAAAAUAUAUAAGGUGGCGAGGUCCAUCUAAUAAUUCGAUAUUGUUUAACCUACACGCAUAUUAAUGAAAGUUAUUGACACCCUCUAAGACUCUCAGCCUAAAACUUGCAGAACUACAAAAAGAGACUAGAGUGGAACUAUUGGCACAUCAAAAAGAAUUCUUAUAUAUUAAAUUUAUAUUUUUAACUUUAAUCAAAUCACGUUUGACAAUCCAUGUCUCUUCUUCUAACCCCACAUGGGUUUUAUUUUUAUUAAAUAAAAUAUAGUUUUGUUGUUGUAUGGAAAAUGUUUUUUAUUUUAUUUUUAUUCUUAAAUUAGUGGUUUCUGUUGGAUUGAAAAUUUUAGUUCAUUAUUUUCAAAUUAUGAAAGGCUUACCAUUUUGGCUUCUUGUUCUCUUGAUUUUUUUCAAUUUAUGCGUUCAUAUAAAAGCACGUGAAUUGUCACAUUCAGCGUGUAAAAUGAUAUUGGAUUAGCUUCUAGCAAUCUUUUUUAGUAUAAAAGAAAUAUAUAUUUAAUUCUUUUUUCUCUCUCUCAUAGUAAAGUUAAUGAGAAAGAAGUGUACAAGGACGUUUGUGGAAUUAAAAUAGCUCCACUCAAGAGGAUGGCCUACAGUAUUUCUUACCUAGUUUUUAGAUUUUAUUUUCUACUAGUUUAACUUACUUCAUAGUAAUAUUUUGAUAUCUUUUCCCAUGGAAUGAUAAAAAAAACUAAUAAUAUGAAUUCUUUAUUAUAAAAUUCGUAUAUACAUAUAAUAAUAAGAAUAAAAAGUUGGAAAACAAAGCUCAAAAAAUUUUAAAUUGAAAAGUUGAUUCUCAUGUGCCGAACAAGGGCUUCAAAUUAAAUUGGUGAAAAAGUUUCGUAAUAAAAGAUUUUUGUUUUCAUAUGAUUUUUUAAGAAAAAAGAAUAUAUAAAGUUAUUUCUGAAAUUAACAUAGGUGUUGUUAAAAGUAGAAUAUAUAUAGCAUAUGACAAGUUACAUACAUCUAAUUUUCUGCAUGCAUAUGGAACAAAUUCAAUUGUUUAAAUUUCUAAUUUGUCAAAUCAAGGUUUGAUUUCUGAAAUUUUUAGCUGUCAAAUGGAUUAAAUUUCCCCCCAUACAUACUGUCUAGAGAAACUCAUGAAUCUAAACGAACCAAACCCAUAUUAAAUUUAAUAAUAUCACUUUCCUCAGACUCUCAGUUUUGCACUUCUGUUUACAUAAACAUUAUGGAACUUAAACUUAAAUCCACAUUUUUCAUCACUCUCUUCGUGGCCUCAUGUGUGUUCCAUAAUGUUCUCUUCCUCAUCUUUUUGGUGCAUGCAUAAUUAACUAUAAUAUGACAACCAAUUGGUUGGCAUUUAUAUACGCAGGUGUGUUGUUUUAUAUUUCCAUGCCGGCAGUUGAUGCUCAACCGGAAUCAAAAGCAGUCACUUGUAAAAGCAAUGCCGACUGUGACAAUCCCUGUCAGCAACCGGAAUCAAAAGCAGUCACUUGUAAAAGCAAUGCCGACUGCGACAAUCCCUGUCAGUCGUUUCGAAUGCGAUCUUGAUACCCAUCUCUGCAUUUGUGUUCCUGCCCGCAAUUCGAUGACGUGUUGUUGAGGAGAUUAAAGCUUGUAUUGCAAGUUCUAGUGAUAUUUUGGAUGCUGAAUUGCAAAGUUUGUAACGUUACAAUCUUUGUUUCAUUUCUUACAUCACAUGUCAAAUAAAAGUAUCAACUAACUAAGAAUUGCUGCCUCUCUUCUGAUAUGCAUAUUAAAAUUGUGGUAAAAAAUUUACAAAUCAUCUCCAUGUGAUUGGUCCUAUUAUACAAUGUUGUACCAUACAUUUGUUGAAGUCUUUAAGGCUUGGAAUUAUACAAUUUUUAAAAUUUUCAGUAUUUUUUUGACUUUCGAGCUGGGUUCGGACUUUUUAGCCGGAGCCCAAGACCAGCCAGAAUACUUAGAAAACUUGCUCUAGCUAGACUUGAUUUUUCUGCCAUUCCUACUUAGAAUUCUAUUAUCAUUGAUUUCAUUGAUGGAUUGUUAUAUUUUUAACACUAAGGGCUCAAAUGAAAAUAAUUAUAAAUAGUGUCUUAUGAUGUAAUACUUUCAAAAAGGUGAGAGCUCAUAUAAUACUGAUAUUUGAAUCAAAAAAUGAUACAGUAGUGAGAAAACAACUAUAGAUUUUAUUUAUAAUGUUAAAUAAAAAAUUAUAACUAUUUUUCAAUUAACAUUAUAACAUUGCACAAUUUACUAUUAUUUUUGUCAUCCGUUGUUAGAACUCUUUAUCAUUUUUCAUUUCUUAAAAAAGAAUGCUAAAAAGAAAAUUGAACAUAUAUUAACUAUAAAAUUUUACAAACUAUUUAGUACUUGCUCUAAAUCUGGUCGAAGAAAUAAGACAGCAUCACACAUGAUUAAGAAUGCAUAUUUAUUUGAGUAAUUUUACAUUUAUAACCCUGGGAUACAAAUUUUAUUUGUGAUAUAAAUACAUGCAAGUCUCGCAAAAAAUUUAACAACGAACACCCGACAAUAUAUCUUCUUUUUAGACAAGCUUUUACAGGCCCAGUGGAAUUGUUUUUACCCUUUCUUUCUUUCUUUCUUUCUUAAAAGUGGAUGUAUAAAACAAAUUGGUCUUGAUCGAUACUUGACGAUGUCCUGUUUAUUUUUCUCUGAUUUAUUCUUUUUUCAUCAUAUGGAAGACGAGAUUAUUGUAAGAUUCUGCCUUGAUCUGUUCUAAUUUUAGAGUCAACGAUCUUGAUUCAACUUCUUGACUGGAGAACUAGCUAAGAGAAGGGAGGUAUGGGAGCCAGCACUACUGUUUGAAUUGAGAGCUUUAAAGCAUAGUUUCUUUUCAACUCUCUGUCUACUUACUUUAAAGCAUGCCACAGGACUGAUUACAGGGUGGUACCGAGAGAGGAGGAGAUAUGGACAUCAACUUCAGACUAUUUUCAGAGAGGCUGAGAAGGGUGUUAGCUGGUGAAGAAGUCACGUUGCCUGAUGCUGCAAAACAACCUAUUCACAACUUUCAUGCCGAGAUUGAAAUCGUUACUUCUUUGCUGAGGGACUUUGAAGAUGAUAUCUCCUGCCUUCUGGUGCAAAAAAUAGGAGACCUUGAAAUUGACAACCCAGAUCUGGCGACCGUUAUGGACGAAAUCAACUGUUUUACGUAUGAAUCUGAGAAGGUGAUUGACACAUUCAUCAACAGCAUCAGUGAACAGAAGAGUCAAAGCAGCUGCAGCGAGGAUAUUUUUGAUGCUCUGCAAGGACUCCAAAGCAGAAUCACUGAUAUUAAGCAACGGAUGCAACAACUUAAGCACAUGGAUUCCGAAAUCAUUGAUCGCAUCAAAACUUUUGAAGCUGAAGCCGCUAUAUCUUCAUCUUCUAAAAGUAGGGACACCGUGGGUCUAGAUGAUAGAAUGGAGGAGUUGUUAGAUCUAUUGAUCGAGGGACCACCUCAGCUUUCAGUGGUGGCCAUACUUGAUAGCAUUGGGUUGGACAAGGCGGCUUUCGCCGGAGAGGCUUACACCAGCAGUUAUGCGAAGCAUUAUUUUGAUUGUCACGCUUGGGUUCCAGGGACUUAUCCGUAUGAUGCUGACCAAAUGUUAGAUAUCGUUAUUAAGUUUCUGAUGCCUUCAUCUAGGUUGAGUGAAAUAAUGGAUAAAAAUUAUGAAAUGAAAAAAAUAAUUCUUAAUGAAUAUCUAAUGACUAAGCGGUAUUUGAUUGUGCUUGAUGAUGUGUGGAGCACAGAUGAAUUGGAUGCUAUUCGAGAAACCCUUCCGGAUAAUCAGAAUGGAAGUAGAGUAUUAAUAACACUCACUGAAAUUAAGCUGGUCACCUCAUUUCAGCUCGAAGACGGAGAGAACAUUCGGCUUGAUUUAGUGCCCACUGGAGGACCAUUGAGAGCUACAUACCAAGAAUGGCCUUUCCUCAUCUUAUAUCAUGGAAGCAUCUCAUUAGAAGAAAAUAUAACGGAAGCAGUGGAGAUACCCCUUGUGCUUCGGUACUUCAAAUGUUGCAGUUUACCUUUUUGCUUGAAACUUUGUUUUCUCUACUUAUCUGUGUUUGCCGCACACCUAGAGAUAUCCACCAGGCAGUUAUAUCAGUUGUGGAUAGCUGAAGGUUUCAUUCCAGACAAUAGUGAGGCAACUGCUGAGAGUUACUUAGAACAACUAAUCAAGGAAGGCUUUGUUGAAGCUACUAUAAGUAUAUAUAACAAAACAAGAAUUUAUUGAUCGAUAACAUACAUUUGAUACAAAUGAAGUAGAAAAUCUUCCACCUAAUAGAAUAUAUAUAGUAUAUGAGAAGUUACAUGCACCUAAUUUUCUGCAUGCAUAUGGAAAAAAAAAAUUAAUUGUUUAAAUUUCUAAUUUGUCAAAUCGAGGUUUGAUUUCUGAAAUUUUUAGCUGUCAAAUGGAUUAAAUUUCCCCCCAUAUAUACUGUCUAGAGAAACUCAUGAAUCUAAACGAACCAAACCAAUAUUAAAUUUAAUAAUAUCACUAUCCUCAGAUUGCACUUCUGUUUACGUAAACAUUAUGGAACUUAAACUUAAACCCACAUUUUUCAUCACUCUCUUGGUGGGCUCAUGUUUGUUCCUUAAUCUUCUCUUCCUCAUCUUUUUAAUGCAUGCAUAAUUAGCUAUAAUAUGACAACUAAUUGGUUGGCAUUUAUAUUUGCAGUUGUGUUAUUAGCAUUAGGCUAAUUAAUUGUUUGGCAGGUGAAUUGUUUUAUAUUUCCACGCCGGCAGUUGAUGCUCAACUGGAAUCAAAAGCAGUCACUUGUAAAAGCAAUGCUGACUGUGACAAUCCCUGUCAUUCGUUCGAAUAUGAUCUUAAUACCCAUCUCUGCGUUUGUGUUCCUGGCCGCAAUUCGACGUGUUGUUGAAGAGAUUAAAGCUUGUAUUGCAAGUUCUAGUGAUAUUUGGGAUGCUGAAUUGCAAAGUUUGUAACGUUACAAUCUUUGUUUCAUUUCUUACAUCAUAUGUCAAAUAAAAGUAUCAACUAAGAAUUGCUGCCUCUCUUCUAUUAUGCAUAUUAAAAUCGUGUACAAAAAUUUACAAAUCAUCUCCAUGUACUAUACAUUUGGAGAAGUCAUUGAGUUUUUUUUUUUUUGGUUAAAGCCAAGCCAAAAAGCCUGAAGUAUGCAUUCUAUAUUUUUUUAAAAACUUUUUUCAUUAUAUUUUACAAAUUUAUAGUUUAUAAAAUUUAGUUUUUUCUUUGUUAGAUUAGGCUUUAAAAGUUGGGCGACUUAAAACUUUAAAUAUAUGCUGUGAGUGGAUUAAAUAUAUGUUAAAAGUUAUGUUUUAAUUACAAUAAUAUAUAUUUUCAAAAUUUUUAAUAUUUUUUGGGCUUUCGAGCUGGAUUUGGGCUUUUUAGCCGAAGCCCAAGUCUAACCAGAAUACUUAGAAAACAUGCUCUAGCUGGAUCGGAUUUUUCUGCUACUCCUACUUAGAAUUCAAUUACCAUUGAUUUCAUUGAUGGAUUGUUAUUAUAAAUAGUGUCUUAAGAUUUAAUCCUUUAAAAAAGGUGAGGGUUCAUAUAAUACUGAUAUUUGAAUCAUUGAAUGAUACAAUGAUGACAAAAGAGCUAUAAAUUUUAUUUAUAGUGUUAAAUAAAUAUUAUAAUUAUUUUUCAAUUAACUUUGUAACAUUACAAAAUUUACUAUUAUUUUUGUCACCCUUAUGUCGCUGUUAGAACUCUUUAUUGUUUUUAGUUUCUUAAAAAAGAAUGCUAAAAAGAUCUCCAAAUUUCUACGGGAUAUGUAUGUAGUUUUAAAAUAAACAUGUAUUAAAUAUAAAAUUUUACAAACGAUUUAGUACUUUCUCCGAAUCUCGUUGAAGAAAUAAGGCAGCAUCGUACAUGAUUAAGAAUGCAUAUUUAUUUGAGUAAUUUUACAUUUUUAACCAUGGGAUACAAAUUUUAUUUGUGAUAUACAUACAUGCAAGUCUCGCAAUAAAUUUAACACACCAUACAUGAUUUUGCAUUUUUCCACAGCAUAAAUUAUUAAAUAAUUGAUGUCCUGUUUAUUUUUCUCUGCUUUAUUCUUUUUACAACAUAUGGAAGACGAGAGUAUUGUAAGAUUAUGCCUUGAUCUAUUCUAAUUUGAGAGUCAACGAUCUUGAUUCAACUUCUUGACUGGAGAACUAGCUAAGAGAAGGGAGGUAUUGGAGCCAGCACUAAUGUUUGAAUUGAGAGCUUUAAAGCAUAUUUUCCUUUUAAUUAUUUCUUUGCAUGCUCUUGGACAGAUUUCAGGGUGGAUCUGAGGGAGGAGGAGAUAUGGACAUCAACUUUAGACUAUUUUCAGAGAGGCUGAGAAGGGUGUUAGCUGGUGAAGAAGUCACGUUGCUUAAUGCUGCGAAACAACCUAUUCAGAACCUUCAUGCCCAGACCGAAAUCGUUACUUCUUGGCUGAGGGAAUUUGAAUAUGAUAUCUCCUGCCUUCUGUUCGAAAAAAUGGCGGAGGAGGAAAUUGAAAACCCAGAUCUGGCGACCGUGAAUCUGAGAAGGUGAUUGACACAUUCAUCAACAGCAUCACUCAACAAAAGAGUCAAAGCAGAUACAGCAAGGACAUUUGUGAUGCUCUGCAAGGACUCCAAAGCAGAAUCACUGAGAUUAAGCAACGAGUUUAACAACUUAAGCACAUCGAUUCCGAAAUGAUUGAUGAGUUCAGAAGUGUUGAAGCUGAAUCAUGUUAUUUUCCUGCAUCUUCAUCUUAUAAGAAUAGGAAUACGGUGGGCCUAGAUGAUAGAAUGGAGGAGUUGUUAGAUCUAUUGAUCGAGGGACCAACUCAGCUUUCGGUGGUGGCCAUACUCGAUAGCAUUGGGUUGGACAAGACGGCUUUCACUGCGGAGGCAUACAAUAGCAGUUAUAUGAAGCAUUAUUUUGAUUAUCUCGCUUGGAUUCCAGCGCCUUAUCACUAUGACCCUGACCAAAUAUUAGAUAUCGUUGCUGUGAUUCUUUUGCCUUUUUCUAUGUUUAGUAAAAUAAAGGAUAAAGAUUACGAAAUGAAAAAAAUUAUUCUUGGUGAAUAUCUAAUGACUAAGCGGUAUUUGAUUGUGCUUGAUGAUGUGUGGAGCACAAAUGUAUUGGAUGUUGUUCAAGAAAUCCUUCCGGAUAAUCAGAAUGGAAGUAGAGUAUUAAUAACACUCACUCAAAUUAAGAUGAUCACCUCAUUUCAGCUCGAAGACAGAGAGAACAUUCGGCUUGAUUUAGUGCCCACUGGAGGACCAUUGAGAGCUACAUACCAAGGAUGGCCUUUCCUCAUCUUAUAUCAUGGAAGCAUCUCAUUAGAAGAAAAUAUAGAGGAAGUAUUCAAUAUACCCACUGGGAAUCUAACCUUCGUAUGUUGCAAGCUACCUUUUCACUUGAAACUUUGUUUUCUCUACUUAUCAUUGUUUCCCGCACACCUAGAGAUAUCCACCAGGCAGUUAUAUCAGUUGUGGAUAGCUGAAGGUUUUGUUUGUGGGAUAUGCUUCGACGAAGACCAGCAGUGAUGAGCAGACAUCUGAUAACAGGGUUCCUCGAGCAGGUAUAUCUUGUAAGAGUCUGGUAUCCGGGGGAGCAGGAGCAGGAAAAUCCUGCUCAUCCACGAGCACGUCAUCCACGAGGCCAAUCUCUUGUUGGAAGCAUAGAGCCAUUCCUGCUUCAUUCCUGCUAAAGGUUGAGUCGAGGAGACCCGGUCAACGACAGUUGGCGAGGCGUGCUCUCCAGUCCGAGAAUCAAGGCACGGAGGUCACGCAACCACCCACGACUACGGAAAUAGGGCAUCCACUUUCGAGAGGUGGGAGGAUAACGAGCGCGAAUGGAGGGAAGGCCCGAGUUCAGAAGUGGCCUAUAAAAAGGUAGCCAACGAAGGUAAAAUGGUUAGAUUUUUUGAGAUUGCAACUAAGAAAAGAGAGCUUUAAGAAUUGAAACUAAAGAGAAGCCAUAAGAUUCGUGGCAAACAUUCCUAGAACCUUCAUAUCUGAUUUGAGCGUCGGAGGGUUUACGCCGGGAAAACAACCGGCGUACUCUGACCUGCUUCUGUGUACGCAGGAACUUUUAGAGAAGAAACCUUACGAGGAGAGAUCCUGGUCGUGGUAGAGUUGGUCGAGCAGAGGUCCUGGUCUUGGUAGAGAAGACAACCAGAAUCUCGCAUCAACAUUUUGGCGCCGUCUGUGGGGAGCUGAUAAAAAAGCUUCUGUUAAUAACAAGAAGAGGAGUGAAGCAAGUGGAAAGGCAAUGGAGACAGGAGGAAGUAGUGCACAAGGGGGUGAUAUGAGUAUUAAUGAUUUCGUGACGCUGAGGGAGAUAGCUAGUGAAGCACGGGAAAAAGCCAUGUUCGACCGGAUGGAACGAAUGGAAAAGCAGAUGGAGACCCUGACAACCAUCCUACAUGAGUUGCGGAGUGAACGAAGGGGAACCCAGGAGGAAAGGGUGAGAGGUGGUGGAGUGACACCAGGUCCCGGUAGUACGAGGAGAAGUCAAACCACCGGAAGAUUUGGUGGUGAGAGAGGUAACAUACCUCUGCGGGGGGAAUUUCAUAAAGAGGAAGAGCAAUCCCCGGCAAGACAGAUUUUUGACGAGGACGACGGGGUGACGAAUGCAGAGGAAACUGAGUUGAGGCGACACGUGCAUGAUGUAGAGCAAGAGCGGGAUCAAGUUGCAGCAUGUGACCCUGGGCGUGCAGUGCAGCUGGAGGAGGAAGUGCGCAGACUAGCGCAGAUAAUUGACGACAUGCAAGGAAGGAGCAGAGCUCCUGGUUGGAGGAUAAUGCUGGACGGAGAAUCACCACUCGCAGCAGAGAUCAUGAGGCCAGUUAUUCCGAGAGAUUUCCGCCUCCCAGACCUUAGAUAUUCGGGACGAAUUGAUCCGCUGGUGCACAUAGAGCGCUUCAACGACAUAACCGGGGUACAAGGAUUAUCUCAAUCCCAAAGGUGCAGGGUGUUCCCACUAUCCCUUGAGGGAGGUGCACGCGAGUGGUACAGGAAACUUCCUCGGGGGAGCAUUAAAACCUUCGAGCAGAUGUGCCAGGAAUUUGCAGAGCAGUUUCGUGGGGCAAUGGCACCAGAAGAUGACAUGAUGAAGUUGAAAAACAUGAAGCAGGGGGAACAAGAAACCCUUCGGGAAUUCAUCAAGAGGUUUCAUCGUGUUGUCCUCGAUUUGGGAGCCUUCAACCAUCCUCAGGCAUUAAAGGGACUGAAAGAAAGGGUGAAGAUAGGAAGACUGUGGUACAAUUUGAGAAGCCCAGUUAUUCAGACGUAUGCAGCCGCAUACGAGCAGGCUAAGAAGGACAUUGAGAUUGAAGAGGAAAAGGCAGCACGGAUCAAGACAGACCAGUUAUAAGGGUUAGGAAAGAAAGAGAAGAAAGCAUUACCAGGGAAUGAGCCGAUAAGGAGGAGGGACCACCAUGCCUCAGGUAGUGGAGCAGAAGGUCGGGUAACUGCUUACCAGCCUCAUCAGAGGCCACCACAGUAUCAACGCAGUAGGGUGCAACCUCCUCGUUCCCCAGCUAGGGAGCCUUGGAGAAGGCAUGACUCGGCAUAUGGUGGUCUUCAUCAACACCCCCACGGUAAUAGAGGGAGUAGACCAGAAGUGCUGCCACCGCCUCCAGCUCAGAACGGAGCAAAUAGAGAAAUGGCAGUGCACCUGAUCGACCAGAACCAGGACUAUGGGCGGUAUACUUCCUUGAAGAUGUCCCUGGACGAGGUGUACGAGGCCAUAAAGGACCGAGGGUUGCUGUAUCUCCGUGUCCCAAUAAUAAAACUACGCAGCAGGAGAGAUAGGGGACGCUAUUGUAAGUUCCAUGGCACUCAUGACCAUACCACAGCAGAAUGCCGAGAUCUCAAGACCCAGGUUGAAGAUUUGGUGAGAAAUCGGUACCUGGAUGAGUUUAUAGAUGGGACCUUCCCAAUGGUAGCCUCGACAAGUGAAGGGGAGCAGAGUGACAUGAACUUGAGGCGUGAGCAGCCUACAGUAAGGGUGAUAGCUGGGGGCCCAACAUUGGCCGGAGAUUCCAACAGAUUGAGGAAGAAUUAUGCUAGAUACGCCAUGACCAGUAAAGAGGUAUUCUUUAACAUCCCAGCAGCCAAACGAGCAAGGGUCAGGCAAGUGCCAAUCAUGUGGACGGAUGAAGAUGAGGAAGGGAUUCUAUACCCCCACGAGGAUGCUUUAGUCAUCAAGGCUACUGUCGCUAGCAAGAAGUUUGACCGAAUAUUGAUUGAUACAGGGAGCUCAGUUGAUGUGUUAUUUAAGUCAACUUUGGAGGAGAUGGGAAUAGCAGACCAGAAGUUGGAGUACACCAAUACCUCCUUGAAGGGGUUCGGAGGAGGAAAACUAGUCCCUCUGGGCGUGGUCGAGCUGCCUAUCACGAUUGGGAGCUCCCCGACAGAAAGGACAAUGAUACUGGACUUUGUGGUGGUGGAUGAAGAAGGUCCUUACCAGAUGAUCCUAGGUCGGCCAUUUCUAAGGAUGAGCAAAGCGGUACUGUCCAACCAUUAUUUGGGUCUCAAGUACCGGGUGAAUGGGGUAGUUGGAGUGGUACGAGGAGACCAGAGAAUCGCAAGAAGCUGCUACUCCUCGGCAGCAAGGGAAACAAUGCAGAUAACAUCCCUGGAUACCUGAGUGGAAAACAAGAAUAGCAGACAAGAACCUGUAGAGGAGCUGGAGACAGUAAGCUUGGGACUAGAGAAUCCGGGAAAGAUGAUCAGAAUCGGGUCGAGACUUAAGGAAGAGCUGAAGCAGGAGUUGGUGAAAUGCUUACAGGCUCAUGCAGAUGUGUUUGCUUGGACACAUGAAGACAUGCCAGGGAUUGAUCCUGAGGUAGCAUGCCAUAAGCUGGCAAUAAAGAAAGGUGCUCGAGCAGUAAGGCAGAAAAGGAGGUGCUUCAACCAGGAGAGAUAUGAGGCUAUAAAUGGCGAGGUGGAGAAGCUCUUGAGAGCAGGGUUCAUUCGGGAAGUCAAUUACCCUGAGUGGAUAUCGAAUGUGGUGUUGGUAAAGAAGGCAAAUGGCAAGUGGAGGAUGUGUGUAGAUUUCACAGAUUUUAAUAAGGCGUGCCCAAAAGACAGCUUUCCUUUACCAAAGAUCGAUCAGCUAGUAGAUUCAACUGCUGGACACGGCCUGCUUAGCUUCAUGGAUGCAUUCUCGAGAUAUAACCAGAUCCCCAUGUACGAGCAGGAUCAGGAGACCACGACUUUCAUUACUAACCAGGGCUUGUUCUGUUACAGGGUAAUGCCAUUUGGUCUUAAAAAUGCUGGGGCCACAUGCCAGAGGCUGGUGAACAAAGUCUUUAAGCCAUUGAUCGGGAGAACCAUGGAGGUGUACGUGGACGACAUGAUAACCAAGUCGAAAAUCCCGAAGGAACAUGUCGGACACCUCGAGGAGACAUUCGGGCUUUUGAGGAAGUAUAAGAUGAAGCUCAACCCGGAAAAGUGUGCUUUUGGGGUCGAGUCAGGGAAAUUCCUUGGAUUCAUGGUGAGCCAUAGGGGGAUUGAAGCAAAUCCCGAGAAGAUCCAGGCGAUCGUGCAGAUGAGGUCUCCUCGUAGCCUGAAGAAGGUGCAAAGCCUCACGGGGAGGUUGGCGGUGUUGAGCAGAUUCAUAUCCAAGGCUACAGAUAAGUGUCAACCAUUCUUUCAAGUGAUAAGGAGGGGAAAGAAAACAGAGUGGACCCCAGAAUGCGAGGACGCCUUCCAGAACUUGAAGCAGUACUUGCAGCUAGCACCUCUGCUGUCCACACCGAGGGAUGGGGAUAAGUUAUUUUGUAUUUGGCGAUAUCAGAUCGGGCCACAAGUUCUGUUCUGGCGAGAGAGGAAGAAGGGGUUUAGUAUCCAAUAUACUACACCAGCAAGGCCCUGCUCGACGCUGAGACCAGAUACCCACCGUUGGAAAAAUGGGCGCUUGCCCUUGUGGUUGCUGCUCGGAAGCUGAGGCCAUACUUUCAAGCAUUCCCAGUCUCGGUAAUAACAAACCAGCCAUUGCGUCAAACUUUGCACAAGCCAGAUGCUUCUGGUCAGCUCGUCUAGUGGGCUAUAGAGCUGAGUGAGUUCGACAUAGACUACAAACCUCGAGCAGCGAUAAAGGCUCAGGCAAUGGACGAUUUCGUAGCAGAAUUCACAGAGCCCGAAGUAUGUUUGGACCAACGAGAUGUAGUUACAGACAGUAGCGAAGCUCAAGUAUGGCAAAGGUCUGUAGAUGGGUCAUCAAGGGAGUAGGGAUCAGGAACAGGGAUUGUCUUAGAAGGCCCAAGGGGGAGGAGAUCUCUUAUGCUGUAAAGUUAGAAUUCACAGCCACAAAUAACCAGGCAGAGUAUGAAGCCUUGAUAGCAGGUUUGGAAUUGGCUAAGGUCGUGAAAGCAGAUAGAGUGAAGAUCAGAACUGAUUCCCAGCUGGUUGCGAAUCAUGUCAGUGAAAAAUUUCAACUGAGAGAGGAGAAGAUGAAGCAGUACCUGAAGAUAGUCAGGCAGAUGAUGGGGAAAUUUGAAGUUGUGGAGGUGGUACAAAUCCCCAAGGAGCAGAAUAGUCGAGCAAAUAUUUUGGCCAGGAUGGCAGCGGUAGCAGACCCAAAAAUGCCAAAGUCGAUCCCUCUGGAGGUGAAGUCCAGCCCGAGUAUCGAGCAGAAUUUGGGGGUGCUGCGGAUAGAAAAAAAAUGCUCGUGGAUGGACCCGAUAAUUUCAUACCUUAAAGACGGGGUAUUGCCACCAGAUAAGCUGCGAGCUCAGAAGAUUAGAGCCCAUGCCUCGAGAUACACGAUGAUUGAUGGGGUAUUGUAUCGGCAAAGAUAUACACUACCUUUCCUUCGAUGUUUGGAUGAGGACGACGCGGAUUACGUACUGAGAGAAGUACAUGAAGGAAUUUACGGAAAUCAUUCUGGUGGGAGAUUCUUGGCCCAUAAGGUUCUAAGGCAGGGAUAUUUCUAGCCGAAAAUGCACCAGGAUGCGCAAGGGAAGACCAGGAGCUGUGUAAGCUGCCAGAGUUUUGCAAGUUUCUCCAACCAACCAUCAGAGAAGCUCACCUCCAUGGCCUCCCCUUGGCCAUUUGCUCAAUGGGGAAUUGAUCUGAUCGGCCCGUUGCCAAAGGGACGAGGAGCAGCAACACAUGCAAUAGUUGCUAUAGACUACUUCACGAAGUGGAUAGAGGUAGAAGCCUUUAGCAGGAUCACAGAGAAGAAAACAACAGACUUUGUGUGGAGAAACCUGGUCUGUUGAUAUGGGAUCCCAUAUGCCUUGGUAACGGAUAAUGGCAGGCAGUUCGAUAAUCACAGCUUCAGGGAUUUCUGCCAGAACCUAGGGAUAGAGCUGAAGUAUUGCUCGCCUGCUCACACUCAAUCGAAUGGACAAGUAGAAGCAGCCAAUAAGACCAUCAAGAGGCUUUUGAAAACCAGGCUUGGGGCAAAAAAGGGUGCAUGGGUUGAUGAGCUGUCAGGUGUUCUAUGGGCAUACAGGACAACCCAUAAGACAGCAACUGGGGAGACACCGUUUGCCUUGGCCUUCGGACAUGAAGCGGUCGUACCAGCCGAGAUAUUAACGACCACGAACCGGACAGAACAUUUCAAUGAACAGGAGAACAACGAGCAGAUGUGCCUGAAUCUAGAUAUGCUAAUGGAAAAGAGGGAGCAAGCAGCAGAACGAUCAGCCAUUUACCAGCAAAGGGUUGCUCGUUAUUAUAACCAGAAAGUGAAUGUACGGCAAUUUCAGGUCGGAGACGGGUACUGAGAAGAGUGAAUCAGAGCACCAAAGACUCGACUCAAGGAGUUCUGGGACCGAACUGGGAAGGGCCAUAUAGGGUCAAGCAGAUAGUGGGACCCGGAGCUUACAAGCUGGUUCACACGGACGGCCACGAGGUGAAACGCCCAUGGAACGCAGUACACCUCCAAAAAUACUUCCAGUAAGACUUAUUCACAUAUUAAAGCUAUUUCUGCCCGUGCUCGUUGUCUUUUAUUUUUUAUGUCAAAACAAUUUCAUGUAAGAUUUAAUCCUGCAAUUAAUGGAACGUUGAGGAAUUUCAUUCACUUGAAACUGUGAAAAAUUCUAAGGCAUGCAAAGGCUCACCAAGUCUCAAAGCUUGUUUUAUGGCGAGACAGAAGCCAAGCGUGCCAGGAUCUGCUCGACCGCACGAAGGCGAGCAGAAUCCCAAGCAUUGAAGAAUUUUCUAAGGCAUGCAAAGGCUUACCAAGUCUCAAAGCCUGUUUUAUGGCGAGACAGAAGCCAAGCGUGCCAGGAUCUGCUCGACCGCACGAAGGCGAGCAGAAUCCCAAGCAUCGAAAUAUUUUCUAAGGCAUGCAAAGGCUCACCAAGUCUCAAAGCCUGUUUUAUGGCGAGACAGAAGCCAAGCGUGCCAGGAUCUGCUCGACCGCACGAAGGCGAGCAGAAUCCCCAAGCAUCGAAAUAUUUUCUAAGGCAUGCGAAGGCUCACCAAGUCUCAAAGCCUGUUUUAUGGCGAGACAGAAGCCAAGCGUACCAGGAUCUGCUCGACCGCGCGAAGGCGAGCAGAAUCCCCAAGCAUCGAAAUAUUUUCUAAGGCAUGCAAAGGCUCACCGAGUCUUAAAGCCUAUUUAUGGCGAGACCAGAAGCCAAGCAUGCCAAGAUCUGCUCGACCACGCGAAGGCGAGCAGAAUCCCCAAGCAUCGAAAUAUUUUCAAAGGCAUGUGAAGGCUCACUAAGUCUCAAAGCCUGUUUAUGGCGAGACCGGAAGCCAAGCAUGCCAGGAUUUACUCGACCGAGCAAAGGCGAGCAGAAUCCCAAGUCAUGUAGCAAGACCAUAUGCUAAGCCAGAGCCUGUUCGACCAAGCGAAGGCGAGCAGACUCUCAAACGUAAAAAUAACUUGUGAAUACAAAUGCAAGAAAGUAAUCAAAAAUAGUUUUCAUUAAUUUAUCAAUAGCCAACAAAGCUGUCCAUUACAACACAAGAAACAUGUUCAAGAAGAUGGCAGAUCAGUUAGCCGAGCAGCAUCGGUUGACUGGACCUCCUCAGGUGCAGGGGGGUAUCACCAGUGUGUCUGGGGGGGUGCUCGCCUCGCCAACAUCAGCAGGGAUUGCACGAGGAUGAGAGUUUUCCUCAUCAAUCACGAUUGGCUCUACCCCUUCGGCAUCUUCCUUGGCCGCCUCCUCGUCCAUGUGUUGAGCAACACCAGCUGCAAGGUCAUCCAUCUUUAGAUCAGGAUGCUGCUUCCCGAGGACGGCCAUGAUGCAACGAUAGGAAUGCCGAAGUCCCUGGUCGUACUGGUUGUCGGCUUAAUUCUCUAAGUUCUCGACCUGAACUCGGUGGGAAUCGCGGAGAGAUUCGAGCUGAGCCUCAUACAUAGCCUUCUGCCUUUGAAGAUCCUCCUUGACCUUGGUCAGCUCUUCCUCGAAGGUAAUGGCUUUUGCUUGAGUAAGAGAUUCUUGCUCUAUCAGCUUCAGGUUCUCGACAUUCAGCUCCCCUGCUUUCUUCUCGGCAUCGUCAGCUCUGGUCAUCGCCGACUGAAUGUCCUCCUUCAUCUUCCUGUCAUAACGGCCAACCUUGGCCUUAUAGUAGGUGGUCAUACAGCUGAGAUGGAAAGCGCUAUACUGCAUGGCUCCCACCAGCUCGCCUAAGGUGCAGCCAUCAAAGUCCUCCAGGUCCUUCUUGCUCACGAGUUUGGAAAGCUCGUUGAGAUAUGGGGCCAAGUGUUCUGCUUGGCUGUCAGAUAAACGAGAUCUAGGCCCGACAGGAGGAGAAGAGGAAGCAGGAUCAGUGGCUGCUCCACUAGUUUCUCCGACUUUGGCAGGAAGAGGAGGUAGAGUCUUCAAGGGAGGAACUUGUUGCACAAUGUUAACCCGCUUCGCAGUGGGAGCGUCCUUGCUCUGGUCCCUCUUCGCAGUUUGAGGUCGAGGACGCUUCCGAGUCAGAGCCUCAAUCACAACAUCCUCCAUCUUAUGGCCGGGGGACACCAAACAAGACUCGAGUAGGUUAUAAGUAGUUAUCAGCUCUCGGCUCGAGCAAGAAUUGACUAGUACAGCCUCGAUCCGUUUGAGCUGGUCAGGUUUGAGCGGAAAGUGAACACCCCAAGAACUUGCAACACAAACAGACACUUGGUUAGAGACAAAUCAGUAAAGCGAGAACAAUUUUGGAUACAAGACAUCUAAAGCGAGCAGGCAACCUGGGACCGUGAAACGGGGUGGGACGCGAUAGUCCUUUCCGUCUAUUUGUGCAACUUGACCCCAAGUACCCCCAACAAAAAAGAAUUUCCUCUUCCAAGUCCCACUUCCACCAGUUGGAAGAUCAGUUAUGGGUUUUCUGCUCUUGGUACUAGAUUGGAAGUAGUACCAGCCGGCAUCUUUGGGGCUGCUCUUUAGCUGGUACAGGUGCUUCACCUCAUCAACCGUGGGCUCGCUUUGGCAACAUCUGUCCCACAAUAUGAACAGACUAGAGAGCACUCUCCACCCGUUGGGAUUCAGCUGACCAGGAGCCAGAUUUAGCCCGUUAAGUAUAUGGGCAAAGUAGGGUUGCAAGGGACACCUCAGCCCAUACUUAAAGCUCUCCAGAAACAAGGUAACGUAUCCCCUAGGAGGCCGGCUAGGUGUAUCCUUUUUUCCUGGGAUCUUAAGAGAUAUUUCACCAGGAAUACUAUACCUAAGUCGGAGGUCAUUGAGCUCGUCAAAUGUGGUCGUGCACGUCAUGUAAUCAAUGGCAUAAUCCCGCGACAAGGCUCUACCUCCUACUGUACUCCGCCCUUCUGGUUGUAAUGUUCCUGAUGGGGACGCCUCACCAAAAUCACCUUCCCCAUCCCCACUCAAGGUGUUUUCUGAAUCGGAAGAUCCCUCCUCACCACUAUUUCCGCUUGAGGAGGUUGUUUGGGGGGACAUCCUCCUAGCGCUAGUACCAACACCAGACCUAAUGGGUUCUAAGGGGAUCGGUGAGCAGAUUAGGUAAGAAAUCUAGCCCGUCGUCAUCAAUCUCAACGACUUUCUCUUUACCUUUCGACAUUCCCUAAGCAAUAACCAGAACACCACCAAUUACUACCUAAGCAAAGCAAAGAGAAAAGAAAUUAUCUACAGCUAUCCGAGAUCGAUGAGAUAGAAGUAAUACCUGAAGUAGUGGUUCAGUCGGAGAAGGACAGGGAUGGAGGCUUUUAUGCCGGAGCUUCUUUGCCAGAGAGAGACAGGGAACGAGAUGGAGAAAACGACAAAUUUUCCUUUAAGAGAAGGUUGUGGGUUUUCCUAAUGGAGAGUGAACUCUUGGGUUGCCGGCAUUUAACAGCACCGAAUCCCAAGGGUCUCGUAAUUGUUGGUUUGAAAUUCAAAUAGAGGGGUAGAUUUCCGCCACAUCAACUCGUCCGUAAUUAAAUACGACACGACUCUUGGCAGCCUUUUUCCUAUCCCGCGCAAGCAAGGACUGUCAAGUUUCUACUGUCGACUUACUGCGUUACCCAACACCAGAAACUGGGGGACCGGUGUUUGUGGGAUAUGCUUCGACGAAGACCAGCAGUGAUGAGCAGACAUCUGAUAACAGGGUUCCUCGAGCAGGUAUAUCUUGUAAGAGUUUGGUAUCCGGGGGAGCAGGAGCAGGAAUAUCUUGCUCAUCCACGAGCACGUCAUCCACGAGGCCAAUCUCCUAUUGGAAGCAUAGAGCCAUUCCUGCUUCAUUCCUGCUAAGGGUUGAGUCGAGGAGACCCGGUCAACGACAGUUGGCGAGGCGUGCUCUCCAGUCCGAGAAUCAAGGCACGAAGGCCACACAACCACCCACGACUGCGGAAAUGGGGCAUCCAAUUUCGAGAGGUGGGCGGAUAACGAGUGCGAAUGGAGGGAAGGCCCGAGUUCAGAAGUGGCCUAUAAAAAGGUAGCCAACGAAGGUAAAAGGGUUAGAUUUUUUGAGAUUGCAACUAAGAAAAGAGAGCUUUAAGAACUGAAACUAAAGAGAAGCCAUAAGAUUCGUGGCAAACAUUCCCAGAACCUUCAUAUCUAACUUGAGCGUCGGAGAGUUUAUGCCGGGAAAACAACCGGCGUACUCUGACCUGCUUCUGUGUACGCAGGAACUUUUGGAGAAAAAACCUUACAAGGAGAGAUCCUGGUCGUGGUAGAGUUGGUCGAGUAGAGGUCUUGGUCUUGGUAGAGAAGGCAACCAGAAUCUCGCAUCAACAGGUUUCAUUCCAGACAACAGUGAGGCAACUGCUGGGAAGUACGUAGAGCAACUAAUCAAUAGAGGCUUUGUUGAUGCAAGGAAGAGAAGAGCUGGAGGCACUAUCAACACAUGCUCUGUUCGUGGUCGUUGCCGUCCUGUGUUGUUAGCAGUGGCUUUCAAGGCAGAAUUUAUCUUUUUCUCAUUCAUGGAUCCAGAAGGUAAAUCACGAAAGAAUGUCAAACCGAUCAACGUUUUUGAAAAACAGAGUAAUUUUGCUUGCUUAGAUGAUUAUGACUCGCACAUGCAUUCUUUGUUGUACUUCACUUCAAAAAGAGACCACCUUGACCCAAUAGAUUGGGAGAAAAUUUGCAGAAUGUUCAAACUUCUCAGAGUAUUGGACUUGGGAUCUCUUGUUCUCAUCCAAUAUCCAUCCGGAAUUGAAAAUUUAUUUCUUUUGAGAUAUUUAAAGUUGAAUAUCCCUUCCCUCAAAAUCCUGCCUUCAUCAUUAUUAAGCAAUCUUCUGAACCUUUACACCCUAGACAUGCUCUUUAGCUAUAUAGAUCAUACAACAGAUGAAUUUUGGAAGAUGAACAAACUCAGGCAUCUAAAUUUUGGGUCAAUCACACUUCCUGCGCAUCCAGGAAAAUAUUGCGGCUCUCUGGAAAAUCUCAAUUUCAUUUCAGCCUUGCAUCCUUGCUGCUGUACUGAAGAUAUAUUGGGCAGACUACCUAAUCUCCGAAAUCUCCGGAUUCGGGGAGAUUUAAGUUAUUAUCAAUUUUUGUUGUCCCAAAAUAUUUGCAGAUUGAGUUGCCUCGAGUCAUUGAAGUUGGUGAAUGAAAGCAAGAUGCCACGGAUCUCCAAAAUCAUCCUUGCUGAAUACCUAUUUCCUCAUAGUCUAACCCACUUGAGUUUUUCUAAUACUAACCUAAUGGAUGAUCCCAUGUCGACACUAGAAAAGCUGCCGCUUCUUCAAGUGCUCAAAUUGAAGCAAAACUCGUAUUCAGGUAGAAAACUGACUUGUGGUUCUGAUGCUUUUCCAAGGCUUAAGGUAUUGCACAUGAAAUCAAUACUAUGGCUAGAGGAGUGGACUAUGGGGACUGGGGCCAUGCCAAAACUAGAAUGCUUGCUUAUCAACCCUUGUGCUUACUUGAAAAGGGUUCCUGAACAGCUCUAGUGCAUAAAGAGCUUAAACAAAUUCGAUUGCUGGUGGCCUCAGCCAGAGCUGAGACAAAAGCUACGGGAAUUCAAGGAUAAGGAGCAGUAUGGCGUUCAACUUUAUCCUUACAGAAUUUGAUUAGCCCUGAUUGAGUUUGAUGUAAGUUUUUUCUUCUUCCCCAAUAACUUCAACCUUUAAUUAUUGAUCUAAUUUCAUAUAAAAGUUUUUUUUUCCUCCACAAUAGAUUUGAUAGUAUGCAGCUGCCUAAACUAUAAUCAUAAUAUAAAGUGUUUUCUACAUUCUAAUUGUGGUUGCUUCUAAUUUUUGUCUCAAAAUAAACUUGAAGUGUCCAUCACAGUUCCUGAUGCUGACACCAUUCAUUAAAAAAUGUAUGAUAAAAUCUUCAAUCAGUUGUAUGUGCAGGUAAAAGCAGAGCGGAAAAUAUCUUAACUGUACUGCAGCCAAAGUUUCAAUUUCAACCAGAAUCCAGCCUUCAUCCUUUCAGUGUUCACUUCUGCUGAGUUGUCUACACGUUGUUUGGUUUCUUUGUUUUCAAGGAUUUGCAUGCUAAAAGUAAUAAUGUCAUGUUCAGAUUAAUAUAUUGUACAAAAGUCUGAUUAAUUGUUUUACUUUCUAUUUUCAGUUUCACUGGUGUGUAUUCAAUUUGUCAACAUUCAAAUUGAUAUAUGUUAUGUUUUUAUUUUUAUUUUAUUUCUUUCUCUAGUUUUUAAGUAGCGGUACAGUUCAACUUCAAGCUUAGUACUUCAGUUAGAAGAAUAGUAUUUGUGCUUUGAUCUCAUCUCAUCAUCUCAACACAGGCAGAACGACAUUGUUGUUCGGUUUUUUGGAAUUUCACCGACGUGUCGGUCAUUAUAAGGGCGAGAAUGCUGGUCAAACGUCAGUUGGGGUUAGUUAAAAAGGUGCAGGAAAAUUCUGGGAUUGUUAUAGAUGGCCUUUAUCAUAGUUUAUAAGGCUGGUUGAUGGGUCAUCUUCUCAUAUCUCAUCAAAGCUAUGGAGAGAGAGAGAGAGAGAGAGAGAGAGAGAGAGAGAGAGAGUUAAAGUAGAAAGUUGUAUAUUCUUGUUCUCUGUAACAAGCUCUACAUCCUGGUAACCUUGAUUUGUGAAAUAGUGAAAGCUUGAAAGCUUGUAUCCUUGUCUUCACUGGAUUUAGGCACUUUGAUUCAAUUUUUAGUUCGGAUUUCUGAGAACGAGUCUUCAUACAUCAAAUCAAAGAUGGUCUAAGGUGUUUGAUCUUGGUACUGUCAGAGGAUUAAACACAACAAAAAGAAACUGGGGCAUAUUGCCUAAUCUUCAUAGUCUUCAGAUAUAUGGAGAUUAAGCCCUUGUAAAAUCAAAAACCAGCACUAAUCCUUGGUGAUUUGGAGCAGAAGAUUUAACGAGUAAAGUUCUGAAAGUGGAAGAUUUAAUCUAUAGUGCUGCUCGUUUUGGAAGCUUUGCUAGAAUUGAUGACUGAAUUCUUUCUCUAUUGAUUGAUUAGCAGCCCCACAGCAUGCUAAUGGUUUUCACAUUUUUCCCUCCCACAGCAUGCAGAGGGUGCCUGUAGUGCAAAGAAGUUGAUGGCACGCAGGAUGUGCUGCUCACUCUCAAUUCCUUACAAUCACACCAAAGCCGUCUUUUGCAGCAGAGAAAUACCCGUUUGCGUUAAAAAUGAUCCUUGUAGCCAUUGAGAUUAAUUGAUUAAAUGGAGUUGACAAAUGAAACAAAAACGGAAAAAAAAAAAAUUCAAUUCUACCAAAAUCAUUCAUCCAUUAAUACCCACGUUGAAUAAAACUCAACAUCCUUUUUUUCUAUUCCUUUCAAUAAAAAAAUAUUAAUUUAAUAUAUAUAUAUAUAUAUAGAGAGAGAGAGAGAGAGAGAGCUUCUUAAGUGCAUAUACUUAACAUUAUAUGGUGUUAUAGCGAAUCUACACAUAAUCUGCAUUUAGUGCAUCCACAUUUGAGAAUUUCUAUAUAUCAAAGCUUUCAAAGGCAGAAGUUUAAAUAUGAAUUUUGUGCGGAUUCACUACAAAAUCAUAUGAUGUUAACAUGCUUUUACAAUUGACUAUAAUACCACAUGAUGUUAUAGAAAAUCCACACGAAAUCUUUAUUAUAUAAAGAGAGAGAUCUUGCUUUGCUUUAUAAUUGAAUAUAGGGCAGUGAUAUUCCCACCCCUCAAAUUUUGUAAACCUACCUCGCCUUAAAAAAUUAAAUCAUAAAAAAUUCACAUUAUUUUUAACGAUUUCAAAUUAUUAAGAAUAAAAUUAAGCAAUUGACUAAUUAAAUCCUCAUUAAAUAAUUAAAAUACAUUUAUGAUAUGAUAUUCCAAAACAUUUAUGCUAUUUUUCUCAUAAAAUUUAUUAAUUAUAAGAAGGAUCUGAUUGAUUAAUUGUUUAAAAUUUUAUUUAUUUUAAAUUAAAAAAGCGUGAAUUAUUUUUUAAAUAAUUCUUUGAAAUGAUUUAAAUGCGGCACGUGUCCCAUCAAGUUAAAACCUGAAGUUGAUUUAAAUUUUAUUUUAUUUUAUUUUGGAACAGAAACCAAGUAGCGAGGCCCCGUUCUUCAGGAAAUUCCGAGCUAAGUUAAUCAACAUUUCCACUAAUUAUUUUUAUUUUCUUCCAAAGUUAAUUUAAUUAGAUCAAUUUCUGGCUUCCUACUUAAAUUGCAUAUCCAAUUUGGGGGUUGAUUUUUGGAGAUGGAGAUAAACUGAAACAUUAAUUGAAAUCGAUUGAGAAAAAAAAAAUCGAUUGAGAUUGAAAGUUCUUUAUUACCCAACAUACAGAAUACAUAUGCAAUUAAUUCAAAUUUCUAAAAUUACUGUAAUUGUUGGCAAUGUGGGGUUUUUUUUUCGUUGGGGGGGGGGGUGUCUGAAAUUUGCAUGCAUGCCUUAAUUGAGUUUUAUCACUUUAAAUCCUAAUUACUAAUGUUUUUUCUGUUAAUGGUUGAAAAUAAGAUAAGAAGAGAGAAGGUGAACUUGAAGAAGUAUAAGAAGACAAGACAUGUGAUGAUGUUGAUGUGUUUAUGUGAAUAAAGACAUAAAAAUACAUGUAAUGAUGUUGAUGUGUUUUUUCUUUGUCCAAGUUUUUCCGUUGAUGUUCUAAAGUUUGCAUAUAUAUGUUUCAAGAAACAAAUGGAAAUUAAAUAGUACAUAAAGGUGAACUCACAUCGUCAACUAAAGGUUACACUACCAUUUGCCCAAUGGUUCCAUUUCUAUUAUCAUUUUCUUUAGUCACAGAAAUAUCAUCGGACUCAAAUUCAUCAGUAUAAGAAGAGGGACAAGGACAAGGACAGGGUGAGUCUAUUGUAUGACAACAGCAAGUCUACAAUUUAGUUUUAUUUCUGCUGCUGCACUGAGGAAUCACUAGCAUCAACCACCUACUUUAUUACCGUUGCUUCGUUUUUCUCUUGAAGACGGUUGACUUGAUGAAAUAACACUUCUAAUGAGGCUGCCUUAAAGAAAGCAUAUAUGUUAAUCACCUGUUGUAAUCUCAUGCCAAAAUCAUUUCAGUUCCUGCUCAUAAAAUUAGUUACUUCAACCUUUGUCAUAUGUAUUCUCCACUGCUUCAAGAUACUUAGAUAGUGAAUGUGUCUAAAUUCCAACUCAAAAGAUUCAUUUGAGAAAAAAUUCUUUAGAUGGUCAUGUAGAGUUCUAAUUUAUCUCCGUAUCAUACACAAAAUACUUGAAACCUACACAUCAAUGAUCAAUGUUCAUCUUUUAUUGACAAUCCCAAUUCUCAUAUGUGUUUGGAAAGAAAUUAGAUUCACAGGCAUUCUAGAAAUAUCUGGUGUAUUUCAAUGACAAUGAUGCCAAGUCAUGUCUCAUGGCGUCCAAAAAAAUAAAAAUGGUGAUGUAUGUGGAGGAAGAUCGUUAGCUCAAUUAAAACUACACCUCGAUCAUUUCUGGACUCAUCAACAAGAGGUAAUUUCUUACUUUGUGAACAAAUUUUGUGUCUUAUAAUUUUUUUCUGUAUUUAUAUACUUACAUGCUGUUUUGUAAUUAUAUAGCCACCAAAGCCUGGACAUGGAGAUGUGUGUUUUGUUAUGUUUAGUCCAUUUAUAAGAUCAUGUGUCAUGUGAUCUAUAAGUCUACUUAAUGGUUGCAAUCAAAUGAGUUCAUGUCCAGAUUGUGAAGUUAGUUAAUUUCAACAUAUAGCAAUGAUUGUAUCCAUUGCUUUUAUGACGUUGCUAUGUUAUUGCUUCUUUAAUAAGUGGCAGACAUGAUUUUCUAGUUUUCCACAGCUUAAAUUGUUAAAUAAUUGAUAAUGCUCUUGUGCUUACUCUGUUCUUUUCUUUUUAGAUAAGCUUUAUGGUCCCAGUGGAAUUGUUUUCACCCUUUCUUUAUUGACAGUGGAUGUAUAAAAAAAAUUGGUCUUGAUUGAUACUUGAUGAUGUUGUAGUUAUUUCUCCCUGCUUUAUUCUUUUUGCAACAUAUGUGUUGUGCCAAAUACCAGUAAAGAAAUGAUAAUGGCUCCCCAAGACUCACUCAAGAAUGGUUCUUGAGUCUAAAACUAAUCAAUCUGUACUCAGUUUAAAGGAUGUUGUAACAGCCCAGUCAAUAAAAACUAAUCAAUGAAAGGAUUAAAAGAAUCAGAAAGAACAAUACACAUAAAGCUUAUAGUGGUUCGGCUAUGGAAGCCUACGUCCACUGUGAAAAAAUGAAUCCAAGUUUUAUUGAAUUGAUUGUCUACAGAGAACAAGCUUUUACAGAGAAUAUAACAACUAACAACCACUGGCGUUAUUCCUGAGUAUCCAGCUAUAUAUACAAGCUCUUUCUCGAUCAAACACCAGCAAGUUUCCCCUAUGUUUAGUGACGAAGAGCAGCAGCUUCCCGCGCUAAUUAACGGCUUUACAGACUUCUGAUAAGCCUUCAUUACACGUGUCUUCAUCUCUAUUAUACUAAGUAACAAAACGACAGUUCAAGCAGCCGUUUUGGUUAAGUGAAUCAUGUGCAAAUCACAUGCCUUCUUUGUAUACACAGAUGACACGGUAUCCUUGUCAUAUAGCUAUCUCAGGAUUGUCAACCGACAUGUCAUGGUGUUGACAAAUCUUCAACCGACUUGUUGCACUUGACUAUAAACUGAUUUGCAGUUCAUAUUCAACAUUCUCCACAUUGAGCUCAAAUCAUCCAUUCCUCAGGUUCACCCUUCCACUUCUUUCCUUCAGUCUAUACCCUGCAGAUGCCAGCUGAGUUCAAGCAGAACUCAAACUUAGCUCCUGGUACAGCUUUGGUAAGCAUGUCAGCAAUGUUGGUAUCAGUGUGUGUUUUAGCCAGCUUAAUCACACCCUUUGAUAUUUCCAAUCUGACAAAGUGAAGCUUGAUAUCAAUAUGCUUGGUCUUUUCGUGGUGAAUCUGGUUCUUACUCAGACAUAUAGCACUUUGGCUGUCACAAUGAAUUGUGAUUUAUUUUUGUUCAAAUCCCAGUUCUGUUACCAUCCCUCUAAGCCAGAUGGCUUCUUUGAUUGCCUCUGCAGCUGCUGUGUAUUCUGCCUCAGUUGUUGAUAGAGCAACAAUACUCUGCAGUGAAGCCUUUCAGUUUAUGGUGCAGCCAUUAAGCAUGAACAGAAAGCCUGUUAAGGACCUUCUUUUAUCCAGAUCUCCAGCAUAAUCUGAAUCUACAUAACCCUCCACACUAACCUCUGUAUAUUUCUCAGCUCCAUAGAUCAAACCAUAACCAGUUGUACCAGCAAGGUAUCUUAAGAUCCACACAACAGCCCUCCAAUGAUCCUUCCCUGGGUUUGCCAUAUACCUGCUUACCACACUCACUGCAUUAGAGAGAUCAGGCCUAGUCAGGACCAUUGCGUACAUUAAACAUCCAACAGCACUUGAGUAUGGAAAUUUAUUCAUUUAAGCCUUCUCAGCAUCAGAGUUUGGACACUGUUGGCAGGACAGUCUGAAAUGAGAGGGCAGUGGUGUUUGUACUGGUUUACAUUUAUCCAUAUUGAGCUUCUCAAGUACUUUCCUAAUGUAUUUUUGCUGUGUUAGGCUUAGGAUACCAUUCUUCCUGUCUCUCUUUAGCUAAACUCCAAGGAUCUUCUUUGCAGCACCUAGAUCCUUCAUCUCAAAUGUAUUGCUCAGCUGCUGCUUCAGUUCAUUGAUGAACUCCAUCUCCUUACAAGCUAUUAACAUGUCGUCUACAUAGAGUAGCAGGUAGAUCUUAUCACCACCUUCUAUGGUUUUAAAGUAAACACAGCAGUCAAAACUGCUCCUUUGAAAACCAUGAUAUGACAUAAACCUGUCAAACCUUAGAUACCACAGUCUUGGAGAUUGUUUUAAUCCAUACAGUGACUUCCUUAAAUGACAUACAUGAUCAGCCUUUUCUGGAUCCUCAUACCCUUCAGGUUGUGACAUCACUAUCAUCUCAUCUAUUUCACCAUGCAGGAAGGCAGUCUUCACAUCCAUCUGUUCAAGAUGCAUGUCUUGUACAGCCACUAGAGAUAACAGGAUCCUCAGGGAAGCAUGUCUCACCACAGGGGAGAAAACUUCUGUAAAGUCAACACCCUCUUUCUGAGUGAAACCUUUUGCAACCAACCUGGCUUUGUAUCUUUGUGGCUCAACAUCUGGAAUUCCCUCCUUAAUCCUGUAAAUCCAUUUGCAUCCUACUAUCCUCUUGUUUGCUGGUCUUUCAAUGAGAUUCCAGGUGUGAUUCUUUUUUAAAGACAUCAUUUCCUCAUCCAUAGCCUUGAUCCAUUCUUCUGCCUUAUCACUGUUAAUAGCUUCUGAGUAUGGUCUAGGUUCAUUUGUUGCUAUUUCAUGUGCUGCUGUUAAUGCAAAUGCAAUUAGAUCUGCAUAUGCAUAUCUUCUAGGAGGUCUUAUCACUCUCUUUUCUCUGUCCCUCACUAACUGAUAAUCUUCACAUCUCUCUUGAUCACUUGUUGUUUCAUUCUCAGUGUCAUGUAUUUCCAUGUCUGUUAUGUCUCCAGCCUCUGAUCUUGAUUUCUGUUUCUGGUUUGAGUUUGACAGCUCCACUUCAAGAUAAGAUCUCUCAUCUUUAUCUUUCAGUUCUGCAUUUGUAGUUUUUAAGGAUACUGAUUGUUGGAGCAUCUCAGCUUCAUUAAAUACCACAUCUCUGCUUAUGAUUGCUUUUGGUGGCUUCAUGUCUGUGCACCAUAGUUUAUACCCUUUUACCCCUUCAGGGUAACCAAGAAAUACACACUUCAAUGCCCUGGGUUCUAAUUUGCCUUAUUUGAUGUGAGCAUAUGCUGGACAACCAAAGAUCUUCAAACUAGAGUAAUCUACUGGUUUACCAUACCAAAGUUCAUAUGGUGUCUUGAAGUUAAUUCCUGUAAAAGAGCUUCUGUUCGCAAUAUGACAAGCUGUUGACAGAGCCUCAGCCCACAAGGACAUAGGUAGCUUAGAGUGAAUGAGCAUACACCUCACUUUGUCAACUAAGGUUCUGUUCAUCCUCUCAGCUAAUCCAUUUUGCUGAGGUGCAUAUCUUACUGUUCUGUGCCUCAUGAUUCCAUGCUUGCUGCAAAAUUCUUCAAACUUCUUAUUGCAGAAUUCUAAUCCAUUAUCAGUUCUGAGCUUCUUAACCUUCCUAUUAGUCUGAGUUUCAAUUAGUGUUUUCCAGUUCUUGAAUUGUUCAAACACUUCAUCUUUGUUCUUCAGCACAUACACCCAAACCAUUCUAGAAUGGUCAUCAAUUAGAGAUAGAAAGUACCUUGCCCCUCCUAAGGAUGCUGUCUGUGUAGGUCCCCACAGAUCAGCAUGUACGUAUUCUAGAGUUCCUCUUGAAACAUGUGCACCAGUGCUGAAUUUGACUCUUGAGGAUUUACCUAGGACACACUCCUCACAAAAUUCCAAGGGCUCUAUUUUAUCUUCACCUAAGACUCCUGUUUUGAUAGUUCUCUCAAGCUUCUCUCACUCAUAUGGCCUAAUUUAAAGUGCCACAAUAAAGUUUUGUUUAGAUUCUGGUUUGAAACUCCAACAUCUCCUGUGACUACAGACCCCUAGAGCACAUACAGGCCAUUGUCUAAGUUUCCUUUCAUCAACACCAUAGACCCUUUCAACACCUUCAAAGUGCCUGACUCAAGCUUGAUAACACACCCCAUUUUGUCAAGCAUGCCAAGAGAAAUUAAGUUCCUCUUUAAAUCAGGGAUAUGUCUGACAUUUGGUAAUUCUCUUAUUGUGCCAUCAAGCAUUUUCAGUUUAAUGGUGCCCCUGCCAAUUACUCUACAACUAGCAUCAUUUCCCAUUACAACUAUCCCACCAUCAUAGGUUUCAUAGUUCUUAAAGAAAUUUCUAUUAGGGCACAUAUGGAAUGAACAACCAGAAUCUAAAACCCAGUUACCUCUAGAUGCACCAUCAGAGACUAUGAGAACUCCAGCAGAGUCAUAACCAUCAGAUUCUUGUCCUUCUGAUGCAACAGUAGCAUCUCUAGUCUUCUCUUUUGUUUCUUUGCUUUUAUAUUUCCUCUCUGGACAAUCCUUUUUGAAGUGGCCUUCCUUGUGGCAAUUAAAGCACUUCAUAUUCUUGGGUCUGGACUUGGAUCUUUUCUUCUUUCCUUGACCACCUUCUCUCUUUUAUGGUCUCCCUCUAACUGUUAAUCCUUCCCCAUGACUUGCUUCUUUCUUGGUUGCAGCCUUGGAGCUCAAUGUCUCUUUUACAUCCACCAUCGAAAGAGACUGUCUUCCAUACAUGAGAGUGUCAACUAGAUGCUCAUAAGAGCUUGGUAAAGAGCACAACAGAAUCAUGGCUUUAUCUUCAUCAUCAAUCUUUACAUUAAUGUCUUUAAGAUCCAAAAUGAUCUUGUUAAAGGCAUCAAUGUGAUCAGAGAUUGAUGAACCCCCUUCUAUCUGCAAUGUGUAAAGCUUCUUUUUAGUGGCUAACCUCUUAGCCAUGGACUUUUUGGCAUACAAGUCUUCAAGCUUCUUCCACAAUCCAGCAGCAGUUGUCUCUCCUCCCACUUCUCUAAGUACACCAUAUCCGAGGCUUAAGAUAAUUGCACUAUGUGCCCUAUCAAGCACAUCUGGAAGAUCAUCCUCUGAUAUCUUCCUUGGUUUCUUGGGUGAUGUGAUUUCGGCAAGGGCUUCAUCCAGGCCUUGAUGUACCAGUAGUGCUUUCAUCUUGAGUCUCCAUAGGUGAAAGUCAUUUUCACCAGUAAACUUUUCUAUUUCAAGUUUAGGACCAGUCAUCUUUAGAUCAAGAAUUUCAGAGAGAGGCUCUAAUACUAAUUUAUUGUGCCAAAUACUAGUAAAGAACUGAUAAUGGCUCCCCAAGACUCACUCAAGAAUGGUUCUUGAAUCUAAAACUAAUCAAUCUGUACUCAGUUUAAAGGAUGUUGUAACAGCCCAGUCAACAAAAACUAAUCAAUGAAAGGAUUAAAAGAAUCAGAAAGAACAAUACAUAAAAAGCUUAUAGUGGUUCGGCUAUGGAAGCCUACGUCCACCGUGAAAGAAUGAAUCCAAGUUUUAUUGAAUCGAUUGUCUACAGAGAACAAGCUUUUACAGAGAAUAUAACAACUAACAACCACUGACGUUAUUCCUGAGUAUCCAGCUAUAUAUACAAGCUCUAGCUCGAUCAAACACCAGCAAGUUUCCCCUGUGUUUAGUGAUGAAGAGCAGCAGCUUCCCGCGCUAAUUAACGGCUUAACAGACUUCUGAUAAGCCUUCAUUACACUUGUCUUCAUCUCUGUUAUACUAAGUAACAAAACGACAGUUCAAGCAGCUGUUUUGGUUAAGUGAAUCACGUGCAAACCACAUGCCUUCUUUGCAUACACAGAUGACACAGUAUCCUUGUCAUAUAGCUAUCUCAGGACUGUCAACUGACAUGUCAUGGUGUUGACAAAUCUUCAACCGACUUGUCGCACUUGACUAUAAAUUGAUUUGUAGUUCAUAUUUAACAAUAUGGAAGACUGAGUAUUGUAAGAUUCAUUUCCCGCACUGCUCUGCCUUGAUCUGUUCUAAUUUGAGAGUCAGCAAUCUUGAUUCAACUUCUUGGGUGGAGUACUAGCUAAGAGAAGGGAGGCAUGGGAGCCAGCACUAAUUUUUGAAUUGAAGAGAUAUGGGCAUCAACUUCAGACUAUUUUCAGAGAGGCUGAGAAGGGUGUUAGCUGGCGAAGAAGUCACAUUGCCUGAUGCUGCAAAAUAACCUAUUCAGAAUCUUUGUACCGAGGUUGAAAUCGUUACUUCUUGGCUGAGGGACUUUGAAUAUGAUAUGUCCUGGCUUCUGCUGCAAAAAAAUAGGAGAAGAUGAAAUUGACAACCCAGACCUUGGGACCAUUAAUUGCUUUACAUAUGAAUAUGAGAAGGUCAUUGACAUAUUCUCAACAGCAUCACCCAACAUAAGAGUCAAAGCAGGUGCAACAACUUCAGUACAUCGAUUCCGGAAUCAUUGAUGAUUUCAAAAGUAUUGAAGAUGAAGCCGAUUAUUUUCCUGCAUCAUCAUCUUCUAAGAAUAGGGGCACGGUGGGUCUAGAAGACAGAAUGGAGGAGUUGUUAGAUAUAUUAAGAGAGGGACCACCUCAGCUUUCAGUGGUGGCCAUCUUGAUAGCAUUGGGUUGGGCAAGGUGGCUUUCACUGCAGAGGCUUACAGCAGCAGUGAUGUGAAGCAUUAUUUUAAUUGUCACGCUUGGGUUCCAAAGCCUUACAGCUAUGAUGCUGAUGGUGACCAAAUAUUAGAUAUCAUUAUUAAGUUUCUAAUGCCUUCAUCUAGGUUGAGUGUAAUAAAGGAUAAAAAUUAUGAAAUGAAAAAAAAAAUUCUUCAUGAAUAUCUAAUGAUCAAGUGGUAUUUGAUUGUGAUUGAUGAUGUGUGGAGCAUUGAAGUGUGGGAUGUUAUUCGAGAAAUACUUCCGGAUAAUCAGAAUGGAAGUGGAGUACUAAUAACACUCACUGAAAUUCAUAUCGUCACCUCAUUUCAGUUAAAAAGUGGACAUAAUAUUUGGCUUGAUUUAGUGCCCACUAAAGGACCAUUGAGAGUUGUUUACCUUUUUGCUUGAAACUUUGUUUUCCUUACUUAUCUGUGUUUCCUGUACACCUAGAGACAUCCACCAAGCAGUUAUAUCAGUUGUGGAUAUCUGAAGGUUUCAUUCCAGACAAUAGCGAGGCAACUGCCGAGAAGUACUUGGAACCACUAAUGAAUAGAGUCUUUGUUGAUGCAAAGAAGAGAAGCGAUGGAGGCAGAAUCAACGCAUGCCCUAUUCGUAGUCGUUGAUGGGCUUCAUUAUUGCAAAUGGCUCUCAAAACGAAAUUUAUCUUUUCCCCUAUCCUGGAUCAAAAAGGUAAAUCACGAAAAAAUGUCAAACAUGUCUACGUUUUUUACAUUUUGCUUACUUAGAUGAUUGUGACUCGCACCUGCAUUCUUUGUUGCACUUCUAAAAGCGACCACCUUGACCCCAUAGAUUGGGUGAAAAUCGAUUGAGUAAUGGACUUGGGAUCUCUUGUUCUCAGCCAAUUUCCAUCCAAAAUUGAAACCUUAUUACUUUUGAUAUUUGAAGCUGAAUAUCCCUUCCCUCAAAAGCCUGGCUUCAUCACUAUUAAGAAAUCUCUGAAUCUGUACACCAUAGCCAUGCUAUUUAGCUACAUAAAUCAUACAACAGAUGAAUUUUGGAAGAUGAACAAACUCAGGCAUCUAAAGUUUGGCUCGAUCAUACUUCCUGAACAUCUAAGAAAAUAUUGCGGCUCUCUGGAAAAUCUCAAUUUCAUUACAGCCAUGUAUCCUUGCUGCUGUACUGAAGAUAUAUUGAACAGACCACCUAAUCCUCAAAAUCUCCAGAUAUGAUAUGAGGAGAUUUUUAUUUUUAUCAAUUUUUGAUGUCCCAAAGUCUUUGUAGAUUGAGAUGCCUCAAGUCAUUGAAGAUGGUGAAUGAAAGCAAGAUGCCAAGGCUCUCCAAAAUCGUCCUUGCCAAAUACCUACUUCCUCAAAGUCUAAUCCACUUGAGUUUCUCUAAUACUGAAAAAAUGGAUGAUCCCAUGCCUGCACUUGAACACUAGAAAAGUUGCCAGUUCUUCAAGUGCUCAAACUGAAGCAAAACUCAUAUUCAGGUCGAUAGCUGAUUUGUAGGUCUGAUGGUUUCCCAAAGCUCAAGAUAGUGCACCUGAAUUCAAUGCCAUGGCUAGAGGAGUGGACCAUGAGGCUUGGAGCCAGGCCAAAACUAGAAUGCUUGAUUCUCAAUUCUUGUGCUUACUGGAAAAAGAUUCCUGAACAGCUCUGGUGCAAAAAGAGCUUAAACAAAUUCGAGUGUUGGUGGCCUCAACCGGAGCUGAGACAAAAGCUACGGGACUUCGAGGAUAAGGCGCAGUAAGACAAUCAAGUAUAUCCUUAUGGAAUUUGAUUUGCAUGGAUUUAAUUAGAUGUAAGUUUUUCAUUUUAUGCAAUAUCAUAAACCUUUAAUUAUUAAUCUAAUUUCAUACAUAUGUUUUUUCUUUUCCUCAAUAUAUUUGAUAGUACGCAAAACAAAGAAACCCAACAAUGCCCUCCAUCAAUCCUAAGGACUCAUUAAUGAAAUACAAGUGUGCAACCUAAGAGGGGGGGUGAAUUGGAUUUUUAAAAUCUAUCCUAACAAAUCCACACAACAAGCAAUCUAAUGUCUUAACAAUAAUUGAAAACAAUAAGUUCAAUAAUAGCACAAUAAUUAAAGAGUAAGGGAGAAGAGAAACAAACACACGAAUUUUUACGUGGUUCGGCAAUCCCCGCCUACGUCCACGCCUACAAGCGAUCCAAGCUCGAGGAUUUCACUAUCCAAGCCUUUCCAAGGCUUCAACAAUUACAAUUGACUUCGAGGUGUCAAUAAACCUUUACAACAAAGAGAUUAUCUCCCAAUCUCUUCACUCAAGUGUCUCACACACUCAAAUUCUUACAAAUGAGAUGAACAAAUGAUGAUUACAAUGAAACUCACUCAAUGAGUAGAUAUACAAUGAUGAAGAACAAGAAAAGAUUCAAUGUUUGUAUUUCGCAAGUUUGAACACUCAAGAUAUCACGUGUGCCUUUUGUUUUUGCUUGUUGGAGAGCUUCAAAAUGAGUUGGAUUUGAGUUCUUAUAGCUUGAGCUCGAAAACUAGCCAUUACUCACAUUUUGGGCUAUCCGGUUUGCCGUUUAAUGGAAUCCGGUAAGCCGGAUUUAUGUUACCGUUAAGGCAAAAUUCAAAAUUUUGCCUAACCGGCUUGCCGGAUUCGAAAUCCGGUAAGCAGUUUUUGUUCUGGUGCUUACUGCCUGAAUUCGGCCUGCCGUUUAUCAGUAUCCGGUAAGCCACUUGCUACAGUAACCUGCUACAGUGAAAUUUUUCCCAUAUUUUCAGUUUGACCCCAAAACUUUAUAAAAACUGUAGUAUGGCCCAAAACGUUAUGAAAUUUUACAAAUAUGUCCAAUUUCAGAAUUUUUAAGUAAUACUUCGUUAAUCCCAAAACUUUUUGAAAUUAUGAUAUAGCCCAAACUUUGUGAAAUUAUAUAAUGACCCCAAAAACAUUUAAAUAAUUUCAAAUAAGUCCAAAUCCGAAAACUUUAAAAACAUUAUCAAAGCUUUUAAAAUACAUGUGGUUUGUUAUCAUCAAAAUCAAUAUUUAUAGCCAUAUAGGCUAACAAUGUCAUACAGGUUAUUAACUUUUUCUCAUUGUUAAGAUUAGUUGUUAAUAUUUUUUUGGUAAUUUUCUCAUUUUAAUGGCGUGGAUGGAUAUCUUUAGUAUUUUCUUUUACCUGUUGGGGCUGCCAGAACUCUGUUUUUUGAAAUUAACAUUUUGGAAUCUGUUUUACUUUCCCCGCCCCUAGAAUGUUCAAUUUUAAGGUGAUCUUUAAAAUUUUCGCAGAAGCAUGGUUAUACCAAUUUCUCUUCGAAAUGAUUGAGUUAAAUAUGACAUGGAGAAUCGCCAAUAUAGACAACUUAUUUUGAAACUUCUAGCAAAUUGAAAGUUUGGAAUUCAUUAGUGAAGUUCAUAAUGGUGAAAUGUUUGGUUUCAAUUGAUGGGAAUAGGCCCCAUGAACUGAUGUAGUGAUGGAUACUGAAUUGGGACAUGGUGUUUCUGGUUCAUGGAAUAUCUUGAAAGAAGUAUGAAAAGUGAUGCAAGACAACAAAAGAGACGUCUUCCUAAAAAAAUUGAAUGGCCUCGGCUUGAUUUCUAGGUGUGAUUCUUUUUUUUUCCUAUUUUAGGUAGAUAGCUCAUGGCUCAUUGAUGUGGUAAUGGAUUGGUUUGUUACCAAUAUUGGUAGUGUCGUUAAGGUGCACCAAAUUUAAAACCUUACCACUAAUAUAAAUAAUUAGUACAGAGCGAGUAAGGAUCGAUCCCACAGAGACUAUGCUAGUUAUAUUUAUUAUUAACUCCAAAGUAAGAUUUAAAAUAAAAUAAUAGUAAUAAUAAUAAUAAUAGUAAUAGUAAUAAUAAUAUAAAUUAAUCUAACUAAAGAAAAUGCCAAUUAAAAAUAAAAGGGGGAUUUAUGAAUUUUUAACUAAAUAGUAAGAAAUAAAGAAAUUAAAAUUACGAACAAGAAUUUAAUAAAAACUCUAAUUAAAGGAGAAAGAAAUAAUAAUGAUGAAAACUUUGGUUAAAGGAUCAUUCGCCACCACCAAACAUGCACAUAAUAUAUUAAUUCUAUCAUCAAUUUAUAUUGAAACUAUCAACUGUAGACAACAAUAAGCUCUGUUAGUCUCAAUUUUUCCUUAGUGUGUCGUUAGGCAAAAUAAGCUCUUCACCUAAUCUCUAACCAUUAAAUAAUUUAAAACAAGCUCUUUAAAUUUAAGAUAAUGGAAGCAUUAAACAAAGAAAGAUAUUAGGUUGAUUUAGGCAAUAAACACACAAGCUCGGAUUAUUUAACCUAGGUUAUGUUCUUCAAUUGAAAUCAUUGAUUCCAACCUACUACUAAUGAUUAAAAUAUCAAGACAAUUACGGAUCAAGAAUUUUAAUCUAGCAAUAAAAUUUAUUCAAGUCCUAUCUAAUUGGCCACUCAAACAAAACAAGAAUAAACCAUGAACAUUAAUUAUAGAAGAACAUAAACAAUCUCAAUUAAAUAAAUUGCUGAAGCUCAGUCUGCCUCACCAAAAGUGUCUGAACCUCAUCCAUAAGCUGCUGAAGAGUGACAUCUCCAGAGGUAGGAGGCCGUGGAGGUGAUGAAGCGGAUGCAGAUGCACUAGGAGCCGAAGCAACCGUAGAAGAAACUCGGCGUCUACGCUGCCCUCGAAAUGAUAGUGAGAAUAUUGGAAGCUGAUCAGCGGGAAUCACGGCAUUAAGUGGCCGAUCAUCACUUGGGGCUAGAAAGAUAAACUUGUUAUCGCUAUAUUUGACCCAAGUGUCAUUCUUCCACUCAAAGCCUAACCCAACAAUAACCUCAUCCCCAAUACCCUUGGAUGGCCUACAAGAAGGUUCUAGAAUCGGCACUUCAAAGAAUUUAAGAAUACGAGUAAUGAAGUGACCAUAGGGGAGAGAGCGGGUAAUCAAGGCUGGAAUGCUCAACAUGGUGCGAACAAUGGAAUAGCCCAAGUCAACCGGGCGACCUCUAAAAAUACAGUCAAUCAUGGCGACAUCCAUGUGAUACACCUCAUCCAAAUGUCCUGAUCUAGGAAGUACAAUAGACUGGAUGAUACGAAGCAAAAAACGAGUUUGAAGACAAAGACACUGAGUACGGAAAUGAAUGGUACAGUCUUCAACAGAGAGAUCAUUACGCCGACAAAUAUUACGAACGGCAUCAACAUGAACAUAAUCAUCAAUUUCAGGAGGUUUCCUAAGAGAAAAAAUGUCCAAGCCUUCAUCGGAAGAUCAUAGGAUGUUGUUCAAGUCCGAAUCAUCAAAUUCAAUCAAAACUCCUCCAACUUUGGUGAUUACUCGAUUCUCUUUCUCCGCGGAACAAUCCAUAUUCGAGUAAAAUACUUUCACCAAGUCGGGAUACACAUUCUCCUCAAUCAACAAUGCAUCAAUCCAACCAACAUCUCCCAACAAUUGAAAUAAAGUUCUAUGACUAAUCUGGAGAGAAUGUAAAACAUCCGGUAAAACAAAGAAAGUGUUGAGUACUUCACGAGUCCGAAAGUUUUGAUGAAACCUUUUGAUCAAGUGUUGCGUGUUCUGAAAGUGAAUGGACUCAAAGGUGGAUUGAUUGGAGGUGCCCCUUGCUUCCCGUGGCCGUGUGGAUGGUUGAACCGGUUCCUUGCCUUUUCUUCGAACCGGCCGAGAGCUUGACAUAUUGAUUUUGAUUGAUUUGAAGAUAAAAACACUAAAGAGAAUGAAGAAGAUGAAGAUUGGAGGUGAUUUGGUAAAACAAAAUUGAUCAAAAACGACUUGAGAGUGAGAAAUCUAGAGAGAGAAAAUUCGGCUCAAAACCUAGGUUGGAAUUGGGAUCUAAGGAUUUAGAUGUUGAAAACAGGUUUCAAGGAUGGUUUUGUGAUCUUAAUGAGAUGGGGAAUGAUUUUAUUGAUUCAAUUUGAUGUGAAAAUGGAAGAAAAAGAAGGAUGUUGGAGUGAGAAAGAGAGAAAAUGGAAACGAGUUUUAGAGAGAUGAAGAACCGGUAUGCCGAAUGCUUGAGGAAGAUGAAUAGUGCUUAAGAGAUCACGAAUCCGGUUUGCCGGAUUUUCUAACCGGUAGGCCGGUUGUGAACCCGAGAACAGCCAUCUUCAGCAAAUUUAAAAGGCACGAAUCCGGCUUGCCGGAUUUCCUAACCGGUAAGCCGGUUAGCAUGCAGAAAAGGAGAAAGCCGAAACCGGCUUUCCGAAAUUGAAAUCCGGUAAACCGGAUAUGGACCGAGAGAUGCAAGAGGCAAUUCGGCUUGCCGGUUUCCUUAACCGGCUGGCCGGUUUCGAGAGCCUCCAAAAAUAAUCGGUUUUCCGGAUGUCUUGAAGCGGAAAUCCGGUUUUGCUCCAGCAAAGCAUGCAUGCGAAUUCGGUUUUCCGGUUAUUGAUAACCGGUUGACCGGUUAUGAGGCAGUAAAUAUCCUUCCAAAUUCGGUUUUCCGGAUUGAAAAUCCGGUUUUCCGGAAUUUGUCCCGACAGGGAUCAAUAAGGAGAAAUAAUUUUCCGGAAGAAUGAAAAGGGAAUAUUUGCUAGCUCUUGUACUUGUAUUACACACCAUUUUAUUUCCGGCUUUAAAAAUUGAUUAAUUUUAAAUCAUUUCGAGAUUUAAAACUUUUCAAUAAGCCAUCUAAUGCAUGUAAUAUAAAAUCAUAAAAUCAUAAAUUUACAAGCACAUCAAGUUAUCUAAUUCAUGUAGCAUAAAACCAUAUGAUAACAAUCAUAUCAAGCCAUGAAUUAAAACAUGAAUUAAGAUUCAACAUUCAUCAUUCCAAGCUCAUGCCUAAUCUUUAUAAAAUGCUCUUCGCUAAGAGGUUUUGUAAAGAUAUCCGCAAGUUGAUUUUCAGUGGAAACAAAUUUAAUUACAACAUCCCCUUUUUGAACAUGAUCUCUAAGGAAAUGAUGUCUAAUCUCUAUAUGCUUAGUCCUAGAAUGUUGAAUGGGAUUCUUGGAAAGAUUUAUAGCACUAGUAUUGUCACAUAAGAUAGGAAUUUGAUCAAGUAUAAUGCCAUAGUCUCUAAGGGUUUGUUUCAUCCAAAGAAUUUGUGCACAACAACUACCUGCGGCAAUAUAUUCUGCCUCGGUGGUUGAAAGCGCAACUGAGUUUUGUUUCUUACUAAACCAAGAGACAAGAGAAUGACCUAGGAAGUGACAUGUUCCACUAGUACUUUUUCUAUCAACCUUAUACCCAGCAAAAUCAGCAUCCGAAUAACAAGUUAAAUCAAUGUGAGUUCCUCUAGGAUACCAAAGGCCAAGAUUAAUAGUACCAAUUAAAUACCGAAAAAUGCGUUUGACAGCAAGCAUGUGAGACUCUUUAGGACAAGAUUGAAAUCUAGCACACAAGCAAACACUAAACAUAAUAUCAGGCCUAUUAGCAGUCAAGUAGAGUAAGGAUCCGAUCAUACCUCGAUAAGUCUUGAUAUCAACUUCCUUACCUUUCUCAUAGGAGUGCUUGAUGGUAGUGCUCAUAGGAGUGCUUUUUGCCGUUCCAUUUUCAUAGCUAAAUCUUUUGAGUAGAUCUUUCACGUACUUGGCUUGGUUUAUGAAAAUUCCUUCCUCGUUUUGUUUGAUUUGAAGACCAAGGAAGUACUUCAACUCUCCCAUCAUACUCAUCUCAAACUCUUGGCUCAUACAUGAUGAAAAAUCUUUACACAACAACUCAUUAGUAGAACCAAAAAUAAUAUCAUCAACAUAUAUUUGAACAAUAAGUAUGUCUUGGUUCUUAUGCUUAACAAAAAGAGUUGUGUCCGCUUUUCCCAUUGGAAAAUCGUUAUCCAACAAGAAAUUUUUAAGCCUAUCAUACCAAGCUCUAGGUGCUUGUUUUAAACCAUACAAAGCCUUGGAUAACUUAUACACAUGAUCUGGAAACUUUUCAUUUUCAAAACCAGGAGGUUGUUUCACAUAAACUUCCUCCAUAAUGUAUCCAUUUAAGAAAGCACUCUUGAUAUCCAUUUGAUACAAAAUAAAAUUCUUAUGACAUGCAUAUGCUAACAACAUCCUGAUGGAUUCUAAUCUUGCUACAGGUGCAAAAGUUUCAUCAAAAUCAAUUCUUUCUUCUUGGUUGUAACCUUGAGCCACUAAUCUAGCUUUAUCUCUUACAACCACACCAGAUUCAUCCAUUUUGUUUCUAAAUACCCAUUUAGUACCUAUAAUGGAUUGAUGUUCCGGAUUAGGAACUAACUCCCACACAUUAUUUCUCUCAAAUUGAUUCAACUCCUCUUGCAUUGCCAUAAUCCAAGAUUCAUCAUUUUCCACAUCCGCAAAGGAUUUUAGUUCAAUUUGAGAAAUAAAUGCAGCAUGCUCACAUGUGUUUCUAAGAGAUGAUCUAGUGGUAACACCUCGUGAGGGAUCUCCUAAAAUUACAUCCUUAGGAUGAGAGGACACAUACCUCCACUCCUUGGGGAGUGUUUGUGAAGUACCUUCAUUUUGCUCUGCAUUUGUUUCUUCAUGAUGUUCCUCUUGAAUUCCAGGUGGUGUGUUUUCUUGGUUGCGAUUUGAUGCUUCUUCUUGUUGUUCUUCUUCUGCAUUAUCAUCAACAACAACUUUCUCCGUAGAGGAGGGGUUAGACUCAUCAAAUGUAACAUGCAUAGAUUCUUCCACAACUAAAGUUCUUUUAUUAUAAACUCUAUAAGCUUUGCUUGAAUUUGAAUAACCAAGAAAGAUACCAACAUCAGAUUUUGGAUCAAAUUUACCAAGAUUAUCUUUUGUGUUUAAAACAAAACAUUUGCAUCCAAAAACUUUAAAAUAACCAAUGUUGGGUUUUCUAUCUUUCCAAAGCUCAUAUGGAGUUUUAUUGAGAUUAGGUCUAAUCAACACCCGAUUUAAAACAUAACAAGCGGUGUUGACGGCUUCGGCCCAAAAAUACUUAGGCAAAGAAUUUUCAUUCAAAUGGUCCUAGCCAUUUCUUGAAUAGACCUAUUCUUUCUCUCUACUACUCCAUUUUGUUGUGGAGUCAUAGGUGAUGAAAAUUGAUGUUCAAUGCCAAGGUCAUUACAGAAAUUUUCAAAUGCAUGAUUUUCAAAUUCUCCACCAUGAUCACUUUUAAUACAAGUGAUGGAGUAACCUUUUUCAUUUUGAACCUUUUUACAGAAAAUUCGAAAUGCAUCAAUGGCAUCAUCCUUAUUAGCUAAGAACAAUACCCAUGUGUAUCUCGAAUAAUCAUCCACAAUUACAAAUGCAUAAAACUUGCCACUUAAACUAGCAUAUCUAGAAGGACCAAAUAAAUCUAUAUGAAGCAAUUGAAGUGGAAACAUGAUUUUUACUUUUGAAUGAAGUUUUGAUUUGUUUUCCAAAUUGGCAUGCUUCACAAGUUCUAUCUUUUUGAAAAUUGAUUUUUGGAAGACCUUUUACUAAAUCAUUUUUCACGAUUUUUGAAAUCAAAUCCAUGCUUGCAUGACCUAAUCUUCUAUGCCAUAACCAACCAUCAUCAUGCAAUGCGGAAAGACAUUUCUCAUUUGUUGAUGCACAAUCUAUAUUAAUGGUAUAGACAUUAACACAUCUAUUUCCUACAAACAAGACUUUCCCAUCACAUGCAUUCUCAAUAACACACUUUGAUUCAUCAAAGAUAACUCUAUAUCCUUUAUCACAUAAUUGACUAAUACUAAGCAAAUUGUGUUUCAAGUUUUCAACCAAACACACAUUUUCAAUGAGAGUAGAGGAUACAUUACCGACAUUUCCAAUCCCAAUGAUUUUUCCUUUUGAAUUAUCCCCAAAUGAAACAUCUCCACCAUUUUCGAUCUUGGUAAAGCUUGAAAACCAAGAAUAAUUCCCUGUCAUGUGUCUUGAACAGCCACUGUCCAAGUACCACUUAUUCUUCUUCUUCUUUGAGCCCUGUGGAGAAAAUCUCAAGCUUUAGGUACCCAAACCUUUUUGGGUCCUUGAGAGUUAGCAAUGGUUCCUUUCGGAACCCAAACACAUUUCAUACCAUAAUAUGCAUUUCUCUUCACCGCACAUCUAUUUUUCAUAUGGCCAUCUUGAUUGCAAUAAUGACAUACAAUUUUAUUGUUAAUAGAUGUAUUCUUCACAAAAUAACUCUUGUAAAAUUUUUGUUUCAAAUUCGGUUUAUAACCUAUGCCACUUUUGUCAAAUACACAUUUUUGUGAGUUUAGCAAAUUGUCCAACAUCUUUUGCCCAUUUGUAAAUUUUAGCACAAUUUCAUUUAAUUCAUUACUCUUCUUUCUAAGCAUUUCAUUCUCAUUUUUCAAGUCAUUCAUGUGUGACUCUAAGUGCUCAUGUGAAGUGCUAGAGUUCUCAAAUAAUGCAAUACUAUCAUGUAAUGUUUUGUUUUCUAAUUCUAGGCAUGUAAUCUUUGCACUAAAUGAAUCAUUUUCAUUCUUAAGCUCUAUCAUCUUCUUUUUAAGACUUAUAUUCUUUUUACAAAUCUUCAUUAGCUCAUCAUGCAAAUCAUUAAAAGUAUCAUGCAGUUCAUCAUAUGUAGGAGGAACACUUACCUCAUCAAGUUCAUCACAUGAUUCUUCCCCAAUGGCCAUGAGAGCUAAGUUUGUCAUUUCUUGUUGCUCAUCAUCGUCACUUGUUUCCUCAUCACUAUCAUCCCAUGUGGCCACCAUAGCCUUCUUCUUGAAUUUGUUGAGAAGAGGACAUUUCGGUCGUAUGUGUCCGGGCUUCUUGCAUUCAUAACAAGUGAUUGGCUCCUUCUUCUCCUUCUUAUUCUUGUAGCCUCUGAACUUUCUCUGCUCAUUAUUCUUCUUAUAAAAUUUUCUGAAUCUUCUAGCUAACAUAGCCAGCUCCUCAUCAUCCAUUUCGCUUUCCUCAUCACUCUCACGUUUUGAAGCCUUGAGAGCAAUGUUCUUCUUCUUUUCCUCAUGCCCUUUUUCAGCUGCCAAAUCUUCUUCAUAUGAAAUAAGAGAGCCAAUUAAAUCAUCAAUAGGUAACACAUUUAAAUCCUUGGCUUCCUCAAUGGUAGUCCUUUUUGGUCUCCAUUCCUUAGGUAGAGACCUAAUGAUUUUCUUGACUUUUUCGCUAUUUGAAAAAGUCUUUCCUAGGGCUCCUAGAGUGUUCACUAUGUCCGUGAAUCUAGUAUACAUAGAGUACACAUUUUCAUUUUGUUCCAUUUAGAACAAUUCAUAUUGUCGAGUGUACCUACUUAUUUUAUAUUCUUUCACUUGGUUCGUGCCUUCAUAGACAACCUCAAGUUUGUGCCAAAUCUCAUUAGCACUUUCGCAACUAGACACUCUAUGAAACUCUUUCUUAUCUAGUGCACAAAAUAAGGCAUUCAUGGCCUUGGAAUUUAGAGAAGCUUUUCUCUUUUCGAAUUCAUUCCAAUCCCGUGAAGGUUUUGGAAUAUCUUCUCCGACUUCAUUUUUAGUCAAAGGCAUGAAAGGACCAUCAUUAACGAUUUCCCAAAUCUCAUAAUCUAAGGCUUGCAAGUAAAUUCUCAUCCUAGUUUUCCAAUAUGGGUAAUCGUUUCCAUCAAAGUAAGGUGGUCUAGUGGUGGACUGCCCUUCCCUAAAUGUGGAAUCAUUUUGAGUUGCCAUUGAUCUUUAGUUCUAGAUGGUUAAAUCUAAAUAAGAGCACCUUGCUCUGAUACCAAUUGAAAUACAAGUGUGCAACCCAAGAGGGGGGUGAAUUGGAUUUUUAAAAUCUAUCCUAACAAAUCCACACAACAAGCAAUCUAAUGUCUUAACAAUAAUUGAAAACAAUAAGUUCAAUAAUAGCACAAUAAUUAAAGAGUAAGGGAGAAGAGAAACAAACACACGGAUUUUUACGUGGUUCGGCAAUCCCCGCCUACGUCCACGCCUCCAAGCGAUCCAAGCUCGAGGAUUUCACUAUCCAAGCCUUUCCAAGGCUUCAACAAUUACAAUUGACUUCGAGGUGUCAAUAAACCUUUACAACAAAGAGAUUAUCUCCCAAUCUCUUCACUCAAGUGUCUCACACACUCAAAUUCUUACAAAUGAGAUGAACAAAUGAUGAUUACAAUGAAACUCACUCAAUGAGUAGAUAUACAAUGAUGAAGAACAAGAAAAGAUUCAAUGUUUGUAUUUCGCAAGUUUGAACACUCAAGAUAUCACGUGUGCCUUUUGUUUUUGCUUGUUGGAGAGCUUCAAAAUGAGUUGGAUUUGAGUUCUUAUAGCUUGAGCUCGAAAACUAGCCGUUACUCACAUUUUGGGCUAUCCGGUUUGCCGUUUAAUGAAAUCCGGUAAGCCGGAUUUAUGUUACCGUUAAGGCAAAAUUCAAAAUUUUGCCUAACCGGCUUGCCGGAUUCGAAAUCCGGUAAGCCGUUUUCGUUCUGGUGCUUACUGCCCGAAUUCGGCCUGCCGUUUAUCAGUAUCCGGUAAGCCGCUUGCUACAGUAACCUGCUACAGUGAAAUUUUUCCCAUAUUUUUAGUUUGACCCCAAAACUUUAUAAAAACUGUAGUAUGGCCCAAAACGUUAUGAAACUUUGCAAAUAGGUCCAAUUUCAGAAUUUUUAAGUAAUGCUUCGUUAAUCCCAAAACUUCAUGAAAUUAUGACUUUGCCCAAACUUUGUGAAAUUAUAUAAUGACCCCAAAAACAUUUAAAUAAUUUCAAAUAAGUCCAAAUCUGAAAACUUUGAAAACAUUAUCAAAGCUUUUAAAAUACAUGUGGUUUGUUAUCAUCAAAAUCAAUAUUUAUAGCCAUAUAGGCUAACAAUUAAUGUGUAGACAACAGAAGUGAAUACUGAAAGGAUCAAGGCUGGAUUCUGGUUGAAAUUGAAACUUUUGCUGCACUACAGUUGACAAAUUUCCCGCCCUGAUUUCACCUGCGCAAGUAAUUUAAGAUCUGAAAUUAUAGUUUUUCCUCACUGUUCAACGAUCAAUACACAAGGGUUCUGAAAUUAUAGUUUUUCCUGACUGUUCAACAAUCAAUACACAAGGGAAAAUGGUCGGGGUCAGCAUCAGGAUCUGUGAUGAACACUUCAUCUCUAAUGUUGAGACAAAAAUUAGAAGCAACCACAAUUAGAAAACACUUUAUAGCAUUAGGAAGCAAGGAUCGGCUACAAGCAAUAGUGUCAAGUUUUUGGAUUCACUGUGUAUAUUCUAUUCGUGUGUCUUCAUUCUCGUAAUGUGCUUGAAACUCCAGCUCAGUGUGGACGUGUGUGGUUUGGUCGUACCAUGUGUAAUACAUGUUAAUGGUCAUAAUUAUCUUAAGGGAAUUCUGCAUCACUUCCAUUAGAAGAGAAGUUUGGAUGUAGGCAUCAUCGCUGCUGAAUCUACUGUUGAUUUGCUCUAUGUUUUCUAUAUUUUUUUAUUUCAAUUUCGGGGAUUGGGUUUCUAGCAUUGAUUGUUGAUACAUUAGAGGACUAAAUACAAGAAAUAGAAACUGGGGAAUAUUGCCUAAUCUUCAGAAUCUCCAAUUUUAUGGAGAUUUAAGCCCUUAUCAUUCAUAAAUAAAUUGAAUGCUGGAUUGUUAUUAUCUUAGAUUCUCUAAAUAAUAAUCCGAAUAAUAAUUAUAAAUGCUUGUUUUGAACAAAUACUACCUAUUAUUUUAAACUUUGGACUUAGAAAUUAUAAAUAGUAUUAGCAUGUGAAUUUUAAGGAAUUAGCUGAUUCUGUCCAAUUUUAAAGGUUGAUGCCUCAUGCUCACCUUAUAGUCAUUGGUUUUUGCUGAACAAAUGAAUGUGUAUCAUUUUUUUUCUUUUAUUUUCUGUUAUACUUUGAUUCCCCUGCUUCUAGCUGAUUAUGUUCUCCUUUAUAACGAGAAAGAAGUUAUUUUUUGUGCUCUUAUAUAUACAUGUUAAGCUUGGAUAUGUGUGGUUUGGUUUGUUUUAAUAAUAUGAUUGUGUGGUGUCAUCUGCAAUACUUUUUAAGGAUGCAAUCAAAUGAGUUUAUACCUUACAGUGAAUUUGGUUAAUUUCAAGAUAUCAUUUGUUGGGAUCUUCGGCUUUGGUUGCUAAUACAAAAUUCCUCAAAUCUCGAUUGGAAUUUGGGAAUCCGUCCUAAAUGAUACAAGAUUUGAUAAAAAUUUCUCAUUCUGAUUUAUUAUUCGAGUUGAGAUUCAAGAUCUAAUUUUCUUCCAACUUAAUAUUCAAGACGGGAUUUGAGAUGUCUGAAAAUCUCAUUUGAGAUCCCUUAGGCAAUCAAAUGAGUUCAUUUCCUUAUAAUGAAUAUGGUUAAUUUCAAGAUACCCUUUUUUGGAAUCUUCCGCUCUAACUGCUAAUACGUGAACGUAGGCUGGCAAAAUUAUCCAGAUACUAAUCGAGAUAGAAACCCUAUACAAGAUUUGUUACAAAUUUCUUAUCCCAAUUUUGAAUGUGGGUUAGGAUUUGAGACCCAUUUUAUACCGAUUCAUAAAUUUUUUUAUUUAGACAGUAACUGAUGACAUAUUAUUAGUUCAAAGCUCACGGAGUAAAGGUUGAAUUAUUGGUGCAAUCAUCCGUAAUUUUCUGCAAGCAUGCAACAUAUUAAGCAAGAGAAUAUUUAAUUAUUUUUUGGGUUCUGUUAUUAACAAUAAUGAUUUUGAAGAUAUUAGUGGGAGAAAAAUGGUUUUUUAAAAUCAUUUUCAAUCUUGAGAAAAAGUUUUCUUGCUGGCGUACACUGUCCUUCAUCUAUAUUCCAGUCUUCCAUUAUGUUAAAAAAAACAAAUAUGAAAAUAAAAAGAAAAUAGGACAUCAUCAAGUAUCAAUCAAAGAUCAAUUUGUUUUAUCCACUUUCAGGAAAGAAAAGGUAAAAACAAUCCCACUGGAGACCAUAAAGUUUAUCUCAAAAGAAAAAGCACUACAAUAGUCGAACACAAAGAAGAGUAAUAAUGAGAAAGGAGUUAAUUAUAAAUUAAAGAAUUGGUGUUUUUUUUUAAGGGUUCGGCAUCAUGUUUGCCUUCAUUUAGCAAAGGAUAUAUGAAAAAGAGAUGAAUAUUGCACUUUAGAUUUGAAUAAUUCCGAUUGGAUUUUGAAUUGUUUGGAUUAGGAAAAAAAAAUCAUUCGAAUCCAACCUGAAUCUCAAAUACAAUCAAUUCGAUUAAAAAUAAAUCGAUAUUUCAGAUGAAUUUGGUUUUAGAUUGUUCCGUAUUUAAAUGAUAUUUUAAAUUCAAAUGAUAUUUUAAAUUUGGAUUGAAUUCAGAUUUAGGUCUUUUUGACCAUUUUUACAAAAAAUCCAUGAAUUCUAUAUAUAUACAUACAUAUAUAUAUAUAUAUAGAUACAAUUGGAUUGUUUAGAUUAAAACAUCCAAAUUCAAAUCAGAUCUAUUCAAAUCCAAUCCAAUGCACACCUUUAGCCCUAUUGGAAUGAUCAUCUAACCAUUCAAAUUUCAAACUAUAACGUAUUCUGUUGUAGUUUGUAGAGCGCUUGAAAAGAAAAUCUCUAAACAAUAGCGACUAUUAUGCAUUUGAUGCAUCAAUGAAUCAGAUUCUAAGGUGAUGCUUUUUCUCUCUAAACAAGCUUUAUGGUCCUAGCGGAAUUAUUUUUAAUCUUUCAGUCUUUUGAGAGGGCCAAAAAGAAACUAGUCUUGAUAGCAUAUUUUACUUUCUUCAUACAUAUAUAUAUAUAUAAAACACAAAUUAUAAGACACCCUUUUAUCUUCUUGCAUAAAGAAUAUUUUAUAUACACGUACAUUAUACCUCAGGUUUUGUGCAGAAAAUCAUUAUUGUACAUCAAUAAUUUCUCAAUAUAAUUCCUCUUAUCAAUCAGUAUCCCCACGAUACCUGCAGCAUCUAGGUUUAAGAUUCAUUUUCCAGUACUGCUCUGCCUUGAUCUGUUCUACUUUGACAGCCACUUGAACUUGAUUCAACUUCUUGAGAGAAGGAGGUAUUGGUGCCAUCCUUAGUUGAUUAUGUUGACUAAUGUUGAAGUAAAAGGAGAGCUUUUAACCAUUUUUUUUAUAAUUAUUUUCUUUGCAUGCUAGGGCUGCUGGCUACUGACUACCGAGAGUGAAGGAGAUAUGGACAUCAACCUUGGACUAUUUUUAGAGAGACUGAGAAGGGUGCUAGCUGGUGAAGAAUUCACGGUGCCCGAUACCGCUGAACAACCUAUUCAGAACCUUUACACUGAGACCGAAAUCGUUGCUUCUUGGCUGAGGGACUCUGGAUACAACACUGCUUGGUUUAUGUAGCAAGUCAAUGCAGAAGACGGUCAAACUCUUGCAGAAUUAGAAGAUUUUAAGGCUAUCAUUGACAAAAUUCGUUGCUUUUCAUACGUAUAUGAGAAUGUGAUUGACACAUUUGCUAUCAGCAUCACUCAACAGAAGAGUCAAAGCGGAUGCAGCAAGGACAUUUGUGAUGCUCUGCUAGGACUCCAAAGCAAAAUCAUUGAUAUAAAACAACGGAUGCAGCAAGUUCAGCACAUCCACUCUGGAAUCGUUGAUGAGCUCAAAUCGAUUGAAGCAAAAGCCAGUAAUUUUCCUGCAUCCUCAUCUUUUAAGAAUAGGGACACGAUGGGUCUAGAUAAUAGAAUGGAGGAGUUAUUAGAUCUACUGAUAGAGGGACCGCCUCAACUUUCAGCAGUGGCCGUACUUGAUAGCAUUGGAUUGGACCAGACGGCUUUCGCUGCAGAGGCUUACAGAAGCAACUAUGUGAAGCAUUAUUUUGAUUGUCACGCUUGGGUUCAAGAGUCUUUACCAUAUGAUGCUGACCAAAUAUUAUACGACAUUAUUAAGUUUGUGAUGCCUUCACGUAGGUUGAGUGAAAUUAUGGAAGAAAGUUCGGAAAUGAAAAAAAUUAUUCUUCAUGAAUAUCUAAUGACCAAGCGUUAUUUGAUUGUGCUUGAUAAUGUGUGGAGAAUAUCAGUAUAGGAUGUUAUUCGAGAAAUACUUCCCGAUAAUAAGAAUGGAAGUAGAGUAUUGAUAACACUCAGUCGAAUUGAGAUCGUCGCCUCAUUUCAGUUCGAAAAUGGAGAGAACAUUGGGCUUGAUUUUGUGCCCAUUGGAGGACUAUUGAGAGUUACAUACCAAGGAUGGCCUUUCCACAUCUUAUAUCAUGGAAUCAUCUCACUGAACGAAAAUAUAGAGGAAGCACUUGAUGAACCCCGAGGGCUUCAACUCGUUGCAUAUUGUAUGUUACCUUUUUACUUGAAACUUUGUUGUCUCUACUUAUCUGUGUUUCCCAUACAUUUUGAGAUAUGCACCAAGCAAUUAUAUCAGUUGUGGAUAGCUGAAGGUUUCAUUCCAAACAACAACAAGGCAAUUGCUAAGAAGUACUUGGAACAACUAAUCAAUGGAGGCUUUGUUGAUGCAGAGAAGAGAAGUGAUAUAGGCAGAAUCAACACAUGCUCUAUUCUCGGGCGUUACAGCCCUGCGUUGUUGACUGUGGCUUUCGAGGGGGAAUUUAUCAUUUCCCCAAUCAUGGUUCAGGAAGUUAUAUUACGGGAAAAUGUGAAACGCUUCACCGCUCACGAAAAAUUGAAUGAUUUUGCAUUUUUAGAUGAUUUUGACUCGUUCCUCCAUUCUUUGUUGUACCUCACUUCAGGAAGCCAAUACCUUGACCCCAAUUAUUGCGAGAAAAUCUGUAAAAUGUUCAAAUUUCUCAGAGUAUUGGACUUGGGAUCUCUUGUUCUCAUUCGAUAUCUUUCCGGAAUCCAAAAUUUAUUUCUUUUGAGAUAUCUGAAGUUGAAUAUCCCUUCCCUCAAAACCCUAGCUUCGUCGUUAUUUAGCAGUUUAUUGAACCUGUACACCGUAGAAAUGCCCUUUAGCUGCAAAGAUCAUACAACAGAUGAAUUUUGGAAGAUGAGCAAACUGAGGUAUCUAAAUUUUGGCUCAAUCAUACUUCCUGCACAUCCAGGAAAAUAUUGCGGCUCUCUGGAAAAUCUCAAUUUCAUUUCAGCCUUGCAUCCUUGCCGCUAUACUGAGGAUUUAUUGGGCUGACUACCUAAUCUUUGAAAUCUCCAGAUAUGGGGAGACUUAAGUUAUUAUCAAUCUUUGUUGUCCAAAAGUCUCUGUAGAUUGAGCUGCCUCGAGUCAUUGAAGUUGGCGAAUGAAAGCAAGAUGCCACGAUGAUCCAAUAUUAUCCUUGCUGAAUACCAAUUUCCUCCAAUUUUAACCCACUUGAGUUUUUUGAAUAUUGAGCUAAUGGAUGAUCCCAUGCCCGCACUAGAAAAGCUGCCGGUUCUUCAGGUGCUCAAACUGAAGCAAAACGCGUAUUCAGGUAGAAAGCUAGCUUGUAGCCCUGAUGGCUUUCCAAAACUCAAGGUACUGCACCUUAAAUCAAUGCUAUGGCUAGAGGAAUAGACUAUGGGGAUUAGAGCCAUGUCGAAACUAGAAUGCUUGACAUCAACCCUUGUGCUCACUUAAAAAGGAUUCCUGAACAGCUCUGGUGCCUAAACAACUUUAACAAAUUAGAGUUAUGGUGGCCUGAGCCGGAGCUGAGACAAUAGCUACGGGAAUUUAAGGAUAAGGAGCAGUAUGGCAUUCAACUAUAUCCAUAUGGAAUUUGAUUAGCAUGGAUCGACUUUGAUGAAGUUUUUUUCUUUUCUAUCCAAUAACUUCAACCUCUAAUUAUUUAUCUAAUUUCAUGUAAACAUCUAUUUUCUAUGAUUGAUUCGAUAGUACGCAGUUGCCUAAAUAAUAAUUAUACCAUUAAGUGUUUUUUACAUUCUAAUUGUGGUUGCUUCUAAUUUUUGUCUCAACAAACACUUGGAAGUGUCCAUCACAUUUCCUAAUAUUGACACUAAUCAUUAAUCCCUCAUUUAUAGAAGAGGAAGAACCCGUAUGUAUUGGUUGUUGAAAUAAUCAAGAAAAACUGUAAAAUAAGAUCUUCAUUACUUGUAUGUGCAGGUCAAAGCAGAGCGGAAAAUAUCUCAGCAGCCAAAGUUUCAAUUUCAAUAAGAAUCCCGCUGUUUGGGGGAUAUACUUCGACAAGACCAGCCAUGAUGAGCAGAUAUCUGGUAGCAGGAUUCCACAAACAGGAAUAUUCUGUAGAAGUCUGGUAGCAGGUGAACACGAACAGGAAUAUUCUGCUCGUUCACAAAUGCACCAUCCACGGGGCCACAGCGGGAGCCAGCCUCCUACUAGUAGCAUAAGGCCAUUCCUGUUAGAGGUUGAGGUGGAGAGACUCGGUCAAUGACGGUUGCUAAGACGUGCACUCCUGCCCGAGAAUCAAGGCACGAAGUCCACUCAGCCACAACUACGAUAAUGAAGCAUCCACUUCCAAGAGUUGAGGGAGGUGAUAGACUUGGAUUGUAGGAAGGCCCGGAUUCAAAGGAAGGCUAUAAAAAGGUAACCAACGAAGGUAAACAGGUUAGACUUUUUGAGAUUAGAAUUGAGAAAAAGAGCUUUCUAUUGAGAGAUUAUAAAAAAGCCAUAAUAUUAGUGGCCGUGUUUCCCAGAAAGACAAAACCUACGUUUCUGACUUGAGCGUCGGAGGGUUUACGCUGGAAAAACACCCGGCGUGCUCUAACCUGUCUCUGUGUACACAUGAGUCUGCGGAGAGGAAGUCUUACGAGGAGAGAUUCUGGUCGUGGACGAGCAGAAAACCAGAAUCUCGCAUCAACAUUUUGGCGCCGUCUGUGGGGAGCUGAGCAAAAAGCUUAUGUUAAUAGAGAGAAGAAGAGGAAAGGAAGUGAGGGAACAAUCGAUGUAAGAGGAAGUAGUGUACAAGGAGGUGACUUGAGGUUUAACGAGUUCGUGAUGCUAAAAGAGAUAGCCAAUGAAGCACGGGAAAAAGUAAUGUAUGAGCGGAUGGAACGGAUGGAGAAACAGAUGGAGACCCUGACAACCAUCCUACACCAGCUGAGAAGUGAACGAAGGGGAGUUCAAGAGGAGGGGGUGAGAAGUGGCAGAAUGAUACCAGGGCACGAUAAUAUGAUGAGGUCGGACCACCAGAAGAUUUGGUGGUGAGGAAAUCCUUCGGGAAUUCAUCAAAAGGUUCCAUCGCGCUAUCCUCGAUUUGAGAGCCUUUAACCAUCCUCAGGCAUUAAGGGGAUUGAAAGAAGGGGUGAAGAUAGGACGGUUGUGGUACAAUUUGAGGAGUCCAACUAUUCAGACAUAUUCAGCCGCUUAUGAGCAGGCCAAGAAGGACAUUGAGAUUGAAGAGGAAAAGACAGCACGAAUUAAGACAGACCAGCUAGAAGGGUUGAGGAGGAAAAAGAAGAGAGCCCUACCAGGAAAUAAGGUCGAUUAAGAGGAAGGACCACCAUGCCUCAAGUAGUGGUGCAGGACGCCGGGUCACCUCUUACCAGCCUCAUCAGAGGCCACCCCAAUUUCAACGCAGCAGGGCGCAACCUCUUCGUUUACCAGCCAGGGAUUUAUGGAGAAAGCAUGACCCGACAUAUAGUCAUCCUUAUCCACACCCACACGGUGGUAGAUGAAGCAGACCAGAAGCAUCGUUACCCCCUCCAGUUCAGAACGGCACCAACAGGGAAAGGGCGGUACACAUGAUCGACUAGAGCCAAGAUUAUGGGCGAUAUACUUCCUUGAAGAUGCCCCUGGACGAGGUGUAUGAGGCCAUAAAGGAACGAGGAUUACUGUACCUCUCUACCCCAAUAACAAAGUUACCCAGCAGGAGAGAUAGGGGACGCUAUUGCAUGUUCCAUGGCACCCACGGUCAUACCACAGCUGAAUACAGAGAUCUCAAAACUCAGGUUGAAGAUUUGGUGAGAAAUCGAUACCUGGACGAGUUUGUAGAUGGGAUCUUCCCGAUGGUGGCCUCGUCAUGUGAAUGAGAGCAGAGUGAUAGGAACAUGAGCCACGAGCAGCCUAUAGUAAGAGUAAUUGCUGAGGGCCCAACAUUGGCGGGAGAUUCCAACAGAUUGAGGAAGAACUACGCUAGAUAUGCCAUGACUAGCAAAGAAGUGUUCUUCAACACCCCAGAAGUUCCGAUCAUGUGGACAUAUGAGGAUAAAGAAGGGAUUCUAUAUCCACAUGAGGAUGCCUUGGUCAUUAAAGCCACCACUACUAGCAAGAAGUUUGACCGGAUUCUGGUAGACACGGGAAGCUCGGUCGAUGUUUUGUUCAAGUCAACUCUAGAGGAGAUGGGAAUAGCAGACCUGAGGUUAGAGCAUACUAAUACCUCCUUGAAAGGAUUUGGUGGACGAAAGCUGGUUCCUCUAGGCGUGGUCGAACUGCCCAUCACAAUUGGCAGCUCCCCGAUAGAAAAGACUAUAAUCCUAGAUUUUGUGGUUGUCGAUGAAGAGGGUCCUUACCAGAUGAUUAUAGGCCGCCCCUUUUUGAGGAUGAGCAAAGCGAUGCUUUCCAACCAUUAUCUAGCUCUCAAGUAUUGGGUGAAUGGAGUGGUUGGGGUGGUACGAGGAGACCAGAGAAUUGCCCGAAGCUGUUACUCCACAGUAGUAAGGGAAGCAAUGCAGAUUACAUCACUUGAUACUCGAGUGGGAGCCAAGAAUGGCAUAUAAGAGCUUGUAGAGGAGCUGGAAAUAGUAAGCUUGGAACAAGGUGAUUCAGGAAAAACAAUAUGAAUUGGGUCGGGGCUUAAAGAAGAGCAGAAGCGGGAGCUGGUGCAUUGCUUGUGAGCUCACGCAGAUGUGUUUGCUUGGACACAUGAAGACAUGCCGGGAAUCGAUCCUGAGGUCGCCUGCCAUAAGUUGACAAUAAGGAAGGGUGCUCGGACGGUAAGGCAAAAAAGAAGGUGCUUCAACCAAGAGAGGUAUGAGGCUAUAAAUGGCGAGGUGGAGAAGCUCUUGAAGGCAGGGUUCGUUCGGGAAGUUAACUACCUUGAGUGGAUAUCGAAUGUGGUUUUAGUGAAAAAGACUAAUGGUAAAUGGAGGAUGUGUGUAGAUUUCAUAGACCUUAAUAAGGCGUGCCCGAAAGAUAGCUUUCCCCUACCCAAGAUCGACUAGCUGGUUGACUCAACAGCCGGGCAUGGCCUGCUUAGCUUCAUGGAUGUAUUUUCGGGAUACAACCAAAUCCCAGUGUUUGAGCAGGAUGAGGAGAGCACGGUAUUUAUCAGUAACCAGGGUUUGUUCUGUUAUAGGGUAAUGCCGUUCGGUCUUAAAAAUUCGGGUGCCACGUACCAGAGGUUGGUGAACAAAAUCUUUAAGCCGUUGAUUGGGAGAACAAUGGAGGUGUGUGUGGACAACAUGAUAACCAAAUCAAAAAACCCGAAGGAACAUGUCGAGUACCUCGAGGAGACAUUUGGAUUUUUGAGGAAGUACAAGAUAAAGCUCAACCCAGAGAAGUGUGCCUUUGGGGUCAAGUCGGGCAAAUUCCUUGGGUUCAUGGUGAGUCAUCGGGGGAUCGAGGUGAAUCCCGAUAAAAUCCAGGCAAUCGUGUAGAUGAGAUCUCCUCGUAACCUGAAGGAGAUACAGAGCCUUACAGGGAGGUUGACGGCAUUGAGUCGGUUCAUAUCCAAGGCGCAUAUAAGUGCCAGGCAUUCUUUCAAGUGAUAAGGAGAGGAAAGAAAAUAGAGUGGACCCCUGAAUGCGAAGAAGCCUUCCAGAAAUUAAAGCAAUAUUUGCAGCAAGCACCUUUGUUGUCCACACCGUGGGAUGGAGACAUGUUGUUCCUAUAUAUGGUGGUAUCGGAUCAUGCCACGAGUUCUGUUCUAGUGAGAGAGGAAGAAAGGGUUCAAUAUCCGAUAUAUUACACAAGCAAGGCCUUGCUCGAUGCUGAGACUAGAUACCCACAGUUAGAGAAAUGGGAACUUGCUCUUGUGGUUGCUGCUCGGAAGCUGAGGCCAUACUUCAAGCAUUCCCCAUCUCGGUAAUAACAAACCAAUUGUUACGAUAGACUCUACACAAGCCGGAUGCUUCUGGUCGGUUAGUGAAGUGGGUCAUAAAGUUGAGUGAGUUCGACAUAAGUUAUAAAUCCUGAGCAGCAAUAAAGGCCUAAGCAAUGGCCGAUUUCGUGGCAGAAUUCGCAGAGCCCGAAGUAGGUUUCAACCAGUUGGAUGCUGCUACAGUCAACAACGAAGAUCGGGUAUGGCAAGUGUCAGUGGAUGGAUUCUCAGGGGAGCAGGGGUCUAGAGCAGGGAUUGUUUUGGAAGGCCCAAAAGGGGAGGAGAUCUCUUAUGCUGUAAGGUUGGAGUUCACAACCACAAAUAACCAGGCAGAAUACGAAGCUCUAAUAACGGGCUUGAAAUUGGCUAAGACAGUGAAAGUGGAUAGGGUGGAAAUCUGAACUGAUUCCCAACUGGUUGCAAAUUAUGUCAGUGAAAGGUUUCAGCCGAGAGAUAGGAAGAUGGAACAAUAUUUGAAGAAAGUCAAGCAGAUGAUUGGGAAGUUUGAGGUGGUUGAGGUGAUACAAAUCCUAAGGGAGGAGAAUAGUCGAGCAUAUAUUUUGGCCAGGAUGACAGCUGUAAGAGAUCAAAAAAUGCCUAAGUCGGUCCCUUCGGAGGUGAAGUCCAGCCCUAACAUCGAGCAGAAUUUAGAGGUGCUGCGGAUAGAACAAAAAAGCUCGUGGAUGGACCCAAUGAUCUCGUACAUUAGGGAUGGGGUAUUAGCACCAGAUAAGUUACGAGUUCGGAAGAUCAAAGCUCAGGCGUCGAGGUACACAAUGAUUGAUGGGGUAUUAUAUCGGCGGGGAUAUACCCUACCGUUCCUUCGGUGUUUGGAUGAGGACGACGCAGAUUACGUACUGAGAGAAGUACAUGAAGGAGUUUGCGGAAACCAUUCUGGCACGAGGUCCCUUGCCCACAAGGCUCUAAGGCAGGGAUAUUUCUGGCCGACGAUGCACCAGGAUGUGCAGGAGAAAACCAGGAGUUGCAUGAGUUGCCAGAGUUUUACAAAUUUCUCUACCCAGCCACUAGAGAAGCUCACUUCUAUGGCCUUGCCAUGGCCAUUUGCUCAAUGGGGAAUUGAUUUGAUUGGGCCGUUGCCAAAGAGAUGAGGGGCAGCAACACAUGCAAUAAUAGCGAUAGACUAUUUCACGAAGUGGAUAGAGGUAGAAGCCCUCUGCAGGAUCACAGAGAAAAAGACGACUGACUUCGUAUAGAGAAACCUGGUCUGUCGGUACGGGAUGCCUUAUGCCCUGAUAGCAGACAAUGGGAGACAAAUUGACAACCAUAACUUCAGGGACUUCUGCCAGACCUCGGGAUAGAGCUGAAGUAUUGCUCGCCUGCUCACCCUCAGUCUAACGGACAAGUAGAAGCAGCUAAUAAGAUAAUCAAGAGGCUUUUGAAAACCAGGCUUGGAGCAAAAAAUGGAGCAUGGGUUGAUGAGCUACCAGGUGUAUUAUGGGCAUACAUGACAACCCACAAAACAGCAACCGGCGAAACUCCGUUCGCUUUGGCCUUCAGACAUGAAGCUGUUGUACCGAUCGAGAUAGGGGCGACCACGCACCUGACAGAUCACUUCGAUGAGUAGGAAAACAACGACCAGAUGUUCUUGAAUCUGGAUUUGCUGACCGAGAAGAGAGAGCAAGUAUUGAAGCGAUUAGCCGUCUACCAGCAGAGGGUUGCUCGGUAUUACAACCAGAAGGUGUGUAUACGACAGUUCAAGGUCGGCGAUUAGGUACUAAGGAGGGUGAAUCAGAACACGAAAGACUCGACACAAGGAGUACUUGGACCAAACUAGGAGGGGCCAUAUAGGGUCAAGCAGGUAGCUAGACCCGGAGCCUAUAAGCUUGUUCGCGCGGAUGGCCAUGAGGUGAAACGCCCCUGGAACGUAGCACACCUCAGGAAAUAUUUCCAGUAAGACCCGAUCAUACUUUAAAGUUAUUUAUAUUCGUCCUUGUUGUUAUUCGUUUUAUGUUAAAUCAAUCUCAUGUUAGCCGAAUUCAGUAAUUAAUGAAACAUUGAGGAAUUUCAAUCAGUUGUAAUGUUGUAAAGAUUUCUAAAGCAUGCAAAGGCUCACUAAGUCUCAAAGCCUGUUUUAUGGUGAGACAAGAAGCCAAGGAUGCUAAGGAUCUGCUCGACCGAGCGAGGACGAGCAGACUCUCAAAUGUUAUAAGAAUUUCUAAGGCAUGCAAAGGCUCACUAAGUCUCAAAGCCUGUUUUAUAGCGAGACCAAAAGCCAAGCAUGCCAAGGAUCUGCUCGACCGAGCGAAGGCGAGUAGACUCUCAAAUCUUAUAAGAAUUUCUAAGGCAUGCAAAGGCACCUUUAAGUCUCAAAGCCUGUUUUAUGGCGAGACCAGAAGCCAAGCAUGCCUAGAUCUGCUCAACCAAGUGAAGGCGAGCAGACUCUCAAAUGUUAUAAGAAUUUCUAAGGCAUGCAAAGGCUCACUAAGUCUUAAAGCCUGUUUUAUGGCAAGACCAAAAGCCAAAGCAUGCCAGGAUCUGCUCAACCAAGCGAAGACGAGCAAACAAUCAAACGUAAGGCAACGGGAAGCCGAACUUUUCGACACCUGCUCGACGACAAUGUAAGCGAACGAAAAAAUAAAAUAAUCUGCCAAGAGCUCGAAGCGGAGAAAGCAAAUAAGAGAAUUCUUAUUAAUCUGCCAAUAAUUAUGAAAAGCUGCUAGUCUUAACAUACAAUGUUCUAAAAAAGAAACCUACAACACAAGGUACAUUCAAGAGGACGGCAGGUCAGUAAGUUAGGCCGUCUUUACUGGCUGGUCCACCUCAGGAGCAGGGGGGUCUCACCAGUUGCUCCCGGGGGGGUACUUGCCUCGGCAACAUCAGCAGGGACUGCACGAGGAGGGGAGGGAACCUCUCCAGCUGCAUUUGGCUCCAACUCUUCGACAUCUUCUUUGGCUGCCUCCUCAUCCAUAUAUUGAGCAACACUAGCAGCAAGCUCAUCCAUCUUUAGAUCAGGAUGCUGCUUCCUUAAGACGACCAUGAUGUAGCGAUAAGAAUGCCGAAGCCCCUGGUCAUAUUGGUUGUUAGCUUCCUUCUCUAGGUUCUCGACCUGAACCUGGUGGGAAUCUUUGAGAGAUUCGAGCUGAGCCUCGUAAGUAGCCUUUUGUCUCUGCAGGUCCUUCUUGACCUUAGUCAGCUCCUCAUCAAGAGUGAUUAACUUUGCCUGCGCGAGAGACUCUAGCUCUAUCAACUUCAGAUUCUCAAGGUUGAGAUCUCUGACUUUCUUCUCGGCAGCGUUAGAUUUGGUUUUGGCCGACUAAACGUCUUUUCUCAUCUUUCGAUCAUAGCGGCUGACCUUCGCUUUAUAGUAAGUGGCCAUGUAGCCGAGAUGAAAAGCACUAUACUGCAUAGCCCCCACCAGCUCGCCCAGAGUGCUGCCAUCAAAGUCCUCUAAGUCCUUUUUUCUCACGAGCCUAGAAUACUCACUGAUAUAGGGGACCAGAUGCUCUGCUCGAUUGUCGGGCAAACGAGGUUUCGACCCCGCUGGUGGAGGAAGAGAAGUGGGAUCAGUGGCUGUUCCACUAGUUUCGCCGACUUUGGUAGGAGGAGGUGGUAGAAUCCUCAAGGGGGGACCUGCUCCGCGAUGUUCACCUGUUUCGUAGAAAAAGCAUCCUUAUUCUAGUCCUGCUUAGCAGCAGGAGGUUGAUGACGUUUUCGAUUCAAAGCCCCGAUCACAGUAUCCUCCAUCUUAAGAUCAGUGGACACCGGACGAGAUUCGAACAAGUUGUAAGUAGAUAGCAACUCUCGGCUCGAGGAGGAAUUGGCUAACACAGCCUUGACCUACUUGAGCGGCUCAGGUUUAAGCUUGUAGUGGACACCCCAAGAACCAGCAGUUCGAACAAAUAUUGGGUUAGAGAUAAAUAAAAAACGAGGACAACUAGGGAUACAAGACAUCUAAAGCGAGUAGGCAACCUAGGACUACGAAAUGGGAUGGGACGCGAUAGUUCUUCCUGUCAAUCUAUGCAACUUGACCCCAGGGACCCCCAGCAAAAAAUAAUUUUUUCUUCCAAUUCCCACCACCACCUGUUGGAAGAUCAGUUAUGUGUUUUCUAGUCUUGGUACUUGACAUGAAGUAAUACCAGCAGGUGUCUUUGGGGCUACUCUUUAGCUGGUACAAGUGCUUUACCUCAUUAAUUGUGGGCUCGCUCUGGCAGCAUCUAUCCCACAAUAUGAACAGACCAGAAAGCACCCUCCACCCAUUUGGGUUAAGUUGACCAGGAGCUAAGUUUAACCCACUAAGCAUUCGGGUAAAAUAGGGUUGUAGGGGGCACCUCAUCCCGAAUUUAAAACUUUCCAGAAACAGAGUAACGUUUCCCCUGGGAGGCCGGCUGGGAGUAUCUUUUUUUCAUAGGAUCCUAAGGGGUAUAUCAUCAGGAAUGUCAUACCUAGUCCGGAGGUCAACGAGGUCGUCUACUGUGGUCGUGCACGUGAUGAAGUCAAUAGCGUAAUGGAAUUCAAAUGGAGGGAUAGAUUUCUGCCAUAUCACUUCGCCCGCAAUUAAAUGCGACAUGACUCCUCAAAGGCUUUUCCUAUCAUGCGCAAGCCAGAACUGUUGAAUUUCUAUUGUUGGUCCACUAUGUUACCCAACACCAGAAACUGGGGGACCAAUGUUUGGGGGAUAUACUUCUACAAGACUAGCCAUGAUGAGUAGAUAUCUGGUAGCAGGAUUCCACGAACAGGAAUAUUUUCACAAGUCUGGUAGCAGGUGAACACGAAUAGGAAUAUUCUGCUCGUUCACGAAUGCACCAUCCACGGGGCCACAGUGGGAGCCGGCCUCCUGCUAGGAGCACAAGGCCAUUCCUACUAGAGGUUGAGGUGGGGAGACUCGGUCAAUGACGGUUGGCAAGACGUGCACUCCUGCCCGAGAAUCAAGGCACGAAGUCCACUAAGCCACAACUACGAUAAUAAAGCAUCCACUUCCGGGAGUUGAGGGAGGUGAUGGACGUGGAUUGUAGGAAGGCUCAGAUUUAAAGGAAGGCUAUAAAAAGGUAACCAACGAUGAUAAACGGGUUAGACUUUUUGAGAUUAGAACUGAGAAAAAGAGCUUUCUAUUGAAAGAUCAUAAAAGAGCCAUAAUAUUGGUGGCCGUAUUUCCCAAGAAGACAAAGCAUGCUUUUCUGACUUGAGCGUCAGAGGGUUUACGACGGAAAAACACCCGGCAUGCUCUGACCUGUCUUUGUGUACGCAGGAGUCUGUAGAGAGGAAGUCUGACGAGGAGAGAUCCUGGUUGUGGACGAGUUAGUUGAGGAGAGAUCCUGGUCGUGGACGAGUUAGUUGAGGAGAGAUCCUGGUUGUGGACGAGCAUAAAACUAGAAUCUCGCAUCAACACCAGCCUUCACUGAAAUUGUUUGGUUUCUUUGUUUUCAAGGAUAAUGUUAUAUUCGGAUUAAUAUUUUGUACAAAAGUUUGAUUGAUUGUUUUACUUUCUAUUUUCACAUUCAUUGGUGUGUAUUCAAUUUGUCAACAUUCAAGUUGCAUAUAUGUGAUUGUUUUUUAUUUUAUUUUUAUCUUGUUUCUAGUUUUUGAGUAGUGGUACACUUCAACUUCAAUUUCAUUACUUCAGUUUGACGAAAAGUGUUUGUGCUAUGAUCACUUCUCAUCAUCUUAAAACUGACUGAAUGAUAUUGUUAUUCGGUUUUUCAGAAUUUCACCGAUGUGUAGUUCAUUAUAAGGGUGACAAUGCUGGUCAAAAGUCAAACGGGGUUAGUUAAAAAAGUGCAGGGAAAUUUCGGGUUUGUUAGAAAUAGCCUUUGUUGUAGUUUAUAAGGCUGGUUGUUGGGUCAUCUUCACAGGUCUCAUCAAAGCCAUAGAAAGAGAGAGAGUUAAAGAGAAAAAGUUGUAUAUUCUUGGAAUGAUUGUGAAAUGGUCCUUGUUCUUCUGUGGAUGUAGGCACUUUGAUUCAAUUUUGAGUUUGGGUUUCUAGGAAUGAUUCUUGAUACGUCAAAGAGGGUCUUAGGUGUGUGAUCUUGGUACUAACAGAGGAUUAAACACAACAAAAAGAAACUGGGGCAUAUUGUCUAAUCUUUAUAGACUCCAAAUAUAUGGAGAUUUUAGCCCUAGUCAAUGUCCAACAGCCCUUGUAAAAUAAAAAACCAUCACUAAUCCUUGGUGACUUUAGGGAUCUAGUAAGGACUAGGUAGAAUUGAAGAGGAGAUUUAACGAGUGAAGUUCUGAAAGUGGAAGAUUUAAUCUAUAGCACGGAAGCUUAGUUAGAAUUGAUGACUGGAUUCUUUCUCUAUUGAUUGAUUUGCAGCCCAACUGCAUUAAGGGAAUAAAGAGGAGCUGUAGUCGUUCGCACAUUUUCUGUUCACAGCAUCCAGCGGGUGCCUUGUAAUGCAGUGCAAUGAAGUUGAUGGCACACAGGAUGUGCUGCUGCUCUCUCUCAAUUCCUUAUAAUCACAUCAAGGCCCUUGUUUGUAGCAGAGGAAUUCCCUUUUGUAUUAAAAUUGAUUCUGCUGCUCUGGUUGUCAUUGGAUUCUUAUGGUUUCUUCACUCAUUAGCCAGUAACAUAAUGUUGAGUUUAUUGAUUUUGUUAUCUUAAAAAUGUCCAAGACAUCUUGUGAUCAUGAUAUAUUGUCAUUUUAUUUUUAGACAAAAAGAUUGUUUUUCCAGUUAGCAAAUGUAUAUUGCGUUCAUUUUUGGAUUGGAAAAACAAAAAUUUGAAGAAGAAAAAUGAAAAUUAAUAAAAAAGAUUACAGGACAUCUGCAUCAUGUUCUUUUAUUUGAACUAAGUCUUUGUUUAACUUUUCUCCUUUUCCAUUUUGCAAAUUUAGUAUCUCUUUCUUUUCUUGAACCAAGAUAGUUUCCUUUACUUACAAGUAAAGUUUAAAUGACCUUGAUCUUCUAUUUUUCUCUUACCUUAUUUUUCUUUCACAAGCACGAUCAUUUUCAACGCUAUCAAAAUCAUCCAUCUAUCAAUACCCAAUUUGAAUAAAAUUCAGCAUCUUUUUUCCUUAUUCUUUCUAUGUAAUAAUUUGGUUGUGUUGCUUUUAAUCAAAAUAAAAUAUAUAUCGUCGGGAUUUCAAAGUUUGUGAUCACUUUAAGAAAAAAGCAGGUACUUUAUUAUUUGAAUUAUCCACAAAAUAACUCUAUUUUAUUAUUUUCAUCUUAUGAAUGUUAGAUGUACUAUAUAUCUGUGUUUGAUUCUUAUUUACAACCUAUGUUUUUGCUCACACGUUUCAUAUGUUGACAAGUCAGAUUAAAAAAAGAUAAAAAGAUCAACUUUCUUUUAUUCCAUUUGCAAAUGCAUUGACAAACAGUUUAAUUUGUUUAAUUAAUUUAUUUUUUUAAAAUCACGGUCUCUUUUAAUAAUUUGUUACUUUGCAUGUUAGAACAACAAGGUAAUGACAGAGGAAGAGAUAUGGACAUCAACUUCAGACUAUUUUCAGAGAGGUUAAGAAGGGUGUUAGCCAGUAAAGAAGUCACGUUGCCUGAUGCUGCAAAACAACCUAUUCAAAACCUUCUUGCCAAGAAUGAAAUCAUUACUUCUUGGCUGAGGGACUUUGAAUAUGAAACGUCCUGGCUUCUGGUGCAAAAAAUAGGAAAAGAGGAAAUUGAUGACCCUGAUCUCGGGAACAUUAUGGAUGAAAUCAAUUGCUUUCCUCAUCUUAUAUCAUGGAAGCAUCUCAUUAGAAGAAAAUAUAGGGGAAGCAAUGGAGAAGCCCCUUGGGCUUUGGUACUUCAAAUAUUGCAGGUCACCUUUUUGCUUGAAACUUUGUUUUCUCUACUUAUCUGUGUUUCCCACAUGCCUAGAGAUAUCCACUAAGAAGUUAUAUCGGUUGUGGAUAGUGUAAGAGAGAUUGUAACAUUUUUCAAUCUUUGGUUUGAUAUUCUAGAAGAAAACGGUUUGUCGUUUCUGGGGAAAAAGGCUAACUGUUUAAUUUCAGAGAGCAUGUUUUAUGUUCUAGAGAAAACGGCUAACCGUUUGGAGAAAAUGGUUAACCGUUUAGAGAAAACGGCUAACCGUUUAUUUCCAGAGAGCGUAUUUUUGCGUCAACUGAAAAAAUGGUUAGCAAGCUUGAAAAUUUCAUAUGUCAAUCGAUGCAAAUUCAAACUAAAAGAGUGCUUUGAAAUACACUCACUAAUUAAAUGUUAAAAUCGAAAGAUACAUUUUUGUAUGUAUAAGUUUAUCAUUAAUAAAUCUGAAAAAUAUUACAAUCUAGUGGGGGAUUGUAAGAGAGAUUGUAACAUUUUUCAAUCUUUGGUUUGAUAUUCUGGAAGAAAACGGUUUGCCAUUUCUGGGGAAAAAGGCUAACCGUUUAAUUCCAGAGAGCAUGUUUUCUGUUCUAGAGAAAACGACUAACCAUUUGGAGAAAACGGCCAAUCGUUUAUUUACAGAGAGCAUGUUUUCUGUUCUAGAGAAAAUGGCUAAUCGUUUAGAGAAAUCAGCUAACCGUUUAUUUACAGAGAGCAACUUAUUUGACAUUCUGGAAUAAAACGGCUCACCAUUAUUGAGAAAACGGCUAACCGUUUAUUUACAGAGAGUGUGUUUUUGCGUCAACUGGAAAAACAGUUAGCAAGCUUGAAAAUUUCAUAUGUCAAUCGAUGCAAAUUCAAACUAAAAGAGUGUCUUUGAAGAAGUGCCAUUUCUAAUGGUUGUAUUCUUUUAAAAAUAAACUUCUUCUUUAUUAAAAGAUAGACACACAAUUAGAUCAAUAUCAGAUUUUGCAGAUUUCAUGUAUGUUCUGGAAAUACAAUCUUAUUUUCUAGAGAUUGUAUUCAGGAUUUGAUAUAUCUUGGGGGUAAUUUGCGAUUAAAACUCUAUAGCAAACCAAGAUUGGUGAGGGCAAAUAAAACCUUAAAGGAAAGUAUGCAAAUACGUCUCAAAUCCUAAGAAAAUUUCUUUGUUCUUUGCCUCCAUAUUCGAAAAUUCACCAACAAUAUUUAAGGUUUUAUUUUUAUGCAAAUGGAGGCUGAGAAGAGUUUGAUGUCAUUUUUUAAUCCUAGUGUCCAUCUCGAUCGUUUUGAUGGAACUAAUUUCACUCGUUGGAAGGGAAAAUUGUUCUUCUUCCUUACUAUUCUUAAAUGGCAUAUGUUCUUGAUCCGAAAUUGGAACCAUUUCCGGAACCAAGAGAAGAUAAUACCGAAGUUGUUAAGGCUGCAAGGAAACGUCGUGAAGAAGAUGAAUUGGUGUGUCGGGGUCACAUGCUCAAUACGCUUUCUAACAGGUUAUAUGAUCUUUACAAUUCUAUGACUUCUCCAGUGGAAAUUUGGAAUGCUCUUGAGUACAAAUACAAAACAGAGAAAGAAGGUACUAACAAAUUUAUUGUCUCUAAAUAUUUUGAAUUUAUUAUGGUAGACACAAAAUCCAUUCUUGAUCAAAUACACGAGUUACAAAUUAUUGUUGCUAAGCUUCAAGAGUUAAAAGUUGAAAUUUCUUAAUCAUUUCAAGUUGGGGCUAUUAUUGCUAAAUUGCCUCAAAGUUGGAAUGAUUAUAGAAAGAAACUCCUUAAUAGUAAAGAAAACAUAACUUUAGAAGAAUUUCAAAAACACUUAGUAAUUGAAGAAGAGACUAGGUCUCGUGAAUCCAAGGAUAAGCAUGAUUCUACUAAAGUUAAUGUUGUUGAAGCUAGUAAAUUCUCAAAGAAUUUUAAAGUCAAGAAUGCCAAGAAAUUCAAGAAGUCCAACACACAAAAGUUUACUGGAAAUUAUUUCUUUUGUGGCAAGAAAGGCCAUCGCCAAAGUGAUUGCAGAUUCAAGAAGAAAAAGGAAUAAGUGAAUCCCCAUAAAGCUAAUGUUAUUUAAAAAAAUCUGAAGAGAUUUGUGCUAUGGUUUCUGAAAUGCAAAUUGGCAUGAUUACCGAAACCAAUAUGGCUGAAACUAAGUCCUAUGAUUGGUGGCUCGAUUCGGGUGCAACAAUUCAUGUUUGUAAUGAUAAGAAAUUUUUCUUAUCGUACAAAGAAGAAACGGAAGGACAAAUGGUUCUCAUGGAGAACAAUAAUGCAGCCAUAGCAGCAGGGAAAUGAGUAGUUGAGAUCAACUUCACUUCUGGAAAGAAAGUCACAUUGUAUAAUGUCUUUUAUGUACCUUCCGUUAGGAAGAAUCUUAUUUCUGCUAGUUGUAUGUGUAAGCAUGGGCUUAAGAAUAUGCUUGAGGGUAAUACUUGUAUUAUCUCAAAGAAUGGAUUAUUUGUUGGGGAAGGGUAUUCUUGUGAUGAAAUGUAGAAACUUAGCAUUAAUAAUAAUAAUAUCAACUUAGCUUAUAUUGUUGAGUCUUGUGAUGUUUGGCAUGCUAGAUUAGCACAUUUGAAUUUUAGAUCUUUGAAAUACAUGUCUAAGCAAGGUUUGAUUAAUUACAAUGAUGUUAAAGGUCAUAAGUGUAAAAUCUGCAUCCAAGCUAAAUUAACGAAGAAACCUUUUCCUAAAGUCAAACGAAAUACUCAAAUAUUGGAUUUAAUACAUACCGAUAUUUGUAAGUAUAAUGGUGUUUUAACAAGAGGAGGUAAGAGGUACUCUAUCACUUUUAUUGAUGAUUGUUCUAGAUACACUUAUGUGUAUUUACUUAGAACAAAAAAUGAAGCUUUUGAUAAAUUUAAAAAUUUCAAAUCUGAAGUUGAGAACCAAGAAGAUAAGAAAAUCAAAAUGAUUCGUAGUGAUAGAGGUGGUGAAUAUUUCUCAAUUGAAUUUAAUAAUUAUUGUGAAGAAUUUGGAAUUAUUCACCAAAGAUCAGCUCCAUUUACUCCUCAACAAAAUGGUUUGGCUGAAAGGAAGAAUAGGAUCUUCAGGGAUAUGAUAAAUUCCAUGAUCCUUAAUGCAAAACUACCAAAUAAUUUGUGGGGGAAAGUAUUACUCACUGCAUGUCAUAUUCAUAACAGAAUUACAUCUUUGAAAACACAUAAAUCUCCUUAUGAAAUUUGGAAAGGAAGAAAAUCAAACUUGAUGUAUUUAAGGGCCUGGGGUUGUUUAGCUUUUUAUAAACAUGAUCCUAAAUCAUCAAAGUUAAGUACUAGAUGUAUAAAGAGUGUUUUCGUAGGAUAUGCUGAAAAUUCCAAGGCUUAUAGGUUGUUAGAUUUAGAUUAUAAUGUGAUUGUGGAAUUUAUAGAUGUUGAAUUUAUUGAGAAUAAAUUUCAACAUGAUUCUAAUAUUGAAUUAGAAUCAAUUAUUGAUCAACCAUGUGUUAAUACUCCUGUUACCUCCACUAACAAUAAUAAAAGGAAAGAGUCUAUGACAUCUUUCGAACCAAGGAGGAGUCAACGUGAAAACAAAGAAAAGAGUUUAGCUCCAGAUUUUAUUUCAUCACAAGCACUACUCUUCUUGGUUGAAGGGGAUAGAAAGAAUGUACUUAAUAAAGUAUCAUUGUUGUUAAAUAUUGAAAAAGAUCCAAAGACAUUUAGCGAAGCUAUGUCUUCUAGAGACGCUUCUUUUUGGAGAGAGGCGGUAAAUAAUGAAAUGGAUUCGAUUAUGUCGAAUCAAACAUGGGUCUUGGUUGAUCUUCCUCUAGGAUCUAAACCAAUUAGCAGCAAAUGGGUAUUUAGAAGAAAGUACAAUAGUGAUGGUUCUUUGCAAACUUUUAAGGCUAGAUUAGUAGCUAAAGGGUUUAAGCAAAGAAAUGGUAUUGAUUAUUUCGAUACAUAUGCUCCGGUAGCAAGGUUAACUUCUAUAAGAGUGCUAUUUGCAAUUGCUUCAUUGAACAAUUUGUAUGUGCAUCAAAUGGAUGUUAAAACUGCUUUUCUUAAUAGUGAUCUUGAUGAAGAAAUCUAUAUGGAACAACAUGAGGGAUUUGUUUUGCCAGGAAAUGAGAAAAAGGUAUGCAAGUUAGUCAAAUCACUUUAUGGUUUGAAGCAAGCACCAAAACAAUGGCAUGAGAAGUUUGAUUCGGUAAUUUUAUCUCAUGGUUUUAAGCAUACUAAUACUGAUAAAUGUAUAUAUUUUAAAUUUACGAAUGAUUUUGGUGUGAUUAUAUGUGUUUAUGUUGAUGACUUGCUUAUCUUUGGAACAAAUAUGCAAGGAGUAGAUGAUACAAAGAAGUAUUUAACUUCACAAUUUAAGAUGAAAGAUCUUGGUGAAGUAGAUACUAUCUUAGGUGUCAAAGUGAAGAAACAUAGUGGGGGUUACUUAUUGUGUCAAUCUCAUUAUAUAGAGAAAGUGCUUCUUAAAUUCAAUUAUUUGAAAUUUAAAGAAGCCAAUACCUCAUAUGAUUCUAGUAUUAAAUUACUAGAGAAUUCAGGCCGAGUAGUAGCACAACUAGAAUAUGCUAGUGCUAUUGGUGGCUUGAUGUAUGCUAUGCAUUGUACGAUGCCUGAUAUAGCAUUUGCAAUUUAUAAAAUGUCAAGAUUCACGAGUAACCCUAGUGUUGAACACUGGAAAGCAAUUGGUAGGAUACUUGGUUAUCUUAAAAGGACCAUUAAUUUGAGUUUGUUUUAUAAUGAUUAUCCUGAAGUACUGGAAGGAUAUUCAGAUGCUAGUUGGGUAACCAAUACAAGAGAUAAUAAAUCCACUUCUGUUUGGAUUUUUACAAUUGCUAGAGGAGCGGUUUUUUGGACUUCAAAGAAACAAACGUGCAUAACUCAUUUAACAAUGGAAAGUGAGUUUAUAGCACUUGCAACUGCAGGCAAGGAAGCCGAAUGGCUGAGAAAUUUGUUGUUUGAUAUAAUGUUGUGGCCACAACCAAUGCCAUCUAUUUCUUUGUACUGCGAUAGUGAAGCUACAUUGUCUAGAGCUUAUAAUAAAGUGUAUUUCCAGAGAGCGUGUUUUUACGUCAACUGGAAAAACAGUUAGCAAGCUUGAAAAUUUCAUAUGUCAAUCGAUGCAAAUUCAAACUAAAAGAGUGUCUUUGAAGAAGUGAUAUUUCUAAUGGUUGUAUUCUUUUAAAAAUAAAAUUCUUCUUUAUUAAAAGAUAGACACACAAUUAGAUCAAUAUCAGAUUUUGCAGAUUUCAUAUAUGUUCUGGAAAUACAAUCUUAUUUGCUAGAGAUUGUAUUCAGGAUUUGAUAUAUCUUGGGGGUAGUUUGCCAUUAAAACUCUAUAGCAAACCAAGAUUGGUGAGGGCAAAUAAAACCUUAAAGGAAAGUGUGCAAACACGUCUCAAAUCCUAAGAAAUUUUCUUUGUUCUUUGCCUCCAUAUUCGAAAAUUCACCAACAGAUAGAUGAAGGUUUCAUUCCAGACAACAGUGAGGCAACUGCUGAGAAGUACUAAGAUCUACUAAUCAAUAGAGGCUUUGUUGAUACAAGGAAGAGAGGAGCUGGAAGCGCUAUCAACACAUGCUCUGUUCGUGGUCGUUGCCGUCCUGUGUUGUUAGCAGUGGCUUUCGAGGCGGAAUUUGUCUUUUUCCCGUUCGGGGAUCCAAAAGGUAAAUCACGAAAAAAUGUCAAACGGAUCAACGUUUUUGAAAAACAGAGUGAUUUUGCUCACCUAGAUGAUUAUGACUCGCACUUGCAUUCUUUGUUGUACUUCACUUCAAAAAGCGACUAUCUUGACCCAAUAAAUUGGGAGAAAAUUUGUAAAAUGUUAAAAUUUCUCAGAGGAUUGGACUUGGGAUCUCUUGUUCUCAUCCAUUAUCCAUCCGGAAUUGAAAAUUUAUUUCUUUUACGAUAUUUGAAGUUGAAUAUCCCUUCCCUCAAAAGCUUGCCUUCGCCAUUAUUAAGCAAUCUUCUGAACCUGUACACCCUAGACAUGCCCUUUAGCUAUAUAGAUCACACAGCAGAUGAAUUUUGGAAGAUGAACAACCUCAGGCAUCUGAAUUUUGGCUCAAUCACACUUCCUGCGCAUCCAGGAAAAUAUUGCGGCUCUCUGGAAAAUCUCAAUUUCUUUUCAGCCUUGCAUCCUUGCUGCUGUACUGAAGAUAUAUUGGGUAGACUACCUAAUCUUCGAAAUCUCCGGAUAUGGGGAGAUUUAAGUUAUUAUCAAUCUUUGUUGUCCCAAAGUCUUUGCACAUUGACUUGCCUCGAGUCAUUGAAGUUGGUGAACGAAAGCAAGAUGCCAACGCUCUCCAAAAUUGUCCUUGUUGAAUACCAAUUUCCUCCAAGACUGACCCACUUGAGUUUCUCUAAUACUGAACUUAUGGAGGAUCCCAUGCCCGCACUAGAAAAGCUGCCGCUUCUUCAAGUGCUCAAAUUGAAGCAAAAUUCGUAUUCAGGUAGGAAGCUGACUUGUGGCUCUGAUGGUUUUCCAAAUCUCAAGGUAUUGCACCUGAAAUCAAUGCUAUGGCUAGAGGAGUGGACUAUGGGGAUUUGAGCCAUGCCAAAACUAGAAUGCUUGAUUAUCAACCCUUGUGCUUAAUUGAAAAAGAUGCCUGAACAGCUCUGGUGCAUAAAGAGCUUAAACAAGUUCGAUUGCUGGUGGCCGCAGCUGGAGCUGAGACAAAAGCUACGGGAAUUCGAGGAUAAGGAGCAGUAUGGCAUUCAACUCUAUCCUUAUGGAAUUUGAUUAGCCCCGAUUGAAUUUGAUGUAAGUUUCUCUUUUUAUCCAAUUUCUUCAACUUUUAAUUAUUUAUCUAAUUUCGUAUACUUUCUAUUCAAUAUAUUUAUUUUCCUUCUCCUUCAGUUAAAUAGUUAAGCCCUCUUUAGAGUUUCUGAUAGUCACCCCAAUCAUUACGCCCUCUUUUGCCGCAGGGAGACUUCAGUACCCUUGUAUGUUCAACUAUGAGCCUAGGCGACAUUGGCAUUCAUUUGUUUUAAUAGUUAAGAUAAAAAAUGUAAUAUAAAAAUUUUUCUUUUUCACCAAUUUCUCCUAUGACUUGUGUAGGUGAAGUCCGAGCAGAAAAUAUCAAAACUGCAGCCUGUGUUUCAGUUUCAACCAGAAUCCUUUCAGUUAGUCUUCACUUCUGCUGUCUAUACAAAUAAGUCCUGAUCCUAUGGUGGACAUUUUUCUGCUUUCUUUGUAUCUACUGUCUACACGAUAAUAAGAAAUUUCGUUUCAGAUAUUCAGUUGAGCGUUGAUUGAUUGGUGCUUCGGGCCAUGGUUGGUUAAUUGUGUACAAAAAAAAUAAAUAAUAUUUGUGACGCCUUUCCAGUCUUGGAUUCAGUGGAAUGUAUUUUCUGUCUUUGUUCUGUUGCUUGCUUUGAAAUCCUUUUCUAAGACUGGGAAUGUUUGACACUCAAUAUGUUUGGUUUAUUUUGCGGAAAAGAUUGAUUAUUCACGAACUUCAUACACGGCUGACUCUCCUGGUAAAUAUUCUUGUGAAUAAGUACUAUGAUCCUCUUUUAGGCACUACAAUAAGGCCUUUUUCUCUUUUUUUUGGUGCACUAAAUUGUGUACACUAAAGCACACACGUUGUUGUGUCAGAAAAGGAUCCUUGCAGCCAUUGAGAUUAAUUGAUUAAAUGAAGUAGAAAAAAGAAAGAAAUCAAAAUCUUCAGGUCUAAUUAUCGCCAAUUCAUUCAGGAGGUAGAAUCAGAGAGGCCGUGUUAUAGCGGCAGCCUGAGAGAUCAUUUCAGCUGAAAAACUCAGAAUUUAUAAAGUUACGACUUCAUUCUCAUAAAUAUGAGGUUAAAAUGCAGAGGUUUGAUUUUAUAGGCUUCAGUCAAUGUAGUACAUUCUAGUUUUGGAUUCACUUGUAUAAAUUUUUAGUCUGUAAUUGUUUCAAAUCCUCUUAGUUUGGUUUGGACGUCAUUGGUAUCUUAUGGUUUCUUAAUCCAAUAAUAUAGUGUUGAACUAUCCGCGGAGAUGUUAACAUUCUUUUACAGGCACAAAUUGUCUGCAAAUGAAAAUAUAUAAAAUAAAAAGGACAAGUGAUAAAUGAGUUAAUCUGAGGAAAUUCGAACCUGUAUAAACAUAUUUUUAGUAUUUUGAAGGACCAAAAACCUCUCAAUACAAUUUUUCAGUUGCCAAAUAAAAUAUUUCAGCCUCCCAUUAUUAAGAUUGAUGCUAGUUUAAAUACUAACUUACAUAUAAAAUUUGAAACUAAAGAACAAGAGCAACAAUCCUAAACUAAGGCAAAUAAUUAGCUAAUUAACUAACAACUGGUUCUGGUUUAUUGAGUUCAAGUAUAUGUUAACACAUUAACCACAACCAACCAAAUAAAUAUAACUUAAAAUAAAAUAAAAUAAAAAUAUCUCAAGACUUGAAGAUCGGAUCACAUUCUCUUUUAAUAAACUAACGCAGGAAUUUCAUCUCUGUCAUCUUUUCCUUUCAAUCAAUUGUAUUCAUGUUUCUAUUACUGACUGAAAUGACCUAAAUUAGAUUGUGAAAGAUGAAAAUGAUAUAAAUGUCCAAAACAUCUUGCAAUCAGGGUUUCGUUUUCCCUUUCCUAAUCCUGUUAGCAAAAUCCUUUUAUUGAAAAAACACAAACCGGAAGAAGAAGAAGACGAUAAGCAGAUUAUAAAGGACGUCAGCAUCCUGUUAUUUUCUAGAACUAAGUCUUUGCUUUCUUUACUGUUUUUUAAGAUGCCUUCCUUUUGGUCUAGUAUGGUAUCUCUUUCUUUGCUUGAACCAACAUAUAAGUAAAGGCUAAAUGCUCCUUCCACUUUUCUCUUGACUUGUGUAAUCUUUCUCUGGUACUCAAGAUCGAAUAAAAUGCCAUUUCAGUAAAGCCAAUUAGAGUUCUUUUUGUUCCAUCGGCAAGUCAUUCUUGACUGUUUUGCCUCCGCUUGAAAGCUUCCGUGCAUCCAUUUAUCAGUACCCAAUUUGAAUACAAUUCAACUUUUUUUUUUCCCUUUUUGGUUUCUGUUUCUUCCAUGUAGUAGUUUGACUGAGAUGUUUAAGGGUGUGCUUGAGGUGUGGUAUUGCAUAGCAUUAGUGUGUAGGCCAAGCAUUACUUCAACAUAUCCCAUAUUUGACAAUUGAUUGGAAAGGAGUGAGCAGCAUUAAUCUUAGCUAAUGCGGUAGUUUGCAUUAGUUUUUUUUUUUUUUAAAUAUAAUAAUAAAAAAUAAGUAUAACUUUUAAUAUAAUAUUAAUUUUUUAAUUAUUAUAUUAUAAUUAUUAAUAUAAAUUAAUAAUUUUAUUAUUUAUUAUUAAAUAAUAUUAUAUCAUAUUUUAUUUUUUAUUAUAUAAAAAAUAUAAAUAAAAAAUAUAUUAUUUAUUUAUAUUAUAAUAAUUAAUAUAUAAAAUUGAUAAGUUAAUAAUAACUAAUAAUAAAUACUUAAUAACAUAUAAAAAUAAAAAUAUAACAUAAUAUUACAUUAUUUAAUUAUAUUAUUGUAAUUAGUAUAUAAAAAAUUGAUUAUUAUUUAAGAAUUUAAUAUAACUAAAAAUAAAUGUUUAAAUAUAAAUAGACUUGAAUAAUAUUAAUUUGAAAUUAACAAUAUAAAUAAUAAUAUAAAAUAUUAUUACACAUACUAUAGAAUUCUUACUUGGAUUAUUUUCUAAAUUAUAAUUUAAAUUAAUCACAAAAAAUUAAUACAGUCCAGUGCAACACCAAAUAUAGUAUAAUUAAAAAUUAAUACAGUACAGUAUAAUACCAAAUAUUGUACAAUAUUUUUGUAAUACAAUAUUUUUGUAAUACAAUACUAAUGCAAUAUAACAUAAUAUAAUACAUCUGCAUUAAAAGUAAUGCAAUACAAUAUAAUAAAAUGCAGUGUGCCAAACACACCCUAAGUUCAAUCACAAUAAAAUAUCGUGGGAUAUACGGAAGUCUGUGAGAGGUACUAUACUAUCUAAAUUAUCUACAAAGUAACUUCAUUUUAUUAAAUUCUUAUAAUCUGAAUAUUAGAUCCACUUGAUGUUUGUGAUUGAUUCUUAUUUACAAGGAUAAACUUUUGCUCGCAUUUUUCAUAUGAUGACAGUUGACGCAGAAAUCUGGUCGAGCUGUUUAGCGACCAGACAACACUUAGAUUUGUUGUUAUUGGGGAGACGGUUCUAUGUUGCUUCCUCACUAUCGAACAAGCUCCUACGAUCUCGAACACUUCCUCCAAGAACACUUGCAUUUAUAACAACUAGUCAAGGGACGCCACAAGUUUUUCAGGUGUAAACCCUCCGAUACUCAAGUCAGCUAUCCGGGUCUAUGAUAACUCUAUGAAAUGAGAGUUAUCAUGGUACUUUUAAACUUAAAUCAUUAUUACUUAGAGAGUAAAUGACAUGUUUUUAUUGCAUUUUAGUUAUAUCUUGCAUGAGUAUCAAUUUUAGUUUAGUUUUAAUAAAUUUUGUUGUUUUAGAAUAAUUUGUGUGCUUAGAUUGUGUGCAUAAUUGUAGAUGAUUGGAAGCUCAAAUUUAAGGAAGGAAUGCUGCUGCAAUAGGCUUGCAAAAAUGGGAAAAGAACUUGAUUACAGAAGAAUUAAAGCAAAUUUGGAACGGUGCAGUUGCUGUAUCCGUUGUUGCAGCAUCCAUUGUUGUACCAAUCCUGGAGCAUUGAUAGAGAAGAUAAAACCCAUAACUAACAUCCCCACUGCGGGUGGAAAUUGGUAAAGCAAGUUUUUUUUUUUUUGUUGGGGGUAAUUGAAGUCGAGUAAUGUCUAUAGAUGAUAGGAAUAUUCAUGUUCCUUUUGGUUUCUUGACUCAAGGUUGCUUACUGGCUUAAGACAUUUUUCAUUCUACUCACUCAGUUAAAUUAUACCAUUCCAACGUGAUCUUGGCUUAUGCUACAGAUUCCUAGAGUGUGGUCUACAACAUUAAGAGCAUAUUACUGAACAAGGUUGAGGUCACUUUAGUAAAUUCUUGCUCAUGUAGAGAUCUACUUUCUAUUUAUAGCUUGGUCGACUCACAUUUAACGUCAAACACUCACGAUAUGGAGGACGUUGUGGUCAGAGCCUUGAACAGGAAACGCCCCCAUUCUAGUGGUGCUAAAGGGAGUUUGAGCAAAUAUGCUUCUUGGAAAAGCACCUUGGUACUGCAGAAAAAGUUUCUUUUCUGAAGACUCUCCCGCCUCCUCUACCUAAGGUAAGUGAAACAAGUGGGGCUUGUUAGCCUAUACGACUAUAAAUAUUGAUUUUGAUGAUAACAAACUACAUGUGUUGGUUAAACAAAGAUUUAUGUAUUGAGAUUUUAUAAUAAGAAAAUGAUUUUAUGGAGUUAAGUUGUUUUUCAAGUUAUGGACUAAAAUGAAAUAAUUUUACAAUCUUUGAUUUUAAUAAAUAUUGUUUUGAAUUUUCGGAUUUGGACCUAUUUGAAAAUAUUUAAAUAUUUUGGGUUAUUCUAUAAUUUCACAUAUUUUGGGUCAUAUUAUAAUUUCAAAAAGUUUUGGGAUUAAUAAAACAAUAUUUAGAAAUUCCGAAAUUGGACUUAUUUGAAAAGAUUCAUAACGUUUUGGGCCAUAAUAUAGUUAUAUAAAGUUUUGGGGUCAAACUAUAAUUUUAGAAAAUAAUUCACUGUAGCAGUUACUGUAGUAAGCGGCUAUUCGAAUCCUGACAAACGGUAGACCGGAUUUGGGUAGUAAGCUUCUGGAACAUAAACGACUAUUCGGAUUUCAUAAGCGGCAUACCGGAUGUUCAAAAAUUCAAAUUUUGGCUGUAACAGUAACAUUAAGCGGCUAACCGGAUGUCCAUAAAUGGUAAGCCGGUUAUCACCAAAAUGUGCAUAACGGCUAGUUUUUGAGCUCAAACUAUAUACACUGAAAUCCAAUUCAUUUUCAAUUUCUCCAGCAAGCAAAAACAAAAAGCACACAUCAUAUCUUGAGCUCUCAAUUUACAAAUCAUUAUUCAUUGAAUCAUCUUUGUUCUUCAAUUUGUUCCUCUACUCUUUAAGAGAGUUUAUUUUGUUGUAAUUUUCAUUUCUUCAUCUUAAUUGUGAGUGUUUGAGUGUGUGAGACACUUGAGUGAAGAGAUUGAGAGAUAAUCUCUUUGUUGUAAAGGUUCAUUGACACCUUGAAGUCAAUUGUAAACAUUUGAAGUCUUGGAAGGCUUGGAUUGUGAAAUCCUCAAGCUUGGAUCUCUUGGAGGCGUGGACGUAGGCGGGGAUUGCCGAACCACGUAAAAAUUCAUGUAUUUGUUUCUCUUCUCUCUUACUCAUUUGUUAUUGUCCUUUUAUUGAACUUAUUGCUUUCGAAUUUAUUAAGGCAUUAGAUUGGAUUAUUGUGUGGUUUUGUUAGGAUAAUUUUUAAAAUACCAAUUCAUCCCCCCUCUUGGGUUGCAUACUUGUAUUUCAGGGUUGCUAGUGACAAAGGUCCCACCACAUCUCCUCAUCUUGUUGGCUAUAAAUUUCAACUUCCAAAUGAGUGACCCAAAUAUCUGGUCCUUUAUAUCAAUGAGCAUAGUAAACUAGUGAAGAAGAAAUCUGUUGAGGAUUUAAAGGCCAUACACUCGGGAUCUGGUAGGCGUUCUUCAAUUCGGUGUGUUUCAGCUGGGCAUCCUGGCCGCUUAUUACAAAGCAAAAGUUAGUCGCUAUAGGAGGAAAAUAAAUGAUGAUAUUUAAACUUUGAAGAAGAGAGCGGCCAGCUUUAUCUCAAGAACUUAAAGCUUGUGGAACAAAUGUUCUUCUCUGAAGCUAGGGUAGUCUAACUUGAGAAAGAGUUGGCCAAUAUUAAGGAAGAAUUGCCACCCAAAAAAUCUCUUAUGAUUCUCAGUUGGAAUAACUUCAAGCAGUUCACCAGGACUAGAUCAAGGCUUUAGAAAAUGAGGUUAAUGACAACUACAAUGAGGGGUUUAAACACUCUUAUCGGUGUAUUACGACUGCCUCGAGAAGCAACAUCUUGACCUAAAAAUGGAUGAACUGGCAGUCGAUAUUAUUUAAUAUAUGAAGGAACAAGCAACCAAAGAAAACGCAGAAAAAAGAGGCCCUGCUGUAACUAGCGAAACCACCACUCCUCUUAUUGCAGCUGGCGAGACUACUAUUCCUCCUACUAAAACUAGCGAGACCCCGACUCCUCCUCUAACUAGUGACAAUUCAUCGAGAGUAAACCCUCUCGUAAACACUUAAAUUUCUUAGAUGUGACAAAUUAUCUCUUUUAAUCAACAGACCUUUUGUACAAUGUUGUACUUCUUUUUCGUUAAUGUUAUAAAUGUUUUCUUGCCCUUCCAAAUUUUCAUGAUUGAUUGUAUGCUCGUCCUGUUGCUAAUGAACAAAUGUUGGUAUAUUUUGACUUUGGUCACACCUCGAGGAGGCUUCGAGACUAAAAGUCUUAUAUUUGACUUAGAAAUUUAUUUAUGUAUGAUUACCUAUUUGCCUUCAGUUGGUUGAAUAGGUUUUGGCAAAUUUGUCGUUUUAUCUCGCCUUGAGGAGGCUUUGAGACUUAAAGGCUUAUACUUGCAUUAAAAAAUAUUUAUGCAUCAUUGCCUGUUUACCUUCUUGGUUGAGCAGGUUCUGGUAAAUUGGACUUUUUAUCUCGCUUUGAAGAGGCUUUGAGACUCAAAGUCUUAUACUUGCUUUAGAAAAUAUUUACACAUGAUUGCCUGCUUGCCUUCAAUUGGUCAUGCAAGUUCUGGAAAUUUUGACUAUUUAUCUCACGCCGAGGAGGUUUUGAGACUUAAUGUCUUAUACUUACCGUAGAAAAUAUUAACGUAUAAUUGUCUGCUCACCAUCACUUGGUUGAGCAGGUUUUGGCAAAUUUGACUUUUUAUCUUGCCUUGAGGAUACUUUGAGACUUAAAGUCUUAUACUUGCCUUAGAAAAUAUUUAUACAUGACUGCCUGCUUGCCUUCGCUUGGUUGAGCAGGUUUUGGCAAAUUUGAAUUUCCAUCUCGCUUCAAGAAGGCUUUGAGACUUAAAAUCUAUGAUUUGCCUUAGAAACAUUUAAUACAAAACAAGGGGAAUAAUCAAAUGAAUGGAUUUUACUGCACCCAUCUUAUUUACAACUCUAUGAACUACAAACAAAGUAAUUUAAAGAUACUAAUUCGUUAAGAAAUUCGACCAUCUAAUUUCAUGAAAACUUUACUGAAAGUACUUCUUUAGUUGCUCUGCAUUCCAGGAUUUCUUGACUUUUCAUCCAUCUGCGUAGGCAAGCUUGUACACUCUUAGUCUAACUGCCCUUAGAACUUUGUAAGGUCCUUCCCGGUUGGGGAUGAGCACUCCAUGGUUUAGAUAUCUGGUGCUUUGAUUUAUCUUUUUGAGCACCCAAUCAUUACUUUUGAAUUGUUGUACUCAAAAGUUCUAAUUGUAAUAACAAACAAUCCUUUGUUGAUAGACUGUUACUCUUUUUAAGGUAACUGAUCUCUUAUUGGCGAGCAAAUAUAGGUUUAAGCACAUCUGUUGUUGUUUUUGUCCUCGUUAAGGCUCCUUGUCCGGUGAGUACUCAUCCUGUUUUUUGCUGGCGCGACUACCUAAUAACCAAAAGCUAAUGCAGAAAGGAUCCCACCUGUGGUGUUCUUAUGAGUAGUUCUGUAAGCCUAAAGAACACCGGGAAACUUCUCGACCCAUGCUCCCUUUUUCUCCCAUAAUCGAGUCUUCAAGAGUUUUUUAAUAGCUUUGUUUGCUGCUUCUACUUAUCCAUUUGCCUUCGAAUGAGCUGGCGAGCAAAAUCUUAGCUUGAUGUUUAAGCUCUUGUAAAAAUAGUUAUAGCUGUUAAAUUGUUUACCGUUAUUUGUUAUGAGGUUAUAAGGGAUUCCAUAUCUGCACAGGAUGUUCCUUUAAAUAAAGUCAGUCGUCUUCUUCUUUGUUAUCCUACUAAACGACUUGAUUUCGACCUACUUCGUGAAAUAAUCUAUUGCCAGAAUAAUAUGAGUGGCGGCUCAUCGCCCUUUCAGUAAAGGCCUAAUCAGGUCUAUUUCCCCACUAAGCAAAUGGCCAUAGUUUUUUCUGGCGGCUGUGCUAGAUAACAAGCAAAGCUUUGCCAACUCUUGCAGCUCCUGGUCUUUUCUUGUGCAUUUUGACCAUCAUUGGCUAGAAAUAUCCUUACCUUAGUGAAAUACAAGUAUGCAACCCAAGAGGGGGGUGAAUUGGGAUUCUAAAAAUUAUUCAAUUUAUAAAGAAAAACUUACUGCAAAUAUAAUCCAAAUUCAAAGCAAUAACAAUUAAGUUGAUCACAAUAUAAAGAGAUAAGGGAAGAGGGAUUCAAACACAGAGAUUUUUACGUGGUUCGGCCAACCUCGCCUACAUCCACGCCUCCAAGCUUUCUGGGCUUGAGGAUCCACUAAGCAAGCCUCCAAGGCUUCAAAUGCUUACACUUGACUUCCAAGGUGUCAAUAAACCUUUACAACAAGAGAUUAUCCCCAAUCUCUUAACCCAAGUGUAUCCCAACACUUACAAUCACUCAAAGUAAAAGAUUACAAAUUGAUUUGCCUCUCACAAUAUAUAGGAUUACACAAUGGUGCUUAAUAUGUGAAUAGAUGAAGCAAGAAUGUGUUCUAAGCUCUAUGAAGAUUGUAUUCUCGAAUAUUAGCUCAAUGGUCGUGUUGUGAUAAACUUUCUUUGAAUUUGAAUGAGCUAAAUGGUUAACCGUUUCGGUUGGUCAAAGUUACCAUUGGGCCAGAUUUCAAAUAAACGGUUUGCCGUUUAGGAUUAACCUUUUGCCGUUAAAUUCUAGAGACCUGCAAGAUGAACAUUAGUUAUCCGUUUACACUAAACGGUUAAGGACUUGCAUAAAGUGACUUCUCUGGAUAUUAUCGGUUAACCGUUUUUAAUAAACGGUUAGCCGUUUGUCUCCAGUAACCUGCAAACAAUUUAGCCUUAUCAGGUUUUGUUACUUAGUGCCAGAGGAGAACAACCUUCAAUUCUGGACGUUAUCAGUUAACCAUUAAAAAUAAACGGUUCACCGUUAAGUUCCAGUAGCCUUCUCAUCUUUUGAGUUUUCCGUCUUUCAUAAACGGUUAGAGCUUUAGGCAUUAUGUUGCUCUCUGGAAUUAAUCGGUUAACCGUUUAAAUAAACGGUUUACCGUUAAGUUCCAGUAACCUUCCCAUCUUUUGUGUUUUCCAUUUUUUAUAAACGGUUAGAGGUUUAGGAAAUAUGUUGCUCUCUGGCUGUUAUCGGUUAAUCGUUUAAAUAAACGGUUCACUGUUUAUAACCAGAAUUGCAUUUUAAACUAGUUUUUGCAGAGAAUCUUUUUCUAAUUUGAAAGUCCAUCUUUUAUGAAGAAUGAAUGGAAUGAUUACUAAGGCUUUCGUUUAUUAGGAAAUAGCUCCAAUAUUUUUAUCAAAAACCAUUUAAAAUUUGUUAUCAUCAAAAUCAAUAUUAUUAACAUAUUCAUGUUAACACUUAGGGCUUUGAAGGCCAACGAUCUCGCCCCUAAGUGAUUUUCGCAAACUCCUUCAUGUACAUCCCUCUGCACAUAAUAUGCCUCAUCUUCAUCCAAGCAUAGUAAAAAAGGUAAGGUAUACCCUCGCCUAUACAACACCCUAUUAAUCAACGUAUAUUUAGACAAUUAACAUUUGAGUUUUCAUGCUCGCAUCUUAUCUGCUGGUAAUGUUCUAUCUUGAAUAUAUGAAAUUAUCAAAUUCAUCCAUGCGUUUCGCCCAUCUAUCCACUUUUUUUCUGAAUCCUGCUCGAUAUGGGGAGAGGCUUUAACUUCAAUGGGAAUGGACUUUGGCAUCCUUGCAUCUGUUGUAACAGCCAUUCUAGCUAAGAUAUCUGCUCAAUAAUUAUUUGCCCUUAAGAUCUACUCCACGUCAACUAGUCAAACUUCUCAAUUAUUUGUCUAGCCUUCUUUAAGUAUUGUUGUAUCUUUUCACCCCAAGGUUGAAAGUUCUCAUUGCAAUGGUUAGCAACAAGCUGAGAAUUUGUUUGAACUCUCACUUUGCUUGCUCAAGCAGCCUAGGCCAACUUCAAUCCCACUAUGAAGGCUUUGUAUUUUGCUUGAUUAUUGGUUGCCUUAAAUUCAAACCUUAAGGCAUAAGAGAUUUAUUCUCCAUCGAGACUUUCUAAGAUCACUCAUGCCCUUACUCUUUCCUCGCUUGAAGAGCCAUCCACCGUUAUCAGCCAGACUUUAUCCCCAUUACUCCUAGUAACCGCCUGAUCACCACUAGCUUUCGUGUAUGGUUUUGUGAGUUCUACUAUAAAAUUCGCUAAUGCUUGUGCUUUGAUUGCUGCUUGGGGUUUGUAACUUAUAUCGAACUCACUUAACUCCACCGAACACUUCACCAAUCAUCCGAAAACCUCUGGUUUAUGUAUUGUGUGUUAUAACAGUUGAUCCGUAAUCACGACGAUUGAAAAGGCCUAAAAAUAUAGCCUUAGUUUUCAAGCAGCAACAAUAAGGUGAAGGGCCCAUUUUUUCAUCAUCGAAUAUCUAGUCUCAGCAUUGAGCAGGACUUUGCUAGUGUAGUAAAUCAGAUAUCCAGCCAUCGAAGGCACCAUGCGGGGCACCGGUGCUGUUCCAAUGGAAGCAUGAUGGCUCACUUCGACUCUGCAUCAACUACCGAGCCCUUAACAAAGUGACCAUGUAGAACAAGUAUCCCAUACUACUGAUUACAGACUUGUUCAACCAACUUGGAUACGCCAAGUGCUUCUCCAAGCUUGAGCUUAGAUCGGUAUAUUACCAAGUACGGAGUGCAGAGGGAGAUGAGCUAAACACCGCUUGUGUGACGAGAUAUGGGGCGUACGAGUUCAAAGUCAUGCCUUUUGGCCUCACCAACGCUCCAGCCACAUUCUACAUGCUCAUGAACUGUAUAUUCCAGCCAUACCUUGAUCAGUUUAUGGUGGUGUAUCUUGAUGACAUUGUGGUUUACAAUGGCACCUUAGCAAAGCAUGCCGAGCACUUGCGAGUUGUGUUCAGGGUGUUGCGGGACAAUGAGCUGUUUGUUAAGCGGGAGAAGCGUUCGGUCGCUAAACUGGAGGUUGAUUUUCUUGGCCACAAAAUCAGAGAUGGGACGUUGCUCAUAGACAAGGCUAAGGUCCAAGCCAUUGCGAAAUGGGAGCCGCCCUAGAAGGUGACCGAGUUGAGCUAUUUCUUAAGCCUUGCCAACUACUACCGGAGAUUCAACAAGGGUUAUUCUGCCAUUGCUGCACCACUCAUCGAUUUGCUCAAGAAGAGUAACAAGUGGGAAUGGAUGGAGAGGAGCCAACAAGCCUUCGAUGCCCUCAAGAAGGUCGUGACGGAAGAGUCGGCACUAGCGCUACCAAACCAUGCCUUACCAUUUGAGGUACACACAUAUUUUUUUGAUUUUACUAUUGGGGGUGUACUGAUGUAAGCUGAACAUCCUAUAGCCUUUGAAAGCUAAAAACUCAACAAUACUGAGCGGUGAUAUACAGUAUAAGAGAAGGAGAUCACUGUGAUAAUGCACUAUUUACGCACAUAGAGGCACCACUUGCUUGGGUCCAAGUUCAUGGUGAAGACGGACAAUGUAGCGAAGAUGAACAUCCCAUAGCCUUUGAACACCAAAAGAAACUAAGUCUGAAACAAGCGAGACGGCAUGAUUUCUUGGCUGAGUUCGACUAUGUACUGAAGUAUAAGCCAUGAAGGGCCAAUUUAGUAGUGGAUGCCUUAAGUCGGAAGGUCGAGCUUGUUGCCAUGAGCCGGAUACAAAGGGAGCUUCUUACGCUCAUAAAUGAGAGAACGUAGCAUGAUCCCUUAGCCAAACGACUGGUUUCCCUCGUGCAACAGAGGAAAUCGAAGAGAUUUUGGGUUGAGGAUGGUCUUUCGUACUCCAAGGGACGAUGUGUCUAUGUUCCAAAGUGGGGAAACUUGAUGCAGAACUUGAUCAAGGAGUGUCAUAACACCAAAUGGGCUAGACACCUAGGACAAAGGCGGGAACGAGCCUUGCUUGAGUCGGCAUACUAUUGGCCUCAGAUGUGGGAUGAGGUGGAGUAGUUUUUACAGACAUGCUUAGUGUGCCAAUAGGGCAAAGUGUAGCAACAAUGUCCCGCAGGGUUACUUGAGCCACUGCCCACACCGAAUCGAUCGUGAGAAAGCACAUCGAUGGAUUUCUUCACUUGUCUUCCAAAGUUCGAGGGGUUUGCGACUAUUGUUGUGGUGGUGGAUUGCUUCUCCAAGUAAGCCACUCUCAUUCCCGCCCCGAAGGAGUGUACAAUAGAGGACUCAUCCAAGCUUUUCUUUAAGCUUGUGGUGAAGUAUUGAGGACUUCCAAAAUCCAUCAUUAGCGACUGUGACAAUUGGUUUACAGGGAGGUUUUGGACUGAGUUGUUCAAGCUCAUGGGGUCGGCACUGCACUUCUCUACGAGAUUUCACCCACAGACCGAGGGGCCAACGGAGAGAGUGAAUGCCUUAUUGGAGUUGUACUUGUGGCAUUUUGUAAGCACCAACCAGCAUGAUUGGGCGAAGUUGCUGGACGUGCCUAAUUUUUCUACAACUUGCAAUGGAGUGAGGUUACUUCGAGGAGCCCUUUCGAGGUGAUCAUGGGACAGCAGUUGCUAACGCCAUGCACACUUAUCACAGGCUACACUGGGAGGUGUCAUGCAGCAUACUAGGUGGCUAAAUCGUGGCAUGAGCAAGCGGACAUAUCACGGGCGCACCUUGACAAGGCGAUCAAGUGGAUGAAGAAGUAGGCGGAUAACAAGUGUAGACAUUUGGAGUUCAAUGUGGGGGACAUGAUGCUAGUGAAGAUCCUACCAUCCCAACACAAGUCUACCCGUUCACUAUACAAGGGCCUUAUUCGGAAGUAUGAGGGUUCAUUUCCCAUCAUCAAGAAGGUCGACAAUGUGUCAUACAAGCUAGAGUUGCCCUCUUAGAUAAAACUCUAUCUGAUCUUCCAUGUGAGUUGCUUAAAGCCAUACCAUAGGGGUACCAAAGAUCCGAAGUGGGGAGAAUUUAAGCGCCCUCCACUCGGCAAUACGAGGGCGUAUGACAAAGAAGUGGAGACCAUCUUGGCCGAUCGAGUGGUUUGGAAGAAGAGUUUUCCGCCAUGCCAAGACUACUUUGUCAAAUGGAAGAGACUACACGAGAGUGAAGCAAGUUGGAAGCUCGCAAAAGAUUUUUGGUAGUUUUAAGACAAAAUCAAAGACUUCCACAGCGAGUCGACGAGGACGUCUCCGGAUUAGGAGGGGGAGAAUGUCAUGGCCAAAGCCUCUAAGUAACAUGGACUGGACCCAUGGAUGAUUAUAGACUUAUGUAGUGUGUAGAUAUUUCUCAUGUACUUAUUAUAGGUAGGUGGUAGGUAGUAGUUGAGCAUUAACCUACUCUAUUGUACUCUAUAUACAAGAGGGGCCUCAUUUGGCCAAUACACACAAGACAUAACAAACAAAACAACAUACAUAGCUUGUAAGUAUUUUAUCGAGCAAUAUAAGUCCUUUCCUCUUAUCUUGUGUGAGUUUGAGUGAAUACACAUUUCGAUUUUCGAAUCCAGUAACAGAUUUGAGUGUAUGGCUGACUUAGGGCCAAGAGAGUGUGAAUUUAAUGCAUAAGGCUGCAAGUCACAGCGUGGGAUAUAACUAGGCCAUUAAACAAGGCAAAAGAAAGAAAAGAUUUUUCACUCUAUUUAUUAUGCCAGCAAGACUUUUGCAUAUGAUAAAUUCAUGGCUUAUUUGGUUGGCACCAAAGUGACUGUUUAUAUAGAUCACUCGGCUAUAAAGUAUUUGAUUUCAAAGAAGGAUGCCAAACCAAGGUUGAUUACGUGGAUUCUAUUGUUACAAGAGUUUGACUUAGAGAUUAAGGACAAAAAAGGUACUGAGAAUCAAGUAGCAAAUCAUCUUUCAAGGCUGGAAGUAGAUGAAAGCACUCUGACCUAGCAACAUAUCACAUAAAUAUUUCCUGAUAAGCAAUUGUUAAUGCUACAACACUCUUAAAUGUUGCAGCAAUUUGGAUUUCCAUGGUAUGUAGAUUUUGUUAAUUAUUUGGUGAGUGGACUAUUUCCACCUGAUUUAAGUUAUCAGCAGAAAAAGAGGUUUCUUUAUGAUGUAAAAAGUUAUUUGUGGGAUGAGCCUUACUUGUAAAAGAUAUGUUCAGACCAUGUAAUCAGAAGAUGCGUACCAAAUCAAAAAAUUUCAAACAUCAUGCAAUCUUGUCAUCCUGCAGCAUAUGGAGGACACUUUGGAGGGCACAAGGCAGCAACAAAAGUCUUUCAAUCAUAUUACUACUAGCCCUAUAUUUUUAAAAAUGCUUAUGAGUUUGUUAAAUAUUGUAACAGGUGUCAAGGGGCAGGGAACAUGUCUGAAAAGCAUUAGAUGCCACUCUCAAAAGCAUGAGUAGCCCAAAGCUAUUGAACAUAUUGAAACCCCACCAAUUAGUCCAGCUCAGAGCUAGAAAAAGAAACAACCAGCUGCUAAAUCUUUAGGUUCACCUAAGGAACAUUCGCGAAGUACAAAUAAGAAGAAGUGAACCUUUUUCAGCAAGAGCUGCGACAAAACAUCCAACAACAAGGGAGUAUCCCCUGCCAACCCAAUUUAAUUUUCCAACUUCUGAAACGUUUCUUUUCUUUUAUUUAUUUUCGAUUCUUUAUUUUGUAUUUCUUUAUUGUUAGUGUAUGCAUGUUUGUCUUUGCUUUAUGUUGUGUACUUGUGAGGACACAACACCUCUCAAGUUUGAGGGGGUUGUCCUACAAUGUAAUGUGUUUAUUAAUGCAUGUGUUUGACUGUUUGUGUUAUGUGUGUAGCUCUGUUAUCCAGUAGUUGUUAGUGGAUUAUAAAACCCAAUGAGGAUAAAUUGUGUGUUAAAUGUGAGAAUGAACGACUGCCAAGUAAGGAUAGUUUAUAGAUGAAUGUUGAAGCUCUCUCUUUACCAUUAGGCUUUGGUUGAGUUUGUGAGUAUACUGUAGCAAAGCCAGAAAGACCAAAAAAGUUAGAAAAUAUCUCAAGUUUGGGGGGGGGGGGGAUUUUUUAGAUUUAUCAUAAAUUAUGCUUCAAUGGCUUAAGUUGCUGAGUAAUCAAGGCUGAGUAUGUACCCUAUAUGCAGACUUAAGUAAAAAGGCAGUAAGAGCUAUGAGCAUUACUAUAGCAACUAAAACAAAAACAAAAAAGAAAAGAAAAAAAGAGAAAGGUCCUCUGUCUAAGAUAUUGAGUAGUCAGGUCUGUUUAUGAGCCCCGUGUUCAGCCUUAAGUUAAAAGUGUCUAUAGAUAAGACUAUAUUAUAACAUUGCUGCAACAACUUUGAUAUGUACAUUGGUUAAGUAAUUGGGUGCCAUUAUUACAAGUGAUAGACAUUCACAUGAAAAAUCAAUAAUGAUACAUUAAAGAGAAUUUGACUAAAUAAAAAGAAAAAAAAACUUUGUUGUAGCACAGUUUAAACCUAUUUGUGACUUCUACUUCCUUAGAUAUGAAUGUACUUAGGUUCUAUCUUUGAGUUAUGUGUAAUGUCUGUGUGAUGCGGCAGCACCUAUAGAACUUGAAUAAAGUGACACACACUGUAAUACCCCAAAUUUCCUAAGGGUAUUUAAGUCUUUUUAGUUUUUAGUGAUCCCUUUUACCCUAGUAUAAAUAGAACAAGAUGUCUUUUCCAUUAUGAGAGAGGAAGAAGGAGAAAUCCGCUAAGACAAAAAAAAAAUGACAAAAGAGAGAGAAGAGAUAGAGAGAAAAGAGAGAAAAGAAAAGAAAAAGAGAAGAAGAAAGUCUUCUUCUUCUUCUUCUUCUUUGUUCUGCCACGACAACACAUGAGAUCAAAUUGCAUAAUUUGAAUUGCGUAUUGUUGAGAGAAGAUUUGGAUUUGCAGGUAAUUUUUAAUUCUUGGUUUUUAUUAAUUCGUUAUGGAGAAGUAUGAUUGCAAUAGAAGUAGAAACUUAAGAUUUUAUAGAAAUAUGCUGACAGUGAAUUAUUACGAAAAUUAUAGUAAUUUGUACAAAUUGAUUUUGAUUCUGAUUUUUGGAUAUGUUAAACUAGACAUCGUCUAGAACGCUUUGCAACUUGUUUCAAGUUAAUCGGAUAAGAUUUCAAUUAAUUAUGAUUUUUCAAAGUCAAGUCUGAAAACCUGGAAAUUUAUGAUUGCAAUGAAUAACGUGAAUUGCGAAAUUAGUUUUACCAUAGCUAGACUUCUUCAAAACUUAUGAAAUCUGGACCAAUGAUUUUUAUAUAUGGCUAGUAUGAUUCUGUAAUUUUUCAUGAUUUUAUGAUAACGAAAUAAAUUGUUUUGUAUUUUUAAAGCAAGUGUGUUCAAAACAGAAAACUGUUUGACAAUAUUGAUGAUGUGUGAAACAUCAAUUAUUUUCAAUCGUUUUUGAAGGAAUUAUGUUAUGAAGUUUUUAUCAAUGAACUUUCAAUGUGUCAGCAUAUGGCCUGUAAAAUUUUAGAUUAUUCCAAUAAGGGAAUAAUUUAUUACAAAUCAGAGAAUAUGGACUGUUAUGUUUUGAGGGCCGAUAAUUGAGAACAUUUGAGGUUGAGCUUAGGAGUUGUUUAAAUUGAGAUAUUUGAGGACAUUAGAGUUUAUGAUUGAGAUUUGAUUAUAUAUUAUGAGGAUUUAUUGAUGAUUUUAGGUUGAUGAUAUCAGUACGCAUUUGUUACAUGAGGAUGCCAAGAGGUAAGUAAACUAGACUUUAAAAUGAAUCACAAUAAACAAUACAUAUGUUUGACUUGUAUGAAAGGCCUACUUUGAUAUGUACGAAUAUGGAUUUAUAUGUCUCUGCUAAUGUGUUUAUGUGAUGUGUUGCUAUGUAUUGGGCGUGAUUAUGUACAUGGGCAUAUGUAUGUGUGAUGGUUCAUUGGUAUGAGCACGAAAAUACAUUGAGUUUUCUAUGAAUGAGAAAGUGGAUUUUAGCAAAUGAGAAUUCUGUUUUAUGAGAUUUUGCAUUGGGGGCCACCUCUUGAGACUAUGCGGGGGCCACCUCUUGAGGGUCAAAGCGUCGCAAAGUGCCACACAUGGUGGAAAGUGCCACGCACAGCACAAAGUGCCACAAUUGCAGAAUAUGUAUUUCAAUGAAAGAAAAUAUGAAAGUUUGAAAGCGACAGAAAGAGAUUUUGAUGAAUUUAUUUUACAAUAUUUCCAAAAGAUCAUGACAUAUCAUCCAUCUGCAUUAUGUAUAAGUAUGUAUGUACUUUCGUAUAAGAAAAACUAGUUUGCUUACUGAGUUUUAUACUCAUUAUAGUUCAUUGUGAUUCAGUUUUCAGAAGUCAGGAUUGAUUCGUGAUGAGUGAGAAGUUGAAGAUGGUAGAUGGUUCGGCUAAAUUUUUAAGUUAUUCCGCUAACUUUUGUAUUUGAGGCUCGAAUUUUAUCGUUUGUAAAGAGUUAUUUAAAUUCAUAUGUGAGUUGUGGUCAGAUUUGCCCUCGGAGUUCGGGCUGGGUGUUACACACACACUUUGGACAGUGUAAGGCCUAUGUCUUGAGUUUUAGAAAAUGUAUAUUUAUAAAGGAGAAAAUCGUCAUUUUACAUUUCAAGUUUUACUAACAACUCUUACUUUUAUGUAUUUAAACUUCUUGUAAUUUAAUUAUGUGUGUUUUAUUUUAAUUAAGUAUUUUAUGUAUUUUAGGGGCAUCAUAGUCAUUUCACAAUAAACGAGAGAUCAGACGGUAAAACAGACAUCACUUUUGAACUCAGGACGGUCGAAAACCUUAGGAGAAGCAUAAAAGAAAAAAUGGCAUUAUUCACAUGUACGGUACUGUCUACAUUACUGUUCAUGACAUUGUUCACAUACACGGAUCGAUGGCAUGGCAUUGACUGAUGAGGUGUCACGAUCCUAUUGGACUAAAAUUCUUAUGCACUGUUGAUUGGUGACGUGGCAGCAUAUCAAUGGAUCAAAAAUCGCGCGUACGGUACAUGCAUCACACAAGAUUAUUUUCAACCAAACCGCGUCACUGUUCAAUACGGGUCAAAAUCGUGUUACUGUUCAAACCGCGUACUGUUGACUGAUGACGUGGCGUAAUUCUAAGCGUCCAAACUGUUUUUAAUCCGAUGGCCAUGAUUUACUCAAUGUAUCUAUAAAAAGGGGGGCUCCCCCCCCCCCCAAUUUGAUAUCUCUGAAUCCAUUUUUAAACUCCAUUUUAUGUAAUUCCUUCUCUAUCUUGUAUUUUCUACAUAUUUUAAUAAAUUUCUAUUUUGCCCCUUGUUCAAUUAUGAGUAGCUAAUUUUCUUUCAAGCUUGGGUUGAAAGUGAAGUCUCAACAUGUGUCAUGGGUUUUAUUUGGUAAAUUUAUUUUCUCUUCCCCUCUAGGUUUUGUGGAUGUUUUGACUUCUCGUCGACAAAUAAUAAUAAUCUUGUCUAGAUACCGCCCUGGUUUCACCGGCUCCCUAGUACAAGGUUAUUAUUAUUUGGCACGAUAAGCCCUUAGCACCAUAUUGAUUAGAGUGUGGUUCAUGAGGUGUGGAUUCCCCCCUCAUGAUUUAAUUGGCAUUAAUAAGGAAUAUUUAACCCAUGGUGCAUGUUGAUACGGAUCCAGCUACCCAAGUGCCACAUUUCAAUAGAAUUCUCUUCAAUUUAUUCUCGCCAUUUCAAUUCCAAAUUUAAGAUAAUCUAAGUCACUUUCACCACAAAUCCAACCGCCCUCAUACAAAAUUAAUUCUACAUAUAAUUAAAAUCCACCUCCUCGCGAGAUCGACACUCGUCACCAUUAAUCUAUUCUACAAUAGAUUUAUGCACUUGCGAGUUCAAUAAAAUUUGCACAACAAGUUUUUGGCGCCGUUGCCGGGGAGGUAAGUUAUUUUAAUUUUUAGAAUUAAUUUUUGUGAAUAAUUUUUUUUAUUUGUUUUCUUGUAUUUUUUUAUUAAAAAGAAAAGCAAAAAAAAAGUGAAUCUGCAUUUAGAGGUUAGUAUUUCUUUUCUUUUUCUCUUUUUUAAAAUUCUGUAAUUUAAUUUUCAAGUUAUUUUUUUCUUCUUUGUAAUUUUUUUUUAUCUUACUAAUUUUUUUUAGUUAAUUUAUUUUACGUAUUUUUUUUUUGUGUGUAUUUUUAUAGUAAGGUUGUAAUAACGCGAUAAGGUUAGUACCGUAAUUUCUCCUUCUUCUUUAUUUUUUAUUUGUUUUGUUCUCAUUUAUUUUUGUGUUUCUUGCAUGCAUGAUCGUAGGUCGUUAUUACCUAAUCUUGAACCUAUAAACCUUGAACUAGAAAAAAUACUUCGCACAUACAAGCACGUUAAAAAUAAAUUUGAAAUGGAUUUGCAACAACAACAAGCACCACAUGAGAGGCCAUUUAAGGACUAUUUUAGUCCCUUAGCUAAUUUGAGUACAUCAUGUAUAAGAUACCCAAAUGUAGCUGCUAGGAGUUUUGAACUAAAACCUAGCAUGCUAAAUUGUCUCCCAACAUUCUAUGGCCUAGAAAAUGAGGACCCAUAUAAUCAUUUGAAUGAUUUUCAUGUUGUUUGUCAAACAUUUAAAUAUGAGAAUUUUUCAGACGAUGAUGUUAAACUCAAAAUUUUCCAUUUUCUCUAAAGGAUUGAGCUCGUUUAUGGCUCAAUACAUUGCCUGCCAAUAGCAUUACAUCAUGGGAAUAAAUUGUAACUAAAUUUUUGAAUAAAUAUUUCCCAGUGCAUAAAACCAAUGCUAUUCGCAGGGAAAUCUCGGAGUUUACCCAGAGAGAAGACGAGCAGUUUUUCGAAACAUGCAUUGAUUAUAGAAAGUUGAAUUCUGUCACACGUAAAGACCAUUUUCCUUUACCAUUUAUUGAUCAAAUGCUUGAUAGAUUAGCAGGCCAUGAAUUUUAUUGCUAAUGGCAACAAGUGGAGGAGAGCUAAUGUCAAAAAGUGCAUAAGAGAUUUGGGAAUUUUUCCAAUGACAAGCAGAUAAUCCCCAACAACGGAGUCGAUCACUCCGGAAUACUAGAAGAAUUAAGGGAGUAAAUGAGGUUCACAUUGGCGAGUCAACUUCGGGAAUCAAAGAAGUCAAGGAGAUGGUUGAAGGUCGCUCUCGACAAAUAGCAUCGUUAACGACUGCUACAUCAACAGAACCACAUGACCCUGACUCAUAUCCAGAUCAAGCCAAUGCUAUAGGUGCAAUGAGAAAACCAUCAAAUUACAACCCAUACUCCAACACAUAUAACCCUGGAUGGAGAGACCAUCCCAAUUUUUCAUAGUCUCAAGGAUUCUAAUAGAAUGGACCAGCAGCUCCAGCUCCACCAAUGCAACCAAUUCCUCAAGCCUCUCAGCCAUCAUUUAGACCAUACAAUUCGAACCAAAAUUACUCUCAACCCAGACCAUGGGAGGAUGCAUUCCAGAAUUUCAGGAAUGCUACUCACUCCACGAUUGAACAACAGAACCGCACCAUUGAUGGACUACGAAAUGAGUUGGGAGCAGGCUUCAACUCACAAGCUCAAUCAGUUUCAAGCCUCGAGAAGAUGGUGGAACAACUUGCUUAUUCAGUUCAGACCUUAGCAAUGACUAUUAAGAAAGGUAAAUUUCCAAGUCAACCAGUGCCUAAUCCUAAAGGAGUGCAUGAAGCAAGUACCAAUUCACCACAGCAGCAUGGAGAGGUCAAAGCAGUCAUGACCUUGCUAAAAGGAAAGGAAGACGACAACAAAGUGGAGAUACCGGUGACAAAACAAAAUCAAAUUGUAUAUGUGAAUGUUGAGGACUCAUCACCGGAGGAGAAAGAAGAAACCAACCUACGAGAAAGGAAAAUCCACAGGUGACAUUCUUGAAAUUUUCAAACAGGUAAGCGUUAACAUCCCUUUACUUGAUGCUAUAAAGCAAGUUCCAUCUUAUGCCAAGUUUCUUAAAGACCUUUGUACUAAAAAGAUAAAUAUUCAUGUUCAAAAGAAUGCAUUUUUAACAGAAAAAGUUAGUUCUAUACUCCAACACAAAAUUCCUCUAAAAUGCAAAGACUCAGGCUCCCCCACUAUCUCAUGUAGUAUAGGGAACCAAACAAUUGAGAAUGCUUUGUUAGAUUUAGGAGCUAGUGUAAAUCUGUUGCCUUAUUCAGUUUUCGUGAAACUUGGACUGAGAGAAUUACACCCAACUCCAAUGGUGUUACAGCUUGCAGAUCGGUCCACGAAAAUACCUCGUGGUAUUGUAGAGGACGUGCUUAUCUAGGUAGACAAGCUUUAGUUUCCUGUUGAUUUCAUUGUAAUUGACACUCAACCAAUAUGCAGUUGUCCUUCGACAACAUGAUUAUGGAGUUAAACAUCUUCAACAUUGCCAAAUAACCUCACAAUGUAGAUGAUAGAAUUAUCGAUGUGGAUUUAAUUGAAACAUUAGUUGAUAAUACUUUUCUUUUAAACCUUAGUGAUGACCCUUUACAAACAUGCUUAACUCACUUUGGUUUGGAUUUUGAUAUUGACAGGUCGGUCGAUGAGGUCAACGCCUUACUUGACUCAGCACUAUCCAUGGACACUAAUAAAUGGAAGUCAAGAGUUGAACAACUAGCACCAUCAGAGAAGAAACUCACCCCAUCAUCAGAAUAUAAAAGGUAUAAACCCAAUAGACUGCAUGCAUUACAUUCAUCUUGAUGAAAAUGCUAAACCUACCAGGGAAAUGCAACGUCGGUUAAAUCCUAACAUGAAAGAAUUUGUUAGAACCGAAAUCCUUAAACUAUUAGACGCAUGUAUCAUUUACCCAAUUUCUGAUAGUUCAUGGGUCAGUCCUGUACAAGUUAUCCCCAAAAAUUCAGGACUCACAGUAGUUACCAAGGCUGAUAAUGAAUUGAUACCCACUAGAGUGACUACAGGAUGACGUGUGUGCAUUGAUUAUAGAAAGUUGAAUUCUGUCACGCGUAAAGAUCAUUUUCCUUUACCAUUUAUUGAUCAAAUACUUGAUAGAUUAGCAGGCCAUGAAUUUUAUUGCUUUCUAGAUGGCUACUCAGGAUAUAAUCAGAUUCCUAUAGCACCAAAAGAUCAAGAGAAGAUCACUUUCACUUGCCCUUUUGGCACUUUUGCAUAUAGGAGAAUGCCAUUUGGAUUAUAUAAUGCACCUGCUAUAUUUCAACGAUGCAUGUUGAGCAUUUUUCUGAUAUGGUUGAACGAUUCCUUGAAGUCUUUAUAGAUGACUUUUCUGUUUUUGGUGAUUCAUUUUAUCAAUGUUUACAUCAUCUAACAUUAGUUCUGCAAAGAUGUAUCGAGAAGAACUUAGUCUUAAAUUGGGAGAAGUGCCAUUUUAUAGUAAAACAAGGUAUUGUUCUCGGUCACGUCAUUUCGAGCAAAGGUAUUGAGGUUGACAAAGCCAAAGUGGGUCUCAUUUCUAAUCUUCCUCCACCUAAAACAGUCAGAGAAGUGAGAUCUUUCCUUGGGCAUGCUGGUUUCUAUAGACGUUUCAUUAAAGAUUUUAGUAAAGUUUCUAGACCCUUAUGCAAUUUACUUGCAUAGGAUGUACCUUUUGUCUUUGAUGAUUCAUGUCUUGUGGCAUUUGAAAAGUUAAAGCAGUUGUUGACAUCAUCACCCAUCAUUCACCCCCUAAACUGGAGCUUACCAUUUGAGCUCAUGUGUGAUGCAUCUGAUUAUGCAGUAGGAGCAGUAUUAGGAUAAAGAGUUGAUCGAAUUCCCCAUGUUAUUUACUAUGCUAGUAUGACAUUGAAUGAUGCACAAUUGAACUAUUCAACUACUGAAAAAGAAAUGCUAGCGGUAGUGUUUGCAUUAGAGAAAUUCUGAUCUUAUCUCAUUCGUUGUAAAAUAAUUAUAUUCACAGAUCAUGCUACUCUUAAAUAUUUUCUCACAAAGAAAGAUGCAAAAGCUAAACUAGUUCGUUGGGUGUUACUUCUGUAGGAAUUCGACUUGGAAUUUAAAAAUAAGAAAGGCACAGAAAAUGUUGUGGCAAACCAUCUCUCUCGUCUCCAUUUUGACACAAUUACUGAACCUUUAACAUUGAAUGAGUCAUUUCCAGAUGAACAAUUGAUGAGUGUGGAAGUAUUGCCAUGGUAUGCUGACAUCGUGAAUUAUCUUAUUACAGGUCAACUUCCAGAGCAUUGGACCAAGCAAGACAAGGCCAAAUUUUUUGCAGAAAUAAAGAAUUUCUUUUGGGAUGACUCGUAUUUGUUCAAAUAUUGUGCAGAUCAAAUUGUUAGAUGAUGUGUCCCAGAAGUGAAAUUCAAAUAAUCGUUUCAUUCUGCCAUGAACAAGCUUGUGGAGGCCAUUUCAGUGCUAAGAAAACAACAACUAAAGUUUUACAAUGUGGUUUCUAUUGGCCAGCUAUAUUUUGAGACGCUUACACUUUCUGUUCUUCAUGUGAUAGGUGUCAACGAAUGGGGAGCAUUACACGAAGGAAUAUGAUACCACUAAAUCCAAUUUUAGUGGUUGGGAUUUUUGACGUAUGGGAUAUCGACUUCAUGGGACCCUUUCCUCAUUCUUUUAGCCAUCAAUAUAUAUUGGUUGUUGUUGACUACGUAUCGAAAUGGGUAGAAGCAAUUCCAUGUAGAACUAAUGAUCACAAGGUGGUGAUAGGAUUUUUGAAAAGCAACAUUGUUUCACGCUUUGGAUUCCCUUGAGCGAUAAUCAAUGAUAGUGGUGCCCACUUUUGUAACAAAGCAUUCAAAACUCUUUUGACAAAGCAUUCAAUCACUCAUAAAGUGGCGACCCCAUAUCAUCCGCAAACCAGUGGCCAAGUUGAGAUCUCCAAUCGAGAAAUAAAGCACAUAUUAGAAAAGACGGUGAGGCCAGACAGAAAAGAUUGGUCAUUAAGACUUGAUGAUGUAUUAUGGGCAUAUAGAACGGCUUUCAAGACCUCGAUUGGGAUGUCACCCUACAGGCUAGUGUAUGGAAAAGCUUGCCACCUACCCGUGGUACUCGAGCAUCAUGCAUAUUGGGCCAUCAAGAAAUUCAACUUUGACAUGCAGCAAGCUAGCUCAGAAAGAAGAUUACAACUGACAGAACUUGAAGAAAUUCGCAAUGAUGAAUACGAAAAUGCCAAGAUUUACAAGCAGCGAAUGAAAGUCUUUCAUGACAAGCAACUUAUGAGAAAAUCUUUCACUCCAGGUCAGAAAGUGCUUUUAUUCAAUUCUCGUUUGCACCUAUUCCCAGGUAAGUUACGCUCUCGAUGGUCUGGCCCAUUUAUUGUUCAUAUUGUUUUUCCACAUGGGGCAAUUGAAAUUAAGGACCUAAAGAAUGGUGUCACGUUUAAAGUUAAUAGUCAAAUAUUAAAGCCAUAUCUAGAAUACCAACCACAUGGAGAGGACACUGAAAUAAAUUUGAGUGACCCACCAGAUUUGAAUUAAGUUUGUUUUCUUUCCUUUCGGUGAUUUGAUUUUUUUUCUUCUUUCUUUCUUUUUAUUAUUCUUUUGCUAAUUAUUUUUGCAUCAGUGUGUUUGUUUAACCAUUAAGUUUUCUCUUAUUAUUGUUAAUCAUGAGUGUCAUAGCUAAACAGUUCCUCCUGAACAUUCUUAAACCACUUUAACGUGUAAAAUCUCAUCUCAAAAGAUAGAUUCGAUUUUGUAAGACACUUCGUAUUUGGGCUCUGCAACCACCAAAGUGAGUAUCCUAUGUUGAGGAUUUAGAAAGCCAACUCAGAGACAUUGAGAGAGGUGUCUACAACAUCUAGUUGGAGCUUGAGGUAAAUUCAAUAAGAGGACGAUUUUAAUUUUCUUUGUGUGUUUUAAUUUAUUUUUCUAUUUGUGUGCUUUAGUUUGUUACCCCGGUGAAGUGGCGGAUAACGGUACUCCGUGACAAUCAAGUCGGUUACUUCAGUUUCCCAUAAUAACUGAUAUUCUGAGGCGAAGGUAUGGACAUAAAUCAGAUCUUAGUAAAGCUUCACAAUCGAUUCCCUUCACUUCCUCAUAAUGCCCUCCUUACAAUCUAUAAAGCCCGGUCCGAACGCAUGUGAUUGCUCAUGAGGAAUAAUAUACCUGUUGACAUCCGUUGGUUAAUCGAGGCAAAAGUACGAUUGGCAGGUGAGUUACCUCCAAAAUUUAUUGCAUACAUGCCUGGUUAUGGUAAAGGAAAUUAUGCAAGAAAACGAAGAGCUCGAAAAAUUUAUGUUGCUUGUCAUAAGUGUGCCUGAAUGAGUUGCGAUAAAAAACCAUGUUCUUUAGGAAUGGUGUCUGAUAACAGGGAAGAUAAGAUUCAAUUCAUUAGGGAUGGCUUGAGUAAGGAGUCAUUGGAUAAUAUCCUUUUGUCUCUUGAAACGCAUCCCAAUGGAUAUGUGCAAGGAGCGAUUCUCCAGUUAUGGCCAUUAUUUCAGAAAGAGCAUGCACGAUAUAGUCUUGGGAAUCUGACUAUAAACGAUCCUGUUUGCCAGUUUAUAAGAAAAUUGGAUAGGAAGCCUAUCCUCGACCCAUAGAGGGCGUUCAAGCUGUUUCUGGACGUAAAACCAGAGGAAGAUGUGAGCCACAGUCGCAACUACCUGUAAAUAUCCUUUUACUUCACUGUUAUUUUAUUUCACUGUUGUUUUAUCAUUUGCAUUAUUGUCUUGAAUAAUUUUAUUUUAUCAUUGUUUCUUUUUCUUUUUACUGUUUCCUUUUUGACUCGCGAGCCAUGUGCUUUACACAUUAUUUGACACUGACAUGCUACCUCAUACACAGCUGUGACCCACUGUUACCAAGAUUCUUAAAUAUGAUUUUUUUGUCAAUCACUCACAAAUUAUUUUUGAGAAGUAUCCCAAUAGCAGCUACUCCCAAUAGACAAUUCAAGAACAUUUGUGUGUUUUCUGGAUUUAACUAUGGCAAACAUAAAGAGUUCGUUGAAGCAGCCAUAGAUCUUGGUCGAAGCAUAACAGAGAGAAAAUUACAUAUGGUGUAUGGAGGAGGUAACCGAGGGUUAUCAAAAUUAGUCUUAGAAGCUGUUUUUGUCAGAGGAAGUCAAGUGUUAGGCAUCAUCCCAAGAGCGCUAAAACCUUUGGGCAGUUUGUCUGACUCACCAACUGGAGAAGAGUUAGUCGUCUCAGAUAUGCAAGAAAAAAUAACUUAAAUGCUUAAUCAUGCUGAUGCUUUUAUUUUCCUUCCAGGAGAUCUUGCAACACUAGAGGCACUUAUCACACUAGCAUCUUGGGCCCAUCUGCACAUUCACCAGAAACCCAUCGGUUUGUUAAAUGUCAAUAACUUUUAUGAUGACUUUAUCGUAUUUCUUAACCAUGCAAUAAAAAAUUAUUUCAUUCCUUCCAAUGCGAAAAAACUUUUUAUUUGUGCUCACAUUGCUAAUGAGAUACUUGAUCUAUUACAAGCUUAUAAACCGGAGCCAGACCCCUGGACCUUUGUGUUAGAGCGUCUAAAUAAUGAUGGUAACAGUAGCUGCAGUAAGAAGUACAAAUUAGAUUUAACUCUCCACCUAUAAAUAUUUUUUUCUGUGUUGCACCACCCAGGUGAUGUCUUCUAAACUCUACUUCUUUCCUUUAAAAUAUUGAGGACAAUGUUUCGUUCUGGUUGGGGGGAGGGAAAAGUCGACAAUUGUGCAAUCUUGGUUGAGUUUUUACUAAUUUUUUGUUGUAGAAACUAAUUGUUGCUAACUUUUUAUGUUGAAGAUGGCUGAAUAUGGAGUGUAGUGACUCUGGAAACGCAUCCUCAUCGUUUGGAAAAAAAACAAAAAAAAAUUAAAAAACAAAAAAAAAGUUCAAACAUUUUCUUUUUCUUCAUUAAGUUUUGAUGUUCAUUUUUCUUCUUCUUUUUAAAUUAUCCUUUAUAAAUAUACAUUUACAAAUUUUUGAGUCGAAGAUGGCUAAUUGUGGAGUGUAGUGCCUCUAGAAACGCAUCAUCUAAGUUAAAAAAAAAAGAAAACCAUUUUCGUUUUCUAUCAUUUUAAGUGUAACUUUUCUAAUUAGUUUUUCUGCAUCAUUUUCACAUUUCUGCAUGCAUAUUUUCCUUUCAUGUUUAGAAUAGGUUGGGGGGUAGAAUGUUGUUUGAAAAAAAAAUUGUGUGAUUUGUUUUAACAUUGGAUGAUAUGAUGAAUUUUGAAUUUUAGUAUUUGUAUUAUCUCUGGUCUUAAGUGAUGUUACGCUAUGUUUGCUACUCUACAUGUUGAUGUCGGGAAAAAUAUGAGUUGCUUGAAGGAAUGAACAUGUCAUAAUAAGUACCAAGUAAGUUUUUGAGCCUAUCAUUUUUCUUGGAGAGUAACUAUUUUGCCCAUUCUUUAUACAGCUUAGCAAUUUAUUAUUUUAUACACGGUCUCUAGAUAUCUUUUGAGUUAACCCUUAAAAAAAAUUGUAAAAUUAAAAAAAAAAGAAGAAAAAAAAGAAGAAAAAAAUGUGUGUUGCUACAUUUGGAGGCCCAUCUAACUAGUAGAUAUGGAAGAUUAUUUAGAGCCCUAAAAGACAAUGGAAAUGCCAUCUUUGAUCCGUUUGAGCCUUUCUAGCCAUCCAUUUUGUGAAAUAUUAAUAGUUAACCCUUUUGAGCCUUUAAAAAAAAAGAAGAACAUUUUCUUUGUCAACUUAUCAUCAUGACCCACUUCGAUUUGGAGUAUUACCCGAUAUCUUAUAAGUUCCAUCACCUAUUUAUGUUUGAGAAAAAUGUAAAUAAUUAUUUUGUUAAGUGACGUUGUGCCAAAAAAAAAACAAAAAAAAAACAAAAAUUGUUGUUUCAAAAAGAAAAAAAAACAAUAAUAGGUGAAAUCUAUCUUCCAACUUUCAAAAAAAAAAAACUCUGCAUUUUUCUCAAACAUACACUUUGUUUUCCUUAUUUCCCUUCUUUGUUAGCCAUGUCUCUAACCUACAUUACGUCCUAAUAAAAGUCUUUCUUGAUUUUAGGGAACUAUAGUUUGAAGUAGAAGCUAGUUAUAUGGGCUAAAAAGAUGUAGUGGUGCAUAAAAAAAAUAAUAUAAAUAAAUAAAUAAAUAUCUUUGCCAUGACUGUUUGCAUAAUGGGGGAUCGACUUAAUUGGAGCGUUACCCAAAGGGCGAGGAGCAACUUCUAAUACUAUUGUGGCUAUAGAUUAUUUCACGAAAUGGGAGAAAGUUGAUGCUCUUAGUAAGAUCACGAAAAAGAAGACAACUGAUUUUAUUUGAAAGAACCUCAUAUGCAAGUAUGGAAUUCCUUAUGCCUUGAUAAUAGACAAUGUUAGGCAAUUCGAUAAUCACAACUUUAAAGAGUUUUGUCAUAACUUGGGUAUAUAACUGAAAUUUUGCUUGCCAACUCACUUGAAAGCCAACGGGCAGGUAGAGGCAAUGAACAUGACAAAAAAAAAAAGCUUUUGAAAGCUCAAUUAGGGAAAAAGAAUGGGACAUGGGUUGAUAAACUGUCACGUGUGCUCUAAGCAUAUAGAACCACUCAUAAGACUACCACAAGAGAAAAACAUUCGCCCUGGCUUUUGGUCAUGAAGUGAUGGUCCCUUCAGUGGGGUGACUACCCACCGAACGAAGUAUUUUAACGAGGAGGAAAAUGACAAGCAAAUUUGCUUAAACUUGGACUUACUAACUGAAAGAAAUGAGCUCGUGUCGAGAAAGGUAGUAGUUUACCAACAGAGAGUUGCUCACUAAUACAACUAGAAGGGUGAAUCAGAAUACCAGAGACUAAAGCCAGAGAGUAUUCAGUUUUAACUAGGAGGACGAGAAGCAGGGCCAAAGGCCUACAAGUUAGCUUAUACAAAUGCUCGCAAGGUCAAACGAUCAUGGAAUGCCGAGCACUUAAAGAAGUACUUCUAGUAAGCGUUCUCCGUAGUCAGCUAGUUAUUUUUUUUAUAAUUAUUUAAUGUUUAUGUUCAAUUUGUUUCUUAUACCACUUGAAGCCAAUUUAUUUCUUGUAAUUCCUGAAGUAUUGAAUAAUAUGAGCCAGAUAAAGUUCACUCAUUUAACUUUUUCUAUUUCUAAGGCAAGUAAAAGCUUGAAGUCUCAAAUCCUCCUCGAGGCGAGACAAAAGUCAAACUUGCCAAAACCUGCUCACUAAUGACAAGACGAGAGGUAGUUAAUUAUGUAAAUAUUUUCUAAGGCAAAAGAUAAAGCUUGAAGUCUCAAAGCCUCAUCAAGGCGAGACAAAAAGUCAAAUUUGCCAGAACUUGCUCAAUCAAGUGACGGCGAGCAGGCAGUAAAUUAUAUAAAUAUUCUCUAAGGCAAAUAUAAAAAUAUUUUAAGGUAAGUAAGGGCUUCAAGUCUCAAAAGAGGCGAGACCAAAGUCAAACUUGCCAGAAUCUGCUCGUUAAUGAUAAGAUGAGUAGGCGGUUAAUUAUGUAAAUAUUUUCUAAGUGAAGGCUUGAAGUCUCGGAGUCUUUUCGAGGUGAGACAAAAAGUCAAAAUUUUCAGAACCUACUUGAUCGAGCGAAGACAAGUAGGCCAUCAUGCAUUAAUAUAUUCUAAGGUAAGAAUAAUAUUUUUAAAUCAUAAAGCCUCCUCGAGGUAAGAUAAGUUUGAUAGGAUCUGCUCGUUAAUAAUAAGAUGAGUAGACAAUUACUAACGAAAACAUUCUAAGACAAGUGUAAAUUACGUAAGGCUCAAAGCCUCUUAGAGGCGAAAGCCAAUGUCUUCCAACAUAUGUUUAUUAGUGCUAAUCCGAGCAAAUAAUUAUUUGUGGGUAUUUAUAAAGACUAGGAAAUAUUCAUAACAUUGAAGAAAAAGAAGACAGUGUUUACAAAAAGUUAUUGAUUAAAAGAUAAACAUCUUAUUACAUUCAAGAUGGAGGGUCUAAGGGAGGAUCUGCUCUCAAUGAGUUGUCAUUAGUUGGAGGAGAAAUGGGAGUCUUGCCAGUUGCACCAAGAGGAGUGGUGGCCUUACUAGCAGUAAUAGAAGGAAUGGCCUUACCGGUUACAGCAAGGUCUCUUUUUUCCACAUCCCCUUUAGCUACCUACUCAUUUAUACAUUUAGUCACACCAACAGCCAACUCGUCCAUCUUCAGGUUGGGGUAUUGCCUCUCAAGGACGACCAUAAUACACCGAUAAGAGUGUCAGAGCCCCUCCUUAUAAUUAUUGUCGACCUCCUUUCCCAGGGCUUCAAUCAAAUUCAGGUGGGCUCCUCGAAGAAACUCUAACUAAGAUUUAUAAAAGUCCUUAUGGGUCGCAAGCUCUUCCUUAAUACUAGCCAGUUCCUUCUUGAGUUCAACCGCCUUGGCUUCAGAGAGAGACAUUUGCUCUACGAGCUUUAAGUUCUCGAGAUUAAGCUCUCUUAAUCUUUUUUUGGCCGACUCUUUUUUUAGCAGCUUGAAUGCCAUCCUUAAUUUUUUUGUCAUAAUGGCCAACUUUUACUUUGUAAUAAGUGGCCAGGGAGCCUAGUUAGAAUACACCAAACUAAAGAGCUUCUACCAACUCCCCAAGUGUACGAUCGUCGAAAUCCUCAAGGUCUUUCUUCUUUAUGAGCCUGCAAAACUUAUUGAUAUAGGGGACCAGAUACUCUGGUCGCUCAUUGGGAGACUGAGAUUUCUAGCCAACUGAAGGAGAAGAGGUGGCAGGGCCUUUAUUGCUUGUAGCUCCAUUUAUUUCAGCUGCCUUAGACAGAGGAGGUGAGAGAGCCUUCGAAGGGGAAUCUUUUUUUGUACUAUUGGGGCAUUUCUCUUAGGGAGUAUAUUUACUUGAACAUCCUUUCGCACUACCAGAAUAAGGGCGCUUUCUAUUCAAGGCUUGGAUUACAAUGUCUUCCAUAUCGUGGGCAUCUGACACUAGAUGUGAGUCGACCAAGCUAUGAGUGCAAAACAGAUCUCUAUAUAAGCAAGAAUUUGUUAAGGUGAUCUCAACCCUCUUCAACAAUUUUCUCUUAAUGUUAUAUAUCACGCUCAAAGAACUUGCAACACAAGCCAAGAUCGCGUUAAAAUGAUACAAUUCAACUAAGCGAGUUAAAAAAAAAGUCUUAAACUAGUAAGCAACCUGGAGUUGAGAAACGAGAAGGAAUAUGGACAUUCCCACCAUCCACAGAUGCCACAUGACCCCAGUUACACCUAGCAAAAAAGAACUUACUCUUCUAAUAUCCACCUCUAGUUGAGAGGUCGGUUAUAGGUUUUCUAGCCUUAGUACUUAACAUAAAGUAAUACCAGUCUGCACCUUUUGGGCUGCUCUUUAGCUGGUACAUGUGUUUUAUUUCAUUAAAAGUGGGUUCACUUUGCCCAUAUUUGUUCCACAAGACCAACAGAUAGAGAGCACCCUCCACCCAUUUACGCUUAAUUGACUAGGGGCUAAGUGUAGCCUUCCAAGCACUCGAACAAAAUAAGGCUAUAAGGGGAGUCUCAUCCAUAGUUUAAAACAUUCUAGGAACAAGGUGUCAUAUCCCUUAAGAGGCGGCUUGGUGUAUCCUUUUUACAUCAUCAAGAAUGUUGUAAAAUUUUCUAAGCCUAUUUAAUUCAUCUAUAAUUGUACUGCUUGCCAUUAAGUCAAUAAGGUAAUUUUUUACUAGAGCUCUACUACUUAACUUUCUUUUCUUCUCUGGUCUAACCUCAUCUGGUGAAGACUCUUUACCUUUAUCCUCAUCAGAGUCUCCCUCCUAAUAUCCACUUAAGGUCUGCUCUGUAUUAGAGGAGUCAUCGCUACUGUUUUCCGCAAAUGAGGUCCAAGCCUCAAAAGACAUCCUUCUAGCACUAUCUCUAGCAUUAGUAUCACCUAUCAAAUUUCAAGGGAUUCUCGGGUCGAAAAUGGGUUUCUUGAGUAAACUAGGCAAACACUCCAGUUCAUCAUCAUCAACCUCAAUUACUUAUUCUUUCCUCUUAAACAUCUUUUAAACAAACUUAGAACUAGAGCUGAAUAUCUUCAAACUCAAGAAAAAAUAAUACCUAAUGUUGAAGUACGAGAAACAAUACCUUAAGCGAGGAAAAGCCAGAAGCAAAGCAAUUUGUACGACUUGAUCUCCGAUGAAAAGAAUUGACUAUGUAACUGUUGGUUAAUUGUUAAUCAAAUGCUAUUGAUGCCAAUGUGCAAGUGUACACAACAAUUAAUAAAGUGAUGAGUAUUCAGAUCGUCUCCACAGGGAUUGAUGUUACCAGAAAUGCUACAGCAAUCACAAUAGUGCAAUCUACCUUUAUUUUGAAUGAACAAAUGUGAAGUUGUUUACUACUGAAAUUUAGAAUUGUGAGAAAAUAAAACGAAAUAAUGCAGUGAUGAAAUAAAGUAAAUAAAUUGCGUAGAAGGAUCAAAUGAGAAUAAGGUAGUUGAAUGAUCAAACGCUCUUUAUGGGUUGACUGUUUUUCAUCAAAUUAACAACAGUUGCUACAACACUGUCUAUAGCACUGGGCAGAAUUAUUUUGCAUCCUCAGCUGUCGCGUGUUGGAAUUCUCAUACCCUUAAGUAUCUUAGCAAUGACCAGUUGCUAUUCUACCUUCGGCAUGGCAUUACAAACAUCUAUUCUCUCCACCCUACAAGGUGAGUACUUAUGUCUAGUUUGUCACAAAUCUUAACUUCAAGUAUAGCUCUUAUGAGAUUCAAGAUAAACUUAAUCUAGGAAACUCGAAUUAAGAUCAAGUAUUACUCUAAUAAUAUCCACUAAGACAUGCCCUUUUGCGGCUCUAUCUUAACUUGAACCAUUAAAUGAGUGGUCAAUUGAAAUAACAGUUAUAAUAAUAGCUACUAAAGUAAAAUGCUAUAGCAAUUAUAUAGCAACUCAUAAGAACAGUAAAAAAACCCAUUAGAUUGUUUGUCACUCAACUACAAGCAAGUUUAGUUCAUAUUUUGAAAGAGAAAAACAAACAGAAACAUAUUAGUCCCGAAAUACAUUGGUUCAAUCAAAUAGUGAAGAAAAGAAUAAGUGGAGAACGACAAAAAGUGAAUCUAAAUAACUCUGCUCGAUUCUUCAAUGAUGCAGCAUCGGUUCCUUUAAAUUCUGAUCUUCUUCUUCUUUUUCUCUUGAUUUUCUCAAUGUUAAUUCCUUGUCGCCGUUUUAUGUGACGCGCGCCCCUUUUUGUAACGAUUCUUCCACCUUCAUAUCACAAUCUCAAUCAUGCAAAAUGGCCAUAGUAGAUCAGUUUUAGACUUAAGCUUCCUUCUGUCCAAAGUGUGUGUGUGCUACUUUGAUUGAAUUCUAGAGAUGCUACAACAUUACCAAGAGAUUUCAUGUAAUUCAGAGGUAGCACAAUUUUAUUCAGAUAUGGGGUAGCAGAAAUCUCACAUACUCAAACUGUGCUAUAUUUAAGAACAAAAACUUAAGAGUACUCAACUCUCUUCACUGCAACAUUUAUUUUUCAUAUGAAUGUUAAUCAAUUGGAGCAGAAUUUAUUUCAUAGCAGGUACAGUCCAACAAAAUUUUCCCCCAAACUUAAGAUAUUUUCUAUUCUUUUGGCUCUACUACAACAUUCUCAUAAAACUCCACCAAAGUUUAGGUGUCAGGACAUAAUUUCACUCUCCAUCUAUAACUAUCUUUACUUGGCAUUCUUAUAAUCACUACUUAACACUCAAUUUAUCUUCAUUAGGUUUUCAAAUCCAUACACAAAUAUUAGAUGGCAGAGCUUCACACAACACACGCAUAAACACAUAUUCAUAAUACACAGAAACACAACCCCCCCAAACUUUAAAUGGUGCUCUAUCCUCACAAGCACACAAAAAAAAACCACACAACCCAACAAGGACAUGGAGGAUGAAUUAGAAAAUAAACCACACAAAAUAAAAAUAUAAUGAAAGAAAAGUUGUUUAGAACUAAAUAGAAUGACUAGUAGGAAUGGGAUACUCCCCUGUUGUUUGGACACUGCUGCAACAUGGUGUAAUGACUUCAGCACUUUUUGGAUGCACUUCGCAGCUUAUUGUUGUGCAAAUUUUAAUGUACUCGCAAGCGCACGAAUCUAUUGUAGUAUAGACUAAUGGUGACGAGUGUCGAUCCCACAAGGAGGUGGAUUUUAAUUGUGUGUAGAAUUAAUUUUGUAAAUGGGUAGUUGGAUUUAUGGUGGAAAUGAUUUGGAAUAUGCUAAUACUUAAAUUAAAAUAGCGAGAAUAAAUUCUAAAAUUGGAAUUGCAAUGGAGAGAAUAAAUUGAAGAGAAAAUCUAUUAAAUUGACGUACUUGGGUAUCUGGAUCCGUAUCAACAUGCAUUAUGGGCUAAAUAAUCCGUAUUAAUGCCAAUUAAAUCAUGAGGGGGGAAUCCACACCUCAUGAACCACGCUCUAAUCAAUAUGGUGCUAAGGGCUUAUCGUGCCAAAUAAUAAUAACCUUGUACUAGAGGGCCGGUGAAACCAAGGCAGUACUAGACAAGAUUAGUAUUAUUUGUCGACGAGAAGUCAAAACAUCCACAAAAACUAGAGGGGAAGAGAAAAUAAAUUUACCAAAUAAAGCCCAUGACACAUGUUGAGACUUCACCUUCAACCCAAGCUUGAAAGAAAAUUAGCCACUCAUAAUUGAACUAGGGGUAAAAUGAGAAUUUAUUAAAAUACGAAGAAAAUACAAGAUGGAGAAGGAAUUACAGAAAAUGGAUCCCAAAAAUGGAUUGAGAGAUAUCAAAUUAGGGGGGGGAGGCCCCCUUUUUAUAGAUACAUGGAGUAAAUCAUGGCCAUCGGAUUAAAAACAGUUUGGACGCUCAGGAUUUCGCCACGUCAUCAGUCAACAGUACGCAGUUUGACCACGCGGAUGAACAGUAACACGGUUUGACUCGGAUGAACAGUAACGCGGUUUGACUCGGAUGAACAGUAACGCGGUUUGGUUGAAAAUAAUCUUGUGUGAUGCAUGUACCGUACACCGGAUUUUUCGUCCACUGAUAUGCUGCCACGUCACCAUCAACAGUACAUAAGAAUUUUAACCCAACAGGAUCGUGACACCUCAUCAGUCAAUGCCACAUCAUCGGUCAAUGCCACGUCAUCGAUCCAUCUAUGUGAACAGUGUUGUGAACAGUAACGUAGAUAGUACCGUACACGUGAAUAGUACCGCACAUAUGAAUAGUGCCAUUUUUCCUUUUAUGCUCCUCCUAAGGUUUUCGAUCGUCCUGAGUUCAAAAGUGAUGUCCGUUUUGCCGUCUGAUCUCUCCUUUAUUGUGAAAUGACUAUAAUGCCCCUAAAAUACAUAAAAUACUUAAUUAAAAUAAAACACAUGUAAUUAAAUCACAAGAAGGUUAAAUACAUAAAAGUAAAGGUUUUUAGUAAGACUUGAAAUGUAAAAUGACGGUCUUCUCCUUUAUAAAUAUGCAUUUUCUAACACUCAACACACUCCCCAACCAACUUAUUGCUAGUCCCUAGCAAAUAAAGCGAAAACAAAAUUCAAAUUCAAAAUAUUUUUUUUUUAAUAAAAACACUCGUAUUUAUUCCAUCAGAUUAAUGAUAGCAAUCAAAUAAAAGUAUAAGCAUUAUCUCCAGUCUAAAGCAACAUCACACCCACAUCAACCAUCCACAUGAAUCAGCCCAGUAGACUUUGUUAUAGCUACUUUCAAGAAUGACAUGUCAAACCCCAAAAUCUCACUGGAAGUAGUGACACUCUCACAAAGAAAUUAAAACCAAUAAAAAUAGUCACUCCAAUGAAUGGUAAUUAAGAGAGAAAAUAAUAAAGAAGUGAUAUCACAUGCCCUCACCAAGAUGAAAUAAAUAUGCCCUCAGCUUAGAAAUAAUACGAUCUCAAGUCAAAUAAAAAUGCUAGUCAACCCAAUUUAUUUAUCUUUUUUAUUUAUUUAUUUAUUUAUUUUUAUUAUGCACCACUACAUCUUUUUAGCCCAUAUAACUAGCUUCUACUUCAAACUAUAGUUCCCUAAAAUUAAGAAGGACUUUUAUUAGGACGUAACGUAGGCUAGGGAUAUGGCUAACAAAGAAGGGAAAUAAGGAAAACAAAGUGUAUGUUUGAGAAAAAUGCAGAGAUUUUUUUUUUUUUGGAAGUUGCAAGGUGGAUUUCACCUAUUAUUUUUAUUUUUUUAUUUAUUAUUUUUUUAAACAACAAUUUUUGUUUUGUUGUUUUUUUUUUUUGCUUUUAUUUGGCAUAACUUCACUGAACAAAAAUAGGUGAUGGAACUUAUAAGACAUUAGUAAUACUCCAAAUCGGAGUGGGUCAAGAUAAGUUUAACAAAUAAAAGGUUUUUUUUUUAAAAGGCUCAAAAUGGUUAACUAUGGAUAUUUCAUAAAAGGGAUGGCUAGAAAGGCUCAAACGGGACAAAGAUGGCCUUUCCAUCGUCUUUUAGGGCUCUAAAUAAUCAUCCAUAUCUACUAGUUAGAUGGGCCUCCCAAUGUAGCAACACACAUUUUUUUUUCUUUUUUUUUCUUGUUUGUUUUUUUUUUUUAAGGGUUAACUCAACAGAAAUCUAGAGAUCGUGUAUACAAUAAUAAACUGUUAAGCUGUAUAAAGAAUGGGCAAAAGGGUUACUCUCCAAGAAAAAUAAUAGGCUCAAAAACUCACUUGGCACUUAUUUAUGACAUGUUCAUUCCUUCAAGCAACUCAUAUUUGUCUCCGACAUCAACAUGUAGAGUAGCAAAUAUAAUGUAACAUCACUUAAGACCAAAGAUAAUACAAAUACUAAAAUUUGAAAUUAAUCAUGUCAUCCAAUGUUAAAACAAAUCACACAAUUUUUUUUUUAAACAACAUUCUACCCCCCAACCGAUUCUAAACAUGAAAGGAAAAUAUGCAUGCAGAAAUGUGAAAAUGAUGCAUAAAAACUAAUUAGAAAAGUUACAUGUAAAAUGAUAGAAAACGAAAAUGAUUUUUUUUUAAGAAGAUGCGUUUCUAGAGGCACUACACUCCAUAUUCAGCCAUCUUCGACUCAAAAGUUGGAAAAUGGAUAUUUAUAGACGAGAAAUUAAAAAGAAGAAGAAAAAUGAACAUAAAAACUUAAUAAAGAAAAAGAAAAUUUUGUUUUUAUUAUUUAGUUUUUUUAGUUUUUUUUUUUAAUUUUUUUUAAACGAUGAAGAUGCGUUUCUAGAGUCACUACCCUCCAUAUUCAGCCAUCUUCAACACGAAAAGUUAGCAACAGUUAGUUUCUACAACAAAAAAUUAGUAAAAACUUAACCAAAAUUUCACAAUUGUCGACUAUUCCCUCCCCCCAACCAGAACGAAAUAUUGUCCUCAAUGUUUGAAAGGAAAGAAGUAGAGUUUAGAAGACAUCACCUGGGUGGUGCAACACAGAAGAAAAUAUUUAUAAGCGGAGAGUUAAAUCUAAUUUGUACUUCUUACUGCGGCUACUGUUACCAUCAUUAUUUGGGCGCUGCAACACAAAGGUCCAAGGGUCUUACUCCGGUUUAUAAGCUUGUAACAUAUCAAGUAGCUCAUUAGCAGUGUGAGCACAAAUAAAAAGUUUUUUCACAUUAGAAGGAAUGAAAUAGUUUUUUAUUGCAUGGUUAAGAAAUGGGAUAAAACCAUCAUAAAAGUUAUUGACAUUUAACAAACCGAUGGGUUUUUGGUGGAUGUGCAGAUGGGCCCAAGAUGCUAGCGUGAUAAGUGCCUCCAGUGUUGCAAGAUCUCCUGGAAGGAAAAUAAAAGCAUCAGCAUGAUUAAGCAUUUCAGUUAUUCUUUCUUGCAUACCUGAGACGACUAAUUCUUCUCCAGUUGAUGAGUCAGACGAACUGCCCAAUGGUUUUAAGACUCUUGGGAUGAUGCCUAACACUUGACUUUCUCUGAUAAAAGCUGCUUCUGAGACCAUUUUUGAUAACCCUCGAUUACCUCCUCCAUACACCAAUUGUAAUUUUCUCGCUGCUAUGCUUCGACCAAGAUCUAUGGCUGCCUCAACGAACUCUUUAUGUUUGCCAUAUGUAAAUCCAGAAAGCACACAAAUGUUCUUGAAUUGUCUAUUGGGAGUAGCUGCCAUUGUGAUACUUCUCAAAAAUAAUUUGUGAGUGCUUGACAAAAAAGAAAUCACAUUUAAGAAUCUUGGUGACAGUGGAUUACAGUUGUGUAUGAGGUAACAUGUCAGUGUCAAAUAACGCGUAAAGCACGUGUCUCGCUAGUAAAAAAGGAAACAGUAAAAGGGAAAAAGCAAACAGUAAUAAAAUUAUUAAAGACAAUAAUGCACACAAUAAAACAAUAGUGAAAUAAAAUAACAGUAAAGUGAAGGGAUAUUUACAGGUAGUUGCGACUGUGGCUCACAUCUUCCUCUGGUUUUACGUCCAGAAAUGGCUUGAACGCCCUCUAUGGGUCGAGGAUAGGCUUCCUAUCCAGUUUUCUUAUAAACUGGCAAACAGGGUCGUUUAUAGUCAGAUUCCCGAGACUAUAUCGUGCAUGCUCUUUCUGGAAUAAUGGCUAUAACUGGAGAAUCGCUCCUUGCACAUAUCCACUAGGAUGCGUUUCAAGAGACAAAAGGAUAUCAUCCAAUGACUCCUUAUUCAAGCCAUCCCUAAUGAAUUGAAUCUUAUCUUCCCUGCUAUCAGACAUCAUUCCUAAAGAACAUGGGUUUUUAUUGCAACUCAUUCUGGCACACUUAUGACAAGCAACAAAAAUUCUUCGAGCUCGUCGUUUUCUUGCAUAAUUUCCUUUACCACAACUAGGCAUGUAUGCAAUAAAUUUUGGAGGUAACUCACCUGCCGAUCGUACUUUAGCCUCGAUUAACCAACGGAUGUCAGCAGGUAUGUUAUUUCUCAUGAGCAAUCGCAUGCAUUCAGACCGAGCUUUAUAGAUCGUAAGGAGGGCAUUCUGAGGAAGUGAAGGGAAUCGCUUGUGAAGCUUCGCUAGAGUCUCGUUUCUGUCCAUAUCUUCGCUUCAGAAUAUCAGUUAUUAUGGGAAACUGAAGUAACUGACUUGAUUGUCACGAAGUACCGUUAUCCGCCACUUCACCGGGGUAACAAACUAAAGCACACAAACAAAAAAAAAAUUAAAACACACAAACAAAAUUAAAAUCGUCCUCUUAUUGAAUUUACCUCAAGCUCCAACUGGAUAUCGUAAACACUUCUCUCAAUGUCUCGGAGUUGGCAUUCUAAACCCUCAACAUAGGCUACUAACUCUGGUGGUUGUAGAGCCCAAAUGCGAUGUGUUUUACAAAAUUGAAUCUACCUUUUGAGAUGAGUUUUGACACGUUGAAGUGGUUUAAGAAUGUUCAGGAGGAACGGUCUAAGUAAUGUACUCAUGAUUAAAAAUGAUAAAAGAAAACUUAAUAGUUAAACAAACACAUUUAUGCAAAAAUAAUUUCAAUUAGCAGAAGAAUAAUAUAAAGAAAGAAAAAAAAUCAAAUCAACGAAAAGAAAAAAAAAUCAAUUUAGAUCUGGUGGGUCACUCAAAUUUAUUUCGGUGUCUUCUCCAUGUGGUUGGUACUCUAGAUAUGGCUUUAAUCUUUGACCAUUAACUUUAAACGUGACACCAUUCUUUGGGUCCUUAAUUUCAAUUGCCCCAUGUGGAAAAACAGUAUGUAUAAUAAAUGGGCCAGACCAACGAGAGCGUAACUUACCUGGGAAUAGGUGCAAGCGAUAAUUGAAUAAAAGCACUUUCUGACCUGGAGUGAAAGAUUUUCUCAUAAUUUGCUUGUCAUGGAAGACUUUCAUUCGUUGCUUGUAAAUCUUGGCAUUUUCGUAUGCGUCAUUGCGAAUUUCUUCAAGUUCUGCCAGUUGUAAUCUUCUUUCUGAGCUGGCUUGCUGCAUGUCAAAGUUGAAUUUCUUGAUGGCCCAAUACGCACGAUGCUUGAGUUCCACAGGUAGGUGGCAAGCUUUUCCAUACACUAGCCUGUAGGGUGACAUCCCAAUCGGGGUCUUAAAAGCCGUUCUAUAUGCCCAUAAUGCAUCAUCAAGUCUUAAUGACCAAUCUUUUAUGUCUGGCCUCACCGUCUUUUCUAAUAUGUGCUUUAUUUCUCGAUUGGAGAUCUCAACUUGGCCACUGGUUUGCGGAUGAUACGGGGUCGCCACUUUGUGAGUGAUUGAAUACUUUGUCAAAAGAGCUUUGAAUGCUUUGUUAAAAAAGUGGGCACCACCAUCACUGAUUAUUGCUCGAGGGAAUCCAAAGCGUGAAACAAUGUUGCUUUUCAAAAAUCCUGUCACCACCUUGUGAUCAUUGGUUCUACAGGGAAUUGCUUCUACCCAUUUCGAUACGUAGUCAACAGCAACCAAUAUGUAUUGAUGGCCAAAAGAAAGGGGAAAUGGUCCCAUGAAGUCGAUACCUCAUACAUCAAAAAUCUCAACCACUAAAAUUGGAUUUAGUGGCAUCAUGUUCCUUCGUGUAAUGCUCCCCAUUCGUUGACACCUAUCACAUGAAGAACAGAAAGUGUAAGCGUCUCGAAAUAUAGUUGGCCAAUAGAAACCACAUUGUAAAACUUUAGUUGCUGUUUUCUUAGCACUGAAAUGGCCUCCACAAGCUUGUUCAUGGCAGAAUGAAAGAAUAUUCUGAAUUUCAUUUUCUGGGACACAUCGUCUAACAAUUUGGUCUGCACAAUACUUGAACAAAUACGGGUCAUCCCAAAAGAAAUUCUUUAUCUCUGCAAAGAAUUUAGCCUUAUCUUGCUUGGUCCAAUGCUCUGGAAGUUGACCUGUAAUAAGAUAAUUCACGAUGUCAGCAUAUACCACAGUAAUACUUCCACAUUCAUCAAUUGUUCAUCAGGGAAUGACUCAUUUAAUGGUAAUGGCUCUGUAGUUGUGUCAAAAUGGAGACGAGAGAGGUGAUCCGCCACAACAUUUUCUGUGCCUUUUUUAUCUUUGAAUUCCAAGUCAAAUUCCUGCAAAAGUAACACCCAACGAAUUAGUCUAGCUUUUGCAUCUUUCUUUGUGAGAAGAUAUUUAAGAGCAGCAUGAUCUGUGAAUAUAAUUAUUUUACAACCAAUGAGAUAAGAUCGAAAUUUCUCUAAUGCAAACACUACUGCUAGCAUUUCUUUUUCAGUAGUUGAAUAGUUCAACUGUGCAUCAUUCAAUGUCAUACUAGCAUAGUAAAUAACAUGGGGAAUUCGAUCAACUCUUUGUCCUAAUACUGCUCCUACUGCAUAAUCAGAUGCAUCACACAUGAGCUCAAAUGGUAAGCUCCAGUUUGGGGCUUGAAUGAUGGGUGAUGAUGUCAACAACUGCUUUAAUUUUUCAAAAGCCACAAGACAUGAAUCAUUAAAGAUAAAAGGUACAUCCUUAGCAAGUAGAUUGCAUAAGGGUCUAAAAACUUUGCUAAAAUCUUUAAUGAAACGUCUAAGAAACCAGCAUGCCCAAGGAAAGAUCUUACUUCUCUGACUGUUUUGGGUGGAGGAAGAUUAGAAAUGAGAUCCACCUUGGCUUUGUCAACCUCAAUACCUUUGCUCGAAAUGAUGUGACCGAGAACAAUACCUUGUUUUACCAUAAAAUGGCAUUUCUCCCAAUUUAAGACCAAGUUCUUCUCGACACAUCUCUGCAGAACUAGUGUUAGAUGAUGUAAACAUUGAUCAAACGAGUCACCAAUGACAGAAAAAUCAUCCAUAAAGACUUCAAGGAAUCGUUCAACCAUAUCAGAAAAAAUGCUCAACAUGCAUCGUUGAAAUGUAGCAGGUGCAUUGCAUAAUCCAAAUGGCAUUCUCCUAUACGCAAAUGUGCCAAAAGGGCAAGUGAAAGUAGUUUUUUCCUAAUCUUUUGGUGCUAUGGUUAUCUGAUUGUAUCCUGAGUAGCCAUCUAGAAAGCAAUAAAAUUCAUGACCUGCUAAUCUAUCAAGCAUUUGAUCAAUAAAUGGUAAAGGAAAAUGGUCUUUACGUGUGACAGAAUUGAACUUCCUAUAAUCAAUGCAUACACGCCAUCCUGUAGUCACUCUAGUGGGUAUCAAUUCAUUAUCGGCAUUGGUAACUACAGUGACUCCUGACUUUUUGGGGACAACUUGCACAGGACUGACCCAUGAAUUAUCAGAAAUGGGGUAAAUGAUACCUGCAUCUAAUAGCUUAAGGACUUCUGUUCUAACAACUUCUUUCAUAUUAGGAUUUAACCGACGUUGCAUUUCCCUAGUAGAUUUAGCAUUUUCAUCAAGAUGAAUGUAAUGCAUGCAGUCUACUGGAUUUAUACCUUUUAUGUCUGCUAUGGUCCAUCCUAAUGCCCCUUUGUGCUCUUUUAAAACAUCCAACAACUUACCUUUUUGUUCAUCAUUGAGGGAUGAUGAGAUGAUUACCGGCAGAGUACUUUCUUCUCCUAAAAAUGCAUAUUCCAAAGUGUUGGGCAAUGGUUUGAGCUCGAGUUUCGGUGGUGAUUCUGAUGAUGGGAUGAGUUUCUUCUCUGAUGGUGCUAGUUGCUCAACUCUUGACUUCCAUUUAUUAGUAUCCAUAGAUGGUGCUGAGUCAAGCAGGGCGUUGACCUCAUCGACCGAUCUGUCAAUAUCAAAAUCCAAACCAAAGUGAGUUAAACAUGUUUGUAAAGGAUCAUCGACCGAUCUGUCAAUAUCAAGUAGGGUGUUGACCUCAUCGACCGAUCUGUCAAUAUCAAAAUCCAAACCAAAGUGAGUUAAACAUGUUUGUAAAGGAUCAUCACUAAGGUUUGAAACAAAAGUAUCAUCAACUAAUGCUUCAAUUAAAUCCACAUCAACAAUUCCAUCAUCUGCACUGUGAGGUUGUUUGGCAAUGUUGAAGAUGUUCAGCUCCAUAGUCAUGUUGCCGAAGGACAACUGCAUAUUUCCAGUCCUGCAUUGAAUGUGAGCAUCCGCAGUUGCCAAGAAAGGUCGGCCUAGAAUAAUGGGGAUGUGCUUCCUCGAGUCCUGUAUUGGUUGAGUAUCAAUUACAAUGAAAUCAACAGGAAAAUAAAACUUGUCUACCUGGAUAAGCACGUCCUCCACAAUUCCACGAGGUAUUUGUUGAGUGUUAGAAAAUGCAUAUUUAUAAAGGAGAAAACCGUCAUUUUACAUUUCAAGUCUUACUACAACCCUUACUUUUAUGUAUUUAACCUUCUUGUGAUUUAAUUACAUGUGUUUUAUUUUAAUUAAGUAUUUUAUGUAUUUUAGGGGCAUUAUAGUCAUUUCACAAUAAAGGAGAGAUCAGACGGCAAAACGGACAUCACUUUUGAACUCAGGACAGUCGAAAACCUUAGGAGGAGCAUAAAAAGAAAAAUGGCACUAUUCAUAUGUACGGUACUAUUCACGUGUACGGUACUAACUACGUUACUGUUCACAACACUGUUCACAUAGACGGAUCGAUGACGUGGCAUUGACCGAUGAUGUGGCAUUGACUGAUGAGGUGUCACGAUCCUGUUGGGCUAAAAUUCUUAUGUACUGUUGAUGGUGACGUGGCAUCAUAUCAGUGGAUGAAAAAUCUCGCAUACGGUACAUGCAUCACACAGGAUUAUUUUCAACCAAACCGCGUUACUGUUCAUCCGAGUCAAACCGCGUCACUGUUCAUCCGAGUCAAACCGCGUUACUGUUCAUCCGAGUCAAACCGUGUUACUGUUCAUCCGCGUGGUCAAACCGUGGACUGUUGACUGAUGACGUGGCGCAAUCCUGAGCGUCCAAACUGUUUUUAAUCCGAUGGUCAUGAUUUACUCCAUGUAUCUAUAAAAAGGGGGCCUCCCCCCUUAAUUGGAGAUCUCUGAAUCCAUUUUUGGGAUCCAUUUUCUGUAAUUCCUUCUCCAUCUUGUAUUUUCUUCGUAUUUUAAUAAAUUCCCAUUUUGCCCCUAGUUCAACUAUGAGUGGCUAAUUUUCUUUCAAGCUUGGGUUGAAGGUGAAGUCUCAACAUGUGUCAUGGGCUUAAUUUGGUAAAUUUAUUUUCUUUUCCCCUCUAGUUUUUGUGGAUUUUUUGGCUUCUCGUCGACAAAUAAUACUAAUCUUGUCUAGUACUGCCUUGGUUUCACCGGCCCUCUAGUACAAGGUUAUUAUUAUUUGGCACGAUAAGCUCUUAGCACCAUAUUGAUUAGAGCGUGGUUCAUGAGGUGUGGAUUUCCCCCUCAUGAUUUAAUUGGCAUUAAUACAGAUUAUUUAGCCCAUGAUGCAUGUUGAUACGGAUCCAGAUACCCAAGUACGUCAUUUUAAUAGAAUUCUCUUCAAUUUAUUCUCGCAAUUUCUAUUCCAAUUUUAGAAUUUAUUCUUGCCAUUUUAAUUUAAGUCUUAGCAUAUUCCAAAUCAUUUCCACCACAAAUCCAAUCACCCAUUUACAAAAUUAAUUCUACACAAUUAAAAUCCACCUCCUCGUGGGAUCGACACUCGUCACCAUUGAUCUAUACUAUAAUAGAUUCGUGCGCUUGCGAGUACAUUAAAAUUUGCACAACAAGUUUUUGGCGCCGUUGCCGGGGAGGUAAGUAAUUUUAAUUCAUAGAAUUAAUUUUUUGGAAUAAUUUCUUUUAUUUGUUUUCUUGUAUGUUUUUUUAUUAUAAAAAGAAAAAAAAAGAGUGAAUCUACAUUUAAAGGUUAGUAUUCCUUUCCUUUUUCUCUUCUUUAAAAUUCUGUAAUUUAAUUUUCAAUUUAUUUUUCUUUGUAAUUUUUUUUGUUUAUUUUAUUAAUUUAAUUUUUAGUUAAUUUAUUUCACGUAUUUGUUUUUGUGUAUUUUUAUAUAAAGGUUUUAAUAGCGCAAUAAGGUUAGUAUCGUAAUUUCUCCCUCUUCUUUAUUUUUAUUUGUUUUGUUCUCAUCCUUAUUUUUUUUUUAUUAUUUGUUUUGCAUGCAUGGUCGUAGGUCAUUAUUACCUAAUCUUGAACCUAUAGACCUUGAAUUAGAAAAAACACUUCGCACACACAAACAAAUUAAAAAUAAAAUAGAUUUACAAGCACCACAGGAGAGGCCAUUUAAGGACUAUUUUAGUGCCUUAGCUAAUUUGAGCACAUCAUGCAUAAGAUACCCAAAUGUAGCUGCUAGGAGUUUCGAAUUAAAACCUAGUGUGCUAAAUUGUCUCCCCACAUUUUAUGGCCUAGAAAAUGAGGAUCCAUAUAAUCAUCUGAAUGAUUUUCAUGCCAUUUGUCAAACUUUUAAAUAUGAAAAUUUUUCAGACGAUGAUGUUAAACUUAGACUAUUCCCAUUUUCUUUAAAGGAUAGGGCUCGUUCAUGGCUUAAUACAUUGCCUGCUAAUAGCAUUGCAUCAUGGGAACAAAUGGUUACAAAAUUUUUGAAUAAAUAUUUCCCAGUACAUAAAACCAAUGCUAUUCGCAGGGAAAUCUCGGAGUUUACCCAGAGAGAGGACGAGCAUUUUUUCGAAACAUGGGAGCGAUUCAAUGGGCUACUCUUGAAGUGUCCACAUCAUGGGUACGAGAAAUGACACCAAUGCCAAUACUUUUUGGAGGAAUUAUUGCCGAAUGUGCAAGAAUGGCUAAUGGCAACAAGUAGAGGAGAGCUAAUGUCAAAAAGUGCAUCAGAAAUUUGGGAAUUCUUCCAGCGACAAGCAGAUAAUUCCCAACAACGGAGUCGAUCACUCAGGACUACUAGAAGAAUUAAAGGAGUGAAUGAGGUUCAAAUUGGCGAAUCAACUUCAGGAAUCAAAGAAGUCAAGGAGAUGGUUGAAGGUCUUGCUCGACAAAUAGCAUCGUUAUCGACUGCUAAAUCAACAUAACCACAUGACCAUGACUCAUACUCCGAUCAAGCCAAUGCCAUAGGUGUAAUGAGAAAACCAUCGAAUUAUAACCCAUACUCCAACACAUAUAACCCUGGAUGGAGAGACCACCCCAAUUUUUCAUGGUCUCAAGGAUUCCAAGAGAAUGGACCAGCAGCUCCAGCUCCACCAAUUCCAUAAAAUCCUCAAGCCUCUCAGCCCCCAUUUAGACCAUACAAUCAGAACCAGAACUACUCUCAACCUAGACCAUGGGAGGAUUCAUUCCAUAAUCUCAAGAAUCUUACUCACUCUACGAUUGAGCAACAGAACCGCACCAUUGAUGGACUACGAAAUGAAUUGAGAGCAGGCUUCAACUCACAAGCCCAAUCAGUUUCAAGCCUUGAGAAGAUGGUGGGACAACUUGCUUCUUCAGUUCAAACCUUGGCAAUGACCGUUGAGAAAGGUAAAUUUCCAAGUCAACCAGUGCCUAACCCUAAAGGAGUGCAUGAAGCAAGUACCAGUUCACCACAGCAGCAUGGAGAGGUCAAAGCCGUCAUGACCUUGCGAAAAGGAAAAGAAGUCGACAACAAAGUGGAGAUGCUGGUGACAAAAGAAAAUCAAAUUGUACCUGUGAAUGUUGAGGAAUCAUCACCGGAGGAGAAAGAAGAAACCAACCCACGAGAAUACGUUCCGAAAGCUCCAUUUCCUCAGAGGUUAGCGAAAGGCAAGAAGGGAAAAUCCACAGGUGAGAUUCUUGAAAUCUUCAAACAGGUAGGUGUUAACAUCCCUUUGCUUGAUGCUAUUAAACAAGUUCCAUCUUAUGCCAAGUUUCUUAAAGACCUUUGUACUAAAAAGAGAAAUAUGCAUGUUCAAAAGAAGGCAUUUUUAACAGAAAACGUUAGUUCUAUACUCCAACAUAAAAUUCCUUUAAAAUGCAAAGACCCAGGCUCCCCCACUAUCUCAUGUAGUAUAGGGAACCACACAAUUGAGAAUGCUUUGUUGGAUUUAGGAGCUAGUGUAAAUCUGUUGCCUUAUUCAGUAUUCGUGAAACUUGGACUGGGAGAAUUACACCCAACUCCAGUGGUGUUACAACUUGCAGAUCGGUCCACGAAAAUACCUCGUGGUAUUGUGGAGGACGUGCUUAUCCAGGUAGACAAGUUUUAUUUUCCUGUUGAUUUCAUUGUAAUUGACACUCAACCAAUACAGGAUUCAAGGAAGCACAUCCCCAUUAUCCUAGGCCGACCUUUCUUGGCAACUGCGGAUGCUCACAUUCAAUGCAGGACUGGAAAUAUGCAGUUGUCUUUCGGCAAUAUGACUAUGGAGCUAAACAUUUUCAACAUUGCCAAACAACCUCACAAUGCAGAUGAUGAAAUUGUUGAUGUGGAUUUAAUUGAAACAAUAGUUGAUAACACUUUUCUUUCAAACCUUAGUGAUGAUCCUUUACAAACAUGUUUAACUCACUUUGGUUUGGAUUUUGAUAUUGACAGAUCGGUCGAUGACGUCAACGCCCUGCUUGACUCAGUACCAUCCAUGGACACUAAUAAAUGGAAGUCAAGAGUUGAACAACUAGCACCAUCAGAGAAGAAACUCAUCCCAUCAUCAGAAUCACCACCGAAACUCGAGCUCAAACCAUUACCCAACACUCUGGAAUAUGCAUUUUUGGGAGAAGAAAGUACUCUGCCGGUAAUCAUCUCAUCAUCCCUAAAUGACGAACAAAAAGGUAAGUUGUUAGAUGUUUUGAAAGAUCACAAAGGGGCAUUAGGAUGGACCAUAGCAGACAUUAAAGGUAUAAACCCAGUAGACUGCAUGCAUUACAUUCACCUUGAUGAAAAUGCUAAAACUACUAGGGAAAUGCAACGUCGGUUAAAUCCUAACAUGAAAAAAGUUGUUAGAACUGAAGUCCUUAAGCUAUUAGACGCAGGUAUCAUUUACCCCAUUUCUGAUAGUUCAUGGGUCAGUCCUGUGCAAGUUGUCCCCAAAAAGUCAGGAGUCACAGUAGUUGCCAAUGCUGAUAAUGAAUUGAUACCCACUAGAGUAACUACAGGAUGGCGUGUUUGCAUUGAUUAUAGAAAGUUGAAUUCUGUCACACGUAAAGACCAUUUUCCUUUACCAUUUAUCGAUCAAAUGCUUGAUAGAUUAGCAGGUCAUGAAUUUUAUUGCUUUCUAGAUGGCUACUCAGGAUAUAAUCAGAUUCCCAUAGCACCAAAAGAUCAAGAGAAAACUACUUUCACUUGCCCUUUUGGCACAUUUGCAUAUAGGAGAAUGCCAUUUGGAUUAUGUAAUGCACCUGCUACAUUUCAACGAUGCAUGUUAAGCAUUUUUUCUGAUAUGGUUGAACGAUUCCUUGAAUCUUUAUGGAUGAAUUUUCUGUCUUUGGUGAUUCGUUUGAUCAAUGUUUACAUCAUCUAACACUAGUUCUGCAGAGAUGUAUCGAGAAGAACUUGGUCUUAAAUUGGGAGAAAUGUCAUUUUAUGGUAAAACAAGGUAUUGUUCUCGGUCACAUCAUUUCGAGCAAAGGUAUUGAGGUUGACAAAGCCAAGGUGGAUCUCAUUUCUAAUCUUCCUCCACCUAAAACAGUCAGAGAAGUAAGAUCUUUCCUUGGGCAUGCUGGUUUCUAUAGACGUUUCAUUAAAGAUUUUAGCAAAGUUUCUAGACCCUUAUGCAAUUUACUUGCUAAGGAUGUAUCUUUUAUCUUUAAUGAUUCAUGUCUUAUGGCGUUUGAAAAAUUAAAACAGUUGUUGACAUCAUCACCCAUCAUUUAGGCCCUAAACUGGAGCUUACCAUUUGAGCUAAUGUGUGAUGCAUCUGAUUAUGCAGUAGGAGCAGUAUUAGGACAAAGAGUUGAUCGAAUUCCCCAUGUUAUUUAUUAUGCUAGUAUGACAUUAAAUGAUGCACAGUUGAACUAUUCAACUACUGAAAAAGAAAUGCUAGCAGUAGUAUUUGCAUUAGAGAAAUUUCGAUCUUAUCUCAUUGGUUGUAAAAUAAUCGUGUUCACAGAUCAUGCUGCUCUUAAAUAUCUUCUCACAAAGAAAGAUGCAAAAGCCAGACUAAUUCGUUGGGUGUUACUUUUGCAGGAGUUUGACUUGGAAUUCAAAGAUAAGAAAGGGACAGAAAAUGUUGUGGCGGACCACCUCUCUCGUAUCCAUUUUGACACAAUUACAGAAUCAUUACCAUUGAAUGAGUCAUUUCCAGAUGAACAAUUAAUGAAUGUGGAAGUAUUACCUUGGUAUGCUGAUAUAGUUAAUUAUCUUGUUACAGGUAAACUUCCAGAGCAUUGGACCAAGCAAGAUAAGGCUAAAUUCUUUGCAGAGAUAAAGAAUUUCUUUUGGGAUGACCCGUAUUUGUUCAAGUAUUGUGCAGACCAAAUUGUUAGACGAUGUGUCCCAGAAAGUGAAAUUCAGAAUAUCCUUUCAUUCUGCCAUGAACAAGCUUGUGGAGGCCAUUUCAGUGCUAAGAAAACCGCGACUAAAGUUUUACAAUGUGGUUUUUAUUGGCCAACUAUAUUUCGAGAUGCUUACACUUUCUGUUCUUCAUGUGAUAGGUGUCAACGAAUGGGGAGCAUUACGCGAAGGAAUAUGAUGCCACUAAAUCCAAUUUUAGUGGUUGAGAUUUUUGAUGUAUGGGGUAUCGACUUCAUGGGACCCUUUCCCCCGUCUUUCAGUCAUCAAUACAUAUUGGUUGCUGUUGACUAUGUAUCAAAAUGGGUAGAAGCUAUUCCAUGUAGGACCAAUGAUCACAAGGUGGUGAUAGCAUUUUUGAAAAGCAACAUUGUUUCACGCUUUGGAUUCCCUCGAGCGAUAAUCAGUGAUGGUGGUGCCCACUUUUGUAACAAAGCAUUCAAAGCUCUUUUGACAAAGUAUUCAAUCACACACAAAGUGGCAACUCCGUAUCAUCCGCAAACCAGUGGCCAAGUUGAGAUCUCCAAUCAAGAAAUAAAGCACAUAUUAGAAAAGACGGUGAGGCCGGACAGAAAAGAUUGGUCAUUAAGACUUGAUGAUGCCUUAUGGGCAUAUAGAACGGCUUUCAAGACCCCGAUUGGGAUGUCACCCUACAGGCUAGUGUAUGGAAAAGCUUGCCACCUACCUGUGGAACUCGAGCAUCGUGCAUAUUGGGCCAUCAAGAAAUUCAAUUUUGACAUGCAGCAAGCCAGCUUAGAAAGAAGAUUACAGCUGGCAGAACUUGAAGAAAUUCGCAAUGAUGCAUACGAAAAUGCCAAGAUUUACAAGCAACGAAUGAAAGUCUUCCAUGAUAAGCAAAUUAUGAGAAAAUCGUUCACUCCAGGUCAGAAAGUGCUUUUGUUCAAUUCUCGCUUGCACCUAUUCCCAGGUAAGUUACGCUCUCGUUGGUCUGGUCCCUUUAUUGUUCAUACUGUUUUUCCACAUGGGGCAAUUGAAAUUAAGGACCCAAAGAACGGUGUCACGUUUAAAGUUUAUGGUCAAAGAUUAAAGCCAUAUCUAGAAUACCAACCACGUGGAGAAGACACCGAAAUAAAUUUGAGUGACCCACCAGAUUUGAAUUGAUUUUUUUUCUUUUUUUUCGUUGAUUUGAUUUUGUUUUCUUUCUUUAUAUUAUUCUUUUGCUAAUUGAAAUUGUUUUUGCAUAAGUGUGUUUAUUUUAUCAUUAAGUUUUCUCUUAUCAUUUUUAAUCAUGAGUCUCAUACUUAGACCGUUCCUCCUGAACAUUCUUAAACCACUUCAACGUGUCAAAACUCAUCUCAAAAGGCAGAUUCAAUUUUGUAAAACACAACGCAUUUGGGCUCUACAACCACCAGAGUUAGUAGCCUAUGUUGAGGGUUUAGAACGCCAACUCAGAGACAUUGAGAGAAGUGUUUACGACAUCCAGUUGGAGCUUGAGGUAAAUUCAAUAAGAGGAUGAUUUUAAUUUUCUUUGUGUGUUUUAAUUUGUUUUUCUAUUUGUGUGCUUUAGUUUGUUACCCCGGUGAAGUGGCGGAUAACGGUACUCCGUGACAAUCAAGUCUGUUACUUCAGUUUCCCAUAAUAACUGAUAUUCUGAGGCGAAGGUAUGGACAGAAACGAGAUUCUAUCGAAACUUCACAAGCGAUUCCCUUCACUUCCUCAGAAUGCCCUCCUUACAAUCUAUAAAGCUCGGUCCGAACGCAUGCGAUUACUCAUAACGAAUAACAUACCUGCUGACAUCCGUUGGUUAAUCGAGGCUAAAGUACGAUCGGCAGGUGAGUUACCUCCAAAAUUUAUUGCAUACAUGCCUGGUUGUGGUAAAGGAAAUUAUGCAAGAAAACGACGAGCUCGAAGAAUUUCUGUUGCUUGUCAUAAGUGUGCCAGAAUGAGUUGCAAUAAAAACCCAUGUUCUUUAGGAAUGAUGUCUGAUAACAGGGAAGAUAAGAUUCAAUUCAUUAGGGAUGGCUUGAAUAAGGAGUCAUUGGAUGAUAUCCUUUUGUCUCUUGAAACGCAUCCCAGUGGAUAUGUGCAAGGAGCGAUUCUCCAGUUAUGGCCAUUAUUCCAGAAAGAGCAUGCACGAUAUAGUCUCGGGAAUCUGACUAUAAACGACCCUGUUUGCCAGUUUAUAAGAAAACUGGAUAGGAAGCCUAUCCUCGACCCAUAGAGGGCGUUCAAGCCGUUUCUGGACGUAAAACCAGAGGAAGAUGUGAGCCACAGUCGCAACUACCUGUAAAUAUCCUUUUACUUUAUUAUUUCACUAUUGUCUUAUUGUUUGCAUUAUUGUCUUUAAUAAUUUUAUUACUGUUUGCUUUUUCCUUAUUACUGUUUGCUUUUCCCUUUUUACUGUUUUCUUUUUUACUCGCGAGCCACGUGCUUUACGCGUUAUUUGACAUGGACAUGUGACCUCAUACACAACUAUGACCCACUAUCACCAAGACUCUUAAAUGUGAUUUUCUUUGUCAAUCACUCACAAAUUAUUUUUGCGAAGUAUCACAAUGGCAGCUACUCCCAAUAGACAAUUCAAGAACAUUUGUGUGCUUUCUGGAUUUACAUAUGGCAAACAUAAAGAGUUCGUUGAGGCAGCCAUAGAUCUUGGUCGAAGCAUAGCAGCGAGAAAAUUACACUUGGUGUAUGGAGGAGGUAACCGAGGAUUAUCAAAAAUGGUCUCAGAAGCAGCUUUUAUCAGAGGAAGUCAAGUGUUAGGCAUCAUCCUAAGAGUCUUAAAACCAUUGGGCAGUUCGUCUGACUCAUCAACUGGAAAAGAGUUAGUCGUGUCAUGUAUACAAGAAAGAAUAACUGAAAUGCUUAAUCAUGUUGAUGCUUUUAUUUUUCUUCCAGGGGAUCUUGCAACACUAGAGGUACUUAUCACACUAGCAUCUUGGGCCCAUCUGCACAUCCACUAAAAACCCAUCGGUUUGUUAAAUGUCAAUAACUUUUAUGAUGGCUUUAUCGCAUUUCUUAACCAUGCAAUAAAAAACUAUUUCAUUCCCGCUAAUGUGAAAAAACUCUUUAUUUGUGCUCACACUGCUAAUGAGCUACUUGAUCUGUUACAAGCUUAUAAACCGGAGCCAGACCCCUGGACCUUUGUGUUGGAGCAUCCACAUAAUGAUGGUAACAGUAGCCGCAGUAAGAAGUACAAAUUAGAUUUAACUCUCCGCCUGUAAAUAUUUUCUUCUGUGUUGCACCACCCAGGUGAUGUCUUCUAAACUCUACUUCUUUCAUUUCAAACAUUGAGGACAAUGUUUCGUUCUGGUUGGGGGGAGGGAAUAGUCGACAAUUGUGGAAUUUUGGUUAAGUUUUUACUAAUUUUUUGUUGUAGAAACUAACUGUUGCUAACUUUUUGUGUUGAAGAUGGCUGAAUAUGGAGUGUAGUGACUCUAGAAACGCAUCUUCAUCGUUUAUAAAAAAAAAAAUUCAGACAUUUUCUUUUUCUUUAUUAUGUGUUUAUGUUUAUUUUUCUUCUUUUUAAUUUCUCCUCUAUAAAUAUACAUUUUCCAACUUUUGAGUCGAAGAUGGCUGAAUAUGGAGUGUAGUUCCUCUAGAAACGCAUCUUCUUUAAAAAAAAAAAUCAUUUUCGUUUUCUAUCAUUUUACGUGUAACUUUUCUAAUUAGUUUUUAUGCAUCAUUUUCACAUUUCUGCAUGCAUAUUUUCCUUUCAUGUUUAGAAUAGGUUGGGGGGUAGAAUGAUGUUUAAAAAAAAAAUGUGUGAUUUGUUUUAACAUUGGAUGACAUGAUUAAUUUCAAAUUUUAGUAUUUGUAUUAUCUUUGGUCUUAAGUGAUGUUACGCUAUGUUUGCUACUUUACAUGUUGAUGUCGGAGACAAAUGUGAGUUGCUUGAAGGAAUGAACAUGUCAUAAUAAGUACCAAGUGAGUUUUUGAGCCUAUUAUUUUUCUUGGAGAAUAACCCUUUUGCCCACUCUUUAUACAGCUUAGCAGUUUAUUAUUUUAUACACGAUCUCUAAAUUACUUUUGAGUUAACCCUUAAAAAAAAAAAGAAAAAAGAAAAAAAGAGCGUGUUACUACAUUUGGAGGCCCAUCUAACUAGUAGAUAUGGAAGAUUAUUUAGAGCCCUAAAAGACGAUGGAAAGGCCAUCUUUGAUCCGUUUGAGCCUUUCUAGCCAUCCCUUUUAUCAAAUAUCCAUAGUUAACCCUUUUGAGCCUUUAAAAAAAAUAAAAAUAAAAAAAACCUUUUUCUUUGUCAACUUAUCAUCUUGACCCACUCCGAUUUGGAGUAUUACCCAAUGUCUUAUAAGUUCCAUCACCUAUAUAUGUUUGAGAAAAUGUAAAUAAUUUUGUUGUUCAGUAAAGUUAUGCAAAAAAAAAAAACAAACAAACAAACAAAACAAAAGUUGUUGUUUCAAAAGAAAAAAAAUAAAAAUAAUAGGUGAAAUCCACCUUGCAACUUCCAAAAAAAAAAAAAAUUCUCUGCAUUUUUCUCAAACAUACACUUUGUUUUCCUUAUUUUCCUUCUUUGUUAGCCAUGUCCCUAGCCUACGUUACGUCCUAAUAAAAGUCCUUCUUGAUUUUAGGGAACUAUAGUUUGAAGUAGAAGCUAGUUAUAUGGGCUAAAAAGAUGUCGUGAUGCAUAAUAAAAAAAAAGAGAUAAAUAAAUUGGGUUGACUAGCAUUUUUGUUUGACUUGAGAUCGUAUUAUUUCUAAGCUGAGGGCAUAUUUAUUUCAUCUUGGUGAGAGCAUGUGAUAUCACUUCUUUAUUAUUUUCUCUCUCAAUUACCAUUCAUUGGAGUGACUAUUUUUAUUGGUUUUAAUUUCUUUGUGAGAGUGUCACUACUUCCAGUGAGAUUUUGGGGUUUGACAUGUCAUUCUUGAAAGUAGCUAUGACAAAGUCUGCUGGGCUGAUUCAUGUGGAUGGUUGAUGUGGGUGUGAUGUUGCUUUAGACUGGAGAUAAUGCUUAUACUUUUAUUUGAUUGCUAUCAUUAAUCUGACGGAAUAAAUACGAAUGUUUCUAUUAAAUAAUAAUAAUAAUAAUAAUAAUAAUAAUAUUUUGAAUUUGAAUUUUGUUUUCGCUUUAUUUGCUAGGGACUAGCAAUAAGCUGGUUGGGGGGUGUGUUGGGCAAUGGUUUGAGCUCGAGUUUCGGUGGUGAUUCUGAUGAUGGGAUGAGUUUCUUCUCUGAUGGUGCUAGUUGCUCAACUCUUGACUUCCAUUUAUUAGUAUCCAUAGAUGGUGCUGAGUCAAGCAGGGCGUUGACCUCAUCGACCGAUCUGUCAAUAUCAAAAUCCAAACCAAAGUGAGUUAAACAUGUUUGUAAAGGAUCAUCGACCGAUCUAUCAAUAUCAAGCAGGGUGUUGACCUCAUCGACCGAUCUGUCAAUAUCAAAAUCCAAACCAAAGUGAGUUAAACAUGUUUGUAAAGGAUCAUCACUAAGGUUUGAAACAAAAGUAUCAUCAACUAAUGCUUCAAUUAAAUCCACAUCAACAAUUCCAUCAUCUGCACUGUGAGGUUGUUUGGCAAUGUUGAAGAUGUUCAGCUCCAUAGUCAUGUUGCCGAAGGACAACUGCAUAUUUCCAGUCCUGCAUUGAAUGUGAGCAUCCGCAGUUGCCAAGAAAGGUCGGCCUAGAAUAAUGGGGAUGUGCUUCCUCAAGUCCUGUAUUGGUUGAGUGUCAAUUACAAUGAAAUCAACAGGAAAAUAAAACUUGUCUACCUGGAUAAGCACGUCCUCCACAAUGCCACGAGGUAUUUGUUAAGUGUUAGAAAAUGCAUAUUUAUAAAGGAGAAAACCGUCAUUUUACAUUUCAAGUCUUACUAACAACCCUUACUUUUAUGUAUUUAACCUUCUUGUGAUUUAAUUACAUGUGUUUUAUUUUAAUUAAGUAUUUUAUGUAUUUUAGGGGCAUUAUAGUCAUUUCACAAUAAAGGAGAGAUCAGACGGCAAAACGGACAUCACUUUUGAACUCAGGACAGUCGAAAACCUUAGGAGGAGCAUAAAAGGAAAAAUGGCACUAUUCAUAUGUACGGUACUAUUCACGUGUACGGUACUAACUACGUUACUGUUCACAACACUGUUCACAUAGACGGAUCGAUGACGUGGCAUUGACCGAUGAUGUGGCAUUGACUGAUGAGGUGUCACGAUCCUGUUGGGCUAAAAUUCUUAUGUACUGUUGAUGGUGACGUGGCAUCAUAUCAGUGGAUGAAAAAUCUCGCGUACGGUACAUGCAUCACACAGGAUUAUUUUCAACCAAACCGCGUUACUGUUCAUCCGAGUCAAACCGCGUCACUGUUCAUCCGAGUCAAACCGCGUUACUGUUCAUCCGAGUCAAACCGUGUUACUGUUCAUCCGCGUGGUCAAACCGUGGACUGUUGACUGAUGACGUGGCGCAAUCCUGAGCGUCUAAACUGUUUUUAAUCCGAUGGCCAUGAUUUACUCCAUGUAUCUAUAAAAAGGGGGCCUCCCCCCCCUAAUUGGAGAUCUCUGAAUCCAUUUUUGAGAUCCAUUUUCUGUAAUUCCUUCUCCAUCUUGUAUUUUCUUCGUAUUUUAAUAAAUUCCCAUUUUGCCCCUAGUUCAACUAUGAGUGGCUAAUUUUCUUUCAAGCUUAGGUUGAAGGUGAAGUCUCAACAUGUGUCAUGGGCUUAAUUUGGUAAAUUUAUUUUCUUUUCCCCUCUAGUUUUUGUGGAUGUUUUGACUUCUCGUCGACAAAUAAUACUAAUCUUGUCUAGUACCGCCUUGGUUUCACCAGCCCUCUAGUACAAGGUUAUUAUUAUUUGGCACGAUAAGCUCUUAGCACCAUAUUGAUUAGAGCGUGGUUCAUGAGGUGUGGAUUCCCCCCUCAUGAUUUAAUUGGCAUUAAUACGGAUUAUUUAGCCCAUGAUGCAUGUUGAUACGGAUCCAGAUACCCAAGUACGUCAUUUUAAUAGAAUUCUCUUCAAUUUAUUCUCGCAAUUUCUAUUCCAAUUUUAGAAUUUAUUCUUGCCAUUUUAAUUUAAGUCUUAGCAUAUUCCAAAUCAUUUCCACCACAAAUCCAAUCACCCAUUUACAAAAUUAAUUCUACACAAUUAAAAUCCACCUCCUCGUGGGAUCGACACUCGUCACCAUUGAUCUAUACUAUAAUAGAUUUGUGCGCUUGCGAGUACAUUAAAAUUUGCACAACAGUAUUUUCGUGGACCGAUCUGCAAGUUGUAACACUACUGGAGUUGGGUGUAAUUCUCCUAGUCCAAGUUUCACAAAUACAGAGUAAGGCAACAGAUUUACACUAGCUCCUAAAUCCAACAAAGCAUUCUCAAUUGUGUGGUUCCCUAUGCAACAUGAGAUAGUGGGGGAGCCUGGGUCUUUGCAUUUUAAAGGAAUUUUAUGUUGGAGUAUAGAACUAACAUUUUCUGUUAAAAAUGCCUUCUUUUGAACAUGCAUAUUUCUCUUUUUAGUACAAAGGUCUUUAAGAAACUUGGCAUAAGAUGGAACUUGUUUUAUAGCAUCAAGCAAAGGGAUGUUAACACUUACCUGUUUGAAGAUUUCAAGAAUCUCACCUGUGGAUUUUCCCUUAUUUCCUUUCGCUAACCUCUGAGGAAAUGGAGCUUUGGGAACGUAUUCUCAUGAGUUGUUUUCGUCUUUCUCCUCCGGUGAUGAUUCCUCAACAUUCACAAGUACAAUUUGAUUUUCUUUUGUCACCGGCAUCUCCACUUUGUUGUCGACUUCUUUUCCUUUUCGCAAGGUCAUGACUGCUUUGACCUCUCCAUGCUGCUGUGGUGAACUGGUACUUGCUUCAUGUACUCCUUUAGGAUUAGGCACUGGUUGACUUGGAAAUUUUCCUUUAUCAAAAGUCAUUGCCAAGGUCUAAACUGAGGAAGCAAGUUGUCCCACCAUCUUCUCGAGGCUUGAAACUGAUUAGGCUUGUGAAUUGAAGCCUGCUCUUAACUCAUUUCGUAGUCCAUCAAUGGUGCGGUUCUGUUGCUCAAUCGUGGAGUGAGUAACAUUCUUGAAAUUCUGGAAUGCAUCCUCCUAUGGUCUGGGCUGAAAGUAGUUCUGGUUCUGAUUGUAUGAUCUAAAUGGGGGCUGAGAGGCUUGAGGAUUUUGAGGAAUUGGUGGAGCUGGAGCUGGAGCUGCUGGUCCAUUCUGUUGGAAUCCUUGAGACCAUGAAAAAUUGGGGUGGUCUCUCCAUCCAGGGUUAUAUGUGUUGGAGUAUGGGUUGUAAUUCGAUGGUUUUCUCAUUACACCUAUGGCAUUGGUUUGAUCUGAGUAUGAGUCAUGGUCAUGUGGUUCUGUUGAUUUAGCUGUUGAUAACGAUGCUAUUUGUCGAGAGAGACCUUCAAUUAUCGCUUUGACUUCUUUAAUUUCUGAACUUGACUCGCCAAUGUGAACCUCAUUCACUCCUUUAAUUCUUCUAGUAUUCCUGAGUGACCGACUCCGUUGUUGGGAAUUAUCCGCUUGUCGCUGGAAGAAUUCCCAAAUCUCUGAUGCACUUUUUGACAUUAGCUCUCCUCCACUUGUUGCCAUUAGCCAUUCUUGCACAUUUGGCAAUAAUCCCUCCAAAAAGUAUUGGCAUUGGUGCCAUUUCUCGUACCCAUGAUGUGGACACUUCAAGAGUAGCCCAUUGAAUCGCUCCCAUGUUUCGAAAAAUUGCUCGUCCUCUCUCUGGGUAAACUCCGAGAUUUCCCUGCGAAUAGCAUUGGUUUUAUGCACUGGGAAAUAUUUAUUCAAAAAUUUAGUUACCAUUUGUUCCCAUGAUGAAAUGCUAUUGGCAGGCAAUGUAUUAAGCCAUGAACGAGCUCUAUCCUUUAAAGAAAAUGAGAAUAAUCUGAGUUUAACAUCAUCGUCUAAAAAAUUCUCGUAUUUAAAAGUUUGACAAAUAGCUUGAAAAUCAUUCAGAUGAUUAUAUGGGUCCUCAUUUUCUAAGCCAUAGAAUGUAGGGAGACAAUUUAGCACACUAGAUUUUAAUUCAAAGCUCCUAGCAGCUACAUUUGGGUAUCUUAUACAUGAUGUGCUCAAAUUAGCUAAAGGACUGAAGUAGUCCUUAAAUGGUAUCUCCUGUGGUUGCAAAUCCAUUUUAUUUUUUACUUGUUUGUGUGUGCGAAGUGUUUUCUCAAGUUCAAGGUCUAUAGGUUCAAGAUUGGGUAAUAAUGACCUUCGACCAUGCAUGCAAAACAAAUAAAAUAAAAAAUAAAGAUGGGAACAAAAUAAAUAAAAAUAAAGAAGAGGGAGAAAUUACGAUACUAACCUUAUUGCGCUAUUACAAACUUUCUAUAAAAAUACACAAAAAUAAAUACGUGAAAUAAAUUAACUAAAAAGAAUUAGUAAGAUAAACAAAAAUUACAAAGAAAAAAAAAUAACUUGAAAAUUAAAUUACAGAAAUUUAAAGAAGAGAAAAAGAAAAGAAAUUACUAACCUCUAAAUGCGGAUUCACUUUUUUUUUUAAUAAAAAAUACAAGAAAACAAAUAAAAGAAAUUAUUCACAAAAAAUUAAUUUUACGAAUUAAAAUUACUUACCUCCCCGGCAACAGCGCCAAAAACUUGUUGUGCAAAUUUUAAUGUACUCGCAAGCGCACGAAUCUAUUGUAGUAUAGACUAAUGGUGACGAGUGUCGAUCUCACGAGGAGGUGGAUUUUAAUUGUGUGUAGAAUUAAUUUUGUAAAUGGGUAGUUGGAUUUAUGGUGGAAAUGAUUUGGAAUAUGCUAAUACUUAAAUUAAAAUGGCGAGAAUAAAUUCUAAAAUUGGAAUUGCAAUGGAGAGAAUAAAUUGAAGAGAAAAUCUAUUAAAUUGACGUACUUGGGUAUCUGGAUCCGUAUCAACAUGCAUCAUGGGCUAAAUAAUCCGUAUUAAUGCCAAUUAAAUCAUGAGGGGGGAAUCCACACCUCAUGAACCACGCUCUAAUCAAUAUGGUGCUAAGGGCUUAUCGUGUCAAAUAAUAAUAACCUUGUACUAGAGGGCCGGUGAAACCAAGGCGGUACUAGACAAGAUUAGUAUUAUUUAUCGACAAGAAGUCAAAACAUCCACAAAAACUAGAGGGGAAGAGAAAAUAAAUUUACCAAAUAAAGCCCAUGACACAUGUUGAGACUUCACCUUCAACCCAAGCAUGAAAGAAAAUUAGCCACUCAUAAUUGAACUAGGGGUAAAAUAGGAAUUUAUUAAAAUACGAAGAAAAUACAAGAUGGAGAAGGAAUUACAGAAAAUGGAUCCCAAAAAUAGAUUUAGAGAUAUCAAAUUAGGGGGCGAGGCCCCCUUUUUAUAGAUACAUGGAGUAAAUCAUGGCCAUCGGAUUAAAAACAGUUUGGACGCUCAGGAUUUCGCCACGUCAUCAGUCAACAGUACGCGGUUUGACCACGCGGAUGAACAGUAACACGGUUUGACUCGGAUGAACAGUAACGCGGUUUGGUUGAAAAUAAUCCUGUGUGAUGCAUGUACUGUACACGGGAUUUUUCGUCCACUGAUAUGUUGCCACAUCACCAUCAACAGUACAUAAGAAUUUUAACCCAACAGGAUCGUGACACCUCAUCAGUCAAUGCCACAUCAUCGGUCAAUGCCACAUCAUCGAUCCGUCUAUGUGAAUAGUGUUGUGAACAGUAACGUAGAUAGUACCGUACACGUGAAUAGUACCGCGCAUAUGAAUAGUGCUAUUUUUCCUUUUAUGCUCCUCCUAAGGUUUUUGAUCGUCCUGAGUUCAAAAGUGAUGUCCGUUUUGCCGUCUGAUCUCUCCUUUAUUGUGAAAUGACUAUAAUGCCCCUAAAAUACAUAAAAUACUUAAUUAAAAUAAAACACAUAUAAUUAAAUCACAAGAAGGUUAAAUACAUAAAAGUAAAGGUUGUUAGUAAGACUUGAAAUGUAAAAUGACGGUUUUCUCCUUUAUAAAUAUGCAUUUUCUAACACUCAACACUUAUCCUUAAGGGAUUCUUGUGGGGAGGUAGCUGGCAACGUCUUUUUCUUUUUCUACAAUGGGCUAGUGGGAGGAGUUGCCAUUGGGGCAACCUGUUUGGUUGACACAUAUCUGGUUCUUUUUGGUUUUGGUGAGGCUGCGGCAGCAAUGCCUCCAGAAGUGCCUCCCUUUCUUUUGGUAAAUCCUCUAGGACUAACACAAACAUGUUUAUUGAGAGUUUGCUGUGAAGGAGCUGGAGCUGGGGCAUUAGUUGCAUGUCCCUCAGCUGUGAUGGUGGCAAUGAUGUCAAGCAGCUGCUUAGCUUCUGUGGGUGUACGAGUGACUUUGGUUGCUGCAGCUUCCAACUCUACAUCAACUUGCUCAGCUUCAUCUUCAGAGGCAGGAGGGGUAGCUAUUUUUUCCUUGCCCUUUCUAGAAAUGACUGGAAUAAAGGGCUCCUCUUCAGGUUCAUCUUCUUUCUCUUCUUGGAUAAGGUGUUUUUUUCUAGAUUUGGAGGAGGUCCUGACUAGGGUUCCUCACGUUCUUUCUCAGACUCUUCCUCUGCCUCUGUUGGUGAACUAUCAGUUGCAGAAUUGUCACCCUCUUCCUCAUGUUGGUCAGAUUGUUCAGCAGCUUCUGAGUUAGCCUCUGCUUGUGGGUUUACUGCAGCUUCCUCUUCUGGUUCAUCCAUGUCAGUGGCUUCUUUACUGACCUUUGCUGGGGCCUCUAUAGUGUUGGUGUCAAAAUUAUACUGCUGGAGCAAUGAAUCGGGGAAAUUCCGGUGGGUACUUUUCAUGUAUAGAGAAAAUUAGUGUAAGUGGCUUUCCAGGUGCUGUAAGUAGCUCCAAAACCGAUCGUUUUCCCUCUGCUAAGCCUCAGUACAUUGAGUGAUGCUAGUGCUCAGUGCUUGUAUUCUCUGAUAGUUCACCAACAGAGGCAGAGGAAAAGUCUGAGAAAGAACGUGAGAAACCCCAGUCAGGACCUCCUCCAAAUCUAGUUCACCAACAGUUUGUCACCCUCUUCCUCAUGUUGGUCAGAUUGUUCAGCAGCUUCUGAGUUAGCCUCUGCUUGUGGGUUUACUACAGCUUCCUCUUCUGGUUCAUCCAUGUCAGUGGCUUCUUUACUGACCUCUGCUGGGGCCUCUGUAGUGUUGGUGUCAAAAUUGUACUGCUGGAGCAAUGAAUCAGGGAAAUUCCAAUGGGUACUUUUCAUGUAUAGAGAAAAUUAGUGUAAGUGGCUUUCCAGGUGCUGUAAGUAGCUCCAAAACCGAUCGUUUUCCCUCUGCUAAGCCUCAGUACAUUGAGUGAUGCUGGUGCUCAGUGCUUGUAUUCUCUGAUAGUUCACCAACAGAGGCAGAGGAAAAGUCUGAGAAAGAACGUGAGAAACCCCAGUCAGGACCUCCUCUAAAUCUAGUUCACCAACAGACUUGUCACCCUCUUCCUCAUGUUGGUCAGAUUGUUCAACAACUUCUGAGUUAGCCUCUGCUUGUGGGUUUACUACAGCUUCAUCUUCUAGUUCAUCCACGUCAGUGGCUUCUUUACUGACCUCUGCUGGGGCCUCUGAAGUGUUGGUGUCAAAAUUGUACUGCUGGAGCAAUGAAUCAGGGAAAUUCUGGUGGGUACUUUUCAUGUAUAGAGAAAAUUGGUGUAAGUGGCUUUCCAGGUGCUGUAAGUAGCUCCAAAACCGAUCGUUUUCCCUCUGCUGAGCCUCAGCACAUUGAGUGAUGCUGGUGCUCAGUGCUUGUAUUCUCUAUUCUAGCCCAAUAGCUCGUCUCGCUCAUGUUGCAGCAGCUGGUUUAGAUGUGGCUCCAGCAGUUUCACCAGCAAUUCUCUCAAUAGUGCGUGCUGUAAGGGCACCAUCAUUCUUGACAUGUUCAUCUUUUGCAUCAAGACAAACUCCUGAUACUACACAGAUGCUGGUGAAGAGUGAAGGAAAUAGCAAGGCAGCACCUUUGUGGUUCUUCAUGGCACAGUCCCAAAUUUUAUUUUUCGAUAAUGCUUCCCACAUCUAUGGGAAGCCCUCUAAUAAUAACAUACAACAAUACCAACCUUUCUUAUGAGACAUUAGUGGUGUGGGUGGUUGGCAUAAGCCUGGAUUUCAAAUAUUUCACCUACACCUUAGCAAUGGGUUUUAAAUCUAUCUUGUUAAUUACAUGCCCUUCCUCAUUAGCCCACGAUGUACCCUUUACUGUAAGUGUCGUGAAAAUUGUGUUCCAUCUUUGCGGGGUCAAUUUGUCAAGCAACUUGGCAUACUCACAAUUAAUUUCAGCAGGUAAAUUAUAGAAAGCAUUUAUAACUCGAGAGUCUAAUGGAACAAGUGAGUUUCUUACCCAAGCAUUGUGCUGACCAGGGCUUACCAAAUUGGCGUAAAAUUCUUUUACAACUGGCAGCAUAGGGUCUCGAGGAUGGUUACAAAACUCUAGCCACCCACGCUUUGCUACAGCAUUGUGUACUGAUUGCACAAUUCCUUGGGUUGAGGUGGGAAUUGAAACCUUUUUUCUUUCAGAAUUUUGCGUGGUUCAAUGAAUUCUUCAUAUUUUUCUUCCGCAUCGUAACUUUGGAAGCGUGAAGGAUCUUUUUGUCGACUGGCUGUCCUUUUAUACCUUGGCAUUGCUAUAGCAGUAAGAAUUCGAUGGUAAUAUGCCUGAGAGUAAAAUGAGAAGAAUGAGUUAAGAAUUAUUGGAGUCGUGAUUUCGAAGGAGAGGGGAAAUAGUGUCAGAAGUCACUAAGCACCGUAACUCCCUUUUAUAGUUGAAAUUAAAUGAAAAUAAAUCCGGUAAAGAGAGAUAAAUUAGGGAAGAAUAUAUUUUAAAUUCAUUAAGCAUAUCCCAUAAAAAUAGGCAAGAGAAAUUAGUGCAUUAAUUUUGAAGAUUUUUCUUCUUCAAUUUCUAUCCAAAUUCAUUCAUCCAUCUGGCACAUGUUAUCCCCAACGGUAAGUGAGAGGCUCCCUCUUUAAGUUACUGUAACGGUAAUAUUGGUUGUUGCAGCACCCAAUUGUUUGCUCUAGUAAUGGUUACAUAGUCUUCUCCAAUAGCUGCUGACACAUGGCUUGCCACUGUACUCUAUUAACAACACAGCCCCAAUUGUUGGUAUGGAAUCCAUUUUUCACACACGUCUCGUGAGAGUUUCAAAAAUAAAUAAGACCAAUCCUAAACUACAGAGAAAACCAAUUUUAAAAGACAACACAUAAAAGUUAAACAAUCCUAAAUAAAAGAAAUAGAAAUAAUUAACGGAAAUAACAUAAAUAAAAAUUAAAAUAAAGUAAAUUAAGAGGAAAAAAAUAUUUAUUAAAACCAAGGAUGAUCCUUCUUGUUUGAGGUGAUUGCCUCCGCAAUGGGUUGCCUCCCAUUGAGCGCUUGAUUUAAGGUCCUUCAGCCUGACCUUUCUUGAGUGUUCAUAAACUCGGUUCUUUGAAGAGUAAGACCUCCUUUGAGCAAUCCGCAGCUGAGUGUAUGUAAUGCUUAUCUCUGUGCCCAUUGACUUGGAAUUCCUGGCCUGUCUUUUCAUCUAAGAGAUCAACAACCCCAUGAGGAUAAAUUCUGAGCAGCUUGAAGGGUCCAGACCAUCGAGAUUUCAGUUUCCCUGGAAAUAGUUUAAGCCUCGUAUUAUGGAGCAGUACUAGUUGACCAGGGAUUAAUUUCCUUGGUUGGAUAUGUUUGUCAUGCCAGUGCUUUGUUCUCUCUUUAUAAAUUCUUGCAUUUUCAUAUGAGAACAUACGUAAUUCAUCAAGCUGACAUAGUAGAAGCUUCCUUUGCUCUGCUGCAGCAUGUAUAUCUCAAUUUAAUUGCUUCAGUAUCCAGUAUGCUUUAUGCUCUAGCUCAAGUGGCAAGUGACAAGCUUUCCCAUACACAAUUCGGUAGGGAGACAUGCCAAGUGGUGUUUUGUAUGUUGUUUUGUAGGUCCAUAAGGAGUCAUGUAAACGCAAGGACCAAUCCUUCCUGGAUGGAUUCAUCACUUUUUCUAAGAUUUUCUUAAUCUCUCUAUUAGACACUUCUGCUUGGCUAUUUGAUUGUGGGUGAUAUGUUGUUGUUACUUUAUGCCUGACUCCAUAUUUUACCAUAGUCGCAGCAAAUACUUUGUUGCAAAAAUGAGUACCCUCAUCACUAAUAAUUGCUCUUGGAGUGCCAAACCUGGAAAAAAAAUUUCUGAAGAAAGUCCACUACUGCUUUAGCAUCAUUGGUAGGUAAUGCUGCAGCUUCUACCCAUUUGGAGACAUAAUCCACAACAAUCAGGAUAUUUAAGUUCCCAAAGGAUGGUGGAAAAGGACCCAUGAAAUAUAUUCCCCAUACAUCAAAGACUUCUACUUUCAGAAUGUUUGUCAAUGGCAUUUCAUGUCUUUGAGUUAUUUUUCCUGUCCUUUGACACCUGUCAGAACAUUUAGUAAAUUCAUAAGCAUCUUUAAAAAUAAAAGGCUAGUAAUAACCUGAUUGCAGAACCUUAGCAGCUGUUCUGUGACCACCAAAAUGUCCUACAUAUGUUGCAGCAUGGCACAAUUCCAGUAUAUGAGGAAUCUCUCCCUCUGAAGCACAUCUUCGUAUACUUGAUCUAAGCAUAACUUAUACAAAUACAGGUCAUCCCAUUGGUAGCUUCUAACAUCAUGAAGACAUUUCUUUUUCUCUUGAAACUUCAACUCAGGUGGUAGCAAUCCACUUACUAAGUAGUUAGCAAAAUCUGCAUACCAUGGAGGUCCUGCUUGCUGCAACAUUUGUGCUUGCUGUACAACUAACAGUUGUUCAUCAAGAAAAGUUUCAGUGAUGUCCUUUCUUGUCAAUGUGCUUGUUUCUGCUUCUAGGCUCGACAGAUGGUCUGCUACUUGAUUCUCAGUCUCCUUUCUAUCUUUAAUUUCCAGAUCAAACUCCUGAAACAAUAAGAUCCAUCGUAUUAAUCUUGGUUUAGCAUCAUUCUUUGAGAUUAAGUACUUUAUGGCUGUAUGGUAUGUGUACACUGUCACUUUAGUACCCACCAAGUAAGCUCUAAAUUUAUCAAAAGCAAAUACUGAAAUGCAAGUAACACAACCCAAGAGGGGGGGUGAAUUGGGUUUGUAAAAAUUAUGCAAUAUAAUUCGAACAACAAAUCAAUCUAACGCCUUAAUGAAAUAGAGAACAAUAAAUUCAAAUAAGCGUAAACAUAAAAGAGCAAGGGAAGAGAAAAACAAACAUGCGGAUUUUUACGUGGUUCGACAAUCCCCGCCUACAUCCCCGCCUCUAAGCCAACCAAUCUCGAGGAUUUCACUAUCCAAGCCUCCCAAGGCUUCAAGUUCUUAUAAUUGACUUGCAAGGUGUCAAUGAACCUUUACAAUCAAGAGAUUAUCUCCCCAAUCUAUUCACCCUAAGUGUUUCCCACACUUACACACUCACAAUUUGAUAAGAAAUGAAAAUUAUAACAAAAAAACUCUCUCUAAGAGUGGAUAUGCAAAUAAUAGCUCAACAAUGAUUCAAUCUAUGAUGAUUUGCAUUUUGGAAGCUCAAUAUAUGCUGUAUGAUCUUAUAUUUGCUUGCAUUAGUCCUUAGAAUGAAGUUUGAGUUGACUUUUUAUAGUUGAAGCACGAAAACUAGCCGUUAUAGGCAAAUUCCCGCGCCCAAGCCGUUAGCCGCUUGAUUUAUCCGGCUAGCCGCUCAGAAACAGUGAUAUUACUGUUAUUUUUUAAUUUUGCUACAGUAAUACUGUUCACUAAAAUUACAGUUUGGCUUAAAAUUUUUUGUAAUUAUACUAACGCCCAAAAUGUUAUAAAACUUUGCAAAUAAGUCCAAUUUCAGAACUUCCGAAGAGUAGUUGUCUUUCCCAAACUUUCUAAAAUUAUGAUAUGACCGCAAAGAUUUUAUUAUUUCGCACAAAGGUCCUUUUCAACAUAAUACCCAUAUUUUUCAAAGUUCUCAAAACCUUUCACUUUAGUCCAAAAUAUUCAUAAAUUAUAGUAUGGCCCAAAACAUUUCAAACGUUUGUAAUAACGUCCAACUCCGAAAUUUAAUACUUAUUUAAAAUCAAAGAUUUCAAAACUUAGCAUUUAAGUCCAAAUUACUCAAAUCCACAAAAUACUUUACUUUAUAAAAAUAAAACCUUUUAGUUUAUGAAAAGUAUUUAAUUAAAUUAAUCUCUUGAGCUUCUCAAAUGCUAAAUCAUGCAUCAAUUAAAUCAUACCGGCUUUACAAGAAUUUAUCGCACUAAUUUGUUCGUUGAGCUCUAAACUAUAUUCUUGAUGUCGCCGUUGUCCGUUGAGUGUCUUCAAUCUUGAUUUCACUUGAUUCACUUGCAUAAAUAUUAUCCUUCAAAAACUAGUGAAAAUGUGAAAUACAAUAUUUAUUAUUUUUACUUAAGACCCAUGUUUGUUAUCAUCAAAAUUACAUUAUGUGUAGCCUUUUAGGCUAACAAUCUCCCCCUUUUAGAUGAUGACAAACAUCUCAUGUAUUUUGACAUUAAACUCCCCCUCAAUACAUGGCAUACAUGACUUCAACUUAUAAAUCAAAUUUAAGAAUAAAACUCCCCCUAAAUAUAUGAUCUAUUACAAUUUGUAAACUCCCCGUUAAUAUUUCAUAACCAUGCACAAAUAGUUUAAGAUUAAAAUACAUAUUAUAUGUCUCUGUAUUCAAAAUACAUGAUCUCUCCCCCUUCAUCAUCAAAAUUACUAGAAAUUUAUGCCAAUUAAAAAAAUAGAACCAAAAUUACAUUAUCAAAAACUUAUCAUAUUUAUUUCCCCCUAAAAAAAAUAGAUAUAUGCAAUUUGAAACAAGAUCAUCAAAAAUAAUUAAAUGAAGAUAUACUCAUUGUGUGCGAGCAAAACUUUCGGCAGAGUCUCCCCUUAAAAAAGAACAAAUCCUCAAAUACAUAAUGUGGUUAAAAACACUUCCAUAUAAGCUUAAACAAGUAUAACAAACCAACAACUCCACCAAGUCAUCAAGCAACACAUAAGAAUUAAGCAUAUAAUAACCAAUCCGAAAACAUCAUCCAAAUAUAACAUAUCCGAAGAUCAAAUAACAAGCAUCCUUAAUCCACAAAUUAAAAACAACAUAUCCAAAUAUCAAACAACAAGAUGUCAUCCGCAAAUGAAAUAUAACAAUGCAUGAAGAAAUGUAGUGCAGAGUGACAAAUAAAAAAAGAUAGAGUGCUAAGGAGAUGGUGGAUGUGAUGAAGAGGAUGGUGGUGGAAAUCCAAGAGCUGCAAAAAGUUGCUACUGGCCAUCAAGAAGCUGCUCUUGUUGAGCAAAGAGACGCUCUCGCUCGAAAAUGGACUGAAGUUGAAAAGCUUCAAGCAUAGACUGAAGUUUGUCUUGCCGCUCAGAAAGUGAAUCCACUUUAGUUAACAGCUGCUGUAACGGAUCCUCAGAGUCAGCUGAAAUUGAGUGGGAAGGACCCUCGGAAGGUGGAGGUCGUGAGAGAUAUGGAGCACUAAGAUUAGGAAGCAAGUGUGGGGGACAGACAUCGUUAAAGAAACGAUGAUCUGUAGGAGCAAUGUCCCCAACCUUUUUGUUUCUUUCAUCUUUAUGCCAUUGAUCAUCCCUCCAAUAAAAACCCAAAUUAGCAAUUGAUUAAUCGCCUAAUUCCCUCGAAUUCAAGGAGAUUGGCUCAGUUAUAGGGACACGGAAAUACUCUAGAAGUCAGGUAAUAAUACUAGCAUAUGGAAGGGAUCUUUUGGCUAAGUUGGGAGUACUAAGCAUGUGAUGAAGGAUAAUAUACCCAAUAUUUAGCACCCUCUCCUCUAGAAUACAAUCCAAAAUGGCUACAUCUAAACGGCUAACUCCAUCCGCAUGACCGGCCCUAGGAGUAAUCACAUGAUGAAGAACAUAAUGAAGGAUUCGAGUUUGAAGAUGUAAGGCUUGAGAUUUCAAAGGUGAGUUACAGAACGCAGUGGACAAAUCAUGCCGUAGACAAAUUUUUCGAACGGCAUUUUCAAGUGAGAACCAAGGUUGUUUGAUUUUGGCUCUAGCACUAUAUAGUACCAAUCCCUCAUUUGGAGUGCCAAUGAUAGAAUUUAGCAAAGCAACAUCAAAUUCAAUAUGAACUCCCCCAACAUUAGUAACAAUUCUAUUCGAAACUUCCGUAUCCAUAUUCGAAUAGAAAACCUUGACUAAAUUUUCAUAGUAAUGUUCAUUAACAACCAACACAUUCUUCCAUCCCAUAGCAAUAAGUAAAUCUUUAAGAGAUUUAUCACAAAUUUCUAAAUUCUCCAUAUUUCUGAGAUUGACAAAAUAAGGAGUAAUGACCGACCUUGGCUUGAAAUGGUCGAGAAAAUGUUUCCGAAGUUGGAGUUGUGGAAAAUGAAUCAACAUAAAGUCUGAAUAAUCUCCAUGAUCAUCCUUACGCUUCUUGGCCACGUGUUUUCCCUUGGACUUGUCACCACCCCCAUUGUUGGAAGAAAAAAGAGCUUAAAAAUGCAAUUUCGGGUUUAACAAAAAUUGAGUGAAAUGGAUAUGUUUGAGGCAAGAAAAUCAAUCCUAGAGAUGAAUGAAACUAAUUUAUGAUGUAGAUUGAAUUAAAAAUGGGCUAAAGGAAGCUUGAAAAUGAAGAGAGAGAAACGGGUUGAGUGAGAUUUUUUAUUUUGGGUUUUAUGUGGAGAGUUGAUGAAAUGAUGUUUUGAGAGUGAAAAUUGAAGGAGUAAUGGAUGAAUAAUAAGUUGGAUGAUUGAUUUUAACAAGAAAAUGAGUGAAAGAUGAAGAUAUUUGAGAAAGAAAAUGAAGAACACUAUUCACGCGUGAAUGGAAUGAGGAUGGAAUGAUGAAGAACAAGUGAAGAAAUCAUGAUGGAGAUGUGUUUAAUGAAGAUGAAAUGCAUGGGUAUUAGUUUGAAUGGUUGAUUUGGGCAUAAAAAUGGAUGAAAAAGGAAGAAAUUGGAAGUGAAAAUGGAUGGGUUGUUCACGGUUUUGAGUGAAGGAGAAAACAAGUGCAGAAAAUUAAAAAAGGAAGAAGAAGAAGCAAAAACAAAUUGCCAAACCCGUGACAAAGCGGCUAGCCGCUUGCUCUCGGGUUUGGGACAGUUUUCCAAGCGGCUAGUCGGCUAGCCACUUGGAACAGGCGGCUAGCCGCCUGGUUGCUGUCCACCUGCACGCUACUUGCUUUCCGGCUAGUUUUGAUCAAUUCCGUGACCAUUUUGUGAUCCUAAAACAUCUCAAGAGCCAAUUUAAUGCAUGAUUCAAUAUUUUAAACAUCCAAAAGAUGAUUAAUUCAAACUAAUAAUCCAUCCAACAAACAUAUAUUCAUGAAGCACAUAAGCAUUCAAAAAUUAAUAAAUCAAACACCUCAUAUAUCUAAUAUGCGCAAACAAUUCAUAAACAUUAAAAACCAUCAAGCAAACAAUUUUAGUAGAUUCAAUAACAUAAAUAGAGAUGUUAAUGCGAAAAUUUCAUCAUCCCAAGUUCGUGCCAAAUUUUUGAAAAUUGUUCUUCGCAAAGGUGUUUUGUAAAAAUAUCGGCAAGUUGUUUUUCCGUAGAGAUAAAUUCUAAUGCAAUAUCACAUUUUUGAACAUGAUCUCUCAAGAAAUGAUGUCUAAUCUCUAUAUGCUUGGUUCUAAAGUGUUGAAUGGGAUUCUUUGAAAGAUUUAUGGAGCUAGUAUUAUCACACUUGAUAGGAAUUUGUUCAAGAUUAAUACCAUAGUCUCUAAGUGUUUGUUUCAUCCAAAGUGCUUGUGCACAACAACUGCCUGCGGCAAUAUAUUCUGCCUCAGUAGUUGAGAGUGCCACCGAAUUUUGUUUCUUACUAAACCAUGAAACAAGUGAAUGACCUAGAAAAUGGCAAGUUCCACUAGUACUUUUCCUAUCAACCUUAUAACCGGCAAAAUCGGCAUCCGAAUAACAAGUUAAAUCUAUAUGAGUUCCUCUAGGAUACCAAAGGCCAAUAUCUAUGGUUCCACUCAAAUAAUGAAAAAUUCUUUUAACAGCAAGCAAAUGAGAUUCCUUGGGACAUGAUUGAAAUCUUGCACACAAACAUACACUAAACAUGAUAUCGGGUCUACUUGCGGUUAAGUAAAGUAAAGAUCCGAUCAUACCUCGAUACUUUUUAAUAUCAACCUCUUUAUCAUCUUUAUCAAGCUUGAUUGUUGUACUCAUUGGAGUAUUCUGGUGUUUGAUUCAUCAAUGCCAAAUCUCUUGAGCAAGUCUUUGACAUACUUAGCUUGGUUGAUGAAGAUCCCCUCAUUGUUUUGUUUGAUUUGAAGUCCAAGGAAAUACUCCAAUUCUCCCAUCAUGCUCAUCUCAAAUUCCUUACUCAUACAAGAGGAAAAUUCUUUGCACAAAGAUUCAUUAGUAGAACAAAAAAUAAUAUCAUCAACAUAAAUUUGAACAACAAGUAUAUCUUGAUUUUUAUUUUUAAUAAAAAGGGUAGUAUCCGCUUUUCCCAUCGAAAAACCGUUAUCCAACAAGAAAUUUUUAAGCCUAUCAUACCAUGCUCUAGGUGCUUGUUUUAAUCCAUACAAAGCUUUUGAUAACUUAUACACAUGAUUUGGAAAUUUUUCAUUUUCGAAACCAGGGGGUUGUUUCACAUAAACUUCCUCCAUAAUAUAACCAUUUAGGAAAGUACUCUUGACAUCCAUUUGAAAUAAAAUAAAAUCUUUAUGGCAUGCAAAUGCUAACAACAUCCUAAUGGAUUCUAAUCUAGCUACAGGUGCAAAGGUUUCAUCGAAAUCGAUUCCUUCUUCUUAGUUGUAUCCUUGAGCCACUAAUCUAGCUUUAUUUCUUACAACCACACCGGAUUCAUCCAUUUUAUUUCUAAAUAUCCAUUUAGUGCCUAUAACGGAUUGAUGUUCCGGUUUAGGAACCAAUUCCCACACUUUAUUUCUCUCAAAUUGAUUUAACUUCUCUUGCAUUGCUAUAAUCCAAAACUCAUCAUUUUCAGCAUCCGUAAAAGAUUUGGUUCAAUUUGAGAAAUAAAUGUAGCAUGCUCACAUGUGUUUCUAAGUGAUGAUCUAGUUGUAAUACCUCUUGAAGGAUCACCUAAGAUUAAAUCCUUAGGAUGAGAGGAAAAAUACCUCCACUCCUUGGGGAGUGUUUGAGAAAUACCUUCUUGUUGCUCCAGCUCCAUAUUUGAUUGUUCUUCUUGUCCAUCCUCUUGAUUUUCUUGUGGUGCAUUCUCUUGUUUCUCUUUUGAUGAUUCUUCUUGUAACUCUCCAUCUGCAUCAUCAUUAACAACUCCUUUCUCCACGGAGGAGGGGUUAGAUUCAUUAAACGUAACAUGCAUGGAUUCUUCCACAACUAAAGUUCUUUUGUUAUAAACUUUAUAAGCUUUGCUUUAGUUUGAAUACCUGAGAAAGAUGCCAACAUCAUAUUUUGGAUCAAAUUUACCAAGAUUAUAUUUUGUGUUUAAAAUAAAACAUUUGCAUCCAAAAACUUUGAAAUAACCAAUGUUGGAUUUUCUAUCUUUCCAAAGCUCAUAGGGAGUUUUAUUGAGAUGAGGUCUAAUCAACACCCGAUUUAAAACAUAACAAGCGGUGUUGACGGCUUCGGUCCAAAAAUAUUUUGGUAAUGCAUUUUCAUUUAACAUGAUCGUAGCCAUUUUUUGAAUAGACCUAUUCUUCCUCUCAACAACUCCAUUUUGUUGUGGAGUCCUAGGUGAUGAAAAUUGAUGCUCAAUGCCAAAAUCAUUACAAAAGUUUUCAAAUGCAUGAUUUUCAAACUCUCCACCAUGAUCACUUCUAAUACAAGUAAUAGAAUAACCCUUUUCAUUUUGAACAUUUUUACAGAAAAUUCUAAAUGCAUCAAUGGCAUCAUCCUUAUUAGCUAAGAAUAAUACCCAUGUGUAUCUAGAAUAAUCAUCUACAAUUACAAAUGCAUAAAAUUUUCCACUUAAACUAGCAUAUCUUGAGGGUCCAAACAAAUCUAUGUGAAGUAAUUGAAGAGGUUUUGAAGUAGAGAUAUGAUUCUUGUUUUUUAAAGAGGUUUUGAUUUGUUUUCCAAAUUGACAUGCUUCACAAAUUCUAUCCUUUUGAAAACCAAUUUUUGGAAGACCUUUAACUAAAUCAUUUUUCGAAAUUUUUGAAAUUAAAUCCAUGCUUGCAUGUCCUAGUCUUCUAUGCCACAACCAACUAUCAUCAUGCAAUGCCGAAAAACAUUUAUCAUGAGUAGAUGCACACUCUAUAUUAAUCGUGUAAACAUUGCCACGUCUAUUUCCCAUAAACAAAAUUUUCCCAUCACAUGCAUUCUCAAUAACACAACUUGAUUUAUCAAAGGCAACUUUAUAACCUUUGUCACAUAAUUGACUAAUGCUAAUCAAAUUAUGUUUCAAAUUUUCAACCAAACACACAUUUUCAAUUAGAGUUGAAGAAAUUUUACCAACAUUUCCAAUUCCGAGAAUUUUUCCUUUUGAGUUAUCUCCAAAGGAUACAUCUCCACCAUUUUCGAUUUUGGUGAAACUUGAGAACUAUGCAUAGUUUCCAGUCAUAUGCCUAGAACAUCCGCUGUCCAAGUACCAUUUAUUUUUCUUUUUCUUCAAGCCCUGCAGAGGAAAUCUUAUGUCUUAGGUACCCAAACCUUUUUGGGUCCUUGAGCAUUAGCAACGGUUCCUUUUGGAACCCAAAUACAUUUGACACCAUAAUAUGCAUUCCUUUUUACGGGACAUCUAUAUUUCAUGUGACCAUUUUGAUUACAAUAAUGACAAACACUCUUAAAAAUGAUCACUUGUGGAUGUAGCUUUAACAAAAUAAUUCUUGUAAUGCUUUUGCUUCAAGUUAGACUUAUACCCAAGUCCUCAUUUAUCAAAAACACAUAUUUGAGAAUUAAACACGUUAUCCAACAUCUUUUGCCCAUUUGUAAAUUUUAGAACAACAUUACUAAGUUCAAUAUUCUUUUUCUUGAGCAUUUCAUUUUCCUUUUUCAAAUCAUGUACAUGUGACUCUAAAUGCUCAUAUGAAGUGCUAGGUUUUUCAUUUGAUAAUGCAACUCUAUUAUGCAAGGUUUUAUUAUCUAAUUCUAAUCCUUUAAUCUUCUCAUUCAAUGACUCAUUGUAUCUUUGCAUGGCAUCCUUUUCAUUUGUAAAUUCUAGCAAUUUCUUUUUAAGGCAUGCAUUCUUUUUACCAAUUUUCAUCAACUCAUCAUGCAUUUCUUUAAAAGCAUCAUACAAUUCAUCAUAGGUUAGAUCACUUACCUCAUUAAGAUCAUCAUUAUCUCCUAGUGCCAUAAAUGCUAGGUUUGAUACUUCUUGCGACUCUUCUUCAUCACUUGAAUCUUUGUCGCUAUCAUCCCAAGUAGCAACCAUAGCUUUCUUCUUGAGUUUGUUGAGAAGUGGGCAUUCCGAUCUUAUGUGGUCGGGCUUUUUGCAUUCAUAACAUAUGAUUACCUCUUUCUUCUCCUUUUGGUUUUUGAAGUUUCUAAAUUUCCUUCGGUCAUCGGUUUUCUUGAAAAAAGUUUUGAACCUCCUUGCUAGCAUAGCCAACUCCUCAUCAUCCGGCUCACUUUCCCCAUCACUCUCAUAUUUUGUGGCUUUGAGAGCAAUAUUUUUCUUCUUUUCCUCAUUUCCUCUUUCGGCUGCCAAAUCUUCCUCAUAAGAAAUAAGAGAACCAAUUAAAUCAUCAAUAGGUAAGAUAUUCAAAUCUUUAGCUUCCUCAAUGGCAGUCCUUUUUGGUCUCCAUUCCUUAGGUAAUGACCUAAUAAUUUUCUUAACUUUUUCGCUAUUUGAAAAGGUCUUUCCUAGGGCUCCUAGAGUAUUUACUAUGUCCGUAAAUCUAGUAUACAUAGAAUAUAUACUCUCAUUUUUUUCCAUUUGGAAUAAUUCAUAUUACCGAGUGUACCUACUAAUCUUAGACUCUUUCACUUGAUUCAUGCCUUCAUAAACAACUUCAAGUUUGUGCCAAAUUUUAUUAGCACUUUCACAACUAGACACUCUAUGAAACUCUUUCUUAUCGAGUGCACAAAACAAGGCAUUCAUGGCUUUGGAAUUUAGAGAAGCUUUUCUCUUUUCCAAUUCAUUCCAUUCCCGUGAAGGUUUUGGAAUGUCUUCCCCGAAUUCAUUUUUAGUCAAAGGCAUAAAUGGACCAUCACAUACAACUUCCCAAAUUUCAUAAUCUAGUGCUUGUAAAUAAAUUCUCAUCCUAGUUUUUCAAUACGGGUAGUCAUUUCCGUCAAAGAACGGUGGCCUAGUUGUGGAUUGUCCUUCCCUAAAGGUUGAAUCAUUUUGGGUUGUCAUGGAUCUUUUACUCUAGACGGUUAAGUCCUAAUAAGAGAACCAAGCUCUGAUACCAAAUGAAAUGCAAGUAACGCAACCCAAGAUGGGGGGUGAAUUGGGUUUUUUAAAAUUAUACAAUAUAAUUCGCACAACAAAUCAAUCUAACGCCUUAAUGAAAUAGAGAACAAUAAAUUCAAACAAACGUAAACAUAAAAGAGCAAGGGAAGAGAAAAACAAACACGCGGAUUUUCACGUGGUUCGGCAAUCCCCGCCUACGUCCACGCCUCCAAGCCAACCAAGCUUGAGGAUUUCACUAUCCAAGCCUCCCAAGGCUUCAAGUUCUUACAAUUGACUUCCAAGGUGUCAAUGAACCUUUACAAUCAAGAGAUUAUCUCCCCAAUCACUUCACCUCAAGUAUUUCCCACACUUACACACUCACAAUUUGAUAAGAAAUGAAAAUUACAACAAAAAAACUCUCUCUAAGAGUGGAUAUGCAAAUAAUAGCUCAACAAUGAUUCAAUCUAUGAUGAUUUACGUUUUGGAAGCUCAAUAUAUGUUGUAUGAUCUUAUAUUUGCUUGCAUUAGUCCUUAGAAUGAAGUUUGAGUUGAGUUUUUAUAGUUGAAGCACGAAAACUAGCUAUUAUAGGCAAAUUCCCACGCCCAAGCGGUUAACCGCUUGAUUUAUCCGACUAGCCGCUCAGGAACAGUGAUAUUAUCGUUAUUUUUGAAUUUUGCUACAGUAACAAUGUUCACUAAAAUUGCACUUUGACCUAAAACUUUUUGUAAUUAUACUAAGGCCCAAAAUGUUAUAAAACUUUGCAAAUAGGUCCAAUUUCAUAACUUCCUAAGAAUAGUUGUCUUUCCCAAACUUUCUAAAAUUAUGAUAUGACCGCAAAGAUUUUAUUAUUUCGCACAAAGGUCCUUUUCAACAUAAUACUCAUAUUUUUCAAAGUUCUCAAAACCUUUCACUUUAGUCCAAAAUAUUCAUAAAUUAUAGUAUGGUCCAAAACAUUUCAAACGUUUGUAAUAACGUCCAACUCUGAAAUUUAAUACUUAUUUAAAAUCAAAGAUUUCAAAACUUAGUAUUUAAGUCCAAAUUACUCAAAUCCACAAAAUACUUUACUUUAUAAAAAUAAAACCUUUUAGUUUAUGAAAAGUAUUUAAUUAAAUUAAUCUCUUGAGCUUCUUAAAUGCUAAAUCAUGCAUCAAUUAAAUCAUACCGGCUUUACAAGAAUUUAUCGCACUAAUUUGUUCGUUGAGCUCUAAACUAUAUUCUUGAUGUCGCCGUUGUCCGUUGAGUGUCUUCAAUCUUGAUUUCACUUGAUUCACUUGCAUAAAUAUUAUCCUUCAAAAACUAGUGAAAAUGUGAAAUACAAUAUUUAUUAUUUUUACUUAAGACACAUGUUUGUUAUCAUCAAAAUUAUAUUAUGUGUAGCCUUUUAGGCUAACAAAUACUAUUGCUAGCAACUCUUUUUCUGUAGUGGUGUAAUUAAUCUGAAUUUGAGUAAGAGUUUUACUUGCAUAGUAUAUAGAUUGAAAAAUCUUAUCCUUCAUCUGCCCUAACACUGCCCUAAUAGAAUGGUCACUGGCAUCACAUAUCAGUUCAAAUGGUAGAGUCCAAUCUGGUGAUAUAACCACUGGUGCAGUGAUCAAAGCUUUCUUUAACUCUCCAAAAGCUUGCAGACAGUCUUUAUCAAAAUGAAAAGGCUUGUCAUGUUCCAGCAAUGAGUAUAAUGGUUUAGCUACCUUAGAGAAGUCUUUAAUGAAUCUUCUGUAAAAUUCAGCAUGGCCUAAGAAACUCCUAAUACCCUUGAUUGAGGUGGGGGGUGGCAGUUUAUCUAUCACUUCUAUCUUUACUUUAUCUACCUCAAUACCAUUCUUGGACAACUUAUAACCCAACACUAUGCCCUCUUGCAUCAUGAAAUGAUAUUUUUCCCAAUUGAGUACUAAGUUAGUCAUCUCACAUCUUUUAAGAACUUCUUCCAAGCUAUGUAAACAAUCAGUAUAUAUCUCUCCAAAAACUAAGAAAUCAUCCAUGAAAACUUCCAAUGUUUGCUCCACCAUAUCAUAAAAUAUAGACAUUAUACAUCUCUGAAAAGUUGCUGGAGCAUUGCAUAAACCAAAUGGCAUCCUUCUGAAGACAAAAGUUUCAUAAGGACAGGUAAAUGUAGUCUUUUCCUGAUCCUUUGGAGCUAUAGCAAUUUGGUUGUAGCCUGAAUACCCAUCUAGGAAACAAUAGUACUAUUUUCCAGCAGGUCUGUCCAAUAUCUGAUCUAUGAAUAGGAGUGGGAAGUGAUCAUUCCGUGUGGCUUUGUUGAGCUUCCUGUAAUCCAUACAUACCCUCCAUCCAGUCACUAUCCUUAUAGGAAUAAGUUCAUUCUUCUCAUUUGCUAUCAAUGUUAUUUUUCCCUUCUUUGGAACACAUUGGACUGGGCUCACCCAUGAGCUGUCUAAUAUCGGGUAUAUGAUUCCAGCAUUCAACCAUUUGAUGAUUUCCUUCUUCACAACUUCCUUCAUAAUAGGGUUUAACCUUCUCUGUUGCUCCACUGAAUUACUGUAACAGUCUUCUAACAGAAUUUUAUGCAUGCAUAUGGAUGGGCUAAUCCAUUUGAUGUCUGCCAUAGUCUAUCCAAUUACUCUUCUGUAUUUCCCAAGCACGUCUACUAGGCUCUAUUCUUGACCUGCAUCCAAAGUAGAUGAAAUUAUUACAGGGAGUGUGUUGUUUUGACCAAGAUAAGCAUAUUUCAAAUAGAUGGUAAAGUUGUUUUUACUUCCCUGUCUGAAAGAUUCAGAUGCUCAACAAAUCUGUUAUGUCUAUCAGAUUUCUUUCCCUCCAUCCAAUCUAUCUGGUUUGCUGCAACAUCUUCUUCUUCAAAGCUCUCAAAUGUGGUAACUUUGAUGAUCUCAUUACUGCAGUAUCUGUCGAUUCUGUCUGCUACAACAAAAUCCACAACACUCAGGAAAUUGCAAUCUUCUGCUUAUCAGGUUUCUUCAUAGCCUCUAAUACAUUAAAUGUAACUUGCUGAUCAUUCACUCUCAUUGUUAGCUCUCAUUUCUGCACAUCUAUCAGAGUUUUUCCGGUUGCUAGGAAAGGUCUUCCAAGUAUAAUGGGUACUUCUUUAUCAGCUUCAAAGUCUAAAACAAUAAAGUCCACUGGAAAGAUGAAUUUGUCAACCUUCACCAAUACAUCCUCAAUUUUUCCUUCAGGAAAUGCAUGAGAUCUAUCAGUUAAUUGUACAGUGACUGUUGUUGGCCUGCAUUCUCCUACUCCCAACUGCUUAAAUACAGAUAAUGGCAUCAGAUUAAUACUGGCUCCCAAAUCACAAAGUGCUCUGCCAUUAUACCUAGUUCCAAUGGAACAUGGUAUUGUGAAGCUUCCUGGAUCCUUCAAUUUUUGAGGAAUCUUACUUUGGAGCAUGUGACUGCUUUCCUGUAUUAAAGCAACCAUUUCAAAUUCUCCCAAUCUUCUCUUUCUUGCCAAAAUGUCCUUUGGGAAUUUCACAUAAUUAGGCAUUUGCUCCAAUACUUCCACAAAAGGGAUGGUAAUGUGUAAUUGCUUCAGCACUUCCAAGAAUUUACUAAACUUCUUGUCUUGUUUUUUUUUUUGGAAUCUUUGUGGGAAAAGAGGUGGCUGCCUAAAUUGCUGAGUAGCUUCAGGAAGUGCCAAUCUCUGCUCAUUUGGUUUGUUAUAAGCUGUUACCAUUGGUGUUGCAACUUUUUUUUCAGCAUUUAUUGGUUGAUUCCCUUCUAUAGUAACUGCAGUUUGACCACUAACAUCAGUAUCUUGAUGGCUGGAUUGUUCUAACAUACUCUCCUCUUAAGGUGGUUCUUGUGAGGAAUUAAGUUCCACCCAUUUUUAGUCAUAUUAACAAGAAUAUCAACAUUAUUUCCAGAUCUUAAGUUGAUGACCUUGCAAUGUUCCUUUACCUCUCUCUUUAGAUCUUCUGUGUUGCUGGGCAAGCUUCCUUAAGAUCUGUUACUCAUUGCUGUGGCAAGCUGACCAAUUUGGUUUUCCAGAUUUCUUAGAGAUACGGCUUGACUUUGCACAAUUGCUUCAUUCUUUGCAAUGUAUUCCUUAAUCAGUGUUUCUAGUGAAAUGAGAGGAUUAUGUCUGGUGUGUUUUUGCCCUUGAUUUUACUGAUGAAAACCAGGUGGUUGAGUAUUUCUGUUCCGUCCACUCAAUGCUGGAGCAUUUUGAUUCUGAUUACUCAACGAGAAAUUUGGGUGUUGCUUCCAUCCAGGGUUGUAAGUAUUUGAGUAUGGGUUGUUUUGAGGCUGUCGGUUGUAAUUACCCAUAUAAUUUACUGAUACUGGAUUUCCAGGACAGUUAUCAAAUUCAUGUUCUUCACCACAGUACACGCAAGACAAUUCAGCAACUUGCUUUACUACCGCUGGAGCAGAUGUCAUGGCUUUCACCAUGUUAGUCAAUGAAGUUACUUGUGCUGAUAAAUCUGUAAUUGCAUCUAUAUUAUGUACCCCUACUGCUCCUCUUGCUACUGGCUGUCUAGUUGAUGGCCACUGAUAAUUAUUUUUGGCAAUUCUCUCCAAAAUUUCAUAAGCUUCAGUGUAAGAUUUGGAUAACAAGGCUCCACAAUCUGAAGCAUCAACCAUCAAUCUCGUACUUGGAUUCAAUCUGUUAUAGAAAGUCUCCAAUUGUAUGCAACAAGGAAUGCCAUGAUGAGGACACCUUCUGAGCAAUUCUUUGAAUAUUUCCCAAGCCUCAUACAAAUUCUCAUCUUCAAGUUGAUGGAAAGAAGUGAUCUCAUUAUGCAAUUUUGCAUUUUUUGUUGGUAGAAAAUAUUUCAUUAAGAAUUUAUCGGCCAAUUCAUUCCAUAUAGUGAUGGAAUCAGAUGAUAAUGAAUUCAACCAUGCUCUUGCUCGAUCUCUUAAGGAGUAAGGAAAAAGCCUUAGUCUUAAAGCAUCUUGUGUUGCUCCAGCAAUUUUAAAAGCAUCACUCACUUCCAAAAACAACUUAAGAUGGAGGUGAUGAUCUCCAUUUGGCAGUCCAUUGAAUUGACCCACUGUUUGCAACAUUUGAAACAUCAUUGGCUUCAGUUCAAAGUUUGCGGCUUCCACUUCAGGUCUGAUUAUCCCAAGGUGUACAACUUGAGGAGUUAACACAGUAUAAUCUCUGAUAGCCCUGUCUCUGUCAUUUGCCAUGUAAAUGAUAUUAUUGUUGCCUGGCUAUCUCUGGUUAACAUGCUUAUUCUGCUCCUCUUGAAUGUUGACGGGUUGUAAUGGCCCGUGAGGGUCUAAAUUUCCCAUAUCCUGCAAAUUAUCCAUGUCUGAAACAUUUUUUGAAUUCUUUUGUUCUCUUCGCAGUCUCCUUACAGUCCUUUCAAUCUCAUGAUCAAAUUGGAACACAACAUACCUGUCUUUGCGCUUGCAAGUGUUGAUCUGUUAAUAAAUAGAACAAAUCAAAUCAAAUUGGCACUAUCAAGACUUACUUCACACUUCGAAAAUAAACAAUCAAUCCCCGGCAACGGUGCCAAAAACUUGUUGGUUAAUUUUUAAUCAAAUGAUAUUGAUGCCAAUGUGCAAGUGUACACAACAAGUAAUAAAGUGAUGAAUAUUCAAGAUUGUCUCCACACGGAUUGAUGUUACCAGAAAUGCUACAGCAAUCACAAUAGUGCAACCUACCUUUAUUUUGAAUGAACAAAUGUGAAGUUGUUUACUACCAAAAUUUAUAAUUGUGAGAAAAUAAAACAAAAUAAUGUAGUGAUGAAAUAAAGUAAAUAAAUUGCGUAGAAUGAUCAAAUGAGAAUAAGGUAGUUAAAUGAUCAAACUCUCUUUAUGGGUUGACUGCUUUUCAUCAAAUUAACACCAGUUGCUACAGCACUGGGCAGAAUUACUUUGCAUCCUCAGCUGUCACGUGUUGGAAUUCUCAUACCCUUAAGUAUCUUAGCAAUGACCAGUUGCUAUUCUACCUUCGGCAUGACAUUACGAACAUCUAUUCUCUCCACCCUACAAGGUGAGUACUUAUGUUUAGUUUGUCACAAAUCUUAACUUCAAGUAUAGUCCUUAUGAUAUUCAAGAUUAACUUAAUCCAGGAAACUCGAAUUAAGAUCAAGUAUUACUCUAAUAAUAUCCACUAAGACAUGCCCUUUUGCGGCUCUAUCUUAACUUGAACCAUUAAAUGGGUGGUCAACCGAAAUAACAAUUAUAAUAAUAGCUACUAAAGUAAAAUGCUAUAGCAAUUAUAUAGCAACUCAUAAGAACAGUCAAGAACCCAUUAGAUUGUUUGUCAUUCAACUACAAGCAAGUUUAGUUCAUAUUUUGAAAGAGAAAAACAAACAGCAACAUAUUAGACACGAAAUACAUUAGUUCAAUCAAAGAGUGAAGAAAAGAAUAAGUGGAGAACGACAAAAAGUGAAUUCAAAAUAACUCUACUGGAUUCUUCAAUGAUGCAACAUUGGUUCCCUUGAAUUUUGAUUUUCUUCUUCUUUUUCUCUUGAUUUUCUCAAUGUUAAUUCCUUGUCGCCAUUUUAUGUGAUGCGCGCCCCUUUUUAUAACUGAAAACUAGGGUAAACAAAAGCCUAAGGUGUACAUGAGUCAAAUUAGGAAACUGCAGAUUGCAAUUCUGCAGCUAUCUCGCACUAAUUUUUCUCCCUCAUUGUUCUAGGAUUGCUACAGCAAUGGUUGCUCCAACAACGGCUAUAACACUGCAUUAUUCUAGGUUGUGUUUCACUUCUUUUGUGGCCAUAUUCUUUCUCCUUCUUGCUAGACUAAUGCCUCAGCAUCCCUUCAUGGAUUAUAAACUUCUGAAAACCUACAAUUAUGCACAUGUUUCAAACACAAAUUACUUUAAAUUAAGCAAAACUUAUUAAGACUAAAUUAAAAUGGAUGUUUAUGCAAAACAUAAACAAAAUGUAAUAAAAACACAUCAUUUACUCUCUAAAUGGUCUUGAUAAGUCUAGAAUUACCAUAAUAACUCUCAUUUCAUAGAGUUAUCUGUAACCAAUAAAAGUAGAUGAAAGCAAAGAGAGAAAGAAUGAUUUAAGAAAUUAGGGAUUUUAGAGAUAUGAAAAGUUUUUGCCGCCACAUGAUUUAAGAACGCGUGCCUUGAGGGUGUUAUAACAGCCCGUUUGAAAUAUAAAUGGUUAGUCUGAAUGUGUGCCACAUCACACGCAUUUAAAAACAAUGUGACUCCUCGAAUGAAUGGACACCAUCAACCCAUGAAUGCAAAAAAUGCUUUUGGCAGCCUCCUGCUAUAGAGUCGAGCAACCAGGAAAGUAGGUCGAAAGGAUACAUAUUAAGUUUCUAGUUUUGAUUCGUUUAACUCUCAACACUAGAAACUAGGGGACUGUUGUUUAAGGAAGAAAAAACACCGCGACUAAGAUAGCGCGAGCAGAACAUGCUCCCCUGGGCUUAAGGGGAGGCUGAGGCGGAUUGCACGAGUACAAUAGGCCUGAGAGGGUGUGAGGAGGGGACAAAAUUAAGUCAGAUCAAAGACUUGGUCAAAGGUCAACAUGCAGAUUACCUCCAAAGAGCUUAACCACAAAGCCUACUCAACAAUCGUUGUAACAUGUAGGUUAUCUCCAAGGGGCUCUGACACGAAACCCACUCAACAACAAUUAUGUUGUUUAUUUACCCAUGAUUGUAUUACUAUGCCAACAAUGAUCGUGGGGAAGAGGAAGCCGAUAAUUUUAGUUGGGUAUAAAAGCUACAAUAAACGAAAGUAAAGGGGGUCAGACGAUUUCUGACUGGACUUAAAAAAUACUUUCUCUUUCUCUCACCCUCUUGAUAAUUCUAUACUAUGUCUAUCUUUCUCUCUGAAAAUUUAGCUUCUCAAUUUAAAGUAAAUAUAGUUAAGCCACGAGUUUAUGGCAUAAGUUUUUUCAAAAAAGGCUCGAUUACUGACUUGAGCAUCCAAAGGUUUUCACCGGAAAAACAUUCAACGCCCCUCUAACUGGAUAUUGUGAGUCCAGGUUAUCCAGAGUGAGUUUGUGGUCGACAUUAUCUAUUCGAGUGGGAUAGCAGCAAUGCUGAGUCAUUUCCCCAACAAACCAAAUUUAAACGUUGACGUGGACACCUAGUUGCAACUCUAUUGACCAUAUUCUUGCAUUAACACUCAUGUUCAUCAUCAUGUUCAUCCACGCUUGUAGAACUUCUACCAAAACAUAAAAGAGCUUUAGAAAACAUAUUUUGACAACACACAAAAGUUUAAGGCACCUAAAUUUUUAAUACCAAAUAAUUACUAAUUCAAAUGCUUAAAAAUACAGACAAGUAAAAAAGUGAAACUCACUAAGGCAUGUUUUUUACAGCGCAUGCAAACUGAGACUCCGCUAAGAGUGUGUCGACAAAGGAUAAAGAAGUGCAGGGAGAAGAAGAAGAAGAUGAUGAUGAAAAAGAAUGAACUAAAACUUUUAUAAGAAUGAAAGAGGAUGUUUUUAUUGGGUUCUGGGUUUUUGUUUUAUGAGUGGAAAUAGGUUAUGUUGGUGGGUUAGCUGUUUGUACAGAAGACAUUUGAAGGAAUAACCCAAUGAGAAGAACUACAUUGCUACUCUGCUUUACUCAGAUAGUUGUUUAUCUAAGGGUGGGUCUUCGACUCACAAAGGACUCAAAUUAUUUAUUUUCUAUCGCAAUUUAGUUCCCUCCCUUCUAAGUAGGAAUAAAUAUCUGGAGUAAACAUUUCAUCACUAAUCAGUGUUGAUCUGCAAGCUCUCUAAACUAUUAUAACAAUUCAAGAAAACUAUAAUUAUUUAUUAACAUAAAGCGGCAAGUCAAUUGGAUUGGAUUGGAUUGGAUCUAAUAAUUCAAUAUUGUUUCACCUUCACACACAUUGACAAGAGCUAUUGCCACCCUAUAAAACUUUCAUAAAACCGUGCCCCGAAAAAGAAUAGAGUGGAGUUAUUGGCACCUCUAAAAGAAUUCUUGUAUUUUCAAUUUACAUUUUUAACUUUAAUCAAAUCGUGUUUGACAAUUCAUCUCUCUUCCUCUAGCCUUACAUGGGUUUUAUUUUUAUUUUUAUUCUUGAAUUAGUGGUUUCUGUUGGAUUGAAAUUUUUAGUUCAUUAUUUUCAAAUUAUGAAAGGCUUAUUUUCUUUUACCAUUAUAGCUCUUGAUUUCAUUGAUUUAUGUGUCCAUAUAAAAGCACGUAGAAUUGUCACAUUCAAAGCAUUAGAUGAUAUUGGAUUAGCUUCUAUCAAUCUUUUUGAAUAUAAAAGAAAUAUUUCUUUAUUAUUUUUUCUCUCUCUCGUACUGAAGUUAGUGAGAACAUUUGUUGAAUUAAAAUAGCUCCGCUCAAGAGAAUAGCCUAGAGUAUUUCCUAUCUAGUUUUUAGAUUCUAUUUUUUACUGGUUUAACUUACUUCAUAGAAAUAGUUUGAUAUCUUUUCCCAUGGAAUGAUAAAAUAAAGUAAUAAUAUGAAUUCUAUCUUAUGAGAAUCAUAUAUACAUAUAAGAAUAAGAAUAAAAAGAUGGAAAAAGAAGUUCAAAGAAUUCUAAACUGAAAAGUUGAUUCUUAUGGACAGAAAAGGGCUUUUAAUUAAAUUGGAGAAAAAGUUUUGUAAUAAAAGAAUUUCGUUUUCAUAUGAUUUCUCAAGAAAAAAAGAGUAUAUAAGGUUAUUUCUGAAAUUAACAUAGGUGUUGUUAAAAGUAAAGUGAUUUACAUAUGUUUUUAAGAGUCAUUUAGAAGAGAGGUUUUAUGAGGAGUUUAAAGUGGUGCUAAUAGUAAUGGGUCAAAAAGAACAUCCAAAAGAUACUUGUAAUGAAACAAAAAAUAAUUAAUUAUAUUUUACAACUCAAAAUACGCUAGAAGAUCUUUAAUAUUUCUUAGUUUACUCUAUGUUACUAUAAGUACAUAAAAUGUUUGGCUGAUAAAAUGGGGCAACCACAAUCAAGCUUUCCUUGAAGCUUCCUUAUGAUUGCCUUGUCACUUAAAACGGCCUGAAGGAAAUUUGGCGAGGAGGAGUAGGCAGGAGGUAGUUACUUCGAACAAACCUAGUCAAAACAACAUUUCCACUUCAUCUGGAAACCCAGGGACUUAGUUUUAUCCACAAAACCCACAACUCCAUGAUCCUAAAGAGUAAAGAAAAUGGACUUAUAUCCAAAUAACUCAUCAUCCUAGAAUUUAUGGGAGAUGAAGGAGGAGCCCUAUCCAAAAACCCACUUCACUGAGAUCUAAGGGAGAGAGAUUUUCAACUCCUAUAAAAUUCCCAAAGGGCAAAAGGAUAAGGGUCCAUAAUUUGAAUACCCUGGACCCUUGUUUAAUAUUUGGAAAUUCAAAGAUUUAUAUUUGAUUUUCUUUACCCCUUUUAUUUUUUUAUCAUCAUCCCUUUGUAUCAUCAUCUUUUCUUAUUUAAGGGAGAGUUUCUUCUCACUUUUCUCUUUUUGAUUCACUUUGAUUGAUUUAUUUUAGGUAGACAUUCAUAUACUCAAUUAUCCCACGAAAAUCCAUGAUACUGACUUGAGCAAGGUUAACGUUGAAAAACCUUUUGGCACCCCAGACCAUUCUUUUUGUUGCAAGUACUCGCCAGGACAACACCAUGCUUGCCAAUUCCUGCUCAGACUUGUCGAAUACUUGGUUGCCAACUUUCAUUCAAGUUACUAAAUUGAGGUUAGAAACUGUCUAUCCACACGAACAAAUUCAAAUGCUAGCGUUGGAAUCUGGUAGGUAGCCCACACACUGACACAACUAGAUUUUGGGGUCAACAUAUAACAAAAUAAAAUUUAUUGAUUGGUACCUUAUACUUGAUAUAAAUAAAGUAGAAAAUCUUCCACCUCAUAAAAUAUAUGGUAUAUGACAAAGUUACAUCUAAUUUUCUGCAUGCAUAUGGAAAAACAUUAAUUAUUUAAAUUUCUAAUUUAUCAUAUUGAGGUUUGAUUUCUGAAUUUUUUAGUUGUCAAAUGGAUUAAAUUUUCCCCUAUAAACAUUGUCUACAGAAACUCACGAAUCUAAACAAACCAAACCAAUAUUGUUUGGUGAAUGAAAUAAUGUGACCCCAAUAAGGUGUUUGCUCAGACGUCAUUGUACUCUCCUCAAAGUAAAAAGCGAGCAAAUAGUCGAUAGGCUAGCAGGAGAAAAUUCUAGUGACCUUGAGUAGACCACCUUGACCAGGUGCUUAUUUUGAUGAUCUCGAGUAGAUUACCUCGACCAUGAUGUUAUUUUGUGACCUCGAACAGAUUACCUCGACCAGGAGGUUAUUUGAUGACUCAAGCACAUCAUCUUGACUAGAAGAUGAGUCUGGUGACCUUGAGUACGUCACCUGGACCAGAAGGCAAUUCUAAUUACCUCGACCAGAUAAGUUUUGAAGAGACAUUGGACAAAGUCACCAAGAAGCAAGACAAAGUCAAAACUUCUCUGAAAUACUAGGGACCAUAUUCUUAGUGGCCUAAAAAUUAGUGGUCUUCCUUAGAAUUCUAGAAGGAGGAUUCAGCCAAGUGGAUAACAUCCAGUUUGGGGAUUGGUACUUGGUUUUAUUUUUUCAAGCUUUUGAUCUCUGUUUUUGUUUGAAAUAGAAAUUAUUUAUUUUGAUUCUAGUAAACCUAUAAACUGACUUGAGCAUUGAAGGGUUCACAUCGAAAAAACUUCCAAUGCCUCUUACCAUCUUCUAUGAUUUUAGGUGUUCGCAGGUUAUUUAUGAGUGGUCGCAGGGCAUUCUUGACGAUUGGCAAGCCCUUUCACCACUAAAUAAAUUUAAUGCUGAUGCAAGGAUAGGUAUUGAGUCACUAACCAACUCAACCGAAUUUCGGCAUCAACAUACUUUAUUAAUAUUUUUAUCCUCAGACUCUCGGUUUUGCACUUCUGCUUACUAAUACAUUAUGGAACUUAUAUCCACAUUUUUCAUCACUCUUUUGCUGGCCUCAUGUUUGUUCCUUAAUCUUCUCUUCCUCAUCUUUUCACAUCAAUGCAUGCAUAAUUAAUUAUAAUAUGAAGGUAUUAGCAUUAAGCUAAUUAAUUGUUUGGCAUUUAUAUAUACAGGUGUGUUGUUUUAUAUUUCCAUGCCAGUGCUCAACCGGAAUCAAAAGUAGUCACAUGUAAAAGCAAUGCUGACUAUGACAAUUGCAAAAUUCGUUUGAAUGUGAUCUUGAUACCCAAGGGCAGAUUUAUUAUAAGACCAGUGGGGACUUAAGUCCCCACUAGAAAAAAAAAUCUUUUAAUAAUUAAUUUAGUUUGCCUAAAUUCCCAACAAAUUUCUCUCAAGCCCGCAAUACAUAGUUACACUUAAAUUCUUACGCUCUAAAUUUUUAAGUUCAAAUCAAAAGAGAUGGGCUUUGCAAACUAAAAUUAAGCCCAUAAAUAUUAAUAUUAAUUUAAUUUUUAGACAGCCCACAAACUCAUUACUAAUUUUUUAUUAAUCUUACAUUUUCCAAUUCCACCACUAGUCCAACACCCAUCAAAAAUCCCUAAACAUCUUUUUAUGUUGGUUUUAUGUCAAUUGUUUACAUAGAAAAAGACUUAUUUAAUAAUAUUGAUAAUGAAGUUCUAAUGCAAUGUAUCAAUGUAUGACAACUCGCAAAGGACAAUUGUAAACAUAUACUGAAGUAUUAUAAAUCUUUCAAAUAUAUAUAUUUAUUACUUUUUGAAUUUUUUUUAUUUUGUCAUUGAAUAAGCCCCCCAGUCAAUCAAUAUGUUGUCUCUGCCCUUAUUGAUACCCAUCUCUACGUUUGUGUUCCUGGCUAAAAUUCGACGUGUUGUUGAAGAAAUUAAAGCUUGUAUUGCAAGUUCUAGUGAUAUUUUGGAUGCUGAAUUGCAAAAUUUGUAAUGUUUUUUGCAAUCUUUGUUUUAUUUCUUACAUUAUACUCUCUCCGGAUAUGCAUAUUAACAUUGUGUACAAAAAUUUACAAACCAUCUCCAUGUGAUUGGUCCUAUACAAUGUCGUGCUAUACAUUUGGAGAAGUCUCUAAGACUUGGAAUUAGGGAUGGCAAAACACUGGGUUUUAUUAGCCAAGCCAAGAGCCUGAAGUUUACAUUCUAUAUUUUCUAAAAACUUUUUUUAUUAUAUUUUGUAAAUUUAUAGUGUAUAAAAUUUAGUUUUGUUUUGGUUAGAUUAGGCUUUAAAAGUUGGACUUGAAUGAUUUAAAAUUUUAAAUAUAUGUAAAUGGAUUAAAUAUAUGUUAAAAGUUGUAUUUUAAUUAAAAUAUAUAAUAUAUAUUUUUAAAAUUUUUAAGUAGCUUUUGGGCUUUCGAGUUGGACUCAGGUUUUUUUUACAAAGCUCGAGUGCAGCCACAGUACUUAGAAAACAUGCUCUAGUUGGAUUGGAUUUUUCUGCCAUUCCUACUUGGAAUUCGAUUAUCAUUGAUUUCAUUAAUUGAUUGUUAUUUUUUUAACAUUAAGGACCACUACUAGAAAAAUAGGCUUUACUGACACCAAUUUAGUGUCAGUAAUUACUUUUACUGACACUUGUUAAUUGUGUCAGUAAUGCUUAAGCCAGAACACACUGACACUAAUUUUUUGUGUUAGUGAUUUUUGUGUCAGUAUCUUGUGUCACUAUAGUAUCACCACAAUAGUGAUACUAUGGUGUUAGUAUCAGUUGAUACUAUUUCUAUGUCAGUAUUUUGUGUCACUAGAGAGUCACAAGGAUGGUGACUCAAUCGUGUUAGCAUUUAAUGAUACUAUUUACAUGUCACUGAUUUAUGUGACUACAAAAUCAGGAAUCCACUGACUCAGUAACAUCAAAAAUUCUUAUCGUCAUUUAAAUAAUUAGUAUGAGUAUUAACGGUGCUAUACCGGUUGUGUUUUAUUUUUUUUAAUCACAUUAUUCCUGUUUAUUUUACAAUUAAAAUAAACCCAAAAUAUAUUAAACAUACCAAAUCUUGUAAUGCAAUUCACAUAAUACACAUUUCAAAUACAUCAGUUAAAUUAAAAUAGUUCAAAUACAUCAUUGUUUGGGGGUAAAAAACAAGUUCAAGUACUAAAUUAAGCUUUGAACAAGUAGUAUACACGAUAAAGUACUAAAUUAAUUUUGGAAAAUUUAGCCAAGAAGAAAAAAUAGAUAACAAUGUCAUUGAUUUUGGAGUCACUGAUUUUGGAGUCCGCAUAUGCCUUCAUUUUUUUUCCACCUACAAGUAUAUAAAAUCAAUUAGCACAACACAAAAAAUAAGUCUUGUAUAUUUUUAAGGAAAAAUAAUCAUAAAUUACUUGUAUGUCACCUCACGAUUGUAGGCUGUAAUUAACUUGGCAACGUAUGUAGCCCACUGAUCACGAAGUCGUGAGAGGUCCUUGACAGUGUAUUCCUCAACUCCCUUGAACUUUAAUUUUAAAACAACAAGUUAUUCACCGAAAAUCCUUGACUAAACCACUUAAUUAUCAUUCAUUUAAAUAUAUUUGUGUGUUAACAAUUAAAGCCAACAAAUAAACUCCAACAAUGUUACUAUUUUAUCCAAAAUUAUAUAGGUAAAUACUGAACAUCCUGAUCAUGGUAAUUCCAAAAAAAAAAAAAAACAACUUGUGAACCCCAACAGCAACAAUAUUUGAUAGCCGAAGCAACUUGUGAACCCCAACAGUACGCGAUUUAAUACAAAUAUGGAUGUAGAUACAAAACCUUAAUUAGGAUGACAACUUAUCCUCAUCAAAGUAAAGUACAAGCAACGACACCAUAGCACAUCCCCACUAACAACUACUUUGCAACCCAAACAAUUGUUUUGUGUUGGGAUAUGCAGUACAUUGUGUAUAUCCCAAAUCCUAAUUCAUGUCUAUAUGGAUAUUCAUAUAAUCUAUUCAACAGUAUGCAACAUAGUCACCGUUAUAAGUACCCUCACAGUUUAUAAAAUGCAUAAAAUACGCAAUAAAAAGAUAACUAUAAAGAAGCACACAAUAGGUGUUUGAGCUGAUUCAUUUCACAAUAAAUUAAAACAAUAUGAUGCAGUAUUGUAAAAAUCGUUUUCAAUACUUACAUUAUUUUUCAGAACGUUCACAUUUGUGAUGAUAUCUUGCAUGUAUUUCAUCAUAUAGUAACCACAUUCAAAGUUGCUCGGCUGCCUCGAACACUACAGGAUCAAAAUUACAUUAAUUUUUUACUGUACGUUAACAAUAAUUAGUUAGGUUUGUCUGAUUUUUACCUUGACAGGUAUCCAUUGAACAUUGGCCUUUGCAUCAAAAUUUAAACUCUGAUGUAUUCGAAUCCCCCUACAAUUAAGAGACAUAGCAAACGUUAGCAAAUAAUUAGCAUAAGACAUAAAAAUAAAACAGCAUGAUCAAAGAUACAAAUAACAAACUUAACUGAUUGACAAUCUGCAUUAGCUCUUCAUCAGGACUACCUUCCAAAGGAUCAAGAUAAUAGGUUGUACGUCUCACCAUAUCAAUUGCCAAUAACACCCAGUGGGCACUAAACAAAGUAAAAAUUGUUCUCACACAUGAAUUACAAGUAAAAGUUUUUAACUUCAUGAUUAAUCUACAAAUUAAAGAAUAUAACUAGCAAAUGAAAAAGGUUAUACCCAGGGUUAUACGAGAAUACGAUGACUUGUCCCAAUUCUGCCAAGCCUAACAGUUUUGAAAUGUAUUGAGUCUUGUCUUUGAAGCUGACCCUUGGAUAUAGCUUCUCAAAAAGCCCAAACGGAACUGGUUUAGUACUUUCAUUGCUCUCCGUCUCCUCAUACAGGUGUCUAAGAGGAAACAAAUAUAUAUAAUGAAGUAAGUUUGAAUAUAGGAAACAAAAUAAUAGGGCCAAGUUUACUAAAACAUAAGUUAUAAUUUACCGUACUUGAUCCAUAUGUUAAUGAUGCAGUUUGAGACCUCUUUAAACUCGAUGAUUUCAGCACAAAUCAUUUUUUCCAAGUGUGUUUCCCAAAUUUCACCAAAGGUUGCUGUGUCAUGCCGAAUCCUGAUCAACCGAGGUAAAGAAUUCUCGAUGAACAUGGUAAACAUGUUCAUAUAUUCACUCCUGUCAUUCUUUCUUGAUCGUGCUGCUGCCCGUGUAUUCUUCACACGUACAUUGAGGUCUUUUACUGCUGGUCUGAUGACUCAGGGUUCUUUUUUGGUUACUUCUGCUGGUCUGAUGACUCUGGGUUCUUUUUUUUUCUACUUCUGCUGGUCUGAUGACCAGUGGUUCUUUUUUGGGUACUUCUACUGGUCUGAUGACUAGUGGUUCUUUGUUGGGUACUUUGUCAUGAUAGGAGAACUGCCUAUCUAGUACUUUAGAAGUUAGUCUAGGAGAUCUUCUCGGUGUGGGCUUUGAAGUAAUUUCACACUCUACUUUUUCGGGGGUUUGUUGAGGAGUUGCUUGAGAAAUUGUGGUGGGACUGUCCUUGAUUUUACUCUUCACAGAUUUUGGAGUCGACUUACCCGAUGGGAAAUCAGCCUAUGCAAUAAUCAAAAUACAUACCAUUAGUAGUAAUACAUGCAUAUACAAAUAGAAAUAAAAUAAUGACAUGUAACAGGCCAUAUACCUUUCUUUUUCCAAGAGUUUCAGGGGAUUGUUGAUCAUUGUCAAUCUGAACACCAGUGGAAGUUUUGGGCUUAGGAAAGUUAGAACUUCCAACUUCAGUAUUGCUGUAUGCAUUUAACCUUGCAUUCAUGCGUUCUAAUUGAGCAGACAUGAAUUGGAAACUCUCUUGAUACAUCUUUCUUUCUCUUGCUAACUCAAUGGCAUCAGGGACAUGAAAGUACAUAGAUGGGGUGACGAAUUGCCCCACUCCUUACACCCUGCUUCCAUUUGGCUGCUUCUGAAGAGCUUCACCUAGAAUGUCAUGUGACCCUUGUGAUUGGAAUGUUCCUUGUUCAACCUGACUCUUCAGCUCAUUCUACAAAAAAAAAAUAUUGUAAAUCCGCAAUUACGAGUACAAGACAUCAGCUAAAUUAAAAUUCAUAAGAAUUAAGUAUACAAGUGACUUACUAUUUUCUCAGCAAUUGGCAUCACAUCAGAAGCAUAUUUACCAUCUCGGUCUGCUCGUGCCAUUAACCAAGCUUCACUGCGAUCAAUCUCCCGCUCAGAAACUCCACUCUCUUUUUUCUGUUACAAGGUGACAUAAAACAUAAAUAAUUGGUUCUAUUAUAUUAUACGUAUUAGAUUACUUAUGUUACUGUAAUUACUUCAUAUUACCACACUUACUUUUCUAUACAACAUGCCACCAUAUCUUGUGCUACCCAAGCGAUGGUUGUAGACAUUCUUUGCUCUUUUGUCUUUUGCCUUCUUACUUUUUUCCUGCACAAACAGUUUAUAUGAAGAACAAAAAGUUACCAUUGAUUAUUAGUAACUACUAACAAUUAAAUCAGGCAAUAUUAACAAACAACACACCUGAAAUUGUUCAGACAAAACUUUGUCAACAAAAAGUUUCCAAUCUUCUUUUUUAAUGCUUGGAUAUUCAAUAGGAGGCAACUUUAGUGACUUUCGAUCAUCCUUGUUAGGUAGAACUAAUUCAGUUGCCAGUUCACAUUGAAAGUUUCUUGAUGCAACCCCCAUCCACUUUAAUACUUGGCUUUUGCAUUUCAAGCUCAAUUUGAAUUAUUUUCUGUAAACCAAUAACAUGGAUUAGAAACAACUUUAAACAAAUCUGGAAGUUAUAUAAAAUCUUUAAACAUACUAUGAAACAAGAAAACAAAACCUGAAAAUGAACCCACAAAGUUUCCUUCAUCUCUAGUGGCACACGCCUCCAAUCAUCAAGUAAAAUUGAAAUUGUUUUACGUACAAUGACUCCAAUGUAACUCCUAAGAUCAUUUCUUCCCUUUCCAACUGGAACACCAUAAGAAUUGUACUCAAUUGCAGCUUCAUGACUAACUUCUUAUUUUUAGAAACCUUUUUUUUUUGUUUGUUUUCUUCUCCUUGGUCUUCCGUCGAGCUCCGGAAGAGUGAACUCAACAUCGUCAGCCAUCUCCUACAAUCCUGAAAAUGAUUAAAAUAAAUAAGUAUAUCAUUUAGAUUAAUAAGUUAAUACAAGAGCAAUAGCAUAUAAUGAAAUAAAUAAAUCACUUACUGGAAAACUGUGAAAAUUAGUGCUGGAAACUAACUACAAUAAUGCAUUCACUGAUUUUCUAAAUCAAUAUCUAUUGGAAUAACAUCAGAAUCUUUUUUGUCAUAAAUUCCUUCAUCAUCUUUCUCAUCCAACUCACAUAUUGGAAGUUUGUUAGAUAAUGGAGAAAAUACAUCCACAUCUUCACAUCUUUCCCCAUUUAACUUAUAAGCUUUGUCGGUCACUAAACAAACUAUUGAUUUAUUAUUAUCUAACUGGUCCUUUACAUAAAAUACUUGCUUUGCAUGACAAGCCAGAAUAAAGCAAUCAGAUUUAUAGCCAAUCCGAUUUAAAUCAACUACAGUAAAACCUAAAUUGUCAGUGCAAACCCCUCUAUCAUCUACCCAAUCACACUUGAAAAGUAUUUUUUUAACCCUCAGAUAAUCAAGCUACCAAAUCUCAUCAAUGACUCCAUAAAACGUCAUGUCUCCAAAAUGAGGACUUUUAUCUUUUGAGCUUGAAAUCUGUAGAGUGUUAGCAACAACCCUAACAUCACUAUUUUGGGUCACACGAUUACAAUCCUGGUCCCUCGUUGUAAAAUUGAAGCCAUUUAUCUCGUAGCCAGAGAAGGUCACCACGCUUGAGCGUGGUUUGUUUGACAACCAGCACGCUAUUUCGUCAAUCGGCACAUUAUUUGCUUUAUCAUGUGCCACCUAUAAAUUAAAUUAACAAGUACAAUAAUUAAUAACAUGUAGAAAAAUCUUGUUAAGUUUAUAUCCUAUAUUGUAUUUAGUUAAGUAAUUCUAACCUUUGCUUGUAACCAACCAGAAAAUGUACGUAUGUGUUCAUUUUGCAACCACAUAUUUGUUUUUGGCUUAUAGGGGUUUCUUGAUGCCAAAUAAUGCAUAUGCUCCCUACAGUGAGACCAUAUUAAGAUUUAAAAACUAGUAUAUUAAUCUAAUAAUACAAUAGUAAUAUUUUUUUUGGAAAAAUUAACAACUUACUCGAUAUAUAUUUGGAUUUCAGGGGUGUUCAUUAGAACACACCGGUGUGCUUGUGCCAACAAAUGAUCAUCAACCACCUUUAUGUUUGCACCUCCCAAAGGCUUUUCGAUAGAUAAAUCAGUUGGACAACCAGUAGGCAGCCCAAUAACAUCACAAUUUGAGAGGUACUCAGCACAAAAUGCAAGUGCUUCUUCUGCAAUAUAACUUUCUACAAUACAACCCUCAGGGCGGUAGCGAUUACGAACAUAAUCCUUGAGAGUUUUCAUUUGUCUCUCAAAAGGAUACAUCCAUCGAAGAUAAACAGACCCACAUAACCUAACUUGUUCAACUAAGUGGACUGUUAAAUGGAUCAUUAUGUCAAAAAAGCUAGGUGGGAAGUACUACUGCAGUAAGCAUAAAGUGAUUACAAGUUCCUCUUGCAAUUGGUCAAGAGUAUUAGGAUCUACCACUUUACAGCAUAAUGUAUUAAAAAAGAAGCACAUCCUGAUUAUGGCCCUUCUCACAUUUAUAGGCAAACAGUUUCGAAUGGCUAAUGGUAGAAAUUAUUGCAUCAAAGUAUGACAGUCAUGGGACUUAAGGUCUUGAAGCCGACAAUCAUCUAUUGAAACAAGGUUUUGGACAUUGGAAGAAUACCCAUCAAGGACUUUCACACUCAGCAAGGUUUCACAAAACUAUUUUUUUUCUUUUUUACUCAAAGUAUAGGGAGCUGGAGGUAGGACUUUGUUUUUUUUGUUUGUUUCAUCAGGAACUAGUUUUCUAGCAUUAAUCCCAUCUUUUGUUUUGCCUGGUUGAUGAAGUAAUGUGCCAUAUAUGUUCUCGCACACAUUUUUUUCAAUGUGCAUCACAUCUAAUUGAUGGCGAACUAAUAAAUGCUUCCAAUAAUCUAACUAAAAAAAGAUUGACUUUUUUUUUGUACAACUUUUCAGUUAUGUUCUCAUCACCAUCACCGCCACCGCCGCCAUCAUGUUUCCGCUUUUUGGCCUUCUUUUUCCUAAACUUAAUAUCUAUAUCUUCCACCAUAUUAAAGAUUUCCUCACUACACAAAGUUUUAGGAGGCUCAUUCCACUCUUGCUUCCCAUUAAAAACCUUUUUCAGUUUUCGAAAUAGGUGACCGAGUGGUAGAAAGCGGCGAUGGCCCAUAUAUGACAUUUUCCUACUAUGUGGCAACCAACAUGCACAAGUGUCUAUCCCACAAAUUGGGCAAGCAUAAUAGCCCUUAACAGUACAACCAGAGAGGUUUCCGUAUGCUGGAAAGUCACUAAUUGUCCACAUCAAGAUAGCCCGUAAAUUAAAUGUUUCUUUUCUAUAAGAAUCAUAAACAUCAAUACCUACAUCCCAUAGAGUUUUUAAGUCCUCAAUCAAAGGUGUUAGGUAUACAUCUAGAUCAUUUCCAGGUUAUUUAGGGCCAGAUAUCAAAAGUGACAACAUCAAAAACUUUCUCUUCAUACACAACCAUGGAGGAAGAUUAUAUGUUAUUAAUAUAACAGGCCAACAACUAUAAGUAGUGUUAAGUGUACUAUGUGGGUUAACCCCAUCAGUUGAGAAAGCUAAACGGAGAUUUCUAAGUUCUUGUGCAAAUUUUGGCCACUUAUUGUCAAUUAGUUGCCAGGCAGGUGAGUCUGCUGGGUGGUAAAGUUUGCCAUCUCUAAUUCUUUUAUUACCAUGCCAUGUUAAAUUUGAGUUGUUUGUGGUGAUUGAAACAAUCUUUUCAACCUAGGAAUAGGUGGAAAAUACCAUAAUACCUUUUUAGGAACCCCUUUCCUAAAUUUUGUUGAGCUAUCUUUUUUUAUUUGAUACCUAGAUGCUCCACAAUUUGGGCAUUCAGCAAGAUCAGCAAUUCAUUCCUAUACAAAAUGCAGUCAUUUGGACAUGCAUGUAUUUUUUCAUACUCUAAGCCUAGCACUUUCAUUGUUUUCUUAACCUCGUACAUUGACAUAGGUAGAGUAUUAUUAUUUGGCAAAAUAUCACCAAGGACUUCUAACAAAGCAGAAAACCCUUUAUCGGACCACCCAUAGUUCCCUUUCACAUUGUAAAGUCUCAUUAAACUAGAUAACUUUGAAUGUUUUGCACCCGGGUACAAAGGCUUUUCAGCAUCUUCAAGCAUAUCCUUAAAAGAACUAGGAUCUCUAUCACAAUGCUCGUAAGCAUCUUCGACCAUGUCAAUUAUAUUACUGUAAUCAUGACAUCUAAAUCUUUGACUAUGUGAAUGGUCUUCACAGUUUAUAAAUGUAGAUUUAGAGUCAGUCUCACCAUGCCAAGUCCAAACAAUAUAUCUUGGGAGAAAACCUUUUUCAAAUAAAUGAUCCUUCAUCGGUUGAGGAGUAUGAAACUCCAUAUUACAACAAAAGGUGCAAGGACAUCUAAUUGACAUCCGAUUUUCAACAUUCAAAAUGGCAAAAUCUAAGAAAUCAGCAACUCCAGAACGAUACUCUACAGACAAUCUAUCACAAGUUAUCCAACUUCUGUCCAUUUCAAAUAUUUUACCUAUUCACAUAUGUAAUGUCAGUUUAAGUUUAAUUAAAUUGCAUGAUUAAUUUAAAGUUCAAUGUUAUUAUGAUUAUAGUUGCAAUAAUAAACUUAUAAUUCUGGAAAAUCAUUAAUAGCCCCUAUAAAUCAUUAAUUAUAAUAAUAAUUUAGACAAAAUCCUAAAAUUGAAAUAAAAGAAGUUUUGAAACUUAAAUAGGAGAUUAAUAGGUAAGAUGGGUAAUAAUGGCUUUUUAAGUAGUCGAACUAAUUCAUAAGUCAAGUAACUAACAAAAGUUAAGAGUUCAAAUAAAUAAUGUCUUCAUACCACUUUGCAAGCCAUUUUUAAAGAUUCUAUAAAUCAUUUUUUAACUUCAAAUACAACAUGCAAAACUACUUUAAAACAAGCAUUUCUUUAUUGAAUCAAACACAAAUCAUCAACUUUAUACAAUCUCAAAAUACUCACAACCACGAACUUAAUUAAUUCAUAUCAUAGUCAUUGUCUCUAGUACAAAUCACCCAACCAAAACAGAAUAAAUAAACAAGUAGGAUUAUAUAACAAAAUUUGCCUCUCUUCACAUGAAACAGAGAUGUAAAUAGUUUGUAACCACUAAAUACACAGUCAUUCAGCCAAUAUAACACCCAAACAAUCAUCUCCUAAUCACAAAGGCAAAAGCUAAAAUGAAAUUUCAUAUUUUAGUACAUUCAAAAUCAACUAACUUAUUGCUCAAAGUUAAGAAACGGAGCUAACAGUUUAUUUCAGAAACUAAAAAAAAAUGCACAUUCUUAGUUUUAAAUAACAAUGACUGUAAAUCACAUGCACAAAAGUUUGAAACUGACCUCAAAUGUGGCAGAAAAAAACAGAGUCGCAGUAGCAAGUGUUUUGAGUUUAAGUAAUGCACCACUUAAAAUGCCUGUAUUUUUGGACUGCAUGUGAGUGAAGAUAUAGAAAAAUAAGAACAAAAAUUUCAAGUUAAAAAUAAAUAAAAGAAAAAAAAAGAUUUGGAAAACAAAACCCACCAGGGUUGCACUACUGUUCAAUUUCUGAAUAUCUGAAACAACCCAAAAAUAAUAAUUCAAAAAUAUUAUUCAUAAGCCAAAUUAAAACAAACCCAAUAAUUAAAUUGCCCAAAAAAAUAAAAUAUUCUGCCAUUACCAGCUGAUAACCUCCUCUACAGUUCUUUCUCUAGACUUAACUUGUCAAAGAGAAUGAGAUUACCUGAAUACGGAACCGAUGGUGCCACUUCACCCCUUGUCGAUGGCUUUUACUUGCUUGCCUAGUAUAGGCACUGGAUGGUUUAGUUGGAGAAAAACCCCUUCGAUAACAAGCGAUUAGGGUUUUGGUUUGUGUUUCAAUUUGGGGAAAAUGGAAAUACGAAACAGAGUUUUAAUUUUUCAUUAUCUAUCUAAAUUAAUUGAAUUUAAUUCGUAAAUGGAUAGUGCAAAAUAGAAGAGAUCGAGAAGAGAAGAACGAAAGAGAAAGUGAACGAUGAAAGCAAGAUAGAGACAGUCGAUAUAGUCUAAAUGGGGAAAAGUCAAGUGUGUUUUAUGUUGUUGUUAUUUAUAUUUUCAUUUUUUAAUAAUUUAAAUAUUAUUAUGACUUUGACUCAUCGAGAUUUGAUGGUCUGUGCUCCAAACAUUAAAGCUUUAAAUCUUAGAGCUCUCAGGUUCGAGUUGGAGGUAAAACAAAAUUUUUAUGAAUUUUUUUAUCAUUGAUACUUUAGUGUUAGUGAUUUUUUAUGUUUAGUUUACUGACACCCUAGUAUCAUUAAUCUCUGAUUCCUAUUUGUCAAAAGCGGAAAAUGGUGCAUAUGUACAUAAGUACUGACACUUUUUGCAAAGUGUCAGUAAAGCUUAUUUUUCUAGUAGUGGACUCAAAUGAAAAUAAUUAUAAAUAGUGUCUUAAGAUAUUAAUCUUUUCAAAAAGACGAGGAUUCAUAUAUUACGGAUACUUGAAUCGAAGAAUGAUGCAAUGGUGACCAAACAACUGUAAAAUCAUAUAAUGUUAUAGUGUUAAAUAAAAAAAAAUAUAACUAUUUUUCAAUCAACAUUGUAACACUACACAAUUUACAAUUAUUUUUGUCACCCUUAUGUCUCUGUUAGAACUCUAUCAUUUUUCAUUUCUUAAAAAAAACAUGCUUAAAAGAUCCCCAAAUUUCUGUGGUAUAUGUAUAUACUUUUAAAAUGAAGAUAUAAUAAAUAUAAAAUUUUACAAACGAUCUAGUACUUUUUCUAAAUUUCGUUGAAGAAAUAAGAUACCAUCGUACAUGAUUAAUCACGUAUAUUCAUUUGAGUAAUUUUACAUUUAUAACCUUGGGAUACAAAUUUUGUUUGUGAUAUACAUGCAAGUCUCGUAAUGUAUAAUUCGUCAUCGAGGAUUUAACACAUCAACAACGGCUGAUGCUGGUAAUUAUUCUUCUGUAUCUUCAGGAUUUAAGAAGAGGGUCACAGUGGGUCUAGAUAAUAGAAUGGAGGAGUUGAUAGAUUUAUUCAUUGAGGUACCACCUCAACUUUUAGUAGUGGCCAUCCUUGAUAGCGUAAAAUCAAGUUUGUAUCAGGCCAUGAUUCUUCUCUAGGGAGGAGGAGGGAGCAGAUGAACAAGAAACCCCCGUGUAGUGGGUUGAGAGGAUUAGAUGGAGAUGCUGUUAAAACUAAGGUACGAGGCAGAGAAGCAAGCUGUGGAAGCCAAUUAGGGUGAAGACUCUCAAAAAGCAAACACGAUGAUUAGCAGUAUGUCUUUGCCUCGGCUCAUAGUGCUAACUACUUCAACUUUGUCUGUUACUUGGAAACUUUGGUGCCUUCCAUGACAAUCAUCUUGUGGCAGCAAGGUCAAAGAUUCUAUUGCUUUUGGUUUCAAUGAACAGAGCUAGCUUACCAGACAGGGUUAGCAUUUUAUUAAUUGCAAGUGGUAGCAUAUUUAUUCAUUAGCGUCACCUUCCCCUCAUCUUCUCCAACCUUGCUGCAAGUGGUAGCAUAUUUAUUCAUUACCUACAUUGAUAAAGUUUUUAAAAAUUUCCUUUUCACGAGAAAUAGUCACGGAAAAACUUGUGCAUGAUAGAGCAGUCAGUGACUAACUCCAUGAAAUAAUUAUAAAAUCAUUAUUUGUCUUUAAUUUUCAUCAUAUUAUUUGUCUUUAAUUUUCAUCAUACUCAUUAAAAAAGUAUUAUGAUUACAUAGUCAGUGUUUUAUAUUCACAGAUGACAAAAGUAACGAAGUACUGCCAUUUUGGAUUUAAUUGCAAGUUGUAUAAUUUAUUAUGCUCCAAGUCCAUAUCACAUAAACCAAUACCCAAUCUCUUUUCUACAACUACUUCCGUAUUGUACAUAUUAUCAAAAUUCUAUAAUAAAACAUCAUUUAUGUAUAGAAGAAAUUAUUGACUAAACUAACAUGCUCACACUACUUGAGUGCUGAGAGAAAGAGUUGCGUCGGUCAACCUACGACCAAUUCCAUUCAUCAACAAUAAAUGUUUCAGCGGACACAUAAAUAUUUGAAUUAAGAGCUAAGAAGUUUUAACAAUGAUUUUUUUUUUUUAAACAAAGAUUCUGCCUUGAUAUGUUCUAAUUUGAGAGUCAACGAUCUUGAUUUAACUUCUUGACUGGAGAACUAGCUAAGAGAAGGGAGGUACGGGAGCCAGCACUAAUGUUUGAAUUGAGAUCUUUAAAGCAUAUUUUCUUUUUCCCCUCUCUCUUUUAAUUAUUUCUUUGCAUGCUACAAGACUGAUUUCAGGGUGAAUCUGAGAGAGGAGGAGAUAUGGACAUCAGCUUCAGACUAUUUUCAGAGAGGCUGAGAAGGGUGUUAGCUGGUGAAGAAGUCAUGUUGUCUGAUGCUGCGAAACAACCAAUUCACAACCUUAAUGCGGAGGUUGAAAUCGUUACUUCUUGGCUGAGGGAAUUUGAAUAUGAUAUCUCCUGCCUUCUGUUCCAAAAAAUAGCAGAGGAGGAAAUUGAUGACCCAGAUCUUGCGACCGUUAUGCACAAAAUCAAUUGCUUUACGUAUGAAUCUGAGAAGGUCAUUGACACAUACAUCAACAGCAUCACUCAACAGAAGAGUCAAAGCAGAUACAACAAGGACAUUUGUGAUGCUCUGCAACGACUCCAAAGCAGAAUCACUGAGAUUAAGCAACGGGUUCAACAACUUAAGCACAUCGAUCCCGAAAUCAUGGACAACUUCAGAAGUGUUGAAGCUGAAUCCGGUUAUUUUCCUGCAUCUUCAUCUUCUAAGAAUAGGAACACGGUGGGCCUAGAUGGUAGAAUGGAGGAGUUGUUAGAUCUAUUGAUCGAGGGACCAACUCAGCUUUCGGUGGUGGCCAUACUCGAUAGCAUUGGGUUGGACAAGACGGCUUUCACUGCGGAGGCUUAUAACAGCAGUUAUGUGAAGCAUUAUUUUGAUUAUCUCGCUUGGAUUCCAGCGCCUUAUCAAUAUGACCCUGACCAACUAUUAGAUGUCGUUACUGUGAUUCUAUUGCCUUUUUCUAUGUUGAGUAAAAUAAAGGAUAAAGAUUAUGAAAUGAAAAAAGUUAUUCUUGGUGAAUAUCUAAUGACUAAGCGGUAUUUGAUUGUGCUUGAUGAUGUGUGGAGCGCAGAUGUAUUGGAUGCUAUUCAAGAAAUCCUUCCGGAUAAUCAGAAUGGAAGUAGAGUGCUAAUCACACUCACUCUAAUUGAGAUGGUCACCUCAUUUCAGUUCGAAAAUGGAGAGAACGUUCGCCUUGAUAUAGUGCCCACUAGAGGACCAUUGAGGGUUAGUUACCAAGGAUGGCCUUUCCUCAUCUUAUAUCAUGGAAGCAUCUCAUUAGAACAAAAUAUAGAGGAAGCAAUCGAGGGACCCAUGGGGCGUCUAACCGUCAUAUCUUGCAAGCUACCUUUUCGCUUGAAACCUUGUUUUCUCUACUUAUCUGUGUUUCCCGCACACCUAGAGAUAUCCACCAGGCAGUUAUAUCAGUUGUGGAUAGCUGAGGGUUUCAUUCCAGACAACAGUGAGGCAACUGCUGAGAAGUACUUAGAGCAACUAAUCAAUAGAGGCUUUGUUGAUGCAAGGAGGAGAAGAGCUGGAGGCACUAUCAACACAUGCUCUGUUCGUGGUCGUUGCCGUCCUGCGUUGUUAACAGUGGCUAUCGAGGCGGAAUUUAUCUUUCUCUCGUUCAUGGUUUCAGAACGUAAAUCAAAAAAGAAUGUUAAACGGAUCAACGUUUUUGAUAAACAGAGUGAUUUUGUUCACUUUGUUGAUGAUGACUCGCACAUGCAUUCUUUGUUGUACUUCACUUCAAAAAGCGACCACCUUGACCCAAUAGAUUGGGGGAUAAUUUGUCUAAUGUUGGAAUUUCUCAGAGUAUUGGACUUGGGAUCUCUUGUUCUCAUCCAAUAUCCAUCCGGAAUUGAAAAUUUAUUUCUUUUGAGAUAUUUAAAGUUGAAUAUCCCUUCCCUCAAAAUCCUGCCUUCAUCAUUAUUAAGCAAUCUUCUGAACCUUUAUACCCUAGACAUGCCCUUUAGCUAUAUAGAUCAUACAGCAGAUGAAUUUUGGAAGAUGAACAAACUCAGGCAUCUAAAUUUUGGGUCAAUCACACUUCCUGCGCAUCCAGGAAAAUACUGCGGCUCUCUGGAAAAUCUCAAUUUCAUUUCAGCCUUGCAUCCUUGCUGCUGUACUGAAGAUAUAUUGGGCAGACUACCUAAUCUUCGAAAUCUCCGGAUUCGGGGAGAUUUAAGUUAUUAUCAAUUUUUGUUGUCCCAAAGUAUUUGCAGAUUGAGCUGCCUCGAGUCAUUGAAGUUGGUGAAUGAAAGCAAGAUGCCACGGAUCUCCAAAAUCAUCCUUGCUGAAUACCUAUUUCCUCAUAGUCUAACCCACUUGAGUUUUUCUAAUACUGACCUAAUGGAUGAUCCCAUGCCGACACUAGAAAAGCUGCCACUUCUUCAAGUGCUCAAACUGAAGCAAAACUCGUAUUCAGGUAGAAAGCUGACUUGUGGAUCUGAUGGUUUUCCAAGGCUUAAUGUAUUGCACAUGAAAUCAAUGCUAUGGCUAGAGGAGUGGACUAUGGGGACUGGGGCCAUGCCAAAACUAGAAUGCUUACUUAUCAACCCUUGUGCUUACUUGAAAAGGGUUCCUGAACAGCUCUGGUGCAUAAAGAGCUUAAACAAAUUCGAUUGCUGGUGGCCUCAGCCAGAGCUGAGACAAAAGCUACGGGAAUUCAAGGAUAAGGAGCAGUAUGGCGUUCAGCUUUAUCCUUACGGAAUUUGAUUAGCCCUGAUUGAGUUUCAUGUAAGUUUUUUCUUCUUCCCCAAUAACUUCAACCUUUAAUUAUUGAUCUAAUUUCAUAUAAAAGUUUUUUUUCCUCCACAAUAGAUUUGAUAGUAUGCAGCUGCCUAAACUAUAAUCAUAAUAUAAAGUGUUUUCUACAUUCUAAUUGUGGUUGCUUCUAAUUUUUGUCUCAACAUAAACUUGAAGUGUCCAUCACAGUUCCUGAUGCUGACACCAUUCAUUAAAAACUGUAUGAUAAGAUCUUCUAUCAGUUGUAUGUGCAGGUAAAAGCAGAGCGGAAAAUAUCUUAACUGUACUGCAGCCAAAGUUUCAAUUUCAACCAGAAUCCAGCCUUCAUCCUUUCAGUGUUCACUUCUGCUGAGUUGUCUACACGUUGUUUGGUUUCUUUGUUUUCAAGGAUUUGCAUGCUAAAGUAAUAAUGUCAUGUUCGGAUUAAUAUAUUGUACAAAAGUCUGAUUAAUUGUUUUACUUUCUAUUUUCAGUUUCACUGGUGUGUAUUCAAUUUGUCAACAUUCAAAUUGAUAUAUGUUAUGUUUUUAUUUUUAUUUUAUUUCUUUCUCUAGUUUUUAAGUAGCGGUACAGUUCAACUUCAAGCUUAGUACUUCAGUUAGAAGAAUAGUAUUUGUGCUUUGAUCUCAUCUCAUCAUCUCAACACAGGCAGAACGACAUUGUUGUUCGGUUUUUUGGAAUUUCACCGACGUGUCGGUCAUUAUAAGGGCGAGAAUGCUGGUCAAAAGUCAGUUGGGGUUAGUUAAAAAAGUGCAGGAAAAUUCUGGGAUUGUUAGAGAUGGCCUUUAUGAUAGUUUAUAAGGCUGGUUGAUGGGUCAUCUUCUCAGAUCUCAUCAAAGCUAUGGGGAGGGAGGGAGAGAGAGAGUUAAAGUAGAAAGUUGUAUAUUCUUGUUCUCUGUAACAAGCUCUACAUCCUGGUAACCUUGAUUUGCGACAUAGUGAAAGCUUGAAAGCUUGUAUCCUUGUUCUUCACUGGAUUUAGGCACUUUGAUUCAAUUUUUAGUUCGGAUUUCUGAGAACGAGUCUUCAUACAUCAAAUCAAAGAUGGUCUGAGGUGUUUGAUCUUGGUACUGUCAGAGGAUUAAACACAACAAAAAGAAACUGGGACAUAUUGCCUAAUCUUCAUAGUCUUGAGAUAUAUGGAGAUUAAGCCCUUGUCAAUUUGGGUUGUCCAACAACCCUUUUAAAAUCGAAAACCAGCACUAAUCCUUGGUGAUUUGGAGCAGAAGAUUUAACGAGUAAAGUUCCGAAAGUGGAAUCAUACCAUUACCAAAGCCCUCUUUUGCAGCAGAGAAAUCCCUUAUAGCCAUUGAGAUUAAUUGAUUAAAUGGAGUUGACAAAUGAAACAAAAACGAAAAAAAAAAAAAAAACUUCAAUUCUACCAAAAUCAUUCAACCAUUAAUACCCACUUUGAAUAAAAUUCAACAUCCUUUUUUCUAUCCCUUUCAGGUAAUAAGUUGCUUCUGUUGUUUUUAAUCUCAAUAAGAUAUAUAUCAUCGGCAUAUUGAAGUUUGUGAUUAUUCUAAGAAAAAAUAGGUGCUUUAUUAUUUGAAUUAUCGACAAAAUAAUUCCAUUUCAUUAUUUUGUUAGAUCCACUAUAUGUACAUGUUUGAAUCUUAUUCACAAGUUUUGAUUUCACUCUCACGUUUCAUAUGAUGUCAAAUCAGAUAAAAAGAAAAAAAAAAAUGAAAGCUAGCUUGUCGGUAGCAAUUACAUUAGCAUUUAGCAAAUGUUAUUUUGAGUACAAGCACAAUUUGGCUCAUUUUCCAGGACCAACUAUCUUCCAUUUAGAAAUGCAUUGACAAACAGAUUAAUUGGUAAAAUGAUGGUUUCUAGAUAGAAUCUUUCCAAGUUGCACUAAACUCCUUUCCUCCAAGCUAAACAUUAAUUAAUUUGCAUUUGAUAAAAUUUUUCUUUCUAUUCUUUUUGCAUAACGAUUGGUCACCAAUCUUGAUUCAAUUUUUUGAAUGGCAACUUACUGCUGGAUUAAUUAGAGAAUCAGACAUCACUCAUAAGGCAUCAAUCGGGUAAAGUUAUUUUCAUACAAUUACUUUCUUCAUAUCACAUCAGUCUAUACAAAUUUAUUUAUACAAGAUAGUUGUUACUCUAUCAUUAUUCAUCAAGAGAUCUAAAGAGAUAUAUAUAUAUAUAUUGGGGAUGGAUCAACAGCCCCCUAAAAAUACUCUUAAUUUUACACUAAUUAAUAUUUAUUAGAUUUGAAUUGAAUCAAUGGAUGUGAUUAAUUGAAAUUAAAUCUUCAAGACCUUUUAAUAUUCUCUCUCUCAAUGUGGUUCCCACUUAAAAUUUUUCUCACUCUUUUAUUUUUUCCCUUCGUUCACGUGAUGUGCUCUCUCUCUCUUCUCUUCUCUUGUUCUUUUUAAUCUAUGAUUUUUCGUUUGCUUUUUUCUUUCUUCCUCAGUCAUAAAAAGUCUUAACUCUCUCUAGCAAAAAUUCUUUACUCUCUCCAACUUUUAACUCCACAACUCUUUUUUUCACUUUUUUUUCUCUCUCCACAUACCAUUUGAAAGCACAAAAUUAUUAAUUUUAACCAGCGGAACUAGUCCCCCAGCAAAACAAUCAUCAAACUCAAGUUUAACAAAAAAUUCUUGUGAAAAAGGAUGUCUAUUGACAACGACAUGGCAUUAGAAGUUUUUCUUCAAAUCUCAAGUAUAGAUUUGAUUGGUACAAAGAUUUACCACAUAUUAUGAAUAAAAAUAUUAUAAUCUUAAGUAUAUGAAAAAAAUAUGUGCGAAUGGGAAUAUGAUCUCUACUGUAUAUUAUGAAUAAAAAUAAAGAAAGAGAAAAUAAUAGCAAUUUUGAGCAAACAAAUAGAAACCUUGCCUUAUGCUAUUUAAAAUUAAUAGUAUUACGUCAUAAUUAAUUUGAGAAUUUGCUUUAAGUGGUCCAUAAAGUAAGUCCAAAAUGACUGAAUAAGACAAAAUUACAGAGACUUCUUUAACCAAUGAAACAAGUUGGUUGCUUCAAUAUUCCUCGUCAAUGAUUUUGGUGCCCAACUCCUUGAGUCCUCCUGGAAGGAUUUCAACAACAAUGCUACGCAAAACUGACAAUAAAAGAAAAUAAGAGGGGAAACGAAUGAAAACAACAAUGAAGAAAAAUAAGUACCAUCAAUGGUCUGCAGGAUACAACUUAAGCCUAUAGCUUGAGGCAAUCACUAUGCACAAUAAAACUCAAAUCACAUAUACAAGUGAAGAACUAAAAAUUGAAGAAGUUGGCUAUUAAACAUAUAAAUUUCAAUGAACAUAAUCAAUCAAAAUCUAAGCAUACUUACAACAAUUCUCUUCGUGAUUAUAUUGAUAUCAAUUUAACUCAUUUCUUCAUUCCGUAAUAUUUUUGCAAAUAAUCAAAAAUAAACUUUUUAGAGAGAUCUUUAAUAUUGAAAGGUAAUUAUUACAAGAUUUUAUUUACAAUUUACCUAGAUUUGAUAUUUCAAUGCUUUUUCUACUUGGAUUUAAAGGACAAAUACGCUUAUCAUGUCCAAGUUUGCCGCAUGAAUUGCACUUCCUCUUCUUCUUGCCAAGAGCCAACUCAAUACCACUUUUGAUUCUGCCAGUGUUGUUAACAUCUUUCUUCCGACCCUUGGUUUGUGAAAUAUUUGGAUCCAAAAGUAAUGGCUGAGAUGAACUAAUGCUAAAACAAGGAUCAUCUUUCUGUUGGCAAACAGUGGCUGGUUGGUUUGAAAUAUCUAACAACUUUUUUGCUAGCUCAUUUAUACCAUCCAUGUAAAUCAAGUAUGCCUCAUUUGAAGAUGCAACAGCACAUGCUAAUUUAGUAGUUUGGUGGCACAUAUGGCUUAGUCUCAAAGCCUCUAAUUCUUCUUUACCAUCAUUUUUCAAAAAAUCUCUCAAAUCAAUCUUUCUAAAUUUAUUUGCCUCUUGUCUCCAUCUUGGAAGAAUAAAAUGAUUCGGCAGCUUAUCAAUGUCUAAACGAACAAACACUUUCAGCAUAUGUCUGCAAAGUAUUCCAACGAACUCAAAUUUUUUACAAUCACAAGUACCCUCAUAAGUUUACGGAUUUAACUUCACCAUAAACUCUUCAGAUUCUCCAAACUUUGUUCUCACUAGGUACUUGAGAAAUUCAGCAUCACAUCCACUCUCUUCAACUUUGUAUCGAUUAACAUGGCUCCAUUCAUCCUUGAAUUUAUUAAAAACAUUUAUGGUAUACAAUUGGGAUGCAUGUUUCAAAAGAAAUUCUCCAUCAUUGACAAUUCGAUAUUUAUGUUAUGAUUCAAAAUCUUCAUCACUUUCUUUUUCAAUAAUCCUUUUCAACGCUCCUUCAUAUUUCACAACAAACUCUCUAAGAUUUGUCGAGGAUGUUACAAAACCAUUAAAGAAUGAAUUAAUGCCCUCACUCCGUCCUGUAGUAUUCAUUCCAGCAAAAACAAUACUACGAUUAUAAAUAGGUGCCCAAGAAGCUUGUAUUUCAUAUAGAUGAUUUAGCCAUUCAUUGUCUUCCAAUUUAUAUUCUAUAAUCAAACUCUUCGAAGUUUCUUCAAAUUCCUCUACUUUGUAAGUAGACAUAAUACAUUUUUUUCAAUCCGAUCUUGAAUCUUGACUUCUUGAAGUACACAUAUGACAACUUCUCGGCAAACUUCUUCUUAAUAUGCCAAAGGCAUAAUCGAUGGUGAGUAUUUGGAAAAACUGUCACAAUUGCUCUUUUCAUUGCCAAGUCUUGGUCAGUAAUGAUAGAAACUGGAGGAUGUCCUCCCAUAGCUUCAAGCCAUGUCUCAAAAAGUCACUGAAAUGUUACCUAUGUUUCAUCUUGUAGAAGUGCACAAUCGAAUUGUAUUAACUGUAAGUGGUGGUUCACUCUUGUGAAUGGUGCGAACGACAUAUCGUACUUGUUUGUUCUAUAAGUUGUGUCAAAUGAAACUACAUCCCCAAAACAGUGAUAUGCCAACCACGAUCGAGCAUCUACCCAAAAAAAUUUGGUUGCUUGCCCUUUUUCAUCACAUUGGAUUGCAUAAAAAAAUUUGAGGGUUCUCAGCUUGCUUUUUCCUGAAAUAUAUAAGGAUUGAUUGGGCAUCCCCUCCAUCCAAUUACCUAUGACACACAUUCCUUAAGUGAUUAUAGCAAUCUCUGUUGUUAAAGCCCAUUUACGAACCUCCUAGAAUUGAACAAACUUUUGCAAUAGGCAAAUUUUCUCUAUGAAAAGCUUCAGUCAAAUUCUUAGCAGCUUUAGGCAUGUGUUUGUUUGACUUCAUCUUUAUUCUUCUAGCAGGAGUAACUACUUUAUGAUUGUGAGAAUCCUUGAAAACCAUAAUCUUCCACUUAUUUGACCAUUUGUCAUACAUAACCCGCAUACUAGCUUCACACCCACAUUUGACAGUUGAACAAUUUCUACUUCUUUUUUUUUUUUUGUAUUUACCUCACUUGCAUCUUUUUCAUAGUGUUCUUCCAUAAAAUUAGGCUUAUUAAUCUUUGGCACAUGCUUCCCUUGAUGGGCAAAGUAAAUUGUCCACUAGUCACCUCAUUGCAGCCUACUCUACUCUUGGAAGAAGAUCGAGUUCGAAUCCAAAACCCCUCCUAUCUACCAUAAUCUUCAUAGUAGUUUCUAGCUUGCUCUAAUGUUUCAAAAAGCAUCCCCACAUAUGGUGCCUCUAAUUGUUCAAGAUUGUUUUCAACCUCUUCGCCAUUGUUCCCCUGUAAUGUGUCAAACAAUUGAAAGAAAAAUAAAUAAUAUAUAAAAAGAUAAAAAUAUUGAAAAAAUUACGAGUUAGAAAAGUUAGGUAAAAUUAAUUGUAAAAAAAAAUAAAUAAAUUAUAAAAGCAUGACACAUACCAAAUAUUCAUUAUUUUCAGGCAUUUUCACGAAGAGUUGUGGAGUUAAAAGUUGGAGAGAGUAAAAAAAUUUUGCUAGAGAGAGUUAAGACUUUUUAUGAUUGAGGAAGAAAGAAAAAAGCAAAUGAAAAGUCAUAGGUUAAAAAGAACAAGAGAAGAGAAGAGAGAACACAUCACGUGAAGGAAGGAAAAAAAUAAAAGAGUGAGAAAAUUUUAGGUGGGGAUUACAUGCAGAGAGAGAAUAUUAAAAGAUUUUAAAGAUUUAAUUUCAAUUAAUCUCAUCGAUUGAUUCAAUUCAAAUCUAAUGGAUAUCAAUUAGUGUAAAAUUAAGAGUAUUUUGAGGGGGCUGCUGAUCCAUCCCUAUAUAUAUAUAUAUAUAUAUAUAUUUUAUCAUGAUGUCUUUUAAUUAUUCAUUGAUUUGCAUGCUAGGACUACCACGUGAUGAGAGGGGAAGGGAAGGAGUCACGUUGCCCGAGGCAGCUAAACAACAUAUUCAAAACCUUCACGCAGAGAUACGAAAUCGUUACUUCUUUGUUGAGUGCCUGUGGAAACAACACAGCUUGGAUUAUGCUGCGAUCAAAUGCUGAAAAAGAUCAAAAUUGAUAGAGAAUUAGAAAAAGAUCUUCAGCCCAUUAUUGAAUUAGACUGUUAGCUCUCUCAAAUAGACUUGCUCACAUCGUUCCAACUGAAAAAUGGAGAGAACAUUGGGCUUAAUUUAAUGCCUGCAGGAGUACCACUAAAAGUUACCGAUGGCCUUUUCUCAUCUUAUACCAUGGAAUUGUGUCAUUAGAAAAGAAUUGACUAGAUACUUGGCAUAUCUCCAGUGGGUAUUAAAUGUUCGCAUAUUCCACAUUUUAGGAUUCUAUACCGAUCUGACCUACUACAAUUAUGUAAUUAUGUGUUAUUAUAUGAAAUAAAAUAAUGUAAAUCUUGACUGUAUAUAAAUAAAAAUACACAUAUAUCAGAAGAUUCUUCAAAACCCAGAUAAGUUCAAAUUAAAAGAGGAUUUAAUACCAUCUCACAUUACCUUUUUUCUUGAAACCUUAUUUUCUCUACACGUCUGUCUUUCGUUUUUAUUUCGAGAUAUCAAACAGGCAACUGUAUCAAUUGUGGGUAGCUGAAGGUUUCAGUUCAAACAAUAAUGAGUCAACUGCUGAGAAGUUCUUGGAACAACUUGUAACGCCACAAAUUCCCAUACAUAUUAAAUUAUGGAAAUUGGGCUUUCAUUGAGAAUUAUGGGUGGCCUAUAACCCUUAUUUAGAAAGGGGUACUAAUUAAAUAGAGGUUAUUUAUGAGAUCAUUUUGGAAAAGGGCUAGUUUUCCUUAUUGAAUAGGGUUUCUUAAGAUCCCCUAUAAAUACAUACUUUUCCCCCUUCCAUAACCCUAAGUUCACAACGUUUAUCCUUCUUCUCUGCUGCUCUUUACGCUCCUACCCAAAUCUUAGGAUUCAAACCUUUGUUUAGGAGAGACUCAAAGCGACGGGUAAGUUCACAACGUUUAUUCUGAACAGCAUGAGUAUCUCGAAUUUUUAAAGCUAUAUUUUCUGAACGAAUUUUCUUAUAAAAUUUAUAUUUCUGGAAACUAGACAUGUAGGGCUUCUUGAUUAAAUUUUAUUUCAUUAAAUUCAACUUCGUUUUCAAUUUUAUACGUAUUUUGGAAAUAGAAACCACUGCACUGGAAAUCCACGAUUCCAGUAUUGUGAUCAGAUUCAAAAGACUAUUUGUACCACCAAAUGAACUCAAAAAAUUCUGAAAGUUUAUAUGUAUGUUAAUAUAUGUGUCUAGGAUUCGCAGUUUUAAUUUCAUAAUUUUCUGAUUAGUAUUUUAUUUUAUAAAAAUCACGGAACCCAUUCUGUUUGGUUUAGAUUAUGUGAAAACAGUUUCGAAUUUGCUGAGAAGUAAAUAGUUUUUAAAAUGUUUUUGAUAUCGGAUUCUCUUGUAAAUUUUACAUGGGGUACUCAUGGAUGUCCAGAAUGGUUCCAUAGGAUUUUAUAUCAUUCUGAGACUUGGAUUAAGAGUUAAAAUUCUGAGAAUCAGACCUGUACGGGUAUGAAUUAGAAAAUCAAAUUCUUAGAAUACGUUAUUGAUUGUCAUAUCUUGUAUUUGUUUAAGGUUUUGAAGGUGUUUGAGGCUCUUAGAAGCUUAGAGGUGUGUUAAUCCAAGUUCAUUUGUCGAGGUAAGUAACUUCAUUCCUAGUAUACUGGAUAUGUAUAAGUAUUUUGAUAUUAUUGUUAUAAGUAUAAAUGUUUUUAUACUACUUAAAGGAUUAAUUGAUUUUGAUAACAAAAUUAGCUUUAUGUAAAUGUUUUCAAACCAUUCUUUUUAACAAAGUAUUUUAUAAAUGCUUUUUAAUAUGUAAAUGAUUUUAUGACAUGACAACCUUUUAUGAUUUUAUCUUUAAAAUGUUAUGCAAGCCUAAAUUAUUGUUAUGAACUUUUAUGAAACUGAUAUGAAUGUUUUGUACCUAUGUUUGAUUUCAAUUAUUGAUGAUUGUAUGAGAUUCUUAAUGCUUUGGCUCAUUGUCCAUAGUUAGUCUGAUUCUGAUUCUGAUUCUGAUCGUAAUAUACGAUAUAUCCGUCUGGACCAGUACUGGGUUUUUGUUCUGAAUGUACACACGAUAUUCUAAUUAUGUUUCUGGCCGGGUCACCGGGACUAUAGGUGACACUAUGUGACAUGAGCUAACCUGUUUGUUUUCUGUAUACGUAUUACAUGAGUUGAUUCGUAAGUAAAUAUGCUUUUGAAUAUUCUGAAUUAUUAAGAAUUUAUCUUAUGUUAUUGUGAUAUAUCGUUUUAUGAAAAUUAUGGAUUAUGAUAUAUGCUUUAAACAAAAGAAGGCUUGCAAUAUUUUUGGUAUCAAUAGGCCUAGUGUGUUAGGAAUGGUUUUACUUACCGAGUUGACGGCUCACCCCUCGUCAUUACUUUUUUGCAGAUUAAGUUUCUUUUGAGAGGUGCACUUAGCUUUGGAGUUAAUGAUUUCCAGUUUCCGUUUGCUAUUGAAUAAGAGGAGGAAUAGACUUGUGUUUCUAUUUAGUUACUUUUAUUAUGAACGUGUAAUUUGGAGUUUGAGACUUUUGUUAUUAUUUUUAUAUGUCCUCGAGAGAGAUUAUUUAGUAUUUGACGUUUGGAUUUAUGGAUUUAUUUGAAUAAGAAUUGGAGGAAUUUCAGUUUGAAACUUAUGAGUAAAGAUUAUGAUUUGUGAGUAACCUCCUUCUUCACGUGCUCCGCACGUGUUAGAUUUGGGGUGUUACAAUUGUGGUAUCAGAGCAACUAGGUUAGGAUUCUGUAGACUUUCUUUUACGGUUUAAUUAGAUUGUCUAAUUAAAUCGAUUACAUUUGUUUUGUAGACAUGAAGAAGGACAAUAUGGGUAUGAAAAGUGUCAAGAAUAAGGGAUGGACAGAAAUUGAUAGGACCGAACAAUUUAUCUUAGGAGGAGUUCUUGUCAAAGAUCUUAGGAGACUUCAUAAGCAGUGAAUGGAUGAUAGACUAAGACGGACUAUAGAGGUCUACAUCGAUACUCCUCCAGGACCUGGAGCUUCAAGAAAGAAGCUCAAUGAGGCUAUACGUGGACUACGUGUUUAUGGCAAGGGAGCUAACAAGAAUAAGCUUGUAAUACGUCGCCUAUUUUGGACAGGACCUCGAUUUAAGCCUUACUAUAGCAAAGGAUGGGUAUCUCCAGGUCUAAAUAAACUACCUUAUAGAACUCCUAAGGAAAUCGAGACAGAUGGAGUCACGACUAAGGAAAGGAAAGUAAAGAUAGAUCCUUUUCCUAUCCGGUUGAGUACACCUAUGAACUUUGUGGCUGUAGGACAUGAAACUCUGUAGACUUUAUUAAGGUUAAUAGAGUGAUUAAAUAUUUUAAGGCAAGGAGUAACUAGUAAUUCUAUUUUGGUCUUUUUGGCUUUCUAUGUUGCUUGUGACUUUGUAAUAACUCUUGUUAUAUGAUCUUUGGUAUUAACGUAGAAUGAAAUAUUUAUUGCUCUUGUUUACAAUAUCAAAUUUUCUUAGCUACACUACUUAUUCAGUACUCUGCGCGCUUGCACGACCUUUAGCUAUGAAUUAUUUACCCCUUUUUAAUUAUUUAUUUAUUCUCCGUGUUAUAGUCAAGAGAUGUCACGUAAGGGAGGUGCUAGGCAUGCCUCUAGCUCGAGAGAUGUUUUAGGUAUCGCUGACGACGCUGACCCAACCUUGCACGAGAUGGCUAACGAAGGAAAUCCUAUGAUGCGCGCAAUGCUUAGAUUGAUGGAACAACAAAGUAAGUUAAUUCAAGAUAUGGCUAGAGGCAGAGUUGGGGCACAAGAGAAUGUGCCAGUUGAAAGGCAAGGUGGCGCAAGAGAUCAUGGGGCUAUGGUGAACUUAGAACGAUUUAAGAAAUUGGGACCACCUACCUUUCAGGGGACUGCCGAUUCCAUGGUUGCAGAGGCAUGGCUAAAACAGAUGGAGAAGAUAUUUGUGGCUAUGGGUUGUAAUGAUGAUCAAAGGGUAAUAUUAGCCUCAUUUGUCCUUCAGGGUGAGGCAGACCACUGGUGGGAUGCCAAAUCUCGUCUCAUAAGGGCUGGCUUGCAAGAUGCACCCAUUACUUGGGAGUUAUUUUUGGAGGCUUUUCAUGAAAAGUAUUUUCCUGAACGAGUUCGACAUCAGAUGGAGGCUGAUUUCUUGAGGUUAACUCAAGGAACAAAGUCUGUUGCGGAGUAUGAGGAACAAUUUACUGCCCUCUCUCGUUUUGCUCAUACCUUGGUUGCUAAUGAAGGUAGUAAGUGUAGGAAGUUCCUGGAAGGGUUACGUCCUAACAUUAAAGGGCGAUUGACCAUCCUUAAGAUUAACAAUUAUGCCGAUUUGGUGGACCGAGCAAUUCUUGCGGAGAAGGAUAUUCUUGAAGCCCAAGUUACAAAGGAUCAGAGAAAUAAGAAGAAUCAACAAGGUGGACCGCGAAAUGGAAGUUCCUUUAGGCAGGGCACUCACUCCCAGAAGUAUAAUGGUGGAGGUAACAAAUGGGAUAACAAGGGUGUUACUGGUGACACCGCUCGGAGGAACUACCCCAUUUGUCGACAUUGUGAAAGGAGGCACCCUGGUGAAUGCCAUUGGAAAACUGGAGCUUGUUUUGCUUGUGGAGAAUCUGGGCAUAGGAUUAUGGAUUGCCCAAAGAGACGUAGCGAGACUACAAAUACUCAGACUAACGAAGGGCAGAGGAAGAAACCGAGGGUACAAGGGCGUGUUUUUGCACUAACAGAAAAAGAUGCUGAGGUGUCCAAUGAUGUAGUAUCAGGUACAUUGUCUUUAUUCUCUAGAGAAGCCAAAGUUCUUUUUGAUCCUGGUGCUACACAUUCAUUUGUAUCUUGUGUGUUUGCCCGUUAUGCUAAUGUGCCUAUCACACCACUGGAUGUUCACGUGACAAUUAGUACCCCUAUGGGGGAUUGCUAGUUUAUAGAUCAUGUCUAUAAGUCAUGUGUGAUCAGAUUGUGUGAUAAAGAAUUCCUUGUGGAUCUCCUACCUUUAGAGAUGCACGAUUUUGAUUUGAUUUUGGGGAUGGAUUGGUUAGGACCUUACCAUGUUUCAAUAGAUUGUUUUGCUAAUUAAAUUAUUUUUCGCCUACCUGGCGAGGAAAAAUUUCAUUUUCAAGGGAAUCAUAAGAGUCAUAAAGCUUUGAUUUCUAUGGUUAAGGCAAUGAAAAUGCUAAAGAAGGGGUGUGAAGGAUUUUUAGCGUAUAUAGUUGCUGACCAUCCCGAUGGGGCGUGCCUUGAAGACAUACCUAUUGUAAGGGAGUUUAUUGAUGUAUUUCCUGAAGAUCUUCCGGGACUACCCCCAGAUCGAGAGGUUGAGUUUACUAUAGAAUUAGUUCCUGGUACUACACCUAUAUCCAAGGCACCAUAUCGGAUGGCACCCAUUGAAUUAAAAGAACUAAAGGUCCAGCUACAAGAAUUACUAGAUAAGGGUUUCAUUCGUCCUAGUGUGUCGCCUUGGGGUGCUCCCGUUUUGUUCGUAAAGAAGAAAGAUGGUUCAAUGAGGUUGUGUAUAGACUACCGGCAGUUGAAUAUGGUUACCGUCAAGAAUAAAUACCCUCUUCCCCGAAUUGAUGACCUCUUUGAUCAAUUACGAGGUGCAGCGGUAUUCUCUAAAAUUGAUUUACGAUCUGGCUACCAUCAAUUGAAAAUAAGAAGUGAGGAUGUAUCGAAGACAGCUUUUCGAACUCGUUAUGGACACUAUGAGUUCUUAGUUAUGCCUUUUGGAUUAACUAAUGCUCCUGCAGUGUUCAUGGAUUUGAUGAAUAGGAUCUUCCAACCUUAUCUUGACCAGUUUGUCAUCGUCUUUAUUGAUGACAUAUUAAUUUACUCUAAGAGUAAGAAGGAGCAUGAGUCGCACCUGAGGAUUGUAUUAGAAACAUUGCGGAAGAAGAAGUUGUAUGGAAAAUUUAAGAAAUGUGAGUUUUGGCUUGAUCGUGUGAUGUUUUUGGGACAUAUAGUGACGAAGGAUGGUAUUUCAGCAGAUCCAGCCAAAGUGGAGGUAAUUGUGAAUUGGGAAAGGCCUGCUAGUGUGACUGAAGUAAGGAGUUUCUUAGGAUUGGCAGGUUAUUAUAGGCGCUUUGUCAAAGGAUUUUCUAGCAUAGCAGCACCAUUGACUAAUUUGACUAAGAAGAAUGUGAAGUUCAAUUGGGAUGAGGCAUGUGAAAAGAGCUUUUAAGAGCUCAAGAGUCAUUUGGUGACUGCCCCCGUUUUAACUCUCCCUUCUGAAGGUGGAGGUUUUGUGAUUUACAGUGAUGCUUCCAGAAAAGGUUUGGGUUGCGUUUUAAUGCAACAUGGUAAGGUUAUAGCAUAUGCUUCUAGGCAGCUAAAGAAUCAUGAACAAAACUACCCAACACAUGAUUUGGAAUUGGCUGCUAUAAUGUUUGCUCUAAAAAUCUGGAGACACUAUUUGUAUGGGGAGACUUGUGAGAUCUUCACCGAUCAUAAGAGUUUGAAGUACUUGUUUACUCAAAAGGAAUUGAAUUUGAGGCAAAGAAGAUGGUUGGAGUUGGUAAAGGAUUUUGAUUGUUCUAUUAAUUACCAUCCAGGUAAGGCAAACGUAGUAGCGGAUGUCUUGAGUAGGAAAUCAUCUGGGUGCAUGGCUCAUCUUAUCACCAUGCAAUCUCAUUUGGUAAAAGACUUGAGGAGAUGUGGGAUUGAGGUAGUUACUCAUGGGCAAGCAGACGUGUUAGCACAUUUGACAGUCCAACCCACUCUAAUUGAUAGAGUUAAGGUAGCUCAGAAGAACGACAUAGAACUCAAUAAAAUCCGUGAAGAUGUGAGCAAAGGACAUAAGCCCGGAUUUAGACUUGAUAAUGGGGAUGGAUUAUGUUUGGGACAAAGGUUAUGCGUGCCAGCAGACGAAGAGUUGAAGGCGGAGAUCUUAAGAGAAGCUCAUGAAUCAUCUUACAGUAUGCAUCCUGGUAGUACUAAGAUGUAUCGUGAUCUAAAGCAAAGUUUUUGGUGGAGGAAUAUGAAGAGAGAUAUUGCUGCUUUUGUGUCUCGGUGUUUAGUCUGCCAACAAGUAAAGAUUGAGCAUUAAAGACCAGCAGGAACUUUACAAACGCUUCCUAUUCCUCAGUGGAAAUGGGAACACAUAACAAUGGAUUUCGUUUCUGGAUUACCUCGUUCUAGGAGGGGAUGUGAUUGCAUUUGGGUAAUUGUUGAUCGAUUGACGAAAUCAGCUCAUUUCUUGGCAAGGAAGAGUACAGACAAUGUAGGGCAACUAGCUAAGUUGUUCAUUAAGGAGAUAGUGAGGCUUCAUGGGGUUCCAGUGUCAAUAGUGUCUGAUAGAGAUCCACUGUUCACUUCAAGAUUUUGGGCUAGCUUACAUAAAGAGUUGGGGACGAAAUUGAGAUUUAGCACUGCUUUUCAUCCACAGACAGAUGGGCAAUCCGAAAGGACUAUUCAAACCCUUGAGGAUAUGCUUCGAGCUUGCGUCCUAGACUUGAGUGGUGGUUGGGAAGAGCACCUAAUGUUGAUCGAAUUUGCUUAUAACAAUAGCUUCCAUUCGAGUAUUGGCAUGGCACCAUUUGAGGCAUUAUAUGGAAGAAAGUGUAGGUCCCCAAUCUGCUGGGAUGAAGUUGGUGAAAGAAAACUUUUGGGUCCAGAAUUAAUACAGAUUACUGUUGAUAAAAUCAAGUUGAUUAGAGGACGUCUUCAAACAGCUCAGAGCAGACAGAAGAGUUAUGCAGAUCGUCGUAGACGUGAGUUGGAAUUCGAAAAAGGAGAUUUUGUUUUCUUGAAAGUAUCGCCAUGGAAAGGGGUGUUUCGGUUCGGGAAGACAGGAAAGCUUAGCCCUAGAUUUAUUGGACCAUUUGAGAUUUUAGAGAGAAUUGGUCCGGUGGCCUAUCGCAUAGCUUUACCACCAAGUCUGUCUAGGCUUCACAAUGUAUUUCAUGUGUCUGUGUUAAGAAAGUACAUUGCAGACCCUUUACAUGUGCUAGACUAUCAACCGAUUCAGAUAAAUGAAGACAUGUCGUAUGAGGAACAGCCUAUUGAGAUUGUCGAUCGAGACGAACAAGUAUUAAGGAAUAGAGUUAUUCCCCUAGUGAAGGUACGAUGGAUGAAUCAUUCUAUUGAGGAAGCCACUUGGGAGAGAAGCAGAAAUGUUGGAGAAGUAUCCUCAACUCUUCCAUGCAUAAGGUAACCUUUUAAUUUCGAGGACGAAAUUUUUGUUAGGAGGGGAGAAAUUGUAACGCCACAAAUUCCCAUACAUAUUAAAUUAUGGAAAUUGGGCUUUCAUUGAGAAUUAUGGGUGGCCUAUAACCCUUAUUUAGAAAGGGGUACUAAUUAAAUAGAGGUUAUUUAUGAGAUCAUUUUGGAAAAGGGCUAUUUUUCCUUAUUGAAUAGGGUUUCUUAAGAUCCCCUAUAAAUACAUACUUUUCCCCCUUCCAUAACCCUAAGUUCACAACGUUUAUCCUUCUUCUCUGCUGCUCUUUACGCUCCUACCCAAAUCUUAGGAUUCAAACCUUUGUUUAGGAGAGACUCAAAGCGACGGGUAAGUUCACAACGUUUAUUCUGAACAGCAUGAGUAUCUCGAAUUUUUAAAGCUAUAUUUUCUGAACGAAUUUUCUUAUAAAAUUUAUAUUUCUGGAAACUAGACAUGUAGGGCUUCUUGAUUAAAUUUUAUUUCAUUAAAUUCAACUUCGUUUUCAAUUUUAUACGUAUUUUGGAAAUAGAAACCACUGCACUGGAAAUCCACGAUUCCAGUAUUGUGAUCAGAUUCAAAAGACUAUUUGUACCACCAAAUGAACUCAAAAAAUUCUGAAAGUUUAUAUGUAUGUUAAUAUAUGUGUCUAGGAUUCGCAGUUUUAAUUUCAUAAUUUUCUGAUUAGUAUUUUAUUUUAUAAAAAUCACGGAACCCAUUCUGUUUGGUUUAGAUUAUGUGAAAACAGUUUCGAAUUUGCUGAGAAGUAAAUAGUUUUUAAAAUGUUUUUGAUAUCGGAUUCUCUUGUAAAUUUUACAUGGGGUACUCAUGGAUGUCCAGAAUGGUUCCAUAGGAUUUUAUAUCAUUCUGAGACUUGGAUUAAGAGUUAAAAUUCUGAGAAUCAGACCUGUACGGGUAUGAAUUAGAAAAUCAAAUUCUUAGAAUACGUUAUUGAUUGUCAUAUCUUGUAUUUGUUUAAGGUUUUGAAGGUGUUUGAGGCUCUUAGAAGCUUAGAGGUGUGUUAAUCCAAGUUCAUUUGUCGAGGUAAGUAACUUCAUUCCUAGUAUACUGGAUAUGUAUAAGUAUUUUGAUAUUAUUGUUAUAAGUAUAAAUGUUUUUAUACUACUUAAAGGAUUAAUUGAUUUUGAUAACAAAAUUAGCUUUAUGUAAAUGUUUUCAAACCAUUCUUUUUAACAAAGUAUUUUAUAAAUGCUUUUUAAUAUGUAAAUGAUUUUAUGACAUGACAACCUUUUAUGAUUUUAUCUUUAAAAUGUUAUGCAAGCCUAAAUUAUUGUUAUGAACUUUUAUGAAACUGAUACGAAUGUUUUGUACCUAUGUUUGAUUUCAAUUAUUGAUGAUUGUAUGAGAUUCUUAAUGCUUUGGCUCAUUGUCCAUAGUUAGUCUGAUUCUGAUUCUGAUUCUGAUCGUAAUAUACGAUAUAUCCGUCUGGACCAGUACUGGGUUUCUGUUCUGAAUGUACACACGAUAUUCUGAUUAUGUUUCUGGCCGGGUCACCGGGACUAUAGGUGACACUAUGUGACAUGAGCUAACCUGUUUGUUUUCUGUAUACGUAUUACAUGAGUUGAUUCGUAAGUAAAUAUGCUUUUGAAUAUUCUGAAUUAUUAAGAAUUUAUCUUAUGUUAUUGUGAUAUAUCGUUUUAUGAAAAUUAUGGAUUAUGAUAUAUGCUUUAAACAAAAGAAGGCUUGCAAUAUUUUUGGUAUCAAUAGGCCUAGUGUGUUAGGAAUGAUUUUACUUACCGAGUUGACGGCUCACCCCUCGUCAUUACUUUUUUGCAGAUUAAGUUUCUUUUGAGAGGUGCACUUAGCUUUGGAGUUAAUGAUUUCCAGUUUCCGUUUGCUAUUGAAUAAGAGGAGGAAUAGACUUGUGUUUCUAUUUAGUUACUUUUAUUAUGAACGUGUAAUUUGGAGUUUGAGACUUUUGUUAUUAUUUUUAUAUGUCCUCGAGAGAGAUUAUUUAGUAUUUGACGUUUGGAUUUAUGGAUUUAUUUGAAUAAGAAUUGGAGGAAUUUCAGUUUGAAACUUAUGAGUAAAGAUUAUGAUUUGUGAGUAACCUCCUUCUUCACGUGCUCCGCACGUGUUAGAUUUGGGGUGUUACACCACCCGUUUUUGUGGCCUUUUCCCGCUGGACGAACUUGGCGCCCCGGCCUUCAGGCACUUGCUCAAUUCCUUCUCUGCAAAUUUGAACGCUUGAACACGCACCGUCAUCCCAGUUCCUUGCAGUCGUCUCGAAGCCCCUGCUUUCAGUAGAGGAAAGACGAUUCUGUAUAGCCAUCAAACAGAUAAGAAAAUUUGAAACAAUCCAAGGUUUCUCAGAUCAAAUGAAACCCCAAGAUCAAUCAAGACCAAUGGAUGAUCUUGUACUUAGCUCUAAAACAAACAAGUAAAACCAUCGAAGAAAUUGGAUCAAAACCAGCAGGUUUAGAUUGAUUAUUUAUAAACAUCAUACUUGCCACACUCUUGGCGUGUAAAUCCUUAGAUUCACAGGUCUUAUAUCACAUGAAUGAAGAUGCUAGUGGUGUGCCUCCAUGGAUCUCUUAGUUUUCAAGUUGUUUUAUUUGACUGACCACCUAAGUUUGAAUCGUGGUGAGGGAAGAAGAUAAAAAUUAAUUUGAUCUUUGCACCUCACUACUUUUAAAAGAGCUCAAACUUCAGACUCAGUUUUGAAUUUUAAUUAUUUUAAAUUGAAACGCUAAUUCCAUAUAUUAUAUAUAUGAGUUUUUUUUCCCAAGGUUGAAUUAAAAUAUAUAUUUACAAAAUUCUCGAGAUAUGUGAUUUUUCAAGAUUUAAUAGAAUCAUAAGUACUAGUUAUAUAUACAUCUUAAUAAAUGUUUGCCAGACCUUUAUUUGUACUAAAAUUAUAUAUAUAUCUAGACUCCCAUUACACUUUAGAUUGUAACAAUUUAAAUAAAAAUAUUUUUUUUGGUGGAAGUCGUCUAGAAUUCUAAGAUUGAAAGUCAAAUUUCAAUAAAAAAAAAAUUAAUUUAAUAUAUAUAUAUAUAUAGAGAGAGAGAGAGAGAGAGAGAGAGAGAGAGCUUCUUAAGUGCAUAUACUUAAGGGAGUCCCUAUGUUACAUUUAAUGUACCAUACACAACCCACAAGAACCACAUAAAUUGUGGGAUCCACAUAAUUGUGUGGUUCUUGUGGGUUGUGUAUGGUACAUUAAAUGUACAUUAAUAUUAUGUGGUGUUAUAGCGAAUCUACACAAAAUCUGCAUUUAGUGCAUCCACACUUGAGAAUUUCUAUAUAUCAAAACUUUCAAAUGCAGAAGUCCAAAUAUAGAUUUCGUGCGGAUUCACUACAAAAUCAUAUGAUGUUAACAUGUUUUUACAAUUGACUAUAAUACCACAUGAUGUUAACAUGUUUUUACAAUUGACUAUAAUACCACAUGAUGUUAUAGAAAAUCCACACGAAAUCUAUAUUAUAUAAAGAGAGAGAUCUCGCUUUGCUUUAUAAUUGCGGUGAUAUUCCCACCCCUCAAAUGUUGUAAACUUACCUCACCUUAAAAAAUUAAAUCAUAAAAAAUUCACAUUAUUUUUAACGAUUUCAAAUUAGUAAGAAUAAAAUUAAGCAAUUGACUAAUUAAAUCCUCAUUAAAUAAUUAAAAUACAUUUAUGAUAUGAUAUUUCAAAAAAUUUAUGCUAUUUUUCUCAUGAAAUUUAUUAAAUAUAAGAAGGAUCUGAUUGAUUAAUUGUUUAAAAUUUUAUUUAUUUUAAAUUAAAAAAUGUGAAUUAUUUUUUAAAUAAUUCUUUGAAAUGAUUUAAAUGCGGCACGUGUCCCAUCAAGUUAAAACCUAAAGUUGAUUUAAAAACGGAAACCAAGUAGCGAGGCCCCGUUCUUCAGGAAAUUCCGAGCUAAGUUAAUCAACAUUUCCACUAAUUAUUUUUAUUUUCUUCCAAAGUUUAUUUAAUUAGAUCAAUUUCUGGCUUCCUACUUAAAUUGCAUAUCCAAUUUGGGGGUUGAUUUUUGGAGAUGGAGAUAAACUGAAACAUUAAUUGAAAUCGAUUGAGAAAAAAAAAAUCGAUUGAGAUUGAAAGUUCUUUAUUACCCAACAUACAGAAUACAUAUGCAAUUAAUUCAAAUUUCUAAAAUUACUGUAAUUGUUGGCAAUGUGGGUUUUUUUUUUCGUUGGGGGGGGGGGUGUCUGAAAUUUGCAUGCAUGCCUUAAUUGAGUUUUAUCACUUUAAAUCCUAAUUACUAAUGUUUUUUCUGUUAAUGGUUGAAAAUAAGAUAAGAAGAGAGAAGGUGAACUUGAAGAAGUAUAAGAAGACAAGACAUGUAAUGAUGUUGAUGUGUUUAUGUGAAUAAAGAGAACAACGGAGGUGGAACCAUUGGACAAAUGGAAAUGGAAUCUUUGUCCAAGUUUUUCCCUUGAUGUUCUAAAGUUUGCAUAUAUAUGUUUCAAGAAACAAAUGGAAAUUAAAUAGUACUUAAAGGUGAACUCACAUCGUCAACUAGAGGUUACACUACCAUUUGCCCAAUGGUUCCAUUUCUAUUAUCAUUUUCUUUAUUCACAGAAAUAUCAUCGGCCUCAUAUUCAUCAGUAUAAGAAGAGGGACAAGGACAAGGACAAGGACAGGGUGAGUCUAUUGUAAGACUACAGCAAAUCUACAAUUUAGUUUUAUUUUUGCUGCUACACCCAGGAAUCACUAGCAUCAACCACCUCCUUUAUUGCCCUUGAUUCAUUUUUCUCCUGAAGAUUGUUGACCUGAUGAAAUAACACUUAAAAUGAGGCUGCCUUAGACGAAGCAUAUAUGUUAAUCACCUGUUGUAAUCUCAUGCCAAAACAUUUCAGUUCCUGCUCAUAAAAUUAGUUACUUCAACCUUUGUCAUAUGUAUUCUCCACUGCUUCAAGAUACUUAGAUAGUGAAUGUGUCUAAAGUCCAACUCAAAAGAUUCAUUUGAGAAAAAAUUCUUCAGAUGGUCAUGUAGAGUUCUAAUUUAUCUCCGCAUCAUACACAAAAUACUUGAAACCUACACAUCAAUGAUCAAUGUUCAUCUUUUAUUGACAAUCCCAAUUCUCAAGUGUGUUUGGAAAGAAAUUAGAUUCACAGGCAUUCUAGAAAUAUCUGGUGUAUGUCAAUGACAAUGAUGCCAAGUCAUGUCUCAUGGCGUCCAAAAAAAAAAAAUGGUGAUGUAUGUGGAGGAAGAUCGUCAGCUCAAUUAAAACUACACCUCGGUCAUUUCUGGACUCGUCAACAAGAGGUAAUUUCUUACUUUGUGAACAAAUUUUGUGUCUUAUAAUUUUUUCCGUAUUUAUAUACUUACAUGCUGUUUUGUAAUUAUAUAGCCACCAAAGCCUGGACAUGGAGAUGUGUGUUUUGUUAUGUUUAGUCCAUUUAUAAGAUCACGUGUCAUGUGAUUUAUAAGUCUACUUAAUGGUUGCAAUCAAAUGAGUUCAUGUCCAGAUUUUGAAGUUAGUUAAUUUCAACAUAUAGCAAUGAUUGUAUCCAUUGCUUUUAUGAAGUUGCUAUGUUAUUGCUUCUUUAAUAAGUGGCAGGCAUGAUUUUCUAUUUUUCCACAGCUUAAAUUGUUAAAUAAUUGAUAAUGCUCUUGUGCUUACUCUGUUCUUUUCUUUUUAGAUAAGCUUUAUGGUCCCAGUGGAAUUGUUUUCACCCUUUCUUUAUUGACAGUGGAUGUAUAAAACAAAUUGGUCUUGAUUGAUACUUGAUGAUGUUGUAGUUAUUUCUCUUUGCUUUAUUCUUUUUGCAACAUAUGGAAGACUGAGUAUCGUGAGAUUCAUUUCCCGCACUGCUCUGCCUUGAUCUGUUCUAAUUUGAGAGUCAGCAAUCUUGAUUCAACUUCUUGGGUGGAGUACUAGCUAAGAGAAGGGAGGCAUGGGAGCCAGCACUAAUUUUUGAAUUGAGGAGAUAUGGGCAUCAACUUCAGACUAUUUUCAGAGAGGCUGAGAAGGGCGUUAGCUGGCGAAGAAGUCACAUUGCCUGAUGCUGCAAAACAACCUAUUCAGAACCUUUGUGCCGAGGUUGAAAUCGUUACUCCUUGGCUGAGGGACUUUGAAUAUGAUAUGUCCUGGCUUCUGUUGCAAAAAAAUAGGAGAAGAUGAAAUUGACAACCCAGACCUUGGGACCAGAAAUCAAUUGCUUUACAUAUGAAUCUGAGAAGGUCAUUGACACAUUCUCAACAGCAUCACUCAACAGAAGAGUCAAAGCAGGUGCAACAAGGACAUUUGUAAUGCUCUGCUAGGACUCCAGAGCAUAAUCAAUGAUAUAAAACAGCGGGUGCAACAACUUCAGUACAUCGUUUCCGGAAUCAUUGAUGAUUUCAAAAGUAUUGAAGAUGAAGCCGAUUAUUUUCCUGCAUCAUCAUCUUAUAAGAAUAGGGGCAUGGUGGGUCUAGAAGACAGAAUGGAGGAGUUGUUAGAUAUAUUGAUAGAGGGACCACCUCAGCUUUCAGUGGUGGCCAUCUUGAUAGCAUUGGGUUGGGCAAGGUGGCUUUCGCUGUAGAGGCUUACAGCAGCAGUGAUGUGAAGCAUUAUUUUAAUUGUCACACUUGGGUUCCAGAGCCUUACAGCUAUGAUGCUGAUGAUGACCAAAUAUUAGAUAUCAUUAUUAAGUUUCUAAUGCCUUCAUCUAGGUUGAGUGUAAUAAAGGAUAAAAUUUAUGAAAUGAAAAAAAAAUCUUCAUGAAUAUCUAAUGAUAAAGCGGCAUUUAAUUGUGGUUGAUGAUGUGUGGAGAAUUGAAGUGUGGGAUUUUAUUCGAGAAAUACUUCCGGAUAAUCGGAAUGGAAAUGGGGUACUAAUAACACUCAUUCAAAUUGAUGUCGUCAUCUCAUUUCAGUUCAAAAUCGGACAGAAUAUUUGGCUUGAUUUAUUGUCCACUAGAGGACCAUUGAGAGUUGUUUACCUUUUUGCUUAAAACUUUGUUUUUCUUACUUAUCUGUGUUUCCUGUACAACUGGAGGCAUCCACCAGGUAGUUUUAUCAGUUGUGGAUAUCUGAAGGUUUCAUUCCAGACAAUAGCGAGGCAACUACUGAGAAGUACUUGGAACAACUAAUGAAUAGAGUCUUUGUUGAUGCAAGGAAGAGAAGCGAUGGAGGCAGAAUCAACGCAUGCCCUAUUCGUACUCGUUGCUGGCCUUCAUUGUUGCAAAUGGCUCUCAAAGCAGAAUUUAUCUUUUCCCCUAUCCUGGAUCAAAAAGGUAAAUCAGAAAAAAAUGUCAAACGUGUCUAUGUUUUUUUUUUAAAACAGAGUGAUUUUGCUUACUUAGAUGAUUGUGACUUGCACCUGCAUUCUUUGUUGUACUUCAGAAAGCGACCACCUUGACCCCAUAGAUUGGGUGAAAAUCGGUUGAGUAAUGGACUUGGGAUCUCUUGUUCUCAGCCAAUUUCCAUCCAAAAUUGAAACUUUAUUUCUUUUGAUAUUUGAAGCUGGAUAUCCCUUCCCUCACAAGCCUGGCUUCAUCAUUAUUAAUAAAUCUCUGAAUCUGUACCCCAUAGCCAUGCCCUUUAGCUACAUAGUGUAAAUAUUUAGAGUCUGAAAAUACUAUUUUCUUCUUUCAUUCAUUCUACAAGUUACACUUAAAUAGAAUGUAGAAAACAAACUCCUAAUAGAUAUCCCUUAAUUGUAGGAUACUUAUCUAAGCUUGAAUUUUAAAAAAUGAUUAUCUAAAACUUUAUUUCGAUAAGACUUUAAAACUAAACUAAUUAUCUAAAACUUUAUUCUGAUAAGACUUUCAAACUAACUGAAAAAUCCUAACUUCUUAACACUCCCCCUCAAGUUGGUGCGUAGAUGUCAAUCAUUCCCAACUUGCUGACAAGAUGUCCAAAGUUAGUUUUGAGGAGUCCCUUGGUUAGGAUAUCAGCUAUUUAUUGUUUUGUUGGAAAAAAUAAUAGGCAGAUAAUCUUAUUCUCAAGUUUCUCCUUGAUGAAGUGACGGUCAAUUUCAACAUGCUUGGUCCUAUCAUGUUGUACUGGGUUAUGUGCAAUGUUGAUUGCUGCUUUGUUGUCGCAGUAUAACCUCAUAGGUAAAACUAUAGGUCUUUUCAAAUCCUCGAGAACUUGUUUCAGCCACAAUACUUCACAAAGCCCAUGUGCCAUAGCUCUAAAUUCAGCUUCAGCAGUACUUCGUGCAACCACAUUUUGUUUCUUACUCCUCCAAGUCACUAAAUUACCCUAUACAAAAGUGCAAUAGCCAGUAGUAGACUUCCUGUCUGUAACUGAACCUGCCCAAUCAGCAUCAGUGUAUACCUCAAUACCUCUCUAUUCUCUGUUUUUCUAAACAAAAGUCCCUUUCCUGGAGUACUUUUUAGAUAUAUGAGAAUUCUGUAAACAGCUUCGAGAUGUUCUUCCCGAGGAUGAUGCAUGAAGCGACUUACUAUACUGACUGCAAAAGCGACGUCUGGUCUAGUUUUAGAUAUCGUCGUGCAUCCACUAAGGCUUUUUCUCCUUCACAUAGUUUUAGAUUGUACUCCACAAGCGUAUCAAUUGGUUUGCAGCCACUCAUUCCAGUUUCCUUCAAUAAAUCAAGGAUGUAUUUCCUUUGUGAGACAACUAUACCUUUCUUGGAACGAGCAACUUCCAUUCCAAGAAAGUAUUUCAAGGCACCUAAGUCCUUGAUUUCAAAAUCAGUGGCUAGGCUUUGCUUCAAUCUGUCCAUUUCAACUAAAUCAUCUCCAGUGAGAAUAAUGUCAUCCACAUACACUAUAAGCACAAUGGUUUUACCUUUAGCUGAAACUCUAGUGAACAUUGUGUGAUCAGCCUGACUUUUUUUGUAACAUUGUCUAUUCACAGAUGUAGUAAAUUUCUCAAACCAAGCCCUAGGCGAUUGUUUGAGACCAUAUAAGGACUUUUGCAACUUGCACACAUUUGACCUAAAUUUUUCAGAGAAACUAGGAGGAGGAUCCAUGUAUACUUCCUCUUUUAAAUCCCCGUUGAGAAAUGCAUUCUUCACAUCCCAUUGUUGUAAUGGCCAAUUUAGGUUUGUAGCAAUAGACAAGAGAACUCAUACAGUGUUUAACUUUGCUACUGGUGCAAAUGUCUCUGAAUAGUCAAUCCCAUAGGUUUGAGUAAACUCCUUUGCCACUAGGCGAGCCUUGUAUCUCUCAAGUGAACCAUCUGAAUUGUAUUUGAUAGUAAAUACCCACUUGCAGCCAACUGUUGACUUCCCUUUAGGCAAAUUGACCACCUUCCAAGUCUGAUUCUUCUCAAGAGCAUUCAUCUCUUCAAGGAUAGCUGCCUUCUGUUGAGUGUUAGAAAAUGCAUAUUUAUAAAGGAGAAAACCAUCGUUUUACAUUUCAAGUCUUACUAACAACCCUUACUUUUAUGUAUUUAACCUUUUUGUGAUUUAAUUACAUGUGUUUUAUUUUAAUUAAGUAUUUUAUGUAUUUUAGGGGCAUCAUAGUCAUUUCACAAUAAACGAGAAAUCAGAUGGCAAAACGGACAUCACUUUUGAACUCAGGACGGUCGAAAACCUUAGGAUAAGCAUAAAAGGAAAAAUGGCACUGUUCACUUGUACGGUACUAUUCACGUGUACGGUACUGUAUACGUUACUGUUCAUGACACUGUUCACAUAGACGGAUGAUGACGUGGCAUUGACCGAUGAUGUGGCAUUGACUGAUGAGGUGUCACGAUCCUGUUGGACUAAAAUUCUUAUGUACUGUUGAUGGUGACGUGGCAGCAUAUCAGUGGACGAAAAAUCUCGCGUACGGUGCAUGCAUCACACAGGAUUAUUUUCAACCAAACCGCGUUACUGUUCAAAGUCGGGUCAAACCGUGUUACUGUUCAUCCGCGUGGUCAAACCGUGGACUGUUGACUGAUGACGUGGCGCAAUCCUGAGCGUCCAAACUAUUUUUAAUCCGAUGGCCAUGAUUUACACCAUGUAUCUAUAAAAAGGGGGCCUCUCCCCCCUAAUUUGAUAUCUCUGAAUCCAUUUUUGGGAUCCAUUUUCUGUAAUUCUCUCUCCAUCUUGUAUUUUCUAUGUAUUUUAAUAAAUUCCGAUUUUGCCCCUAGUUCAAUUAUGAGUGGCUAAUUUUCUUUCAAGCUUGGGUUGAAGGUGAAGUCUCAACAUGUGUCAUGGGCUUAAUUUGGUAAAUUUACUUUCUCUUCCCCUCUAGUUUUUGUGGAUGUUUUGACUUCUCGUCGACAAAUAAUACUAAUCUUGUCUAGUACCGCCUUGGUUUCACCGGCCCUCUAGUAUAAGGUUAUUAUUAUUUGGCACGAUAAGCCCUUAGCACCAUAUUGAUUAGAGCGUGGUUCAUGAGGUGUGGAUUCCCCCCUCAUGAUUUAAUUAGCAUUAAUACGGAUUAUUUAGCCCAUGAUGCAUGUUGAUACGGAUCCAGAUACCCAAGUACGUCAUUUCAAUAGAAUUAUCUUUAAUUUAUUCUCGCCAUUGCAAUUCCAAUUUUAGAAUUUAUUCUCGCCAUUUUAAUUUAAGUUUUAGCAUAUACCAAAUCAUUUCCACCAUAAAUCCAACAACCCAUUUACAAAAUUAAUUCUAUACACAAUUAAAAUCCACCUCCUCGUGGGAUCGACACUCGUCACCAUAGAUCUAUACUACAAUAGAUUCGUGCGCUUGCGAGUACAUUAAAAUUUGCACAACACCUUCCAUUCAGGUACACUUAGAGCAUCCUGUACAUUUUUUAGAAUUUCUACACUAGAAUGCUGUGAGGUAAAUGCAUAGAAAGGAGGUGAUAGGUUGUGAUAUGAAACAAAGUUAGACAAUGGGUAUUUGGCACACACUAUUAAAAAAAUGACUUUUACUGACACUUUGGAAAAAGUGUCAAUAAUUACCUAAUUAUGCAUCAUUUUCCGCUUUUUACAAAUAGAUGUCACAAAUUAUUAAUAUUAAUGUAUCAAUAAAUUAAAUAUCAGAGAUCGCUGAUACUUCAGUAUCAGAGAUUUAAAAAAAAUCAUUAAAAUUUGUUUUGAUUUUUACUCGAACCUGGACUUCUAAAACUCAAAACUUUUACGUUUAGAUCGCAAACCGCUGGACGCCAUAAAAUUGAAUUGGAAUUACAAUGUUAUAUAAAAUGUUGACAUAUAAAAAACCAAACCCUAAUUCCCCUUCUCCAUUGUGCAAUAGAGCCCAUGCCGCAGCCGCUGUGUAAUUUCCUUGUCUUUCUUGACUUCUUCUCUAUCGUGAAAGAUGGAGAAUGACCAAGCCCAAACGCCCACAUCCACGGCCGCGCCCAACCUCCACGGCCACGCCCAACCUCCACGGCCACGCCCACCCCCACGUCGUUGCCUCUAUCACUUUCGUUCAAGUGGUUCGACACUGCAGGUACUAAAUUAAGAAUUUAAAGCAUGUAAAACGAAAGUAAAACAUAUCCCAAACUUAGCAAUUGUCCCCAUCUCGCUGUCUUUUAUACACACAAAUCUCUAACCCAAACUCAAACCCAAAAUUGUCUCUUGCCUUUCUCUUUCUCUUUCCUUUUUCUCUUCUCGAUCUCUUCCUUUUUUUUUUUUGGUCCAUUCACAAACUCGUUCAUUUAACUCAAAUAGAUAAUAUAAAGCUAAAACCUAAAGUGAGGCUUUUCUUUCCUUUUUCCUUUUUUUCCCAAAUUGAAAAAUGGAUCAAAACAAUAAUCGGGGCUUCUUUCAGCAAAUUAUUUUUCUUUUUAUGGUCAAAUUUCACUUUUUUUUGUUCAAUAUUCGAAACCCAUUUGCUUGAAUUUGAAUAAAAUUAUUGAGAAAUUAGUUAAUUUUCUUGCUAUGGAAGAGAUACCGCACCUUAUACGUAGACAUGUGAAGGAGAUUUUCAAUGACUCUAAGGGCAAACAGGUUGCCUUGAUUAAGGCUUUAACUGUUGGUAAUGGCUUAAUAUUUUAUUUUCUUUGUCAAAUUAAUUAACAGGUUUUUUUAUUUUAGCUUAUGAUUAUUAGGGUUUUUUGUUAAUUUUAAUUUUCUGGGUUGUUGCAGAUGUUGAGAAACUCUACCAGUGUGCAGUCUUGGUAGGAUUUCUUUUCCAUAUCUAUUUUUUGUUUAUUUAAUUGUAAUUUGAAUUUUUUUCUUUUUUUCCUAUAUUUCUAUAUUAUAAAGAUUGAAUGGUUGUGUAUUUAGUAAUUAUUACAUGUUAUUUACUGCUCUGUUUCAUGUAAAGAGAAGCAAAUUAUGUUAUAGAAACCAACAUGUUUAUUUAUUUAUUUUUUUCGGUUGGAAGAUUUUUAAUAGAGUCAAUGACUAUGAUAUGAAUUACCUAAGUUCAUGCUUGUCUGAAUGUUUUGAGAUUGCACAAAGUUCAUGAUUUGUCUUUAAUUCAAGAAGAAAAUGCUUGUUUUUAGGUAGUUUUGCUUGUUGUAGCACUUGGAGACUUACAUUUUCUUUCUUCAUUUGCACGGUUAGUUUCGCUCUUAUUCAAAAGUUUAUGUGUUUCCUCACUUGCAUGGUCAUUAAUUCAUUCCAUGAUUUUUCUUCUAUAAACACACUUUUAUUUGCCUUUCACUAGUUUGAAGGACUUUAUUUUUUUUAAUUAAAAAAUUCCAAAGAUUGAAAUGAAUUGAAAUUGCUGCUAUAAUGUACUUUCUUUGCUGCUGAAGUUCAAGGAAUGUCUAUUUAAAUGAACUAGAACUUGAAAAAUCUUGUAGUGUUGUUGUACCCAUAGACUUCAUUUUUUUUCUUGCACAUUACACUUAUUUUGUUCAUCUUCUUACCUUCAAUUUGUCGUAGAGGUAAACAAUGCUUGACGGGAAAUGGAGGUUUGCAUUUACAGCGGCUGAAUCUCAUGAACAAGAAGUUGGCAAACUGAGGUCUAUAUUUUUUCCUCAAAUUCAUAGUUGAAUUCAUAGUAAGCUCAAAGCAAUUGAUUGAGGGAGAAAGUAAAUUGAGUUUUAUUUAUUAGUACAAUUUUUGUUAUUCAGUGCUUUACACUCUUCAUGACAACUUCUGCGAUCUUGUCCUAUUACCUUAAGGUACUACUGGAUAUUUGAGAAAAAAUUAAAAAUGAUUAAGCUUAUCUUUCUUUGAUGGUAGAAUUACAGUAUGUCUCCUCACUUAUUGUAGUUCAUCCAAUUUUAUUUUUGUUGCGCAGUCUGUGGAAAUCAGAGUACCACAUUUAAGAGUUUUUAUAAAAUGUCUCCUUUACCUUUCCUAUUAUUUAAACUAAUUUCAUGUGUUUUUCUUUAGUUAAUGAUUGAUUUUCAAGCAAUUGAAGGAAAGUAACUUGUAGAACCUCCUUCUAAAAUUGGUCUGGAACCUUUGUGUGCAAUGGUUAGUGAAAUCAUAAUCCGUGGCUUGUGUUAAUAUGCAUCGAUUGUGUGAAAACUAUUGUUUACUAUUUUCUGUGGCUGGUUAUUAACAUGAUUCACAGAUAAACAACAAUAGACUCAUACCCAUAUGCUUGCUUGCUUUCAACAUGCACUUUCUUUCUUUUUUUCUGUAGUUUUUUUUAUGCGUCUCUCUUUGAAGAAUAAUAUUAUUAGCUUACACGAAAAGGGGGAAAUUGCCGUUAUCUUGCUGCAAGUUUUGUCCCGGUUCUAUAGUUCUACUAUUUUGUAUCACCUUGGAUGACAUGUCGAGUGAAUCCUGAAACAUCAUUUGUCAACCUUUUGAUUCAGUAAUAAUUUAUUAAUUUUGAGAAAUUAGUUUCAUUUUAUCUUGUUUGUACCUAUAAUGCAUUGUGUUCAAUGUUCUUGAAAUUUUUGGGCAUGGCUGCAAACAAAUUUAGCAGUUUUUAAUAGCCAACUAUAGAGACACUUUAAAAUUUGUUUGGGUGAUGAGUUUUUAUGGUUUUGUAAUUGGGGUGAAGGGUAGCAAAUAUCAAUCUUGUCUAAAGAGCACUUGUGUAAGAUUACUUUUGAGUAUAGUGGGGCAGCCUAUAUUAGUAUUUUUAUGAAAUAAGCAGAAAAAGGAAUCCCUUUCUGCUGUUAGCAAUAAAAAUAAUUUUCAAAAAUGUAAAUACCAAGCUUUCUAGUUGUCACCGUUAUUUGCAAAGAUCUUUUCAAUGUAUUUGUAGAUCCCAACAUAUCUUGAUGCAUGAUCAAUUAGUAUAUGAUAGCAUGGGUGAUGAUCUUUCCAUUUGCUUCUCUUUUUCUAUUUUUUUUGGGCAUCAUCGUCUAACGUAAGCAGGCCUCCUCCAUGUUGAUUUUUUUUAAAGAGUUUGGAGCUUAUGCAUUCGCAAUUCUAAAACAUGGGCCAAUAUGCUUUCUACUUGUUAAUCUAUUUACUUAUUGUCAAUUUUGCAGGUUAAUUUUGAAGAUGCGCAGAGAGGUUUUGUAGAGGUUGGGAAGGUAUUUAAAACUUAAAGCUUUUAAUUCUUCUUUCCCCUGCUUAAUAUAUGUUUUCCCUAUAUAGUGUUUCAACAUGACCUGAUUUCAUGCCGCCUCAUUUAUUCCAACAUCCAUAAACACUGAAAUUGACCUGAUUAGUUUUUCUCCCAAAAAUCCAAGAAUUAUUUUUUUGUGGUAUACUAAUUGAUUUUAUGUACUUGUAGGUGGAAAAAGAAAAAUGAAGCCGCUUGUGGAUGUUCAGUGACAUUAUGUGCUUCUUUUUGUUGGUUAAUAUUUGUUGAAUCUUAGCUUAGUACUUUGUAGUUCAGAGCUUGUCCAAGACUUAAUUUAGUACUUAUAUUUGUCUUUUCCAAACAAUGAUGUAGUUGAAUUAUAUGAAUUUAAGUGAUGGAUUUGAGAUAUUUCUUAUGUAAUUGUGUUGCGAGAUUUUGUAUAUUUUAAUAUACUUUGAGUUUUCCUUUGGUUGUAAAACGAACAAGAAAAUAUAAUUAAAAUAAAAGUAUACUAUUAACCAAAAGAAUCAUAACAUCAUUGAAUACUGACACUAAAUGUUUAAAAUGACAUUAAUAAUUUUUGAUGUUAUUGAGUCAGUGUGUUCUUGAUAUUGUAGUCUCAUAAAUUAUUGACAUAAAUAGUAUCAUUAAAUACUAAUGCUAUCGUGUCAUUAUUUUAGUGAUACCAUAAUGACAUGAAUUACUGACACAAAAAUCAUUGACACUAAAAAUUAGUGUCAGUGUGUUUUGGCUGGAGCAUUAUUGACACAAUUAACAAGUGUCAGGAAAAGUAAUUACUGACACUAAAUUAGUGUCAGUAAAGUCCAUUUUUCUAGUAGUGACAACUUCUAGUACCUUUCCUAAGAGCAAUAGGUAUGUCCAGAUCACUAAGAACCUGAGAAUUUAAAUUUAACUCACAAGAAGGAUUAGAAUUACAAUUACCUGAGGAAGAAGAAGUUUGAUUUGACCUUGGAUUGGAAUCAUGGCCUUGCUGCAAAGUAGGGUUUUCUCUUCUUUGAUUAGUACCCUUUCUUGAGUAAACAAUAAACUCAGAUUGUUUAUUACCCUGUCUUGCACACAAAUCUGGUUCUAAUGGCACAUUAGAGGGCUGUCCAGGUUGAUUAGCAUUUACAUUAUCAGAUUUAGUGAGGUUUUCUUGUGGUUCGGGUGCAUUAGGUUCUAAUAUGGGAUCAAGAAUGGUAUAACCAGGUAUAGCAAUGUUAGGAACAUGUACAACAGUAUUAGGUUCAGGUAUGGCAGCCUCGAGACUUUUUUCUGGACGGAGGGAGUCUAGCACAGAAGAAAUAGAAGGGUUUUCUAGGUGAAUAGUGUUAAAGAUAGAAGGGGUUUCUAGGUGAGUAGUGUUAAAGAUAGAAUCUUCACUCCUAUUCUCCCCCUGAAGAUGACUAUCUACAUAAUAUCUUCGUUUUUCAAAAAAUGUAACAUCCAUGGUAACAAACAUUUUUUUUUAAAAUAGGAUCAAAACAUUUAUAACCCUUUUGUGUUGGAGAAUAUCCAACAAAAAUGCAUUUUCUAGCCUUUAGAGCAAGUUUGCCCCGAUUCUGGUUGUGAAUAUGAACAAAAGCAACACAACCGAAUAUUUUGGGCGGAAGUGUGACUGAAAUUCGUGAGGUAGAGAAACAUUGAUUAAAGAAAUCAGAUAGAGUUUAAAAUUGUGGAACUUUUAAAGGCAUUCGAUUUAUCAAAUAGGCAGCGGUGAGUACAGCUUCCCCCCAUAAAUACAUAGGAACUUGAUUUAUAACAAGUAAGGAUCUAGCAACUUCAAGAAGAUGCUUAUUUUUGCGUUCAGCAAUUCCAUUUUGUUGGGGGCUAUCCGUACAUGAACUUUGAUGAAAUAUGCCAUUUUCCACAAAAAAAUCUCCCAAAAACUUGUUAAAGUAUUCUUUCCCAUUGUCAGUUCGGAAAACUUGAAUUUUAGUUUGAAACUGAGUUUGUACCAUGUUGUUAAAAGUUAAAAAUAAUUCACACCUAUGAUUUUUCCUUCAUUAAAUAUACCCAAGAAAUAUGGGUAUGAUCAUCAAUGAAGGUAAUAAACCAUCUUUUUCCUGUUAAUGUAGAAAUUCUAUUAGGUCCCCAAACAUCACUAUGAAUCACAGAAAAAGGUUUUGAGGCUUUGUAGGGUUGGGAAGGAAAUAAUGCACGAUGAUGUUUUGCUAAUUCACAAAUUUCACAUUUAAAGGAAGAAGAACUUUUAUUAGCAAACAAGUUGGGAAAUAAAUAUUGCAAAUACUGAAAACUAGGAUGGCCUAACCUAAAGUGCCACAACAAAACUUCAUUGUCAUUAUUAACAACAGAAACAGAAUUGAAACAAAUACGUGGAGGUUGUUGUCUCAAACUUGGUACUUCUUCAAAGAAAUACAGCCCCCCACUUUGUCUAGCACUGCCAAUCAUCUUCCCCGAGGUCAAAUCCUGAAAUUCGCAAUGAUUUUGGAAGAAACUAGCACAACAGUUCAGGUCAAGAGUUAAUUUGCUAAGGGACAAAAGAUUGCAAGAUAGGUUAGGAACAUGCAGAACAUUAUGAAGAGUGAGAGUGGAAGAAAGAAUGAUAGACCCUUUUCUAGCAAUAACCGAAAGGGAUCCGUCAGCGAUCUUAAUUUUUUGAUUUCCUGCACAUGGCUUAUAGGCAGAAAACAAAGAUGGAGAGCCUGUAAUGUGAUCGGUUGCUCCUGAAUCGAUAAUCCAAGAACAAGGAUUCGAAUGAUGAGAAACAAGGGCAGCAGAAAGAUAAUUACCUUUUUGAGUUAAUGAGCAAGAGGGAGUAGAUGAAUUGAAGGAUGAGGAUUGAAACAAUUUAUACAAGUGCUCUAAUUGAUCCUUGGUGAAAGGUGAUGACUCUGAAGAACCUAAUUUCUCUUUAUCUGAAGUAGCUUGGAAGGCUCGUCCAUCACCUCCUUGUUUCUUCUUCACAUGAGGAGGCUUGCCAUGUAACUUCCAGCAAGUUUCUCUUGUAUGCCAAGCCCUUUUACAGAAGUUGCACCAAGGUUUCUUUGAAUUCCUUCGAUCUCCAUCAGGUUCAGGUGCCUUUAAAAUAAGAGCAGAACUCUCUGAACUCUCUACUUCACUGGUGGCUUUAACAUCAUUAAGCAUGACAUUCCGUCGCGCUUCUUCUCUUCUUACCUCAGAAAACACUUCUCAAAUAGAUGGAAGGGGUUUCCUGCUCAGAAUUAUGCCUCUCACUUUGUCCAAAUCACGGUUUAGCCCAGCUAAGAACACAUAUACUUUGUCAUUUUCCAACAUCUUUUUAUACCUUACACUAUCACUCGAACAGUCCCACUGCUCAUCAUAGCAAAGAUCUAAUUCCUGCCAAAGGAUCAACAGUUCAUUAUAGUAAGUUGUGACCAACCAAUUACCUUGCUUGGAUUGGCACAAUCGAGUUUUCAACUCAAAUAUCUGAGAUGAAUUUUCUAAAUCAGAAUAGGUAUCUCGGACUGCAUCCCACACCGCCUUGGCUGUCGGUAAGAACAGAUAAGGCUUACCAAUCCUAGGCUCCAUUGAGUUUAUCAACUACGCAAUAACCAUCGAAUUUGUUGAUCCCCAGGUCGAAAGAGAAGGAUCUCCAGUAAUUGGUUUUGUUACUUCACCAGUCAAAUGCCCCAGCUUUCCCUUUCCAUCAAUUACCAACUUAACGCACUGUGCCCACUCUAAGUAAUUUUUUCCAUUCAAUUUAUGAACAAUUAGUUGCAAAGAAAAGCUAUCCUGGUUAUAUUCAGACUGCUGCAACAGCGGCUGAGGAGUUCUGGUGUUACUAUCAUCAUCUUCGGCGGUAGAUGCCGAUGAGCUCUUUGUAGCUCCAGUCAUGGCAGUUUUCACCAUUGAAAAAUAGACCUCUAAAUAUUCAUUGCUCUGAUACCAUGUAAAUAUUUAGAGUCUGAAAAUACUAUUUUUCUUCUUUCAUUCAUUCAACAAGUUACACUUAAAUAGAAUAUAGAAAACAAACUCCUAAUAGAUAUCCCCUAAUUGUAGGAUACUUAUCUAAACUUGAAUUUAAAAAAAUGAUUAUCUAAAACUUUAUUCCGAUAAGACUUUAAAACUAAACUAAUUAUCUAAAACUUUAUUCUGAUAAGACUUUCAAACAAACUGAAAAAUCCUAACUUCUUGACACAUAGAUCAUACUGCAGAUGAAUUUUGGAAGAUGAACAAACUCAGGCAUCUAGUCAUUGAAGAUGGUGAAUGAAAGCACGAUGCCAAGGCUCUCCAAAAUCGUCCUUGCCAAAUACCUACUUCCUCAAAGUCUAAUCCCCUUGAGUUUCUCUAAUACUGAACAAAUGGAUGAUCCCAUGCCUGUGCUAGAAAAGUUGCCACUUCUUCAAAUGCUCAAACUGAAGCAAAAAUCAUAUUCAGGUAGAUAGCUGACUUGUGGGUCUGAUGGUUUCCCAAAGCUCAACAUAGUGCACUUGAAUUCAAUGCCAUGCCAUUUAAACAAAUUCGAGUGUUGGUGGCCUCAGCCGGAGCUGAGACAAAAGCUACGGGACUUUGAGGAUAAGGCGCAGUAUGACAAUCAAGUAUAUCAUUAUGGAAUUUGAUUUGCAUGGAUUUAAUUAGAUGUAAGUUUUUCAUUUUAUACAAUAUCAUCAACCUUUAAUUAUUAAUCUAAUUUCAUACAUAUGUUUUUUCUUCUCCUCAAUAUAUUUGAUAGUACGCAGCUUCCUAAUGCUAUCAAGUGUUUUCUAAUUGUAGUUGCUUCUAAUUUUUGUCUCAACAUUAGAGAUGAAGUGUUCAUCACAGUUCCUGAUGCUGACCCCGACCAUUUUCCCUUGUCUAUUGAUUGUUGAACAGUCAGGAAAAACUAUAAUUUCAUUUCAGAACCCUUGUGUAUUGAUCGUUGAGCAGUGAGGAAAAACUAUAAUUUCAUAUCUUAAAUUACUUGCGCCGGUGAAAUCAGAGCGGGAAAUAUGUCAACUGUAGUGCAGCAAAAGUUUCAAUUUCAACUAGAAUCCGGCCUUGAUCCUUUUAGUAUUCACUUCUGCUAUCUACACAUUAAUGAGUCCUUAGGAUUGAUGCAGGAUAUUAUUGGGUUUCUUUGUUUUCAAGGAUCUGCUACAAGCAAUAAUGUCAAGUUUUUGGAUUCACUGUGUAUAUUUUAUUCAUGUGUCUUCAUUCUUGUAAUGUGCUUGAAACUCCACCUUAGUGUGGACGUGUGUGGUUUGGUCGUACCAUGUGCAAUACAUGUAAAUUGUCAUAAUUGUCUUAAGGGAAUUCUGCAUCACUUCCAUUAGAAGAAAACUUUGGAUGUAGGCACCAUUGCCGCUGAAUCUACUUUUGAUUUGCUCCAUGUUUUCUAUAUUUUUUUAAUUCAAUUUUGGAGAUAGGGUUUCUAGCAUUGAUUGUUGAUACAUCAGAGGACUAAAUACAAGAAAUAAAAACUGGGGCAUAUUGCCUAAUCUUCAGAAUCUCCAAUUUUAUGGAGAUUUAAGCCCUUAUCAUUCAUAAAUAACUUGAGUGUUGGAUUGUUAUUAUCUUAGAUUCUCUAAAUAAUAAUCCGAAUAAGAAUGUUGGAAAAAUAUUGAUUAUAAAUACUUGUUUUGAACAAAUACUACCUAUUAUUUUAAAUUUUGGACUUAGAAAUUAUAAAUAGUAUUAGCAUGUGAAUUUUAAGGUAUUAGCUGAUUCUGUCCAAUUUUAGAGGUUGAUCCAUCAUGCUAAACUUAGUCAUUGGUUUUUGCUGAACAAAUGAAUGUGUAUCAUUUUUUUUUCCUCUUUUUUUUCUGUUAUACUUUGAUUCCCCUGCUUCUAGCUGAUUCUGUUCUCCUUUAUAACGAGAAAGAAGUUGUCUUUUGUGCUCUUAUAUAUACAUGUUAAGCCUGGAUAUGUGUGGUUUUGUUUGUUUUAAUAAUAUGAUUGUGUGGUGUCAUCUGUAAUACUUUUUAAGGGUGCAAAUCAAAUGAGUUUAUACCUUAUAGUGAAUUUGGUUAAUUUCAAGAUAUCAUUUUUUGGGAUCUUCGGCUCUAGUUGCUAAUACAAAAUUCCUCAAAUCUCGUUUGGAAUUUGGGAGUCCGUCCUAAAUGAUACAAGAUUUGAUAAAAAUUUCUCAUUCUGAUUUAUUAAUCGAGUUGAGAUUCAAGAUCUAGUUUUCUUCUAAUUUAAUAUUCAAGACGGGAUUUGAGACGUCUGAAAAUCUCAUUCGAGAUCCCUUAGGCAAUCAAAUGAGUUCAUAUCCUUAUAAUGAAUUUGGUUAAUUUCAAGAUACCCUUUUUUGGAAUCUUCCGCUCUAACUGUUAAUACGUGAACCUAGGCUGGCAAAAUUAUCCAGAUACCAAUCGAGAUACAAACCCUAUAUAAGAUUUGUUACAAAUUUCUUAUCCCUAUUUUCAAUGUAGGUCAGGAUUUGGGACCCCAUUUUAUACCGAUUGAUAAAUUUCUUUAUUUAGACAAUAACUGAUGACAGAUUAUUAGUUUAAAGCUCAUGGAGUAAAGGUUGAAUUAUUGGUUCAAUCAUCCGUAAUUUUCUGCAAGCAUGCAAUAUAUUAAACAAGAGAUUAUUUAAUUAUUUUUUGGGUUCUGUUAUUAACAAUAAUGAUUUUGAAGAUAUUAGUGGGAGAAAAAUGGUUCUUUUAAAUCAUUUUCAAUCUUGAGAAAAAGUUUUCUUGCUGCCAUACACUGUCCUUUCUCUAUAUUUAUAUUUAAUUCAUAUGUACAUAUAUCAUACAUACAUUAAAUGAGUGUAAUUCAAUAAAAACAUUCUAUGAUCUUUCUGCUAUAUGAAAAAUAACCUAAAAAAUAUAUAUAUACAAUUACACAAGCUCUAUUAAUACUCUACCAAUUAAAUUGAGCACGUGUUCUUUUUAAUAUCCUCAUUUCAGCUAAUUGUAUCCAGCCCAGUGGCCGCAUUUUUUUUUUCUCUUUUUGUGUGUGUGUGUAACCAAAGCUUUUUAUCUUUCAUUUGCAAUUUGAGAACCCAUUAGCCAGACAAUUAAAUGCAGAUUCCAUGAAUUUUGCACCGUUGACUUAACUCGAAGAGUAAGACUUCGAUGUAACUACGGAGUCAACAAAUAUGCUUGUCAUGGAAAAUCUCAUAACGCGUACAUUUACUUUUUCAUAUAUUGUGUCUCUAUUCUACCUCUCCAACUUAAAAUUCCUUGCUCGUGUUUUAAACAUGACAUAGAAGUUCUGGUUUGGAAAUGGUAGAGAUAGUUAGAUGUCACAGUUGCAUACAAGUGUACACAAUUUCUUUGUCAAAUAAAAUCUAGUCACAUAUUUAUUCUAAAACUUAAUUAUAAACUAUGAAUAAAUAAAAAACAGUGGACAUAAUUUUAUUGACUGUCCCAUUAAAUCCGUCGCACCUAAUUUUAUUUGCUUGCAGUGGGACGACUUUAAAUGUUGUCAUGUGGCUGCACAAAUGGACUAAUUCCUGUCACAACUUGAUAGUCUAUAUUAGCGCGGACUGUUGUGACAAAUGAACCUCUAUUUCGAUUGCGUACUCCAAUAUGUUAAAAAAAAGAAAAAAGAAAAUAAAAAGAAAAUAGGACAUCAUCAAGUAUCAAUCAAAGAUCAAUUUGUUUUAUCCACUUUCAAGAAAGAAAAGGUAAAAACAAUCCCACUGGGGACCAUAAAGUUUAUCUCAAAAGAAAAAGCACUACAAUAGUCGAACACAAAGAAGAGUAAUAAUGAGAAAGGAGUUGCAUAUAAAUUGAAGAUUUUUAUUUUUUUUAAAGAAGGGCCCGACAUCAUGAUUGCUUUCAUUUAGGAAAGGAUAUAUGAAAAAGAGAUGAAUAUUGCACUUUAGAUUUGGAUAAUUCCGAUUGGAUUUUGAAUUGUUUGGAUUAGGAAAAACAAAUCAUUCGAAUCCAACCUGAAUCUCAAAUACAAUCGAUCGGAUUUAAAAUAAAUCAGAUCUGAUAAAUAUUUCAGAUACAUUUAGUUUCAGAUUGUUUCGGAUUUAAAUGAUAUUUUAGAUUCAAAUGGUAUUUUAAGUUCAGAUUGAAUUUGUAUUUGGGUCUUUUUGAUAAUUUUUACAUAAAAUUCAUAAAAUCUAUAUAUAUAUAUAUGAGUAGUGCUAAAUGUCGGGAAGGCUGAGAUAACCCUGAGAGAAAUGGUAGCUUGUGCUGCCAUUUCGCGCGUGUUCUCUUGGCCCCGCCCCCCAUGUUUCUUUCUCUUUUCUUUUUAACUUAACGUUUGCUGUAGUCAGCCUUUUGCUGCAGUCAACUCAUCUCUCCAGCACCAAAAACUACCGUAUCUUCUCCCUCCCCUCAAUUUCAUCGGCACUCUCUCUCAUCAACGGCAUCGUUACCGACAGCCACCUCUUUCUCUUCAGCUCGUCACGACAGACACCACCAGUUUGGUUCGUCACUUCGUCCGGAUCUCUCCAUUAUUCCAAGUGUGUUUCCCCUAUUUUUUGUUCUAAAAAACCCAAAAAAAUGAAGAACAACACCUGUAUUGAUUUCGAUUUUUUGAUUCCAAGUCAAAGGGGUGCUUGACUUUUAAUUAUACAAGAUAGAAGAUGAAACCAAAUUUUGAUGUUGAUGAAGAAGAAGAAACAAAACUGACAGGAGGAAGAAGAAGAUAAUUGUGAUGAUGUUGUUGAUGAAGAAGAUGAAAUUGACGAUGGAGAGAAGUAACGAAGAAAUUGGAGAAGAGAGAGAAAGAAAAAAGAGAAGAAGAAGAAGGUAAAAGAAGAAAAAAAUAUAAGAGAGAUAAAAUAAUAUAAAAAAAAGAGGAAAUGUUUAAAGUAAAGUGGGGGUGGGGCCAAGAGAACACGCGUAAAAUGGCAGCACAAGCUGCCGUUUCUCUCAGGGUUCUCUCAGCUUUCUCGACGUUAAGUAUUUUCCUAUAUAUAUAUAGUAGUGCAAUCUAAUCGAAUUGUUUAAAUUAAAAUGGAUCCAAUCCAUCGAAUGCACAAAUUUUAUCCAAUCGGAUAUAAAUGGCAACAUCCAAAUCCAAAUCAGAUCGAAUCAUAUCUAUCCGAAUCUGAUCCAUGCACACCUUUAGCCCUAUUGGAAUGAUUAUCUAACGAUUCAAACUAUAACGUAUUUUGUUGUAGUUUGUAGAGCGCUUGAAAAGAAAAUCUCUAAACAAUAGUGACUAUUAUGAAUUAGAUGCAUCAAUCAAUUGUUGAAAAUUGAUUAAAAACAAAAAAAGAAAGGUUGUUGACCAAAAUUUGUUGAUCAAAUUUGAUGGCUAAGCCACCAAUUUUGAUCAAAAUUGGUGGGCAUAGUUAGGCAAGUUUUUGCCUAUAAAUAGGAGGGUGCUCCUCCUCACUUUUGUAUCCAAUUGAGAGCAUUCAAUUGGUGAAUGCAAGAAAAGCAUUGAGAGCUUCUAAUGGGAGAGAAAUAAUCUUAAGCAUGUAGAUGUAUUAUAGGAGUAUUUGGCUCCUCAAUGUGGGUAUUACGGGUUUGCUCUGUUAAAGAAUAUUUUUCGGGAUCAUGUAUUUGGGGCUUGGGUGAGAAAAAUUAUUUCUGAAAGUGUGGUUGUAAUAAUUUUUCACAUAAUGAAUAUUUUUUUCUCUGGUUGUCUUUUGAUAACGGCCGUAGUUUUUUUUCUGGAUUUAGAGUUUUCCAUGUAAAUCUUGUAUUGUGUGACUAAUGUAUUCUCCGUUUAAUUUUUUCUGUUAAUUUAUUGUUUGACAAAUUGUUUGUAGUGAUCUUGGGAGAAAACUCAAUUUCCUAACACGAAUCAGAUUCUAAGGAGAUGUUUUUUCUCUCUAUACAAGCUUUAUGGUCCCAGCGGAAUUAUUUUUAAUCUUUCAGUCUUUUGAGAGGGCAAAAAAGAAACUAGUCUUGAUAGCCUAUUUUACUUUCUUCAUACACAUAUAUAUAAAACACAAAUUAUAAGACACCCUUUUAUCUUCUUGCAUAAAGAAUAUUUUAUAUACACGUGCAUUAUACCUCAGGUUUUGUGCAGAAAAUCAUUAUUGUAAUGUUUUGGGAGAGAUUAUUUAGUGUUAGACAUUGGAAUUUGUGGGUUUGUUUGAAUAAGAAUUUGAGGUAUUUUAGUUUAGAAUCUAUGAGUAAGGAUUACGAUUUGUAAGUAACAUCCUUCUUCACGUGCUCCGCACGUGUUAGUUUUGGGGUGUAACAUAACUAGAUCCUAAGAUCUCGAUCCACAGCUUAGUAAUCUGCAGAUACUUCAUACGAAGCCGAAUCCGCUGAAUCAGGAGUAAGAAUCUUAUAUACGUGUAAGAAUAAAAAUAAAAAGUUGGAAAAAGAAGCUCAAAGAAUUUUAAAUUGAAAAGUUGAUUUUCAUGUGCGGAACAAGGGCUUCAGAUUAAAUUGUUGAAAAAGUUUUGUAGUAAAAUAUUUUUGUUUUCAUAUGAUUUUUUAAGAAAAAAGAAUAUAUAAGGUUUUUUGUGGAAUUAACAUAGGUGUUGUUAAAAGUAGUGUGAUUUACAUAUAGGGGCGGGCAAAAAAAUCGUGCACUAGAGAAAACAAAACUGAACUGAUCCGAACCGUUCCAUUCGGAUCAGUUUUAAUUUUAAAAAAUAAACGAAAUAUAUGGUUUGUAAAAAGAAUCGAAAUGUAGGUUUGGUAUUUGGUUCACUUAGCUGAACCAAAAAACCGAACUAAAAAACCAGAUUGUUCUUGGAAUUUUAUUUAAAUAGACAUGUGUUAAAUUUUAAUUGGUUGCGUAAGAUAACUAAAAUAGGCAUGCACACACACGAUUAUGGGUAUAUAUAUAUGUUACAAUUUCUGCACCCAAAACAAACCUAAAGGCUAAAAUCAAAAACGAAAUCAACUCGCAAGCCAAAUCCUUUUAGGAGUUCUUUAACUCAUAAAACAGUCAAGUCAUUAAUCUGUACUCAAAAUUGGUUUUACUCAACUCUCUUAGGAGAGCAUACAAUACAACCAAGUCAGGAGGAAGCUGAAUUCUAUGAAUUAGUUGAAACAUGUAAUAUUGUAAUUUAUUAUGUUAUUUUUUGUUACUUAUAACAUUUUGUAUAUUAGAAUUAAUGAUUUUAAUAUAAUUGUUUCAAUUUCUUGAAGAAUUGUUUAGGCUAAUGCAAUCUCAACAACAACAAGUAGCUGAGGAGUAAAUGACAGUUGACUGAUGUUGCUGACCAGUAAGUUUUCUUUAUUUUUUUUUAAAAAAUAGUAUCUUAUUUAUAUAGAUUUUUAUUUAAUUAUUUAUUUUUUUAAAUUUUUUUUAUAGAUCCAAAUAUUGAGUUGGAAAAUGCCUAAAGUUGAUACUGAUAUUGAUGGGGAUAGGAGAAUGUUGUUGUCAUUUGUUUGCAAUUUAAAAAAAAAAAAUUUUGUGAAGAUGGGAGAAUGUUGUUGGUGUUUGUUUCCAAAUUUUCUUUUUAUUUUGUGUUGUAAGUUUUAAUUGUUGUUAUUUUUAUUUGUCUUUACAACAUUAUGUUUAUGUAAAUGGAGUAUUGGAGUUUAAUUAUGUAUUUUGAACUCUUAAUAUUUCAUAUUUUGUAAGUAUCUUAUUAGUAGUUAGUAAGAUAUUAGUGAUAAAAUAUGUUUUGAAUAUUUUGUAUUUAUUGUUAAUAUUUGUAAUGAAAUUAGGAUAAAUUAAUUGUUGAAAAAAAUAAUUACAUUCAUGAGGCCUAAUGAGCUAAAAAUUUAGAAAUUCAAAAUAGGCCCAAUAGGCCCAAAACCGAAAAAAUCGAACCGGACCGAACCGAUCUGAGAAGAUCCGUUUAUAUUCGAUUUUUAUUGUGUUCGGUUCUUAUUUGGUUCUUUUAAUAAAAUAACCUAUUUAAAUCGAUUUUGCUUAAUUUCGAUUCGAACCAAACCAGACUGAACCAUGCCCACCCCUAUUUACAUAUGUUUUUAAUCGUGUACUUUUAGAAGAGAGGCUUUACGAGGAGUUUAAAGUGGUGCUAAUAGUUUCACUUAUUGACAAAUGGGUCAAAAAACAUCCAAAAGCUUCAAAGACCUUUCAUAAUACUUGGAACACAAAAUAGUUAAUUAUACUUUACAAAAAAAUUUGUUUUUUAACAUUUUACAACUCAAAACACGCUAGAAGAUCUUUAAUAUUUCUUAGUUUACUAUAAGAUACUAUAAGUAUAUAUAACAAAACAAGAAUAUAUUGAUUGAUACCAUAUAUUUGAUACAAGUGAAUAGAAAAUCUCUCACUUGAUAGAAUAUAUAUAGCAUAUGACAAGUUACAUACAUCUAAUUUUCUGCAUGCAUAUGGAAAAAAAAUUAAUUGUUUAAAUUUCUAAUUUGUCAAAUCAAGGUUUGAUUUCUGAAUUUUUUUAGUUGUUAAGUGGAUUAAAUUUCCCCCCAUAUACACUGUCUAGAGAAACUCAUGAAUCUAAAUAAACCAAACCCAUAUUAAAUUUAAUGAUAUCAUUAUCCUCAGACUCUCAGUUUUGCACUUUUGCUUACAUAAACAUUAUGGAACUUAAACUUAAAUCCACUUUUUUCAUCAUUCUCUUGGUGGCCUCAUGUUUGUUCCUUAAUCUUAUUUUCCUCAUCUUUUUAAUGCAUCCAUAAUUAACUAUAAUAUGACAACUAAUUGGCUGGCAUUUAUAUAUGCAGGCGUGUUAUUAGCAUUAGGCUAAUUAAUUGAUUGCCAUUUAUAUAUGCAGGUGUGUUGUUUGAUAUUUUCAUGCCGGCAGUUGAUGCUCAACCGGAAUCAAAAGCAGUCACUUGUAAAAGCAAUGCCGACUGUGACAAUCCCUGUCAGUCGUUUCGAAUGCGAUCUUGAUACCCAUCUCUGCGUUUGUGUUCCUGGCCGCAAUUCGAUGGGUUGCUGAAGAGAUUAAAGCUUGUAUUGCAAGUUCUAGUGAUAUUUUGGAUGCUGAAUUGCAAAAUUUGUAACGUUACAAUCUUUGUUCCGUUUCUUACGUCAUGUGUCAAAUAAAAGUAUCAACUAAGAUUGCUGCCUCUCUUCUGAUAUGCAUACUAAAAUUGUGUACAAAAAUUUACAAAUCAUCUCCAUGUGAUUGGUCCUAUUAUACAAUGUUGUACCAUUCAUUUGGAGAAGUCUUUAAGGCUUGGAAUUAUACAAUUUUUAAAAUUUUCAGUAUUUUUUUUGGCUUUCGAGCUGGGUUCGGACUUUUAACCGGAGCCCAAGACCAGCCAGAAUACUUAGAAAACAUGCUCUAGCUACACUUGAUUUUUCUGCCAUUCCUACUUAGAAUUCCAUUAUCAUUGAUUUCAUUGAUGGAUUGUUAUAUUUUUCACACUAAGUGCUCAAAUGAAAAUAAUUAUAAAUAGUGUCUUAUGAUGUAAUCCUUUCAAAAAGGUGAGAGUUCAUAUAAUACUGAUAUUUGAAUAAAAAAAUGAUACAGUGGUGAGAAAACAACUAUAAAUUUUAUUUAUAAUGUUAAAUAAAAAAUUAUAACUAUUUUUCAAUUAAUAUUGUAACAUUGCACAAUUUACUAUUAUUUUUGUCACCUGUUGUUAGAACUCUUUAUCAUUUUUCAUUUCUUAGAAAAGAAUGCUAAAAAGAAAAUUUAACAUAUAUUAACUAUAAAAUUUUACAAACGAUUUAGUACUUUCUCUAAAUCUAGUUGAAGAAAUAAGACAGCAUCACACAUGAUUAAGAAUGCAUAUUUAUUUGAGUAAUUUUACAUUUAUAACCCUGGGAUACAAAUUUUAUUUGUGAUAUAGAUACAUGCAAGUCUCGCAAUAAAUUUAACAAUUAACACCAGACAUGAUUUUGCAUUUUUCCACAGCUUAAUUAUUAAUUAUUAAAUAAUUGAUAACGCUCUUGUGCUUGCUCCGUUCUUUUCUUUUCAGACAAGCUUUUAUAGUCCCAGUGGAAUUGUUUUUACCCUUCCUUUCUUAAAAGUGGAUGUAUAAAACAAAUUGGUCUUGAUCGAUACUUGACAAUGUCCUGUUUAUUUUUCGCUGCUUUAUUCUUUUUUCAUCAUAUGGAAGACGAGAUUAUUGUAAGAUUCUGCCUUGAUAUGUUCUAAUUUGAGAGUCAACGAUCUUGAUUUAACUUCUUGACUGGAGAACUAGCUAAGAGAAGGGAGGUAUGGGAGCCAGCACUAAUGUUUGAAUUGAGAGCUUUAAAGCAUAUUUUCCUUUUCCCCUCUCUCUUUUAAUUAUUUCUUUGCAUGCUCUUAGACAGAUUUCAGGGUGGAUUUGAGGGAGGAGGAGAUAUGGACAUCAACAUCAGACUAUUUUCAGAGAGGCUGAGAAGGGUGUUAGCUGGUGAAGAAGUCACGUUGCCUGAUGCUGCAAAACAACCUAUUCACAACUUUCAUGCCGAGAUUGAAAUCGUUACUUCUUUGCUGAGGGACUUUGAAGAUGAUAUCUCCUGCCUUCUGGUGCAAAAAAUAGGAGACCUUGAAAUUGACAACCCAGAUCUGGCGACCGUUAUGGACGAAAUCAACUGUUUUGCGUAUGAAUCUGAGAAGGUUAUUGGCACAUUCAUCAACAGCAUCGCUCAACAGAAGAGUCAAAGCAGGUACAACAAGGAUGUUUGUGAUGCUCUGCAAGGACUCCAAAGCAGAAUCACUGAGAUUAAGCAACGGGUUCAACAACUUAAGCACAUCGAUUUUGAAAUCAUGGAUGGGUUAAGAAGUGUUGAAGCUGAAUCCAGUUAUUUUCCUGCAUCUUCAUCUUAGAAGAAUCGGAACACGGUGGGUCUAGAUGAUAGAAUGGAGGAGUUGUUAGAUCUAUUGAUCGAGGGACCACCUCAGCUGUCAGUGGUGGUCAUACUUGAUAGCAUUGGGUUGGACAAGACGGCUUUCGCCGGAGAGGCUUACAACAGCAGUUAUGUGAAGCAUUAUUUUGAUUGCCACGCUUGGGUUCCAGGGACUUAUCCGUAUGAUGCUGACCAAAUGUUAGAUAUCGUUAUUAAGUUUCUGAUGCCUUCAUCUAGGUUGAGUGAAAUAAUGGAUAAAAAUUAUGAAAUGAAAAAAAUAAUUCUUCAUGAAUAUCUAAUGACCAAGCGGUAUUUGAUUGUGAUUGAAGAUGUAUAGACCAUUGGUGUGUGGGAUGUUAUUCGAGAAAUACUUCUGGAUAAUCAAAAUAGAAGUAGAGUAUUAAUCACACUCAGCCGAAUUGAGAUUGUCACCUCAUUUCAGUUCGAAGACGGAGAGAACAUUGGGCUUGAUUUUGUGCCCACUGGAGGACCAUUGAGAGCUACAUACCAAGGAUGGCCUUUCCUCAUCUUAUAUCAUGGAAGCAUCUCAUUAGAAGAAAAUAUAGGGGAAGCAGUGGCGAUACCCCUUGGGCUUUGGUACUUCAAAUAUUGCAGGUUACCUUUUUGCUUGAAACUUUGUUUUCUCUACUUAUCUGUGUUUCCUGCACACCUAGAGAUAUCCACCAGGCAGUUAUAUCAGUUGUGGAUAGCUGAAGGUUUCAUCCCAGACAAUAGUGAGGCAACUGCUGAGAAUUACUUGGAACAACUAAUCAAGGGAGGCUUUGUUGAAGCAAAUAAGAGAAAAGCUGCAGGCACUAUCAACACAUGCUCUAUUCGUAGCCGUUGCCAUCCUGUGUUGUUGUCAGUUCCUUAUAGGGUGGAAUUUAUCUCUUCCCCUUUCCUGGAUCCAAAAGGUAAAUCACCAAAACAAGUCAAACGGUUAAACGCUGUUAAAAGACAGGAAGAUUUUGCUUGCUUAGAUUAUUAUGACUCGCAACUGCAUUCUUUGUUGUGCUGCUCUCCAGAAAGCCGCCACUUUGACCCCAUGGAUUGGGAGAAAAUUUGUGGAAUGUUCCAACUUCUCAGAGUAUUGGACUUGGGAUCUCUUGUUCUCAUCCAAUAUCCAUCCGGAAUUGAAAAUUUAUUUCUUUUGAGAUAUUUGAAGUUGAAUAUCCCUUCCCUUAAAAGCCUGCCUUCAUCGUUAUUAAGCAAUCUUAUGAACCUCUAUACCCUAGACAUGCCCUUUAGCUAUAUAGAUCACAUGGCAGAUGAAUUUUGGAAGAUGAAAAAACUCAGGCAUCUAAAUUUUGGGUCAAUCACACUUCUUGCGCAUCCAGGAAAAUAUUGUGGCUCUCUGGAAAAUCUCAAUUUCAUUUCAGCCUUGCAUCCUUGCUGUUGUACUGAAGAUAUAUUGGGCAGACUACCUAAUCUUCGAAAUCUCCGGAUUCGGGGAGAUUUAAGUUAUAAUCAAUCUUUGUUGUCUAAAAGUCUCUGCAGAUUGAGCUGUCUCGAGUCAUUGAAGCUGGCGAAUGAAAGCAAGAUGCCACGGCUCUCCAAAAUCGUCCUUGCUGAAUACCUAUUUCCUCAUGGUCUAACCCACUUGAGUUUUUCUAAUACUGACCUAAUGGAUGAUCCCAUGCCGGCACUAGAAAAGCUGCCGCUUCUUCAAGUGCUCAAACUGAAGCAAAAUUCGUAUUCAGGUAGAAAGCUGAAUUGUGGCUCUGAUGGUUUUCCAAAUCUCAAGGUAUUGCACCUGAAAUCAAUGCUAGAGGAGUGGACUAUGGGGAUUGGAGCCAUGCCAAAACUAGAAUGCUUGAUUAUCAACCCCUGUGCUUACUUGAAAAAGAUGCCUGAACAGCUCCGGUGCAUAAAGAGCUUAAACAAGUUCGAUUGCUGGUGGCCUCAGCCGGAGCUGAGGCAAAAGCUACGGGAAUUUGAGGAUAAGGAACAGUGCGGCAUUCAACUAUUUCCCUACGGAAUUUGAUUAGCCCCUAUUGAAUUUGAUGUAAGUUUUUUCUUCUUCCCCGAUUACUUCAACCUUUAAUUAUUGAUCUAAUUUCAUAUAAAUGUUUUCUUCUCUACAAUAGAUUUGAUAGUACGCAGUGCCUAAACUAUAAUCAUACUAUAAAGUUUUUUCUACUAAUUGUGAUUGCUUCUAAUUUUUGUCUCAACAUAAACUUAAAGUGUCUACCACAGUUCUUGAUGCUGACAGCAUUCAUUAAAAACUGUAUGAUGCGAUCUUCAAUUAGUUGUAUGUGUAGGUAAAAGCAGAGCGGAAACUAUCUUAACUGCACUGCAGCCAAAGUUUCAAUUACAACCAGAAUUGAGCCUUCAUCCUUUCAGUGUUCACUUCUGCUGGGUUGUCUACACGUUGUUUGGUUUCUUCAUUUUCAAGGAUUUGCAUGCUAACAGUAAUAAUGUCAUGUUCGGAUUAAUAUAUUGAACAAAAGUCUGAUUAAUUGUUUUACUUUCUAUUUUCAGUUGCACUGGUGUGUAUUCAAUUUGUCAACAUUCAAAUUGAUAUAUGUUAUUGUUUUUUUUUAUUUUAUUUCUUCCUCUAGUUUUUAAGUAGCGGUAUAGUUCAACUUCAAGCUUAGUACUUCAGUUAGAAGAAAAGUAUUUGUGCGGUGAUCUCAUCUCAUCAUGUCAACACUGGCAGAACGACAUUGUUGUUCGGUUUUUUGGAAUUUCACCGACAUGUCGGUCAUCAUAAGGGUGAGAGUGCUGGUCAAAAGUGAGUUGGGGUUAGGUAAAAAAGUACAGGAAAAUUCUAGGAUUGUUAGAGAUAGCCUUUAUCGUAGUUUAUAAGGCUGGUUGAUGGGCCAUCUUCUCAGAUCUCAUCAAAGCUAUGGAGAGAGAGAGAGAGAGAGAGAGAGAGAGAGAGAGUUGAAAUAGAAAGUUGUAUAUUCUUGUUCUCUAUAACAAGCUCUACAUCCUGGUAACCUUGAUUUGUGAAAUAGUGAAAGCUUGAAAGCUUGAAAGCUUGUAUCCUUGUUCUUCACUGGAUUUACGCACUUUGAUUCAAUUUUUAGUUUGGAUUUCUGAGAAUGAGUCUUCAUACAUCAAAUCAAAGAUGGUCUAAGGUGUUUGAUCUUGGUACUGUUAGAGGAUUAAACACAACAAAAAGAAACUGGGGCAUGGAGAUUAAGCCCUAGUCAAUUUGGGUUGUCCAACAGCCCUUGUAAAAUCGAAAACCAGCACUAAUCCUUGGUGAUUUGGAGCAGAAGUUUAACGAGUAAAGUUCUGAAAGUGGAAGAUUUAAUCGAUAGUGCUGCACGUUUUGGAAGCUCUGUUAGAAUUGAUGACUGAAUUCUUUCUCUAUUGAUUGAUUAGCAGCCCCAUAGCAUGCUAAUGGUUUUCACAUUUUUCCCUCCACAGCAUGCAGAGGGUGUCUGUAGUGCAAAGAAGUUGAUGGCACGCAAAUAAGUUGCUUGUGUUGUUUUUAAUCUCAAUAAGAUAUAUAUCAUCGGCAUAUUGAAGUUUGUGAUUAUUCUAAGAAAAAAUAGGUGCUUUAUUAUUUGAAUUAUCGACAAAAUAAUUCCAUUUCAUUAUUUUGUUAGAUCCACUAUAUGUACAUGUUUGAAUCUUAUUCAUAAGUUUUGAUUUCACUCUCACGUUUCAUAUGAUGUCAAAUCAGAUAAAAAGAAAAAAAAAAUGAAAGCUAGCUUGUCGGUAGCAAUUACAUUAGCAUUUAGCAAAUGUUAUUUUGAGUACAAGCACAAUUUGGCUCAUUUUCCAGGACCAACAAUCUUCCAUUUAGAAAUGCAUUGACAAACAGGUUAAUUCGUAAAAUGAUGGUUUCUAGAUAGAAUCUUUCCAAGUUGCACUAACCUCCUUUCCUUAAAGCUAAACAUUAAUUAAUUUGCAUUUUAUUAAAUUUUUCUUUCUAUUCCUUUUACAUAAUGAUUGGUCACCAAUCUUGAUUCAAUUUUUUGAAUAGCAACUUACUGCUGGAUUAGUUAGAGAAUUAGAUAUCACUCAUAGUGUGUCAAUCGGAGUUGAGUUUCAUCAACAACUAAAGUUAUUUUUAUACAAUUAAUCUUUUCAUAUCACAUUAAUCUGUACAAAUUUAUUUAUGCAACCCCAGCUGAGGUUGGCAUGGAGACACACCGCACAAAAUAUUAUGAUGAGACAGUAAACAUGGAACAUAUGUUGUUGGAUUUAGAUUUGCUUGAUGAGAAGAGAAAGGCGACAAGAAGUCGAGCAACAAUUUACCAGUAAAAAGUGGCUAAGUUCUACAACAAGAAUGUCAGGCUACGACAAUUUCAGGAGGGGGACUUGGUGCUCCGUAAAGUCAACCAAUCAACCAAAAAGCCAGCUGAUGGAGUUUUAGGGCUGAGCUGGGAAGGACCAUACAAAGUACUACACUCAUUUGGUAAUGGCUCAUAUAAGUUAGGUUAUCCAGAUGGCAGGGUCGUCGGCAAGGCAUGGAAUGCAGAGCACCUACGAAAAUACUAUCAGUAGGCCAAUCCUAUUUAUGAUGUUCUUGUUUGUUUGUUUUCUUUAAAUAUGUUAUGAUAGUUUGUUUCUUUGUUAUUUUAAUUCGUUAUGUGUUCAAUUUUGUAAUUUCUGCUAUAUUAAUAUCAAUAAGGUUAUUGAAAAGUGUGACUCUAUUUCUUACCUACUUGUGACCGGUCUUAUUUGAGAUCGGCAUAUUUGGGCCUUAUUGAGGUCUAACAUAAAAAUUUUGAUAAAAUCUUAUUGAGAUUGAGAUCAACAUUUGGGCCUUGUUGAAGCCGAAUGUGAAAAUUUAUCCAAUCUUAUUGAGAUUGAGAUAGGCAUUUUGGCCUUAUUGAGGUCCAACGUGAAAAAAUUUAUCCAAUCUUAUUGAGAUUAAGAUCGGCAUAUUUGGGCCUUAUUGAGGUCCAACGUGAAAAACUUGAUCAAAUCUUAUUGAGAUUGAGAUCGAUAUUUAGGCCUUGUUGAGGUCGAACAUGAAAAAUUUAUCCAAGCUUAUUGAGAUUGAGAUCAACAUUUUGGCCUUGUUAAGGUCCAACGUGAAAACUUGUUGAGGUCGACCAUAGCCAUAACAUUUAAGUUCUACAAUUUUCAACUUGUUGAGGUCGGUCGUACCCAUAACAUUUAAGUUCUAUAAUUUUCAACUUGUUAAGGUCGGCCAUAGCCAUAACAUUUCAGUUCUACAAUUUUUAAUUUAUUGAGGUCGACACUUUAGAUUUGUAAGGCCUAUGGUUGGGGUCGACAGUUUAGUUUUGUGAGGUCUACAAUUGAGGUCGACACUUUUGCGUUGUGAGCUCUACAACUGGGUCGACAUUUUAGUUUUGUAAAGCCAACGGUUGAGGUCGACACUUGCUUUGUGAGCUCUAUGGUUGAGGUCGACAUUUUAGUUUUGUAAAGCCAACAGUUGAGGUCGACACUUGCUUUGUAAGCUUUACAUUUGAGGUUGACAUUUUAGUUUUGCAAAGCCUACGAUUGAGGUUGACACUUGCUUUGUGAGCUUUACGGCUGAGGUCGACAUUUUAGCUUGGUAGGAUCUAAAACUGAGGUCGACACUUUAGAUUUGUAAGGCCUACGGUUGAGGUCAAUAUUUUAGCUUGGUAAGAUUUAUGAUCGAGGUUGACACUUUUGCUUUGUGAGCUCUACAUUUGAGGUCGACAUUUUAGUUUUGUAAAGUCUACGGUUGAGGUCGACAUUUUAGUUUGGUAAGAUCUACAACUGAGGUCGACAUUUUAGUUUUGUUAAGCCUACGGUGAAGGUCGACACUUGCUUUGUGAGCUCUACAUUUGAGGUCGACAUUUUAGUUUUGCAAAGCCUACAGUUGAAGUCGACACUUGCUUUGUGAGCUCUACGGUUGAGGUCGACAUUUUAGCUUGGAAAGAUUUAUGGUCGAGGCUGACACUUUUGAGUUGUGAGCUCUAUGAUUGAGGUCAACAUUUUAGUUUUGUGAGGUUUACAAUUGAGGUUGACACUUUAGAUUUGUAAGGCCUACGGUUGAGGUCAACAUUUUAGCUUGGUAAGAUCCAUGGUUGAGGUUGACGAUUUUGCUUUGUAAGCUCUACGGUUGAGGUCGACAGUUUAGUUUCUUGAGGUCUACGAUUGAGGUCGACACUUUAGAUUUGUAAGGCCUACGGUGGAGGUCAACAUUUUAACCUUGUAAUAAUUUAUAAUGAAGUCAGCUUCGCGCUUCUUAAGGUCGACUUUCCAGCCUAGUUACAAUCGGCAAUAGCCUAAACAUCUUCAGUCUUGUUGUGGUCGACAUUAGCUUUGUUAAAAAUUAGCGUCUAGGCUAUGUAACAAUUAUCCGAAUACAAAAACAAAAUGAAAGCUCAACAAGAGUUAUCAGUUUGUAACACUACAAAAAGGAAAGCCUUAUAACAACUUUUCAAAUCUACUUAGGAAGCAUUCUCCUCGUCUUCAACAACUCUGCUAGUUAAAGAUGUCUCACCCUUAACUCUAAUCUCAUCACCCUUAAGAACUCGAUUUGCUUUUUGAUCCGUACUCGAUGACUUCUUUUUAGCCUUUUCUUUGCUCACAUAAGCAGUCAACAUCCAUUGAAAGUCCAUGUCCGGGUGUUUCUCUUGGAACAAUUCGAUACAUGUCUGAAUGACAUCCGCCUUCAGUUGCCUUUUCUCCAGUCGAAUGCAUUGAUCAACAUCAGACUUAACUUUUUCCAACUCAUAGCUAAGAUCGGCAAUCUUGGAGUCUUUGCCCGCAUUAGAUUUCUUUUCGGCUACUAAGUCUUCUGCCAAGUGAGUAUUUUCAUCGUUGCGAGCAUUGAGGUCACGCUUGAGCCGAUCUCGCUCGCUUGCCGUCUUUUCAUUCGUGAGGUUUUCUUUUAUCAAAGUGCGCUCGAGUUCUUCUAUUUUUGCAUGGCCUUUCAAUGACUUUGCAAACAUCUCAAUAUGCGCGGCCAUGAUCAAGGAUUGCUGGGAAAGAAAGCAUGACGGUUAAGAUGAAAAGUAUAAACAUCAAAGAAAUAAAGAUUGUGAAUUAAUACCCACCUCAGCUUGGUUUUGAGCAAGCGCUUCAAGGGCAUGAGUAGCUGACAAGUGGGAAAAAUUCUUGAGGGUAUCCUGGCUCACAAAUCAAGUAGCUAAGUUCACCAUGGGUAGUAAGUCUUCUUCUCUUCCUUGCUUUGACUCUAUGAUGUCACUGCUUUCAAGCAAGCUUCCUUUUGGACAUAUCGGGGAAGGGGUAGAUGGUAAAAUGCACAAGGGACGAGAGUCGCUAGCUCGGUCACUUUUGCUCUGAGGUAGCAUGUUGCAAGCAGAAACAGCGGGUUAUUUUUCUUUUUUCUCAUCAGCUUUGUUUUUAUAUGAUGCCUACCGUGGUUUCUUACUAUGUGGUUCGCCUUCCUCGUCUGAUAUCUCCUCGAUCAAGGCUUUUGCAAUUUCUGCAGGGGUACACUUGGUGGUAGACAUGUUUCCUGCAUUUAGCAAUCCUUUCUCAACUCUAGCACUCAGCUUGUCACUUAUAUUAAUUUCUUCUUCCAAGUCACUAUAGUAAAAACAUGUGUUAGAUUGUAUCCUUAUUUUGACCUCAACCUGAACAAAACUUGAAUUACCUGGUCUACUAAAAUGAGUGGGAACUUUAAACCAAUCCUUGGUCAGCUCUACACCCCUACCCUAAUUUCCACCCACCACGAAAUACUUAUUUUUCGAACCUCUACAUGAGCCUGGAAAGUCAAGUACUAUUCUUCUACUCGUUGAUUUUGACAUAAAAUAGUACCAUCCUUUGUGAUUGAUCCCAUGCUCAUUACAAAAAUAUAAGUGAGUAAACUCCUUAAAACACGGCUCGGUUCUAUUCUGCUCAGCCCAUACAACAUACAUACCACCUAAAACCUUCCAGCCAUUUGGGUCAAGUUGACUUGGACUGAAACCCACUCUCACCAACAUUCGAGCAAAAUAAGGUUGAAUGGGCAACCUAAAACCAAGUUCAAAAAUUUCCAGAUAAAUCGCAGUCUCUCUAUUACCCAAUUUACUUGCCACCUCAUCUUUGCCCAACAACUUAAGUGUAAUAUGGUCUGGAAUAAGAUAUUCCUUCCUCAACUCUUCAAUCUCUUUCUCUGUUGCAUCAAAGUUUAGUAUGUUCACGCCGUAUUCUUCAUGCUCAUCUCCCUCAUUUUCAAAUUGUGCACAACUCGAUUCCUCAUUCACCUUAUUUCCGCGUCUUAUUCCAUAUUACAAUUUAAUUCUACAUUAUCUUCCCUGACUUUUCCAUUAUCAUCUACACCCAAUGCAAUAUCACUGAGCCCAUCCAACAACUCCUUAUUCGCAUUUUACGAAUCGCUACAAAGUGACCCAUCUUCACUCCUUAAUUCUAUUACUGCCUAAUGUUACAUUUAACAAAACCUCAUUUCCAGCCAAUAUUAACACCCAGUAUGUAAACAGCAAAUUACAAGCAACCUUUCAUUGUCAACAUCACAUCCAACACAAUACAAAACACAGCAACAAGCAAAUGCGCUUGGGAUGAGACAACUCACCGAAUCUCCUUUAGCCAGAAUGGAUUCCAAUUUUGCUGAUGGUCAACAAUAGUAACAUCAUUCAACAUUGGUUCUACAUCAACAAAAUGCAACAUUAGCUAAGAGUAGUUUAAAAAAAAAGAAAAAGAGAAACACAGCAAAGAGAAGAAGAAGUUCGGGUUUCGACAAUAACAAAGAGAGAGGGAGAAUGCAAAAAAAAAAAGAGAGAGAGAGAGAAACACAACAAAGAGAAGAAGAGGUUGAGUUGUGACAAAAACAAAAAGAGAGGCGAGUUCUGUUUAUAUAAAAAAAAAAAGGCAUUUGGUUUCAAUACACAUAUAUAGAUAUGGUAUUUAUUAAAAAAAAAAGCACUCAAAAGAGAAGAUGGCGCGCGAGGUACUCACCAACAGGUUUGAUUAUGGCUCAGUAGCGUCGUUGCUCAAUUUGCCCAAAAAUUGCAUGACGACGACAGCUCAAUAUUUCACUUUUAUUGUGAAAAAGUGUGGAGGAUGAGGAAGAAAUGGAAGCCCAAACGAAACAGAAGCCAAAAGGUAUUGAGAAAAGACAAAAUGUAUGUUUUCAAUUUGCCUUUAUCAACUAUUCCACAAUUAUCAACUAUUCCCUCCCCCCAACCUGAAAAAGACAUUGUCCUCAAUGUUUUAAAAGGAAAGAGAAAGAGUGUAGAAGAAAUACAACAUAAACUCCAUAAGCAUUUUCCCUCUCUCCCUCAGAAUGCCCUCAGGAAAAUUUACAAAGCUCGUUGUGAACGAUUGCAUUUGUUAAUGAUCAAUGGCAUUCCUUCUGACAUUUGUUGGUUAAUUGAAGCAAAGGUCCGAUUAGCAGGUGAGUUUUUUGGUCAAUUUGUUUCUUACAUGCCUGGUUUUGGUAAAAGUACGUUUGCUAAGAAAAGGAGAGCUAAACGACUUGGCUCAAAAUGUCAUAACUGUGUAAGACUUGGUUGCAAACGACCAGAUUGUAAAUCUUUAGGAAUGGUUUCUGAUACUCGUGAAGAUAAAAUUAAAUUCGUUAAAGAUGGCAUGAGUAAAGAAUCGUUGGAUGAUAUCUUACGAUCUCUUGAGACGCAUCGAAGUGGAUUUGUGCAACGUGAGAUUUACAAUUUGUGGAUACUAUUCCAAAAACAAAGUGCACAGUUUAGUCUUGGGAAUCUGACUCAAAAAGACCCUGUUUGCCAGUUUAUAAGAAAACUGGAUAGGAAGCCGAUCCUCGACCCAUAGAGGGCGUUCAAGCCGUUACUGGACGUAAAACCAGAGGAAGAUGUGAGCCACAAUCACAACUACCAGUAAAUAUCCUUUCACUUCACUGUUAUUUUACUUUACUGUUAUUUUAUCAUUUGCAUUAUUGCAUUUAGCGAUGUGAUUUUGUAUUUAAUAAAUAUUUGGUUUUCUUUUACUGUUUGCUUUUUCUAAUCAUUACUUUCUUUUUACUGUUUGUUUUUGAAUUAUUGAGCCACGAGCUUUACUCGUCAUUUAACAAAUAUUGCCAACCCAUUUACAGCUGUUUCUCAUUAUUUAUGUUACCAAGAUCUUUAAAUAUGAGCUCAUUUUUCAAACACUCACAACUUGUUUUUGAAAAAUUAGUCCAAUGGCAUCAUCUUCGAGUAAACAAUUCAAAAACAUUUGUGUGCUUUCUGGGUUUCACUAUGGAAAGUACAAAGAGUUCGUUCAGGCAGCUGUAGAUCUUGGUCGUGUCAUAGCAGAGAGGAAACUGCAUCUUGUAUAUGGAGGAGGUGAACGAGGGUUAUCAAGACUUGUCUCAGAAGCUGUUUUUACCAAAGGAAGCCAAGUACUCGGCAUUAUCCCAAAACCCAUGAAACCGCUAGUGUGCAUGUCUGGCCCACCAAUUGGAGAAGAAUUAGUGGUAUCAAGUAUGCAAGAGAGAAUAUCUGAAAUGAUGAAUCAUGCUGAUGCUUUUAUUUUCUUGCCAGGAGAUCUUGCAACUUUUGAGGCACUAAUUACAUUUGCAUCUUGGGCCCACUUGAACAUUCAUCAAAAACCCAUCGGUUUGUUAAAUGUUAAUAAUUUUUAUGACGGCUUGCUAACUUUUAUUAACCAUGCAAUAAAGAAUCAUUUUGUUCCACAUUCUGUAAAAAAACUAUUUAUCUCUGCUUCUACUGCUAAUGAGUUACUUGAUCUUUUACAAGCUUAUACACCAGAGCCAGAUCCACAGACUGUUGCACUGAAUUGGUCGACUAAUGAUGGUAACGGUAACAGUAGCAGUAAUAAGAAGUGCGAUUUAGAUUUAACUCUCCGUUUGUAAAUAUUUUAUGUUGUAGUGUUCAUGUGAUGUCUUCUACACUCUUUCUCUUUCCUUUUAAAACAUUGAGGACUAUGUCUUUUUCAAGUUGGGGGGAGGGAAUAGUUGAUAAUUGUGGAAUGUCUUGGUCCUGGUUAUGUGUUUACAAGAAAAAAAAAACAUUUUUUUUUCUGUAAAGACUAACUUAGGACAAAUUUGAGUCGAAGAUGGCAGGAUAUAGAUAAUGUAGUUUCUCUAGAAACGCAUCUUCUUAAUCUUAAGAGUGUUGUUAAAAAAAAAAAUUGACUUUUUCUUCAUCUUUGUUAUCUACUUUUAAGCUUCUGCAUCAAGUUCAGGUGAGAUCUCCUCUUCUUCUUCUUUUAUUAUUCUCUUUUAUUUUUAUUUAUUUAUUUAUUUUUAUUUUUUGCAUAUCUGUAAAAUUAUAAAAUGUUAAGAUACUUUUUAGAUUAGGUUGUGGGGUGGGGAUAAUUGACGUAUGUUUUAAAUAUGUGUGUUGUAUUUCUCUUUUCUCUUUUCUUUUCUUUGUUAAAAAAAAACCAAAAAAAAAAUUGUUUUUUGUCUAGGAUGGCCGUGUAAAGAGUCACGACUUUUGAGACACAUCCUAAUAGUCUUGUUGUAUUAUAUUUUGAUUUUGAGAUUCAUAGUAAGUUGUUUUUGUUCCCUUUUCUUUGAAUUACUCAAAUUUGUGAACUCUCCACUUAGUUAUUAAGUUAUUUAAUUGUUUACUCAUUUAACAGGUAUUAUUGAAUCAUUCUUCACACACACAUUAUGACACAUACUAGUGGGUUGUAAGUUAAAAUUUUACAGCAUUUAGUUCUUUUGAUUUAUUAGGAAUAGUAUCUAAGGUGGUAGAAAGUGUAUAUUUCUAAAAAAAAAAAUUAAAAAAAAGAAAAAAAAUGUUUUUAAUUUUGUUAUAUCUAGAAACCCGAGUAAUUAAGUCCAUAGGGGUGCUUCAACACCUAGUGCCCUAAGGUCAACUGGUCUGGGAGUCACUGGCCUAAAGCUCGCUACAUGGGUAAUAGAUAUAUUGUUUGUUUAUUAGAAACCCGAGUAAUUAAGUCCGUAGGGGUGCUUCAACACCUAGUGCCCUAAGGCCAACUGGUUUGGGAGUCACUAACCUAAAGCUCGCUAAACGGGUUAGAAAUGUAAUAUAUAAAAAAAAAAGUGUGAAUAAUCUAUUGCCUAAAGAUAUAAUUUCUAAUGAAUUUUAGAACGAAAAUGUUGUUUUUCUUUUAAUGAAGCCCCAUAAGUAUUGUGUUAAUUACUUGAGCACAAAAGAAGGUUUGAUGAUAUUCUGGAUAAUGAGUGAACAUCAAUGUGGUGAAGGAAUUUGGGAGAGUUCAUUUAUUUGGUAAUUUAGAGGAUAGAUGAACAACUAUUAACUUGCAUGUGAAUUUUAUAAAUCUUAAUAUAACGCUUUAAUUGCUAGAGGGCUAGCAAUAAGCUGGUUGGGGGGUGUGAUUAGUAUUAAAAAUUGUUUAAUUAUCAAGCGAUAAUAUGUUAUUUUAUGCUUAUAUUAUAAUUUAUAUUUGUGUUUAUGUAAUAUAUUAUGAAUUAUUAAUUAUGUUUUAAAUAUAUUUAAUUUUGUGUAUUUUUAUGUGUUUAUUAGGAAAAUUAUUAAUUUCACGUACUUCGAGGCUCCAAACAAAUAAACAGAGGUCAAAUUUGGAUUCCAGAGGUCCGAAAACCUUAAGAUCAGUCAAGAUUGGCUUAAAAUUGGGCUUGUGUAAAAAAAAUUGACUUUUCCUGUUGACCGAGCACUGAUUGGAUGAUGAAAUGAGCUUACAAUAGAUAUGAGUGCAUGGGAUAACUGGCAAUCUUGACUAAAUCUCAACCGUUCAUGAUUCAAUGGCCAUGAUUGUGCCACGUGGCAAUGGUUGGUGAAGCAAGUUGGAGGAUCCGAAUCUUUGUAUUCGGGUCGACCCGAUCCACCCAUUAACCUGUCAAAUCUCAACCGUUCUUUGGGCAAAUCGGACGAGUCAAAUGAUGCCAUGUGUGAUGUUGACUUUUGAAGUUUGACCAGCCAUUGGAUCUUGAUCUAAGGGUUGUGAGGAGCACAUGCAUGAAGCCUAUGAUGGACCGCAAAGCACUGGAUUAUGAAUUUAUUUUUCUAUAAAUAGGGCCUCAUUUUUAUGUUUUAAUCAUCUCUCUACAACUCUCUUCUUCUCAAAUUCUCUCCAUCUCCUUGUAAUCUUGAUUUCCAGGUGUGUUUUUAAUAUUUUGUAUAAUUAUUUUCAUUAAUAAAAUUAGUUUUAUUUCCAAUUUUAGUUGUUUUUAUUUCUUUUAAUUAUAAGUAAUUCAAUUUUACUACUUCUUUUUAUUUUAAUUAUGCUUAACUAAAUAAUAUUAGUUAGGGGAAGGUGAAACUCUUAAGAAAUAAAUAUGAUUUAAUCAAAUUCUAUGUUUAAUUUUAUAGAUUAAAUUAUUUUCUAUUUAAUUUUAUACAUGUUUUAUAUUUUGAAAAUUUGAUUUAUUGUAGACAAACAAAUGAAUUUGGCACAAUAAAUUCUUAAGAUCUUAAUAUAAGGCUUGGUGAAAUGGUAUUUUGACUUAUUGUAGACAAAUUAAAUUUUGGCACAAUAAAUACUUAAUCCAUCAUAAAUUUAAAGGGAAAAUAAUAAUAAUUUGUAUAAUUAAUCUGUUUCCAAUACCGUUCAUAUCUUCUCAGUAUUGAAAAUUAGGGGACUGGUGUUCGGUUUGUAAGAAUUUUUCUAUUUUUCAUUAAUUAGUUUCUAACAUCGAAAAUAGCUUCCCGAUGUUGAAAACUAGGGGACUGGUGUUCGAGUUGGAUUUUUCUGAUAACCUCUAGAAAGAGUCAACAUUGUUCUGGUUGGAUUUUUCUAGUAAUGUUUAGAAAUAUAGUCGACCCCAAUCUACUCAGAACUCAUUGUCGUCGAGCUAACCUCGUAAAUAUAACUUGGAGCCUAAUUUGGCGGCCUGAUUUACAAGUACGACCUGAGAUUUAUGUAAAUGACCUAAUUUAAGAAUACAACCUUAAGCCUAUAUGAGCGACCAGGAAAUUCACCAGUCCGACCUUGAAAUUUAUUUGUCCGACCCGAGAAUUAGCUUGACAUAGAAAGCUAUCGGUUGAGAUAACAUGGCCUAGUUUCUAGGAAAGUUGUGAGCCACGAUCAAUUUAAACUAUUUCUAAUUGAUGACCACGUGCAACUGCUGAAGAAAGUGGGCAGAAGUUAAGGUGGUAACCACCCACGACCAAGGGCCUAUUUAAGCUGAAAAGGGCAACUGAGGAAGGGGUUAGAAAAAUGAACCAAAAUUUCUAUAAGUCACCUAUCUAAAAAUCUUAGGGUUCCCGAUAAUAUUUUUAGUUUUUUCUACCGAAAAAAUUCGUUAAUUUUCACUUUUCACAAUUCUCCCUCCUCGUUUACCUUUUUCUUAUACACAAUUUCUGACUUAAGAAUCAGAGAGUUUACGUCAGGACCCCACCGGCGUAUCCUAAUCGUGUUUUCUGGUUGUCAGGUAUAUAAAGCUGGGUUCAGACCGACGUUUGAGCUUGGAUUCGUGCUGUAAUUCCCCAAAAGAAAACAAAUUCAACUGUUGAGGUUGUUUUUCGGCAUCAACAACGAACAUCAUACUUGUCACACUCUUGGCCUAUAAAUCCUUAGAUUCACAAGUCUUAUAUCACUUGAACGAAGAUGCUAGUGGUGUGCCUCCAUGGAGCUCUGACUCAAUAGUUUUCAAGUAAUUUUAUUUAGCUAACCACCUAAGUUUGAAUCGUGGUGAGGAAAGAAGAUAAAAAUUAAUUUGGUCUUUGCACCUCACUACCUUUAAAAGAGUUCAAACUUCAGACUAGGUUUUGAAUUUUAAUUAUUUUAAAUUGAAAUGCUAAGUCCAUAUAUUAUAUAUGUGAGUUUUUUUUUUUUUUUUGCCUAAUGUUGAAUUAAACUAUAUAUUUAUGAAAUUCUUGAGAUACAUGGAUUUCAGGUUUUAAUAGAAUCAUAUGUACUAGCUAUAUAUACAUCUUAAUAAAUGUUUGCCAGACCUUUAUUUGUACUAAAAUUAUACAUAUCUAGACUCCCAUUACACUUUAGAUUGUAAGAAUUUAAAUAAUUUUUUUUUUCGUAGAAGUCGUUUGGAAUUCUAAGAUCGGAAGUCAAAUUUCAAUAACGAUUUUUAUUUAAAUAUAUAUAUAUAUAUAUAUAUAUAUAUAUAGGGAGAGAGAUUCUUGAGUGCAUAUACUUAACAUUAUAUAGUGUUAUAGCGAAUUUACACAAAAUUUGCAUAUCGACACUUGAGAAUUUCUAAAUAUCAAAGUUUUCAAAUGCAUAAGUCUAAACAUGGAUUUAGUACGGAUUCACUACAAAAUCAUAUGAUGUUAAAAUGAAUUUACAAUUGACUACAAUACCACAUGAUGUUAUAGAAAAUUCACACCAAAUUUGUAUUAUAUAAAGAGAGAGAUCUUGCUUUGCUUUAUAAUUGAAUAUAGGGUGAUGAUAUUCCCACCCCUCAAAUUUUGUAAACCUACCUCACUUUAAAAAAUUAAACCAUAAAAAAUUCACAUUAUUUUUGACGAUUUCAAAUUAUUAAGAAUAAAAUUAAGCAAUUGACUAAUUAAAUCCUCAUUAAAUAAUUAAAAUACAUUUAUGAUAUGAUAUCUCAAAACAUUUAUGCUAUUUUUCUCAUGAAAUUGACUAAUUAGAAGAAGGAUUUGAUUGAUUAACAGUUUAAAAUUUUAUUUAUUUUAAAUUGAAAAAAUGUGAAUUAUUUUUUAAAUAAUUCUUUGAAAUGAUUUAAAUGCGGCACGUGUCCCAUCAAGUUAAAACCUGAGAAGUUGAUUUAAAUUUUAUUUUGGAACAGAAACCGAGUAGCGAGGCCUCGUUGGUCAGGAAAUUCCGAGGUAAGUUAAUCAACAGUUCCACUAAUUAUUUUUAUUUUCUUCCAAAGUUUAUUUAAUUAGACCAAUUUCUGGCUUCCUACUUAUAUUGCAUAUCCAAUUUAGGGGUUGAUUUUUGGAGAUGGACUGAAACAUUAAUAAGCUCAGAGAAAAAAAAAAAAGAAAAAUAGAUUGAGAUUGAAAGUCAUUAUUAACCAACAUACAGAAUACAUAUGCAAUUAAUUCAAAUUUCUAAAAUUACUGUAAUUGUUGGCAAUGUGCUUUUUUGUUUUGGUUUUUUUUGGGGGGGGGGGGUUUCGGAAAUUUGCAUGCAUGCCUUAAUUGAGUUUUAUCACUUUAAAUCCUAAUUACUAAUGUUUUUUCUGUUAACGGUUGAAAAUAAGAUAAGAAGAGAGAAGGUGAACUUGAAGAAGUAUAAGAAGAAAAGACAUGUACUGAUGUUGAUGUGUUUAUGUGAAUAGAGAAAUGGAAUCUUUGUCCAAGUUUUUCCCUUGAUGUUCUAAAGUUUGCAUAUAUAUGUUUCAAGAAACAAAUGGAAAUUAAAUAGUACAUAAAGGUGAACUCACAUUGUCAACUAAAGGUUACACUACCAUUUGCCCAAUGGUUCCAUUACUAUUAUCAUUUUCUUUAUUCACAGAAAUAUCAUCGGCCUCAAAUUCAUCAGUAUAAGCAGAGGGACAAGGACAAGGACAAGGUGAGUCUAUUGUAUGACAACAACAAGUCUACAAUUUAGUUUUAUUUCUGCUGCUGCACUGAGGAAUCACUAGCAUCAACCACCUACUUUAUUACCGUUGCUUCGUUUUUCUCAUGAAGACAGUUGACUUGAUGAAAUAACACUUCUAAUGAGGCUGCCGUAGAGAAAGCAUAUAUGUUAAUCACCUGUUGUAAUCUCAUGCCAAAAUCAUUUCAGUUUCUGCUCAUACAAUUAGUUACUUCAACCUUUGUCAUAUGUAUUCUCCACUACUUUAAGAUACUUAGAUAGUGAAUGUGUCUAAAUUCCAACUCAAAAGAUUCAUUUGAGGAAAAGUUCUUCAGAUGGUCAUGUAGAGUUCUAAUUUAUCUCAGCGUCAUACUCUAAAUACUUGAAAACUACAUGUCAAUCAUCAAUGUUCAUCUUUUGUUGACAAUCUCAACGAUGUGUUUGGGAAAAAAUUAUCACAAUUAUGUUUAGUCCAUUUAUAAGACAAUGUGUCAUGUGAUCCAUUAGUCUAUUGAAAGGUUGCAAUCAAAUGAGUUCAUGUCCAGAUUGUGAAGUUGGUUAAUUUCAACAUAAUAGCAAUGAUUGUAUCCAUUGCUUUUAUCAAGUUGCUAUGUUAUUGUUUUUUUAAUAAGUGGCAGACAUGACUUUCUAUUUUUCCACAGCUUAAAUUGUUAAAUAAUUGAUAAUGCUCUUUCGCUUACUCUGUUCUUUUCUUUUUAGACAAGCUUUAUUGCUUUCGCCCUUUCUUUCUUGAGAGUGGAUGUAUAAAACAAAUUGGCCUUGACUGAUACUUGAUGAUGUUGUAAUUAUUUCUCCCUGCUUUAUUCUUCUUACAACAUAUGGAAGACAGAGUACUGUAAGAUUCAUUUCCCGUACUGCUCUGCCUUGAUCUGUUCUAAUUUGAGAGUCAGCAAUCUUGAUUUAACUUCUUGGAUGGAGUACUAGCUAAGAGAAGGGAGGUAUGGGAGCCAGCACUAAUUUUUCAAUGAGGAUAUAUGGGCAUCACCUUCAGACUAUUUUCGGAGAGGCUGAGAAGGGUGUUAGCUGGCCAAGAAGUCACAUUGCCUGAUGCUGCAAAAGAACCUAUUCAGAACCUUCAUGCCGAGGUUGAAAUCGUUACUCCUUGGCUGAGGGACUAUGAAUAUGAUAUGUCCUGGCUUCUGCUGCAAAAAAUAGGAGAAGAUGAAGUUGACAACCCAGACCUUGGGCGGAAAUCAAUUGCUUUACCUAUGAAUCUGAAAAGGUCAUUAACACAUUCUCAACAGCAUCACUCAACAAAAGAGUCAAAGCAGGCGCAACAAGGACAUUUGUGAUGCUCUGCUAGGACUCUAGAGCAGAAUCAAUGAUAUAAAACAGCGGAUGCAACAACUUCCGUACAUCGAUUCUGGAAUCAUUGAUGAUUUCAAAAAUAUUGAAGAUGAAGCUGGUUAUUUUCCUGCAUCUUUAUCUUCUAAGAAUAGCGGCAUGGUGGGUCUAGAAGACAGAAUGGAGAAGUUGUUAGAUAUUUUGAAAGAGGGACCACCUCAGCUUUCAGUGGUGACCAUCUUGAUAGCAUUGGGUUGGACAAGGUGGCUUUUGCUGCAGAGGCUUACAGCAGCAGUGAUGUGAAGCAUUAUUUUAAUUGUCACGCUUGGGUUCCAGAGCCUUACAACUAUGAUGCUGAUGAUGACCAAAUAUUAGAUAUGAUUAUGAAGUUUCUAAUGCCUUCAUCUAGGUUGAGUAUAAUAAAGGAUAAAAAUUAUGAAAUGAAAAAAAAAAUUCAACAAUAUCUAAUGAUCAAGCGGUAUUUGAUUGUGGUUGAUGAUGUGUGGCGCAUUGAAGUGUGGGAUGUUAUUCGAGAAAUUGUUCCGGAUAAUCAGAAUGGAUGUGGAGUACUAAUAACACUCAUUGAAAUUGAUAUCGUCAUCUCAUUUCAGUUCAAAAGCGGACAGAAUAUUUGGCUUGAUUUAGUGCCCACUAAGAGGACCAUUGAGAGUUGUUUACCUUUUGGAAGUACAUGGAACAACUAAUGAAUAGAGUCUUUGUUGAUGCAAAGAAGAGAAGCGUUGGAGGCAGAAUCAACGCAUGCCCUAUUCGUAGUCGUUGCUGGCCUUCAUUGUUGCAAAUGGCUCUCAAAGUGGAAUUUAUCUUUUCAUCCUAUCCUAGAUCAAAAAGGUAAAUCGCGAAAAAAAUGUCAAACAUGUCUACGUUUUUUAAAAACAGAGUGAUUUUGCUUACUUAGAUGAUUGUGACUCGUACCCGCAUUCUUUGUUGUACUUCAAAAAGCGACCACCUUGACCCCAUAGAUUGGGUGAAAAUCGUUUUGAGUAAUGGACUUGGGAUCUCUUGUUCUCAGCCAAUUUCCAUCCAAAAUUGAAACUUUAUUUCUUUUGAUAUGAAGCUGAACAUCCCUUCCCUCAAAAGCCUAGCUUCAUCAUUAUUAAGAAAUCUCUGAAUCUCUACACCAUAGCCAUUCCCUUUAGCUACAUAAAUCAUACAGCAGAUGAAUUUUGGAAGAUGAACAAACUCAGGCAUCUAAAUUUUGGCUCAAUCAUACUUCCUGCACAUCCAGGAAAAUAUUGCAGCUCUCUGGAAAAUCUCAAUUUCAUUACAGCCAUGCAUCCUUGCUGUUGUACUGAAGAUAUAUUGAACAUACUACCUAAUCCUCAAAAUCUCUGGAUAGGAGGAGAUUUAUAUUUUUAUCAAUUUUUGAUGUCCCAAAGUCUUUGCAGAUUCAGAUGCCUCAAGUCAUUGAAGAUGGUGAAUGAAAGCAAGAUGCCAAGGCUCUUCAAAAUUGUCCGUGCCAAAUACCUACUUCCUCAAAGUCUAAUCCACUUGAGUUUCUCUAAUAUUGAACAAAUGGAUGAUCCCAUGCCUGCACUAGAAAAGUUGCCACUUCUUCAAGUGCUCAAACUGAAGCAAAACACAUAUUCAGUUAGAUAGCUGACUUGUGGGUCUGAUGGUUUCCCAAAGCUCAAGAUAGUGCACCUGAAUUCAAUGCCAUGGCUAGAGGAGUGGACUAUGAGGCUUGGAGCCAUGCCAAAACUGCAAUGCUUGAUUCUCAAUUCUUGUGCUAACUGGAAAAAGAUUCCCGAACAGCUCUGGUGCAUAAAGAGCUUAAACAAAUUCGAGUGUUGGUGGCCUCAGCCGGAGCUGAGACAAAAGCUACGGGACUUCGAGGAUAAGGUGCAGUAUGACAAUCAAGUAUAUCCUUAUGGAAUUUGAUUUGCAUGGAUUUAAUUAGAUGUAAGUUUUUCAUUUUAUGUAAUAUCAUCAACCUUUAAUUAUUAAUAUAAUUUCAUACAUUUGUUUUUUCUUCUCCUCAAUAUAUUUGAUAGCACGCAGCUUCCUAAGGCUAUAAAGUGUUUUCUAAUUGUAGUUGCUUCUAAUUUUUGUCUCAACAUUAGACAUGAAGUGUUCUUCACAGUUCCUGUUGCUGACCCCGACCAUUUUCCCUUAAUUAUUUUUAGAAGAGGAAGAACCCUUGUUUAUUGAUUGUUGAACAGUCAGGAAAAACUAUAAUUUCAUAUCUUAAAUUACUUGCGCAGGUGAAAUCAGAGCGGGAAAUAUAUCAACUGUAGUGCGGCAAAAGUUUCAAUUUCAACCAGAAUCCGGCCUUGAUCCUUUCAGUAUUCACUUCUGUUGUCUACACAUUAUUAAGUCCUCAAGAUUAAUACAGGACAUUGUUGGGUUUCUUUGUUUUCAAGGAUCUGCUACAAGCAAUAAUGUCAAGUUUUUGGAUUCACUGUGUAUAUUCUAUUCAUGUGUCUUCAUUCUUGUAAUGUGCUUGAAACUCCAACUUAGUGUGGACGUGUGUGGUUUGGUUGUACCAUGUGUAAUACAUGUUGAUUGUCAUAAUUGUCUUAAGGGAAUUCUGCAUCACUUCCAUCAGAAGAAAAGUUUGGAUGUAGGCACCAUUGCUGCUGAAUCUACUAUUGAUUUGCUCUAUGUUUUCUAUUUUUUUUAAUUCAAUUUUGGGGAUUGGGUUUUUAGCAUUAAGUGUUGAUACAUCAGAGGACUAGAUAAAAUAAAUAGAAACUGGGGCAGAUUGCCUAAUCUUCAGAAUCUCCAAUUUUAUGGAGAUUUAAGGCCUUAUCAUUCAUAAAUAACUUGAAUGCUAGAUUGUUAUUAUCUUAGAUUCUCUAAAUAAUAAUCCGAAUAAGAAUGUAGGAAAAAUAUUGAUUACAAAUGCUUGUUUUGAACAAAUACUACCUAUUAUUUUAAAUUUUGGACAUAGAAAUUAUAAAUAGUAUUAGCAUGUGAAUUUUAAGGUAUUAGCUGAUUCUGUCCAAAAUUUAGUCGUUGGUUUUUGCUGAAAAAAUGAAUGUGUAUAAUUUUUUUUCCCUUUUAUUUUCUGUUAUACAUUGAUUCCCCUGCUUCUAGCUGAUUCUGUUCUCCUUUAUAACGAGAAAGAAGUUAUUUUUUGUGCUCUUAUAUAUACAUGUUAAGCUUGGAUAAGUGUGGUUUGGUUUGUUUUAAUAAUAUGAUUGUGUGGUGUCAUCUGUAAUACUUUUUAAGGGUGCAAUCAAAUGAGUUUAUACCUUAUAGUGAAUUUGGUUAAUUUCAAGAUAUCAUUUUUUGGGAUCUUCGACUUUGGUUGCUAAUACAAAAUUCCUCAAAUCUUGAUUGGAAUUUGGGAAUCUGUCCUAAAUGAUACAAGAUUUCAUAAAAAAAUUUCAUUCUGAUUUAUUAUUCGAGUUGAGAUUCAAGAUCUAAUUUUCUUCCAACUUAAUAUUCAAGACGGGAUUUGAGACGUCUGAAAAUCUCACUUGAGAUCCCUUAGGCGAUCAAAUGAGUUCAUAUCCUUAUAAUGAAUUUGGUUAAUUUCAAGAUACCCUUUUCUGGAAUCAUCCGCUCUAACUGCUAAUACGUGAACCUAGGCUGGCAAAAUUAUCCAGAUACCAAUCGAGAUAGAAACCCUACACAAGAUUUGUUACAAGUUUCUUAUCCCAAUUUUGAAUGUGGGUUAGGAUUUGAGACCCAUUUUACACCGAUUCAUAAAUUUCUUUAUUUAGACAAUAACUUAUGACAGAUUUUUAGUUCAAAGCUCACGGAGUAAAGGUUGAGUUAUUGGUGCAAUCAUCCGCAAUUUUAUGCAAGCAUGCAACAUAUUAAACAAGAGAAUAUUUAAUUAUUUUUUGGGUUCUGUUAUUACAAUAAUGAUUUUGAAGAUAUUAGUGGGAGAAAAUUCAUUUUUUUAAAUCAUUUUCAAGCUUGAGAAAAAGUUUUCUUGCUGGCAUACACUGUCCUUUAUCUAUAUUCCAGUCUUCCAUUAUGUUAAAAAAAAACAAAUAUGAAAAUAAAAAGAAAAUAGGACAUCAUCAAGUAUCAAUCAAAGAUCAAUUUGUUUUAUCCACUUUCAGGAAAGAAAAGGUAAAAACAAUCCCGCUGGGGACCAUAAAGUUGGUGUUUUUUUUGAGGGUUCGGCAUCAUGUUUGCCUUCAUUUAGCAAAGGAUAUAUGAAAAAGAGAUGAAUAUUGCACUUUAGAUUUGAAUAAUUCCAAUUGGAUUUUGAAUUAAUUAGAUUAGGAAAAAAAAAUCAUUCGAAUCCAACCUGAAUCUCAAAUAUAAUCAAUUCGAUUCAAAAUAAAUUGAUAUUUCAGAUGAAUUUGGUUUUAGAUUGUUUCGUAUUUAAAUGAAAUUUUAAAUUCAAAUAGUAUUUUAAACUCGGAUUGAAUUCGGAUUUAGGUCUUUUUGAUAAUUUUUACAAAAAAAUCAUGAACUCUGUAUAUAUAUGUAGAGUAGUGCAAUCCAAUCGGAUUGUUUAGAUUAAAACAUCCAAAUUCAAAUCAGAUCUAUUCGAAUCCAAUCCAAUGCACACCUUUAGCCCUAUUGGAAUGAUCAUCUAACCAUUCAAACUAUAACGUAUUAUGUUGUAGUCUGUAGAGCGCUUGAAAAGAAAAUCUCUAAACAAUAGCGACUAUUAUGCAUUUGAUGCAUCAAUGAAUCAAAUUCUAAGGUGAUGCUUUUUCUCUCUAGACAAGCUUUAUGGUCCCGGCGGAAUUAUUUUUAAUCUUUCAGUCUUUUGAGAGGGCUAAAAAGAAACUAGUCUUGAUAGCCUAUUUUACUUUCUUCAUACAUAUAUAUAUAUAUAUAUAUAUAACACAAAUUAUAAGACACCCUUUUAUCUUCUUGCAUAAAAAAUAUUUUAUAUACACGUACAUUAUACCUCAGGUUUUGUGCAGAAAAUCAUUAUUGUACAUCAAUAAUUUCUCAAUAUAAUUCCUCUUAUCAAUCAGUAUCCCCACGGCACCUGCAGCAUCUAGGUUUAAGAUUCAUUUUCCAGUACUGCUCUGCCUUGAUCUGUUCUACUUUGACAGCCACCUGAACUUGAUUCAACUUCUUGAGAGAAGGAGGUAUUGGUGCCAUCCUCAGUUGCUUAUGUUGACUAAUGUUGAAGUAAAAGGAGAGCUUUUAACCAUUUUUUUUAUAAUUGUUUUCUUUGCAUGCUAGGGCUGCUGGCUACUGACUACCGAGAGUGAAGGAGAUAUGGACAUCAACCUUGGACUAUUUUCAGAGAGACUAAGAAGGGUGCUAGCUGGUGAAGAAUUCACGGUGCCCGAUGCUGCUGAACAACCUAUUUAGAACCUUUACACUGAGACUGAAAUCGUUGCUUCUUGGUUGAGGGACUCUAGAUACAACACUGCUUGGUUUAUGUAGCAAGUCAAUGCAGAAGAGGGUCAAACUCUUGCAGAAUUAGAAGAUUUUAAGGCUAUCAUUGACAAAAUUCGUUGCUUUUCAUACAUAUCUGAGAAUGUGAUUGACACAUUUGCUAUCAGUAUCACUCAACAGAAGAGUCAAAGCGGAUGCAGCAAGGACAUUUGUGAUGCUCUGCUAGGACUCCAAAGCAAAAUCAUUGAUAUAAAACAACGGAUGCAGCAAGUUCAGCACAUCCACUCCAGAAUCGUUGAUGAGCUCAAAUCGUUUGAAGCAAAAGCUAGUAAUUUUCCUGCAUCCUCAUCUUUUAAGAAUAGGGACACGGUGGGUCUAGAUAAUAGAAUGGAGGAGUUAUUAGAUCUACUAAUAGAGGGACCGCCUCAACUUUCGGUAGUGGCUGUUGGAAAAUUUUCAAAAUAAAUGUGUCUUAUGGUAAAGACAUGUCCUAUUAAUUGUGCCUUAUAGAAAAGGUACCUUUCACUAAAGGCAUGUCUAAUUAAAUGAUGUCUUGUUGUAAGGACAUGUCCAUUUAAUUGUGUCUUGUAGAAAAUGUAUCUUUUUACUAAAUGAUAUAACUUUUCAUGGCAACAUUUCACUUAGAGAUGCAUCAUUUCAUGGUGACAUUUCAUUUGAAAUGGUGAUGAUUCAAUUUGGACCAUUGAUUAAAAUCAAAUCUAGAUCCAAUGGCCAUGAAUGAAGGGGUAUCAUGAAAUAUGACAACCCAAAUGAGGGGGCACAAGUAUAUCUAUAAAUAGGGGUCAUGUUUAAGCCAUUUAGACAUGAAAUUAAUGAUCCUACACCACUUUUUUCUUAGCAUUCCUUUCUAGUACGAAUUUCAACACAAAACACCCAUUUCUUUUGUGCAUUCACAUUCCAAUAUAUUGUUUUCUGCAGGAACAAUAUAUUGUUUCUUGGCAGGCUUGUAACAUUCAAGAGUAUUCUGGUUUGCUUUCAUCGAUGCACAACACAAGCAAACAAACAAGUGCUUCAUUGUAUCCUGGAGGCGUAUUUGCUUAACCCAUGUGCAUUACUCAAUCGGUGGGGGCAAAUAACAUCUUAAGGAAAGUGACAUUUGUAACGCGCCUUGAAGUACACAAAAUUUCUGCAGUUUACUUAUUACUAUUAUUUUUCUUCUUACAUAAGUUGUAAACACAUUACUUUAUGUAAUAAAGUUCCGUCAUUAUUGUUACAUUUGCCAUUCCCCACAAGUUCAACCUCCAACAGUGGCCGUACUUGAUAGCAUUGGAUUGGACAAGAUGGCUUUCGCCGCAGAGGCUUAUAGCAGCAACUAUGUGAAGCAUUAUUUUGAUUGUCACGCUUGGGUUGAAGAGUCUUUACCAUAUGAUGCUGACCAAAUAUUGUACGACAUUAUUAAGUUUGUGAUGCCUUCAAGCAGGUUGAGUGAAAUUAUGGAAGAAAGUUCGGAAAUGAAAAAAAUUAUUCUUCAUGAAUAUCUAAUGACCAAGCGUUAUUUGAUUGUGCUUGAUAAUGUGUGGAGAAUAUCAGUAUGGGAUGUUAUUUGAGAAAUACUUCCCGAUAAUCAGAAUGGAAGUAAAGUAUUGAUAACACUCAGUCGAAUUGAGAUCGUCGCCUCAUUUCAGUUCGAAAAUGGAGAGAACAUUGGGCUUGAUUUUGUGCCCACUGGAGGACCAUUGAGAGUUACAUACCAAGGAUGGCCUUUCCGCAUCUUAUAUCAUGAAAGCAUCUCACUGAAAGAGAAUAUAGAGGAAGCCCUUGAUGAACCCCUGGGGCUUCAAGUCGUUGCAUAUUGUAUGUUACCUUUUUACUUGAAACUUUGUUGUCUCUACUUAUCUGUGUUUCCCGUACACUUUGAGAUAUCCACCAAGCAAUUAUAUCAGUCGUGGAUAGCCGAAGGUUUCAUUACAGACAACAAUGAGGCAACUGCCGAGAAAUACUUAGAACAACUAAUCAAUGGAGGCUUUGUUAUCCUCAUUGAAGAAGCCAAGGGAUUAGUAUUUAUAUAUAAACACUUAACCAUGCAUGAACAAGAAUUUUAAGGAUAAAGACUCUCUCCACACGAGCGUACGUGGGGCGAGGGGGACAAAUCCAUGACCAAUUUGGUUGAACUUGUGUGCGCCCUUAAAUGUCAGCCCAAGCACCGAUGGAACGUGUUUUAUUUCCUUUUAAAUUUGUUCUAACAGUUUCACACCUUUUGAAUUCAGAAGAUUUGUAAUAGCUUCGCAAUUAUUUUGGGCUGGUAUGCAAUUCAAUUUUUGAAUUGAAUUGUUUAAAAUUCAAUGGCUAUUACAGCAAUUAAAUUGCAUAUAUUGAAUUCUGAAAUUCAAUUUUUAUGUUAUUGUUACGUACCCACAUGAGUAUAAAAAGGCACAUUCCUCUUCUGUUUUUACACACAUUGAAACUAGCACACAGAGCACUUACAAUUUUUCUUUCCUCCUUUCGUCUUGUUUUCUGAUUGAGUUUACCGCUGUUGUGGUUCGCCGAAAUUAUCUGUCUGUGCUUGACAGAAAAUUUGUGCCCGUUGUAUCCUGAGAAACAGUUACCAGCAAACUUAAAGCACUUCAGUAGGUAGUAAAUCUGUUUUAAGGACACUGUAUUACAGGCCUCAAGUUUAUUUUCUUCAGUUGCUAUUUUUCUUUUCCUGUUGUUUAUAAGUUGCUGUUUUGCUGUAGUCAAAUUAGCUACUAGUUUAUUUGUUUAACUCACUGUGAUUAUUUUUUAUAACAUUGAAAUCGUCGCCUCAUUUCAGUUCGAAAAUGGAGAGAACAUUGGGCUUGAUUUGUGCCCACUGGAGGACCAUUGAGAGUUACAUACCAAGGAUGGCCUUUCCACAUCUUAUAUCAUGGAAGCAUCUCACUGAAAGAAAAUAUAGAGGAAGCACUUGAUGAACCCCGAGGGCUUCAAGUCGUUGCAUAUUGUAUGUUACCUUUUUACUUGAAACUUUGUUGUCUCUACUUAUCUGUGUUUCUCGUACACUUUGAGAUAUCCACCAAGCAAUCAUAUCAGUUGUGGAUAGCUGAAGGUUUCAUUCCAAACAACAAUGAGGCAACUGCUGAGAGAUACUUAGAACAGCUAAUCAAUGGAGGCUUUGUUGAUGCAGGGAAGAGAGGUGACAGAGGCAGAAUCAACACAUGCUCUAUUCCUGGGCAUUGCAGUCCUGCGUUGUUGACUGUGGCUUUCGAGGGGGAAUUUUUCAUUUCCCCAAUCAUGGAUCAGGAAGUUAAAUUAUGGGAAAAUGUGAAACGCUUCACCGCUCAUGGAAAUUUGAAUGAUUUUUCAUUUUUAGAUCAUUUUGACUCGUUCCUCCAUUCCUUGUUGCACCUCACUUUAGGAAGCCACUACCUUGACUCCAAUUAUUGCGAGAAAAUCUAUAAAAUGUUCAAAUUUCUCAGAGUAUUGGACUUGGGAUCUCUUGUUCUCAUUCGAUAUCCUUCCGAAAUCGAAUAUGUAUUUCUUUUGAGAUAUUUGAACUUGAAUAUCCCUUCCCUGAAAAGCCUGCCUUCAUCGUUAUUAAACAGUCUUUUGAACUUGUACACCCUAGACAUGCCCUUUAGCUACAUAGAUCAUACAGCAGAUGAAUUUUGGAAGAUGAGCAAACUGAGGUAUCUAAAUUUUGGCUCAAUUACACUUUCUGCACAUCCAGGAAAAUAUUGCGGCUCUCUGGAAAAUCUCGAUUUCAUUUCAGCCUUGCAUCCUUGCUGCUGUCCUGAAGAUAUAUUGGGCAGACUACCUAAUCUUCGAAAUAUCCAAAUAUGGGGAGAUUUAAUUUAUUAUCAAUCUUUGUUGUCCAAAAUUCUCUAUAGAUUGAGCUGCCUCGAAUCAUUGAAGUUGGCAAAGGAAAGCAAGAUUCCACGGCGAUCCAAUAUCAUCCUUGCUAAAUACCAAUUUCCUCCAAGUCUAACCCACUUGAGUUUUUUGAAUAUUGAGCUAAUGGAUCAUCCCAUGCCGGCACUAGAAAAGCUGGCGGUUCUUCAGUUGCUCAAACUGAAGUAAAACUCGUAUUCAGGUAGAAAGCUGGCUUGUAGCUCUGAUGGCUUUCCAAAACUCAAGGUGCUGCACCUUAAAUCAAUGUUAUGGCUACAAGAAUGGACUAUGGGGAUUAGAGCCAUGCCGAAACUAGAAUGCUCGAUCCUCAACCCUUGUGCUCACUUGAAAAUGAUUCCUGAACAGCUUUGGUGCCUAAAGAGCUUAAACAAAUUAGAGUUGUGGUGGCCUGAGCUGGAGCUGAGACAACAGCUACGGGAAUUCGAGGAUAAGGAGCAGUAUGGCAUUCAGCUAUAUCCAUAUGGAAUUUGAUUAGCGUGGAUGGAAUUUGAUGUAAGUUUUUUUCCUUUUUAUCCAAUAACUUCAACCUCUAAUUAUUUAUCUAAUUUCAUGUAAACAUCUAUUCUGUAUGAUUGAUUCGAUAGUACGCAGCAGCCUAAAUAAUAAUGAUACCAUAAAGUGUUUUCUAUCUAAUUUUUGUCUCAACAAAGACUUGGAAGUGUCCAUCACAUUCCCUGAUGCUGACACUAAUCAUUAAUCUCUUAUUAAUAGAAGAGGCAGAACCCUUAUGUAUUGGUUAUUGAAAUAAUCAAGAAAAACUGUAAAAUAAGAUAUUCAAUUACUUGUAUGUGUAGCAGUGUAGGUCAAAGCAGAGCGGAAAAUAUCUUAACUAUACUGCAGCCAAAGUUUCAAUUUCAAUAAGAAUCCAGCCUUCACUGAAAUUGUGUGGUUUCUCUUUUUUUUUUUAUAAGAAUUGUUUGGUUUCUUUGUUUUCAAGGAUUAUGUCAUAUUCGGAUUAAUAUUUUGUACAAAAGUUUUAUUGAUUGUUUUACUUUCUAUUUUCACAUUCACUGGUGUGUAUUCAAUUUGUCAACAUUGAAGUUGCAUAUAUGUUAUUGUUUUUUAUUUUAUUUUAUUUUUCUAGUUUUUGAGUAGUGAUACAGUUCAAUCUCAUUACUUCAGUUAGACGAAAAAUGUUUGUGCUGUGAUCACACCUCAUUAUCUUAAAACUGACAGAACGAUUUUGUCGUUCGGUUUUUUGGAAUUUCGCCGACGUGUCGUCCAUUGUAAGGGCGACAAUGCUGGUCAAAAGUCAGUUGGGGUUCGUUAAAAUAGUGCGUGGAAAUUUCGGGUUUGUUGGAAAUAGCCUUUAUUGUAGUUUAUAAGGCUGGUUGUUGGGUCAUCUUCACAGGUCUCAUCAAAGCCAUAGAAAGAGAGAGAGUUAAAGGGAAAAAGUUGCAUAUUCUUGGAAUGAUUGUGAAAUGGUCCUUGUUCUUCAGUGGAUGUAGGCACUUUGAUUCAAUUUUGAGUUUCGGUUUCCGGAACGAUUCUUGAUACGUCAAAUAGGGUCUUAGGUGUGUGAUCUUGGUACUAACAGAGGAUUAAACACAACAAAAAAGAAACUGGGGCAUAUUGUCUAAUCUUCAUAGACUCCAAAUAUAUGGAGAUUUUAGCCCUCGUCAAUCUGGGUUGUCCAACAGCCCUUGUAAAAUAAAAAACCAUCACUAAUCCUUGGUGACUUUAGGGAUCCAGUAAGGACUAGGUAGAAUUGAAGAGGAGAUUUAACGAGUAAAGUUCUGAAAGUGGAAGAUUUAAAAUUUAAUCUGUAGCGUUGCAGGUUUUGGAAGCUUCGUUAGAAUUGAUGACUGAAUUCUUUCUCUGUUGGUUGAUUAGUAGCCCAAUUGCACUAAGAGAAUAAAGAGCAGCUGUAAUCGUUUUCACAUUUUCCGUUCCAGCAUCCAGAGGGUGCCUUGUAAUGCAGUGCAAUGAAGUUGAUGGCGUGAGGAUGUGCUGCUGCUCACUCAAUUCCUUACAGUCACAUCAAAGCCCUUGUUUGCAGCAGAGGAAUUCCCUUUUGUAUUCAAAUUAAUCCUUCUGCUUUGGUUGUCAUUGGAUUCUUUCCACUCUUUAGCCAGUAACAUAAUGUUGAGUUUAUUGAUUUUGCUAUCUUAAGAAUGUCCAAGACAUUUUGUAAUCAUGAUAUAUUGUCAUUUUAUUUUGAGACAAAAGACUUUUUUCCCAGUUAGCAAAUGCUUAUUGCUUUCAUUUUUUGGAUUGGAAAAACAAAAAUUGGAAGAAGAAAAAUGAAAAUUAAUAAACAAAAAAAAGAUUACAGGACAGCAGCAUCAUGUUCUUUUCUUUGAACUAAGUCUUUGUUUAACCUUUCACCUUUUCCAUUUUGUGAGUUUGGUAUCUCUUUCUUUUCUUGAACCAAGAUUUUUACUUUACUUACAAGUAAAGUUUAAAUGAUCUUGAUCGUUUAUUUUUCUCUGAACUUAUUUUUCUUUCACAUGCACGAUCAUUUUCAAUUCUAACAAAUCAUUCAUCUAUCAAUACCCAAUUUGAAUAAAAUUCAGCAUUCCUUUUCAUAUUCUUUCUAUGUAAUAAUUUGAUUGUGUUGUUUUUAAUCAAAAUAAGAUAUAUAUCGUCAGGAUAUUGAAGUUUGUGAUCACUUUAAGAAAAAACAGGUAGUUUAAUAUCUGAAUUAUCCACAAAAUAACUCCAUUUUAUUAUUUUUAUAUCAUGAAUGUGAGGUUCAUGAUUUAUUUGCGUUUGAUUCUUGUUUACAAGUUAUGUUUUUCCUCACACGUUUCAUAUGAUCACAAAUCAGAUAAAAAGGGGGAAAUUAAAAAAAAAAGAUUGAAAGCUAGCUUAUUUUGAGUACAAGCAAAAUCUUGCUCAUUUCCAGGGCGAAAGUAGCAGGGACGUUUUGAGGUGUUUUUAAAAAUACAGGGACUAAAUGGACACUAACCUCAUAAUAUAGGGACUAAACAAGCUUUUACCCCAUUUAGAAAUGCGUUGACAAAGAGAUUAAUUUGUCACAUGAUGGUUUCUAGGUAGAAUCUUUCCAAGCUAAUUUGCAUUUUAUAAAAUUUUUCUUUCUAUUCGUUUUACGUAAUGAUUAGUCACCAAUCUUGGUUUGAGAAUGCAUACUCAACAUGAGGUUAUAAGAUUCAUUUCCGGCACUCUACCUUUCAUCUCUUGUAAUUUGACUGUCAGCAAUCUUGAUUUAACUUUUUGAAUGGCAACACUCGGCAUGAUUAAUUAGAGAAGGAGGUAUCAGGCAUAGGGUUCUGAGUAGAGUUUCAUCAACAAUUAAUGCUGGUUAAUGUUUGAAUUGACAGACAUAAAAAUUUCUUAUUAUUAUUAUUUUUAAUCUUUUAAUAAUUGUCUCUCUCAAUUAUGUCUCAAUUUGCAUGUUAGGACCACUAGGCACAGAGAGAGGAGGAGAUAUGGACAUCAACUUCAGACUAUUUUCCGAGAGGCUGGGACGGGUGUUAGCUGGUGAAGAAGUCACGUUGCCUGAUGCUGUAAAACAACCUAUUCAGAACCUUCAUGCGGAGGUUGAAAUCGUUACUUCUUGGCUGAGUGAAUUUGAAGAUGAUAUCUCCUGGCUUCUGAUGCAAAAAAUAGGAGAAGUUGAAAUUGACAACCCAGAUCUUGGGACCGUUAUGGAUGAAAUCAAUUGCUUUACUUAUGAAUCUGAGAAGGUCAUUGACACAUUCAUCAGCAGCAUUACUCAACAGAAGAGACAAAGCGGGCGCAGCAAGGACAUUUGUGAUGCUCUGCUAGGACUCCAAAGCAAAAUCAUUGAUAUAAAACAACGGAUGCAACAAGUUCAGCACUUCGAUUCCGGAAUCAUUGAUGAAGUCAAAUCAAUUGAAGCUGAAGUCGGUAAUUUUCUUGCAUCUUCAUCGUCUAAGAAUAGGGAGACGGUGGGUCUAGAUGAUAGAAUGGAGGAAUUGUUAGAUCUAUUGAUAGAAGGACCACCUCAACUUUCAGCAGUGGCCAUACUUGAUAGCAUUGGAUUGGACAAGACGGCUUUCGCCGCAGAGGCUUACAGCAGCAACUAUGUGAAGCAUUAUUUUGAUUGUCACGCUUGGGUUCCGAGCCUCACAGCUAUGAUGCUCACCGAAUAUUAGAUCUCAUUAUUAAGUUUCUAAUGCCUUCAUCUAGACUGAGUGAAAUGAAGGAUAAAAAUUAUGAAAUGAAAAAAAAAUUCUUCGUGAAUAUUUAAUGACCAAGCGGUAUUUGAUUUUUUUUUAUAAUGUGUGGAGAAUAUCAGCAUGGGAUGUUAUUCGAAAAAUACUUCCCGAUAAUCAAAAUGGAAGUAGAGUAUUAAUAACACUCGCUCAAAUUGAGAUUGUCACCUCAUUUCAGUUUGAAAACGGAGAGAACAUUGGGCUUGAUUUUGUGCCCACUGGAGGAGCAUUGAGAGCUACAUACCAAGGAUGGCCUUUCCACAUCUUGUAUCAUGGAAGCAUCUCAUUGGAAGAAAAUAUAGAUGAAGUAUUGACCAUGUCCCUUGGGCUUCAAUGCAUCAUAUAUUGUAUGUUACCUUUUUGCUUGAAACCUUGUUUUCUCUACUUCUCCGUUUUUCCCGCACACCUAGAGAUAGCCACCAGGCAGUUAUAUCAGCUGUAGAUAGCUGAAGGUUUCAUUUCAGACAAUAAUGAGGCAACUGCUGAGAAGUACUUAGAGCAACUAAUCAACAGAGGCUUUGUCAAAGCAAAUAAGAGAAGAACUGGAGGCACAAUCAACACAUGCU
This 252077-nucleotide long non-coding RNA is filed under the name Citrus x clementina. Its description in RNAcentral is "Citrus clementina (C. clementina) long non-coding RNA (CCLE_LNC006679)". The stretch from base 154663 to 154769 matches the Rfam family "Plant small nucleolar RNA R71". Lineage: Eukaryota; Viridiplantae; Streptophyta; Magnoliopsida; Sapindales; Rutaceae. The record is from RNAcentral.